RNAcentral lists this long non-coding RNA (245638 nucleotides) under Pelobates cultripes (western spadefoot toad). Lineage: Eukaryota; Metazoa; Chordata; Amphibia; Anura; Pelobatidae. The record is from RNAcentral.
AAUAAAGCCAUCCCUUCUGAAAAGGUUUAGCUCUCUGUGCAUUUCUGAGUUGUGAGGAAACACACUUGAAAGCUUUCUUUCUUAAAUACCCUCUCAGUACCUUGUCUGUGUUUGACACACUCCCAGAAAUGGAGUGAAUAAAGGAGAAACUUUCUUUCUGAAGUCACAGCAGAGCUAUAGGUGAUUUAAACCAAAUUACAGAAAAUUAAAACCACUGCAUGGGACAUUUCACUGAAAGCAGAUGUUAACAAAAUGGUAAGUGUCAGAUGCUUUUUGUGAUUUUAUUGUUGGCACAGUCUUUUGCUUUGUUUAUUUUUCUAAAGUUUAACCCCUUCUUUUUUUAAAUAAAGUGAACAAGGCAUGCCAUGAAUCAUGACUUAAACCAAAAUUGGAGUGAAUGAAAUUCUAAUUUUCUGUCUUUAGAAUAAAAGUGUCUAAUUCUGGCAAAAUCAUUUACACUAACCACUUAUAAUCUAAGUGUAAAUUUAAGAUUACAUAUAUAUUUAAAUUAAAAUAAAUACAUUUGAUUAGUGCAUCUGGCUGAAAUGAUUAAAAUGUAUUUAAACAUUGUACCUCUACUGAAACUCAGGUUUUGCUUUAAAUUAUUUUAUUAUUUAAAUAAAAACAUCCUAAAAUAUCACAUUUCAUGUAAUUCCGUAUUAACUAUGUAUUGAGGUCAAAAGAUAAGUAUAAAUUAAUCUGCUAUUACAAGAAUAGAUAGAAUCAUACAGACACCAGAGCAUAAAAAUAGUUUCAUGUCUAACUGUUACACUGGGAUGCAUCAUUUAGUUCAUGUGCCUGGUUUUUAAAUAUAUAUAUAUAUAUAUAUAUAUAUAUAUAAACAUAACUUACAUGUGCUUUGCAUCAGUUCAUUGGAUAGUAAGCUGUAUGGUAUAGAACCUUACUAUGGAAUAAAAGAGGUACUAUGAGGCACUUAUAAAAUGGGUCUCUUUAUUUCUGUUAUCAAGUUAUGUUGUCUUCUUUUCUGUAAAUUAUAUACUUGUAAUUUAAUAUGUAAACAUAUGUAUUUAAGUAAAGAAAAAAUUAAGAAAUUUUACUUGGGAAUAUAUUUUGAUUUCUGAGUUCUGGCCAAUAUUAUACUGAAAUAUAUUUGUACAUAAUAUACAUUCUAUUUUAUUUUAGCUUAUUUUGCUUAAAAUAGUGUUGUGGUGCUCAGGUUUGUAUAAAGAAAUGGAUUAACUAUUAUUAGUAAAUAUCUACUAUUAGAAACAUCUGGAAAUUAAUUGUCUUUUUAUGAAAUAUACAGAACUUGUUCAUAACAAAUUAUUUAAAUUAGAGAUUUUCAUAUCAUAUGCAAAACCAAUAAUUAUGCUUGACCUGGAACAGGACAUAUAUACAGAGAGCUUUGCAGUAUGCAAUCUAUAUAUAUACACACACACACACACAUAUAUAUAUAUAUAUAUACACAUAUACAUACAUAGAGAGAGAGAGAGAGAGAGAGAGAGUAUUGCAGUAUGCAAUCUACACUAUACAUAUAAUGUACGCGGUAAUUAUAUAUUAGGUAUAUACAUAUAUUAGGUAUACUACAGACAUUUAAUGCAUGCAGUAAUUAUAUAAAUUAUAUAUAUAUAUAUAUAUAUAUAUAUAUAUAUAUAAAAUUUAUAUAAUUACUGCAUGCAUUAAAUGUAUGAACAGUUAUACUUGAGAUGUAUUACACACUUACCAAAUGUUGAUUUGGCACAUGUAAUGUAUUACAUUAUCUUUUAAAUGUUAGUUUUGUAGAAAAUGUUUAUUUUAUUUAUAUACCUUGUAAAUGUAAACCAUGAAACUAUGUUUUAACUGUAAUAAAUCUUUAGCACAUCCUCCCUUUUUAAACCUAAAGGAUUUUAUGUCACCCAGCUUGACUAGUUUACAUAUUAACUGAGAUAGUGUGGCAUGAACUAAGCUUCAAAGGGAGAAUCUGACUUAAUUAGUCACUAGAAUAGUGUUUGGGGAGCUAUUUAAUUAAACAGUGUGAAAUGAAAGAAUGUGUAAAUUUAUGCUCUUUUUAUCUGCAGUGUCCAGCAAAUAACUAAUGAUUAAUUUCAUACGUAUAAGGUGUUUAAACUGUAAAUAUAAUAAUAAAAUAUUUCUGCCAGAUUUCAAUAGACCUUAAAUUCAUGGGUCACCUUAAAGCUAGUAAAGUUAAAUAUGCAAAACGAGACAUAUAUAUUUGAAACUAAGUUAAAAUACAUUAAACAGCUAUUGCUAUCUAUAUGUAACUUUGCACAACAUAAUGAUACUAAUUUAGCACUUUUAUUCUUUCUGAAUUAAAAGUGUAAUUAAAAUAAUCAAGAAUGACUGUAUAAAUCUGUCACUAAAGUAUGCAUAUAGUUAGAUUUGCCUAUAAAGACAUACAUUUCCUUUAAUUUCCUUAAACUUAUCAAUGAGAGCAUAUAAUUGUCAUCAUAUUAUGUAUACUAUUAUGCUAUUCUAGUUUUAUUAUUUAGUCCAUAAUACGAAUUAUGUGACAAAAAGAUGUUUUUCCUAGCUUUUUACUUGCCAAUGCCAAAAUUGUCAAAUAGGGUUUUGUUCAUGAAACAUUGAAUUGUAAUCAACUAAAUUGCAAACUUUAGGCAAUCAAUGAUUUGGAAAAAUUCUUCAUCUCAGCAAUCGUUGCAGUGUGAUCAUUUUAGUCUCAAUUUUGCAAUUCAUAAUCUGUUUUGAAUUUCAGUGAUUAAUGAACAUAUCCCAUAAUGUAAAUGGGUAUGCAUGUCCUUUAGAAUGAAUUGACUAUCAUAACACUGAUAUUAAGUACAACUUUCUUAAUGUUUGUUGUAUUCAGUCUUUUAAUGUUUGUGACUAUUAGAAAACAGAAUGUAUGAUCAACAAAAUAUACAAUUACCUAGUUAAUCCAUCAGUCAUCAUCGUGAAGUUUAUAAACUGUCUGUAGCAGCACUUAGACCAUUAUGUAUAUUAUUUAGCAUUUGUAUUUUCGAUUAUUUUUUAUAACUUAUAGAUGCACAGCAAUUCUAGCUAAGCUACCGUCUAUAAAAGAAAUUCAACAAUACUGACCGUGUCUCGGAAAGGUAGUUCAAUUUACAUAUGACCUCUGUAUAUGUCCUUUGGCUAUAUGUUGUGACACACAUAAUUAGUUUAUAAGAUUUCAGAGUAGUUAAUUCAGAACAAUGUAAUGCAACCUGGUAAUACUAAAGCGAUCCUAGAAAUUAUCUUUUUUCGCCUAUAAAUGUCUCUUACAUCUCCUUCCUUUUGUUUUCUCACUGAGAAUUUUUGUUCAGUACUGUAAGAGUGGUAACAGUUCAGAAUUCCAAAGGUUUUUAUUCUCUUUAAAACUUGACAACCUUAUUGAAAUCUUCAACAUCAUAUUUUCAGAGUCUUUCGAAAUAGAGGCAUGGUGACAGCUACACAAGUGCCUCAUCAACAACAUUGCCUGUUGUUUUCUGCUAAAGGCUAAAUGGCAAUGAGAACCAAGAAGGUUCAAAGUUAUUUAUUGUACUAUUAGGAAACGUAUUCACACUUUUAUGAUAUUGUUCAACAGCUCCUUUGUUCAAUUAAUAUGCAUAGACAUUGAAAAUGAAAAGUACAGCUCUACACUACUGUUCUGUUAAUUUAAAUUGACAUAAGACCUUCCCACUUAAAUAUCACAGUUAGUGUGCUGAGGACUAAAUAUAAGUGUAAAAACAGCAGUUAUACAAGAACAGAACACAAUAUUCUUGUACCAUUGUGCUUGUAAUAAUUUAUGCUGAAUUCAAUGUACAGUAAAACACAUCAGUUACUUGUAAUUUAGCAAAUUGAGCUAAAAUAUAUAUAGAGAGAGAGAGAUAAACAAGUGGUUAUGAGAAAUAAAUCGUAUAUAUUUUUUUUAUUUCUGGAUAAAUCUAGAUAUAGAUCUCUCUUGUUUGGGGGUACAGGGAAAUUAAAUAAAAUAAUCCAUUAGUAUGAUAUCUCCAUAUUAUUGUGUUCUGGUCUUAUUUGGGGGAAAGUUUGUAGGAAAUAUUUUGUGUUCUUUAUUAAUAUGCAGUGUUUGAAAAUAUUUGUCUUUCUUUAUCUUUUUGUUUGUUUACUACUUAUUUUGCAGGUAUCAAAAAGGAAUGUAGCAUUUGCUAUAUUUGUCUCUCAGGUUGUCUCUAUUCUAUGUUCUAUUUUUAAAAACAUAUAAAUUAAAACUUUUAAAAUGCAGUUAUCAAUCUAACUAGUUUUGUGUCCAAAUAAUAAGAUUCAUUUUCUCAAUACAUUACGCCAUUAUACAGAGUCAACAUAGCAAUGUAAACACUAUGCUGUUCACGUUAUGCAGUUAUUAUUAUUAUUAUUAUUAUUAUUAUUGGCAUAUAUGUUUAGCGCAGACGUAUUCCACUUCAGAAUAUUAUAAAGGGGAAAAUUUACCAAUAAAUGAGACAAUUGCAUUGUUAAAGGAACAAUAGGUUGAUGAGGACCAUGCUCAAAUAAGCUUACAGUUAUAAAUGUCGGGUAAACCUGAUCCUGUAGGUCUAAAGUAUUUAUAGUAUUCAUAAUAAUGUGCAGUGACAACAACGACUUGCUGGGUAUCUGUGAAUUUUACAAAUUGACUGAUCAAUUGACGCAUUGGUACAUUGAGAAUCCAAGAAUGCAUUUGUGUAAUAUUUUAAACAUAUAACCUGUGCAUUACUUUACUGUAUUUGAAUGGCACCUAGAAUGAUUUUUUUCUUCAGUUAAUUCACACAGUGAAUUUUGAAUAACCAAAUAAAAAGUAGCCUGAUUGAUACAAUAUAAAUGGAUAUUUAUGUAUAGAUAGAUGGAGAUAGUAGACAGACAGAGAGAAAGAGAGAGAUAGACAUUUUUUUUUUAAAUUUCUCCAAAAUAACUAAUUAUCCCUCUUUUAAAACAACUCUUUAUAGAGAUCUGUUUUUGUUUCUGUGUUGCAGCCCACAGGAAUAUUUCCUGCAGUGGAAAUAAUUGACUCUGGUCUCAGUCCAUUUCAUUUCAAUUAGACUCAGAUAAGAUAAGUAUCAUUGCGGCUUAGAGAGUUAAGCAUUUAAAUUCAGGUUGUGGUUUCUGCAAGAACAUGGAUAUUAGAAUAUCUGUUAAAAUUAGGCAGAAUGGUGCUUCCCUUAUAACCGUGAUUUUUCUAUAUCUUUCUAUCUUUUUAAACAUUCUAUUUAAACAUGCCAUCCAAAGCAAAACAAGAAAUAAAAUGUCAACUUAAGUGCCUUUUGAACACAUUAGAAGACUUGCACAUCAUAGGAACAGAAGAUAAAACGUUAUCAUGUUCCAACUUUACCUUGAGAAGACUAGACUAUUGUUAAUAUAUCAGUGUACUUUGACUAAGAAUAAUCCUUCAAAAGCCAUAAAGGGUAACAAUGUUUUGCAGAGUUGUUUGCAUUGCAAUAAAAUGUGUAAGAUAAGAGUUGCCAAAUUUGCAUUUUUAAUUUUGUGUAAAAUAAAUUAGCUUCAGGUUUGAGUUAACAAUGCAUUAUCAAAUACUAUAGAAAUAGUUAUUAAAUCAUUCUCAAUAAUUAUUAUACCAAUUUAUAUUGGACUGCUCUUAUUAUAUCAGCAUUUUCUUUGAGGCCAAUGCUUGAAAGAGCUAAAAUGCAUUUUUGGGGGUUAUUUUAACCCCUUAAGGACUAAACUUCUGGAAUAAAAGGGAAUCAUGACAUGUCACAUAUGUCAUGUGUCCUUAAGUGGUUAAAGGUCUGACUGCAACCAAAACCAAAACAAUCCAGGAACAUUUGGAGGCAAAACUCCAGACAUUAUUCACAACAUGUGUCAGUCUCCAAAUUUAGCAGGGCAUCUCUGAAUGGACAUGGGAUUCUAACACGCUGUUUUAUAAAUGGUGCAAUUUGAAACUGAAUGCCAUAAUAUGAAUGUUUGAGCCAAUCAAGGCGGAGCACAGACAGCUGGUAGUUCAAAUAAUAAACCAAUAUAAGUGAAUGACAGUGUGAGGGUCAAUAAUAGAGAUCCACCAAACCGCUGUAUUAUUAACCCCUUAAGGACACAUGACAUGUCUGACAUGUCAUGAUUCCCUUUUAUUCCCGAAGUUUGGUCCUUAAGGGGUUAAAGGGACACUAUAGUCACCUGAACAACUUUAGCUUAAUGAAGCAGUUUUAGUGUAUAGAUCAUCCCCCUGCAAUUUCAAUGCUCAAUUCACUGUCAUUUAGGAGUUUCUGUUUAUGCAGCCCAAGCCACACCUCCCCUGGCUAUGAUUGACAGAGCCUGCAUGAAAAAAACUGGUUUCACUUUCAAACAGAUGUAAUUUACCUUAAAUAAUUGUAUCUCAAUCUCUAAAUUUAACUUUAAUCACAUACAGAAGGCUCUUGCAGGGUUUAGCAAGCUAUUAACAUAGCAGGGGAUAAGAAAAUCUUAAUUAAACAGAACUUGCAAUAAAGAAAGUGCCUAAAUAGGGCUCUCUUUACAGGAAGUGUUUAUGGAAGGCUGUGCAAGUCACAUGCAGGGAGGUGUGACUAGGGUUCAUAAACAAAGGGAUUUAACUCCUAAAUUGCAGAGGAUUGAGCAGUGAGGCUGCAGGGGCAUGUUCUAUACACCAAAACUGCUUCAUUAAGCUAAAGUUGUUCAGGUGACUAUAGUGUCCUUUUAAGGUUUUCUUAUCCCCUGCUAUGUUAAUAGCUUGCAAGACCCCGCAAGAGCCUCCUGUAUGUGAUUAAAGUUCAAUUUAGAGAUUGAGAUACAAUUAUUUAAGGCAAAUUACAUCUGUUUGAAAGUGAAACCAGUUUUUAUUUCAUGCAGGCUCUGUCAAUCAUAGCCAGGGGAGGUGUGGCUAGGGCUGCAUAAACAGAAACAAAGUUAUUUAACUCCUAAAUGACAGUGAAUUGAGUAGUGAAAUUGCAGGGGAAUGAUCUAUACACUAAAACUGCUUUAUUUAGCUAAAGUAAUUUAGAUGACUAUAGUGUUCCUUUAAUCCUAGGUCUCUUGUCUUUCAUAUGCAUAAAUUGGGUGAAUUAUUUUGGGCAAGUUGCUUUCUAUUUAAACAAAUUGGAUUGAAAUGCAGAUAUUUUCUGUAUUUGAUAAAUUGCUAAAAAAAAUUGUUAUAGAUACUACAUUGUUCAAAUGUCGGCGGGGGAGGAGAGGUCACCAGCACUGAGGGAGCCCGGCGCCAGAAUAAGGUGUGUAACUGAAGGGGUUUUAACCCCUUCAGCGCCACAGAAGGGGGACCUUGAGGGUGGGGGCACCCUCAGGGCACUAUAGUGUCAGGAAAACCGCUAUGAUUGAUCCUUUAAUUAUGUCGAGUACAGAAAUAAUCAAAGUCUUCAAAACAUAAAUGUAUGAUCCAUAAAAGUACUUUCUUAAUACUGGUUGAAUAAUGCAAAUUAGUUACUAAUGUGUCUUUAAGACUUUUUGGGGAUUUUUGCAUUAAAAGUUUGAACCGUGGGUGAAAGUUUAUGAGUACAAUUACAGAGAUGAACUAGAAUGCAAAAUAAACUAGUUAAUUGUCACUGCAUCUGAUCGGCCCCUCAGUGUGACGGCACCAGAUCAGUGCGGUCACACUAUCGCAGUGCCCCGAUCAGCACCACGAUGUGACCGCAUCCAGGGCCGGCGAUUCCUAUAGGCCAGCUAGGCGGCCGCAGGGGCGGGGCUGAGAUGGAGUGAAGACGGCCAGGCGCAAGGAAACUACCAGGAGCACACGAAAAGCACUGUCAUAUAUGCAAUAAAGGUAAGAGGGUCAAUGGAACAUCAUAAUGUGUGUUUGUAAAGAAUUUGUGUUUGUGCAUGUCAGUCUGUAUGGGUCAGUGUGUGUCUGUAUGGGUCACUGUCUGUAGGAGUCGGAGCGGGUCAGUGUCUGUCUGCAGUAUGGGUCUGUGUAUGUCUGUAUGUGUGUGUGUGUCUGCUUGGGUCAGUGUCUGUCUGUAGUAUGGGUCUGUGUAUGUCUUUAUGUGUGUGUGUCUGCAUGGGUCAGUGUGUCUGUAUGAGGCAGUGUGUGUCUGUGUAGAUCAGUGUGUGUCUGUGUGGAUCAGUGUGUGUCUGCAUGGGUCAGAGAGUGUCUGCAUGGGUCAGUGUGUAUGUGUGUGUCAGUCUGCAUUCAUCAGUGUGUGUGUGUCAGUCUGCAUGGGUCUGUUUGUGCGUCAGUCUGCAUGGGUGAGUGUGUGCGCGUCAAUCUGUUUGUCAGUACAUGUGUGUCAGUCUGCGUGUGUCAGUACGUGUACGUCAGUCUACAUGAGUCAGUGCAUGUUUGCCAGUCUGCUUGGGUCAGUGUAUGUCAGUCUGCAUGAGUGUGUGGAGCAAAUGGGGCGGCAACAUUUUCAUGCCUAGGGCGGCAAAAAUCCUUGCACCGGCCCUAACCGCAUCUGAUCGGUGCGGUCACACUAAAUGAGAGAGAGGUUACUCACCUUACCUCCAGAGCCUCACCCUCCGUGCAGUUCUUAAUACAGUGGCCGGGUCCAGCAUUAGGAAGGAUGCUUGCCUCUGCAAGGCAGCGCUAUAUAAUAAUGCCACCAACAAUGACGUCACUAGUUAUGUGAACGUGCGUGCGGCGUCACGUUUUUGAUGUGCACGCACGUUCUGGGGUCAUGGGACCCAAAUCAGCAAUAAGAAUGGUUUACUGGGUUAUUUAAACCGAAACCUGCAGUUGUUCAGUGCCCUGUCGUGGUUUCCAUCAUGUUGGUUAUCCGAGAGCGAGUUCCUGAUUCUGUUUAUUGGUUUUUGAUCUUGGCUUGGCUUGACUUCGCAUAUUUCUGGUAUCCCUGACCCUUUAGUUUUGUUCUUACCGUAUUUGUUCCUUUCUGUAUUCCUGACCUCGGGCCAUGGCUGUUUAUUCAAUUACGUUAAAUCUAGCCAUUCUUAGUAAUAAAUUGUUACUGUUUGUCUUUGUAACGGCCACCCUGUGUGUCAGAGGGGUGUAUGCUGUUGGAGACAUCCUUUUCCCUGGGUAGAGGCUGUGCUGCAGUGUGUUCCAGAUGUCCCAUCAGCCGAACCAGUGGAGAGAGAGAAUAGCAGAGCUCUGACAAGAGCUAGUGAUUAGCUGGAUGCAGUUUCCCUACAAUAAUGAGACGAGGCUACGUAUUGAGGGUUAAGCAGAUAUGUUUUAAUGAGCACAAAGGCAUUUCUUUAAUACACAUUUUGCCCACAAGCUUACCACCCACGUGGACCUUGUGGAGCACAGGACACAAAGUUACCAAACCAAUAAGAACAAUAAUUAACACAGUAAAACUCCCACAUACAGUCAGCAAGCCCCUUGCUGAAUUACCAUCAUAGCAAAAAAGUAGCAAAAAGCUAAUUUUACAAAAUCAUAUCAUCCAUGCUUUUUAAAUAAUAAUUAGACUGUAUGUAGCUAGCAUAUUAUUGGUAUAUCGUUCUUAAUUUGAUGUGGUGCAAAAUAAUGCAAGUUUCCAAAUAAAAAAGUUAGAUUACUUGAAUCAGUGCAGAGAUUCAUCUUUAAAUUAGGGGCUACAUUUACAUUAUGUCUCCUCCUACAGGGUUCAGUUUUGCAAAUACUGAAUGUAACGGAGCUCCUAGUACUCCAACCGAUUACCUCUGUUGAUGGAUGCUCCUAGUGCUUCACGAGGACUCCAAGCACUCCACUUGACACCAUCAGCACUGCAGACCGAACUUCUCUUCCUGCAGAGAGCGACGCUGGAACAAGCUCUUAAAAGAGCUCAGUGAUUAUAGCUAGGGGAGUAUGUAGGGUAUAGCAAUCCCCCAGUGUAGAUGCAGUCGUAUGUUGAAGGUCAAACAGGAACAGACAGAGCUGUGGUUUUAUUGUUCUUAUACACACAUUUUGACACAAUAGUACCACCCACAGUGUUUUGUAGAACAGCCAAUCAAACAUGUAAUAUACAGUAAAACACUCAUUCAUUCAUUCCCACAAAAUCCUCCUCUCUGUCUGUGAUAUAAUUACUGAACACAAUGGGUUAAUGUAAUUAUCACAGGCAGGAAAAAUAUACUUUUUACAUAUUUACUAUAACUUUAAAACUAUACAUCCAAUCUUCACAAAAGUGAAUCAGCAUACUUUAAAUAUAAACAUAUCCAAAAUUCAGGCCAUUCCUUCCAGGGGUUAAAAAGUUAGCUGGAAGUCCUUUGUGACCAACUGCAAGCACAUUUUCAUGCCCAAAACAGUUCCAUGGAUUUAGGCUGUGUGGUCGGUCAAUAUCACACUGAAAAAUGACUAAGUCCCAUUCGAACGUGGGUUCGAAUAGCCGAAUGGGACUCAAUGGAGGAGAAGGUAAGGGUCAGCGGUGUUCGUUGAAAUGUGUAGCCGAUUUCAGUUCCAUGAAUUUGGUUGCACACACACCGCUGACCGCGUUUAAAUGAAUAAAGAUGGCCGCUGCCACAUGUUUGUUUGUACGAACGGUGGCCACCCUGCGGUCGGCAAUUUACCUACAGCAGAUUCCCAGCCUAUGCAAUACUUGGUUCGGUAUGCCCCAUUUACUGAACCAAGUGGAAAAAAUCCAUGCACACAGGAUUUUAACAGUCUGGGUACACUGGGGACAACGUCUUAAAGGGGCAUUGCCCCAAACAAGUCUCAAUAUGCCCACAGACGGUUUUUAAAGGGCCAUAAUCCAGAGACAGCAGGCCAGCAACCAGGCUUCUCCAGUGCCCAGUGGCGAGGUUAGUUUCGCCACACUGAACUGCAUUUUUUUAUUUCAGAAAUGUUACAUAUAUUUGUUCCAUUUUAAAAUAAACAUUUUGACUUUGCAUAAUAAGGGCAAAAGCAUGCAUAUUUGACUUAAAAUUGUAAUAUUUUUACAGUGGAUUAUUACAAUUAUUGUUACAGCUACAAGUGUAUUACCUACAAAAUAUAAAGCAAUAACUUAGAAAAUUAUAAAAACAUUUCCAUAUUGUUGGAAAAUUGGGGAAAACAUUUGGUAACGCAACAGAAGCACCAGUUUUAUACAUUCAAGGUAAGAAACCUAAAAGUGUAUUAAAAAGUCAUAGAACUGGUGCAUGAUUUACUAGUUAACAUUAGGAAAUAUGUUAAAAAAAAUUCAAGCAAGUCUGGUGUGAAUGAGACCUCAGGCAGUAACAAAAUAGAGCUCUCUCACCCAGAGGCAUAACUUGAAACCACGGGGCUCCGGUGCAAAAAUUGCCCUGGGGCGCACCCAUAUGUCUACCCACCGCUACCCCCCAUAUGUCUACCCCCUAUACGUCUACCCUCCCCCUCCUGUACGUUUCCCCCCCACACUUGCAGAGAAACAAAUACACAUGCAGACACACACAUAUAUACAGAGACACAUACACACAUAAAGGUUAACAUACAUACACACACAUACAUACAAACACACACACACACAAACAAACAUGCACACACUUACAAACACAGAGACACAUAUAUACAGACACAAACACAGACAAAUUCAUUCAGACACACAAACAUAGAAACACACACAUAUACAAAAUGUUUUAGUUACCCUCCUGUUUCCUACCUUUUAGAUGCAGAAGGGUGGGGUCCAGUGGUGGCUCAGCCUGAUGGUAGUCAGAGAUCCCACUCUUACACCCUCCUUUCCUUCCUCCCGUGUGGCUCCUGGUGUAAGCUGGGAUGAGUGACUGUGGCAGUCACUUUCAACCACCGCUGAUAGCAUCACAGGGGGCCCGGUCGGGCUGUUAAAGCGUCACAGCACUGACCGAGCACCCUGGAAAUUAAUUUCCAUCAGGUGGCCCUACUAGCAUGGGCCACCCAAUGGGCUCCUUAACGUGCGGCCCCAGCAGGUCUACCGCAUGGGUCAAGGGGUGGGGGAUUCAGGGAGACAGCACUAAAGGACAUUGGGGGGGACAGCAGUAAGGGAUACUGGGAAGAGAUUGGGGGAGACCACUAAGGGAAAGAUGGGGAAGGCGGGUGAGGAGAGACCAAUAAGGGAAAGAUGGGGAGGGCUUAGAGAGAAGCACUAAGGGAAAGAUGGGGUGAGGAGAGACCACUAAGGAAAAUAAAAUGGGGGAGACCACUAAGGGAAAGAUGGGGGGGAAGACCACAAAGGGAAAGAUGGAGGGGGAGACCAAAAAGGGAAAGAUGAGGGGGGGAGAGACCACAGAGGGAAAUAUGGGGGGGAGGAGAGACCACUAAGGGAAAGAUGGGGAGGAGGGAGACUCUAAGGGGCAGGGGGAGGGAGAGCACUAUACUAUGAGAAUGGGGCCAGGGUGCAGGUGAGAGCACUAAGGGGCAUGGGAAGCAUUAAGGGGUAGGGGGGAAGAGGAGAGCAAUAAGGGACAGUAGGGGAGAGGAGAUCACUAAGGGACAGGAGGGCAGUGGAGAGCACUAAGGGACGGGGGCAGGUGAGAUCACUAAGGGGCAGGGGAGAUCACUAAGGGAUGGGAGAGCACUUUGGGAUAGGAGGGAAGGGGACAACACUAAGGGACAGGAGGGGAGGGGAGACCUUUAAGUGCACAAUCCACACCUUGGUUUACAGAAAACCCACAGACAGGUGCAGUUAGCUUCACAGCUCUAGCUUCCACCCCUCCCAUACUAAACAGGGUAUCAUUUACAGCCAAGCCACUUGGUACCAUCACAUAUGCUCUGAUCCUAAUGACCGUAAUUCCCAUGUAAAUGUACUUUCCUAUUCCAUGAGACAGAAAGGCUACAAACCAAAACCUAUGCCACUUGUGGUCACUUACAACCCAGCUCUUGAGAAAAUACGGAAAAUCAUUAAAGACCUACAACCAAUGUUAACAGAAGAUGAGACUCUGAAAAACAUUUUCUCUGAAACACCCAUUUUGGCCUUCUAAAAACCACCAAACCUUCAAGAAAAAUUAAACAGGAAGCUACUCACUGAUGGGAAGAAUAAAGAAAACGGGACCAGUCAAUGCAAAAAACCUCACUGCAAACUGUGUCAGCGCAUAUGCACAGACAACACAGCCACACAAAACAAUAAAACUUACAGCAUUAAAGGUUCAUACUCCUGCACAUCCAGCAAUGUGGUAUACAUGAUUUAAUGAACCAAAUGCCACCUAGGAUGCUACACUGGGGAAACCACCUGUGACGAGACCAAUCUCGCCACAUUGCAUUGGAGAAGCCUAUUUGCCAGCCUCCUUCCACAUGACUAUGGCCCCUGGGAGAUGGUGAAAACGUAUGCACUUUUAUUGGGUGUGUAUGGCCCUUUAAGACAGUCAGUGGGCAUAUUGUGGCUUAUGGACUCUUUAAGGGACUGGUGCUGGCCCUUUAAACACCUUUUUGGGACAUCAGGAAGAUUGGGACACUGCCCCUUUAAGACGGUGUCCCCAGACUUGUUUGGGACACAGCCCUUUUAAGACGAUGUCCCCUGUGUCCCCAGACCUGGUUAAAACUCUUUGUGCCUGGCUAUUUCCCACUUGGUUCAGUAAAUGGGGCUUACUGAACCAAGUACCAAACAGGCAGACCACCCAGAAGUGGAAGUGUGCAGGCAAUUUACCUCCCAGAAGCUGCGGCUACCGCAGCUUAAUUGACAAUGCUGGGUGGCCUUUGUUCGUUUGCAGAACACGUGGCGGCGGCCAUCUUUGAUCAUUCGAACGAGGUCAGCGGUAUGUGUAGCCAAAUUCAUGUAACUAAAAUCGGCUACACAUUUCCGCGAACACCGCUGAGCCCUACCUUCUCCCAUACUGAUUUUACAGCCGCAGAGACUAAGUCCCAUUCGGCGAUGGGACUUAGUAGUUUUUUCAGCCUGAAAUAGACCGGCCGCACAGCCCAAAUCUAUGGAACUGUUUUGGGCAGGAAAAUGUGCUUGCGGUCGGUCAUAAAGGGACCUCCAGCUAACUUUUUAACCCUUGGAUGGAUUUGGCCGAUUUUUGGUUAUGUUUAUGUUUAAAGUGUGCUGAUUAAUAGUAUGUAAGUUUUAUUAAUAUUGGAAGUGUAGUUUUAAAGUUACAGUGUAUGGAUAAAAAUUGUAUUUUUACUGCCUGUGUUAAUUAUGUUAAACCAUUGUGUAACAUAAUUAUAUCUCAGGCAGAGGGGAGGAUUUUUUGUGUAAUUGCUGGGAGUGUUUCUGUAAUGUACGUUUAUGAUUGGUUGUUGUGUAAAACCCUGUGGGUGGUACUAAUGUGUAUAUAAGGACAAUAAACCCACAGCUCUGUCUGUUCAUUGCUUGACCCUCAACACGGAGCUUUGUCUCGUUCUUGGGGGGAUUAACUGUAUGCUGUUCCAGUUUGACUGCUAGGAGUGUAAACCUUUUCGUAUGGUUUUUCCUAUUCAGCUGUUUACAGCAUUCGUAUGGUUUCCUGUUCGACGGAUUGGUGUUCUGCAGUAGCUGUGCCUGUGUCUCUGGAAGGGAAGAUCUACUAAACGGCGGUUUAGCCCUUUUAUGCCUGGGGGUGCCAUUACACCACCCAACAAUUAAAUGUCAGAAUGAAUAUGCACAGACACUCCAUUAAACACCAAAAAGAAGAAUCGUACUGCACUCCUGUGGGACACCACUUUACCCAGCCUGGCCAUUCAACGAAGGACCUAAAAAUCUGAAAGGGGUUUUUAAAAAUACCCAAGAAAGAAAAACUUUUGAAGCCAAAACAAUCAAAAUGUUUAACAGAAAGAAUUAGAGGACUAAAUAUUGAUUUGGGUUUCCUGUCCCACUACCAACACGUUACAUGAACACUCCCCCAAGAUUAUCUUACUAUUCUGUUAAAUGUAUCAACAUUUUAAAAUGCAUUCCAAUAUGUUUAUUCUAUCAAUAUACAAAGUUCUUUGUGUAGACCUAUUGUGGCGAAAGCCACUUCGCCACUGGGGUUUGGAGGGGACUACUUGCCAACCGUUUACCCUGUGACUAUGGUCCAUUUAAAUUAUUAUGGUUAAAAAACCCUAUUUGUACUUAUUAUGACUUUGGACAAUAAUUAUUCCAACUUUCGAAGCGGAACUUUGAACUCACGUAGCCAUUUGAAGUGUCAUUCGACCACGUAGUGGCGGCCAUCUUGUUUGCAUGGACCAAAACCACAAAUAGACUUCAGGGGGACUUAGCUGCGAAUGCCCUGGAACUAUUUUUGGCAUGGAAACCUCAUGGUUCACGGUCGGUCCUCCAGCGGCACUUAGCCGCGAUUCUAUGGAACUGUUUUGGGCAUGGGACCAUGCCUGCACCUGGGCAAAACUAUGGCUUUCCAUUUCUGAACCCCUGAUCUGAUCUAGGUGAUUUUUGGAUAUGUUGCUCACCCAGAUCAGGGCUAUCAGGGGAUGUAGUGUUUAGGGGGUACUUAUGAGACUUUGUAAAAAUCUGUUUUUUUUGCCUGGAAUUAAUUGGGUUAAUACAGUAUCUGACUCAAUUAUCUCACAGGCAAAGGGGAGGGAUUGUAUGCUUGUUAUUGGAGUGUCGUACAUUCAAUAACUGUUUUUAUUGGUUUGUUAACUUGUGUCCCUGUGCCCAACAAGGUCCAUGUGGGUAUCACCCUUGUUGGGAAACUUGCAUGAAAGGCCAGUGUGGCUCCAUUAAAACUGAGUUCCUGCUUAAUCCUCAACAUGUAGCUUGGUCUCGUGAUUGGAGGGGAAUUGCUAUAUUCAAACUGGGGAUUGCUAUACUCCUUAUACUUCCCUGGGUUCUAAUCACUAGCUCUUGUAAGAGCUGUUCCUGCUACGCUCUCUGAAGUAGGAGAGGUCCUUCCCACACGGCCCUGGAUAUCCGAGGUUGAUCCAGGGUGGGAGGAAGACGGCAAGAUCCCAGCUAAGCUACGUUGGUUGUGGAGUCUGUGGUGCUUGUGGUGUCCGGUGCAGUGCUUAUGGUCCUCAGCAUCAGUUAGGAAGCAUUUGUUGGCAGAGGUGCCCGGUAGGGGUGCCAGGUGAUCCGUCACAUUGGUGGCAGAAGUGGGAUGGCUUCCUAGCCAUGGAAAACCAGAACUACCUCAGUGAUGAGGCAAGUACCGUUGUGUAGUAUGCAGCAGCAACACCCAGCUUCGGCAGCAGUUACAGGUUCAGCAGAGUUUGGAUUACACUCUUUCAGCAGAGAAAGAAUUGGAAUGGAGGGUGACGCUUCAAAUAGAACUCUGGGUGGAGGCCUUAGGAGAAAUCUCCCCAGAUUCCAACCAACACAGAUGGGACCAAUUCCACCUGAGGGUGCAGUUUCCGGGGGAGCAGCCCCAGGAGGAGUGGGUAAGAGAACUAGACGGUUAGUCGGAAUCGAGGUAUGGUUAGACAAAUCAUACCAGUUCUUACGGUGGCAUGCAGACGACCUCUACCCAGGACUACUCCCCUACCAGCUCCUCAUAGGAAAGGACUAUGUUGGGCCUGGGCUGUUGUGGGGGGCCUUUGAGGAUCCCCUGGGGUUUGAAAACCUGGACAGUACCCACUACGAGCGUAUCCGGAAAGACAGUUUGGGGAUUACAUUGGUGGCAGAAUUACAACUGGAUCAGUCCUACCUGGUUGGCCUGGAGAGCAAGCUCGAACACGACUUUGCUCGCUUGCUCCAAAGUGUAACACCACCUGUCUCUGACAUGAUGGGGCUUAUGGACUGCAUACCACCGGGAAUGUUGAGUUUCGUCCUUCCUCCCCAGUGGCAGAGUACAGUACAGAGAGCAGAAAGAGUUUACUUCUGGGAUUUGCCGAGUGCCGGGUCUAAGCUCUGCUUUCUGAUGACAUUUCAGUGACGCAUUUUGACCCGCCUCUUUUCCUUUGGGCUUCAUCAGACAAUUCCCAUCUCUCCCUCCUCUGGCUUUUAAGUCUCUUAACUCCGCCUCUGCUGUUCUCCUAUGUUGUUCAAUAAAUAGUGACUAUGGUGGAGUUGGAGAUUUUUUUCCUAGUCACUUUUUGAUUGAAUUUUGCAAUUUGUUUUUCAAUAGCUUACAAUUUAGCAUUUAAUGAAUAAAGCCCUGCAUGUCUCUAGUAUUUCAAAAACCAAUAUACUGACCUUUGAAAUUGUGAUUAUUUCACAGACAUUUUUCUGUAUUGUACUAUCAUUCAGCAAAUAUUCUUAAUUAAAUUGCCUUUUUUAGGUAUAAAAAAGUCUGAGAUAGAAAAAUUAGCUUAAUUUUAUUUCUUUUUUACGUUGGCCAUUUUGGCUUACAAUGUGUUUUUAUCUGGCUUAUCCCAGCUGUUCCUAGUUUAGUGAAUAAACCCUGUUAAUGAAUAGAAGUUUCCACUUCUGCAUGGGAACUCCAAGAUUACUUUUAGUGAAAUGCAAGAAAAGUUCUCUGGAGCUCUCUAAAACAUGGACUGGUUAUAAAGUCACACAAGGUUCAAGAAAGACUUAUGUACAUCAUUCAUUGGUCGUUGAUCAUUCAUAUGCCGGAGAUCCAAAAUAAGGCAAAAAAAACAAACAAACAGUUGCAACCAUUUACAACUAUGACACAUAAAGGGAAAUAAAUCCUUCUUGAUUCAAUAAUAGCAAUCAGAUUGUUCAAGUUUUAGAACUGUGACAAUAUUAUAGUAUGUUAUAGCAAGAAUAGAGCAAUAGCCUUUGUUUUGGUCUUUUCACGUAGAUUGGCUGUGGUUAAUAGUAUAGCCUUACUGUUAUAUCAUCUAGGAUUGGUUCACAGUCAUAUAAAGCAUUUGUCUCUUCUUAAAUGGUUAUAACAUGGUUUAAUGUACUCCUGUACAUAUUUGAUGUUGUAGGUUAUCUGAACAAUGGUCCAAACUAAAUAGCCUAGUUUAUCGAGCUUUCUAAUAAUUAACACACCUGAGAGUAUUUGGCUCAGCAGUCUCACAGCAAUAAUAUAAUUCCUUGUAUAAUGCAAUUUCCAGUAAGUACCUAGUGAGCAUUUGCAUGUUAACAAGACUCUGUUAGUUAUACUUUGUGCUAACUUUUGAUAAGGAUCUAUCCUAUAGUUUAGCAGAGCUCCCUAUGCUUUUUUGUCAUUGUUGCUAAUCCAUUUCUACAUAUCCAAACAUCUAAGUUUCCAGACCUGCACCUGAUAACACUUUACCACCAUGCCCCCCGAAUUAGUUACACCACAGGAUGGUUGUUGUCAAUUAAGUCAGUGUUCUGUAGAAGGAAAAAAACAUUUAUGCAAUCCAUUGGAUUCAUCAUUGCGAAGGACGUGUAAGGGAUGCAGGAUAUCCUUUUUGCAGCGAUGAGUUGAUGCUCCUUUCACAGCAAAGCCUAAAGGAUCCUAAGUCUUCCAUAAGCAAUUUUCUCUGCUCUAGCAUUCCAGUUAGUUUUGAUAAAAGCUGUGGAACAUUGUCUACUGGGAAUAAUUCUCAAACCAUGCAAGGGAUUAUGACAGAGUGAAGAGUAACAUGGAACAUCUGCUCAGUCUAUCGCAAAUUAAGUUUUAUUUCAUAACCAUUUUGCUAGCAUGUACUAUUUUAAAGCCUAUAAUUUUGGAAUAAGAAGUUCUUGAGCAUGUAACCACAUACAUAAGAUAUUUUCAAGAAAAGUAGCAGUCAGGUGAACAAGAAAUGAAUGUAAAAAAAAGUUUAGUUAAAUGAUCACUAUAGGGUCAGGAACACAAACAUAUAUUCCUGAGCCUAUAGUGUUAAAACCACCAUCUAGCCCCCCUGGACCCCUCAUGCCUCCAUAAAUAUAGCAAAAUGUUACUGUAUUCAAGCCAGAAGCUGUAACUCUGCAUGCUGUUUGCCUAAAAAAAAACAAGCAGUCUGCUGACAUCAUCAGAAUUGGUGGCCUGAUCCAAUCACAAUGCUUCCCCAAAGGAUUGGCUGAGACUGACAAGGAUUCAGAUCAGGGGCAGAGCUAGCAUGAUUCAAACACAGUCCUGGUCAAUCAGCAUGAAUCUCUAUGAGGAAAGUUCAGUGUCUGCAUGCAGAGGGAGGAGACACUGAAUGUUUGGGUGCAUUUUAGGCAGCCAUGACCCAGGAAGGAUCUCUAACAGCCAUCUGAGGAGUGGCCAGUGAAGUUAUCACUAGGCUGUAAUGUAAACACUGCAUUUUCUCUGAAAGAAUGGUGUUUACAGCAAAAAGCCUGACGGUAAUGAUUCUACACACCAGAACAAAUUCAAUAAGCUGUAGUUGUUCUAGUGACUAUAGUGUCCCUUUAAGUUCAAGGAUACCAGAAGAAGGGGAAGUCAAAAUACAAGACAAAGUCAAAUACCAAAAAGAACUAGAAAAAGAAUGCACUCUCUGACAACAAACUAGUGGAAACAAUGACAGGGCACUGACAAAAUUAUAUUUUUGGUUUAAAUAACCCUCUUGAGGUUGUAAUUGGCUGUACCUGGCCUCUGACACCAACACAUGCGUGCGCGUCUAUGAUGUGAUGUCGCACGCACUUGCCGCCAUAUUUGUUGUGGGCGCAGAUAAGUUUCCUAUUUAAACCAGAACGCAGAGGCCGGUGUCCCUAAGAACGAUCGAGAGGGGAUAGGGCAGUGUUCUGCUGCAACCUGGGUAAGUAUAAACCCUUUCCGUCGGCAUGGCUGCUUUGUUUAUUUGCAGCCACGCCGACUAAAGAGCCGGGAGACGUGACUGUAUAGUUUUUUUCUCAAGGGGAUCAGAUAAAAAAUAACUAAGAAGCUAAAAUCUUGAAGCAUGUAAAGGAAUAAAAAGAAAACAAUAAAGUGUGUAAUUAAUUCAACUAAGUGAAUUAAAUAAAUGUAAUAACCUGUUCGAACACAAAACUUAAUACCACAAGUUUUCACCCUGCGAAGCUUCAAUUAUAUAUGCUUUUCUUCACAAUUCAAUAAUGCCUUGUUGCUUUUGAAUUAGAUAAAACCAGAUUAUAAAGUCCAUUGAUAUAGUGUAAGGGUUUUAUUAUAAUUGCUAAUAGCAAAAUUUUUGACAGCAGAGUCGUGUGAAAAAAGAAAUCUCAAAAAUAAUUAAUGGCAAAUAUUUCGUCUUUGGAAUUUGAGGACUCUGCUUAAAGGAGCUUAAAGUGUACUUUAAAGAAAGAAGGGUAUAAUUAAACGGAAGUUAAAAAUACAAUGUAAGAAAUGGUAGAUUGCAAAGUGUACAAUUAAUGUAUGUAAUGAUAUACAAAAAUUAAAUAAGAAUGCAACAUAUAACAGUAGCAUUAGCAUUAAAGGAACACUAAAGGCACUAUAUGUCAGUGAAGUGAUCUGGGUGUGGUGGUCUUACCAUUUUAACCCUGCAAUUUAAAACAUUGCAGUUUUUUUUAGAGACUAUAGUGAUUACAUUGCAGGGUUAAAUCCACCUCUAGUGACUGUCUUCCUGACGGCUACUAGAGGUGCUUUCUCCUUCAGACUGAGUAAAACUUAGUCUGGGAAUCAAAUGCUGUCUGAUUUGAGGAAAGCUGGUUUUGCCGCACAAUAUUAGUUCCAAUUCAUUGCUUCUUUAUGGAAUGCAAUUGAUUGGAGGAGAUUGUGGAUUAUGUCAUCUUGGAUGUUGACACCACCGAUAAAGAAGCUGAAGGCUGCUGCUAAGCAGUCCUGGCACUGGACAGAAGGGAACCUAUAGUGCAAAGACAAUAGGUUCCCUUUAAAGAGGGGUUAUAUGUUUUAAAUCAAAAGAAGGAUGUGUUCUGCACGGUUAGACAGCCGUUAGGAAAGUAAUGUUAACAAGCUAAACCAUAAUCAGAAUAACAUUUUAUCAGGCAUUGUAGAGCUUUAUAUAUCUACAGCAUGCAAAAAAAAAAACUUUAUAAAACAAUUUUGUUCUAUGGCAUUCCAUUAUUUUGAGAAAUGCUGAACAUAUUGCUUUUUAAACCUUGGUUGCUGGAGGUAUGAAUUCACCUCCGGCAGCAUCAUGGGGUGUUAUCAGAAUGCCCAGAACAAAAGUUCCAGCCUGAGUAAUGUCAAUUCUGUGCAUAUUUAGAUGCACACACACUCAUUCAUGACUGAGAUCAGUCAGCAACUCUGCUAAGGCCGGGUGUUGUACACCCUUUUUCAGAGGAGACCAGAUGCCCAGCAGGACCAGGUAAGAGGGCAAACCAUCGUAAAAUAUUGGGAAUAACUCCAAGGCACUCCUACCAUACCUACAGUUGGCUGUAGCCUGUAGUAGUAUUUUUUUUUUUCCUCACACUAGUUUUGGCUUUUUUUCAUAUUGCACCUUACUCCCUUUCACUAUUGUGGAGUUUUACAGGUAUUAUUUAUUCAAGAUGCCUCUGAUUAGUGCCCUCAUAACUAGUGUCUGCCAGAUCAUCAUAUCUUCCAAGUCAGAUAUAGUGAGAAUGUCAUGUUUGGCAUUCAAUUGGUCAUCUCUUAUUAUCUUUAGGAGUACUUCCACAAAAGUGGUCUGAAGUUUCAUGUUUUCUAUUUUGGGGACGUAACAUUACAUUCAUAUAGUUAAUUUUUCUUUCUAUUAUCUAUAGAAGAAUGUGGUUUCCCUCCUUUUUUAAGGAACAUGAUAAGAAGACCUUUCAACAGAUUUUUUUUUGUAAUUUUUGUUCUUUAUUCUGUAAAUCAGGAAAAGCUCAUCUAAUUGUAUUUGCUAUCAUGGAUAAUAACAUGGAAAAUAAUAUGCUGUCCUCAAUAAUAUGUUUAUUUUAGAAAGGGCUUCUAGGGUUAUCGAUCAGAUUUACAUGGAGAUUUAAACACACAAUAUUAAGUUAUGUGCUCAAAUGACCACUACUCUUGGGUGACAGUAAUGGCUAUUGUAUCCAUCAGCCCAAAUAUAUAGUACAAAACCAAAAAAAUGUUCCCUGGGCACUAUCCCAAAUCAUUUUGCAUAAUUAAAUAUUAGGAAUUUUAAGGUAAUUAAAAUGUAAGGUUGAGGAGGCGCGGCCUGACUGUCAUGGAGGGAAGAUGUGCCUAGCUAGAGCUCCCUAAAAAUACUGACAAAAAUGGCUAAAAAGGAGGGGCGGGGCUGAUCGGUCACAGGAUUUAAGCUUGUAAAUCGUGAUUUUCAGUGCUUCUGCGCCUCAUGUUGUGUUGGAUAGGCAGUUACACUCAACCUCAUACCAGCGUUACUCGCCAACAGUUCCUACUGUUUUACCUAAUUCACUCCGCAGGCCCAGAUUAUCCGCCUGACCUGCCGUUUUAAGCGCAGUCUAACUGAUGAGACAUCAUUACCUAGCCUGUAUUACUCUUGUUUUAACAUUAUCAACUUAAAUUUGUUAUGUGUCUUACAAAUUUGCUUGAGGAUUGCCAUCGGGGUACCUCACACAUGUACUACAAAAAAAAAUGUAAGGUCAUCUGUCCGUCAAGCCACUACACUAACAAUUCACUUUCCUGCUUUCACUUAAAAGGCAUAAUAUUACAUGAGACAGAAAGGGGAAUUCUUAACAUUAAAGUGUAAAGUCAUCUACCCCAUCAAGGCAUUAAACCAAGCAUGUCAAACAUGUGGCCCACGGUGAAGGGCUGCUUUCAGCUGUAGCUGCGACCAGCAAGACAGGAAAAAUAUUUCCGGAUUCUUGCUCUCCUGGCCACAAGAGGGUAGAGUGGCGCUGUAUCUGCUGAGCAGACCAGAGCAGCCAUUCCCCAUUCCCUCCUGCUUGCAGUGCAAGAGGGGUGUCUGGCCUGCUUCAGCAGAGCUAGAGCUGGAACUGAAGAACGGACAGCAAACUGUAAGGUAGGAGAAGAGGGGCAGUGUAUUAAUUUGAGGGAAGAGGCACUGUUUUAAUUUGAGGGAGGUGUAUUAAUCUGAAGGAGGGGGCAUUGUAUUAAUUCGAGGAUGGGAGGGGGCACUCUUAAUUUGGAGGAGGGAGGGGGCACUCUUAAUUUGGAGGAGGAAGGGGGGCAGUGUAUUAAUUUAAGGGAGGGAGGGGGCCAGUGUGUUAAAUUAGGGGUAGGGCAGUGCAGAGUGGUAGUGGUGGUGGUGGUGGAGGGGGUCAGUGUGUUAAAUUGGGGAGGGCAAUGUAUUAAUUUAAGAGAGGGAAGGGGCAGUGUAUUAACAUCGGGGAGGGAAAGGGCCAUUGUAUUAAAUUGGGGAAGGGGGGGCAGUGUAUGUAUUUACAGAAGGGGCCAGUGUAUUAGAGUGGUGGGGGGGCAGUGUGUUAAAUUGGGGGGAGGGAGGGCAGUGUAUUAAAGUAGAGUGGUGGGAGUGGGGGCAAUCUAUUCAAUUAGAGUGUAUUAGAUUAAGGGACAAUGUAUUAGAUUGGGUGAAGGGAGCAGUGUAUGGUGGAGUGAAUGAGUGGAGGGAGGAGGGGCAGUGUGUUGGGUUUAGGGGCUAUGUAUUGGAUUUGAGGGCAGUGUAUUAGAGUGGGAGGAGGGGCAGUGUGUUAGAUUGGGUAUGCGAAUGCAUUUCUUAAAAAAAAUUUUGCUCUUGUUUAUUUUGAAGCCCUACGGCGCAAGGCCAUCCAGUGUCAUUUAGGCAACAUUUUUUAUACUGUACUUUUCUAAAUAAACCUAUGUUUCUAUGGAAACUGAAGUUUGUUUGUGUUUGCUGCCCACAUAAAUGUAAACCUUGUUUAUUUAGCUUGUCUUAGUCUUUGAGUUUGACAUGCUUGCACUACACCAACAAUUCACUUUGCUGCUUUCACUUAAAAGGCAUAAUAUUUCAUGAGACCGAAAGGGGCAUUCUUAAGAACCCAUACACACUUAUUAAGAUGUAAUUAGGGUCCCUGGAUUUGGAAAUGUAAAUCAAAGAUUAUAUGGGAAUGUAUAUUAAUAUGACAUUAGGUUAAAUCAUGUAUAUCUAAAAUGCUAAAAGUCAACUAUAAAUGGUGGUUACGUUCUCUUCCUAUUAUACAGCAUGUAUUUUACAUUUUAGCAUUUCAAAUAUCUAAGUACUGAAACUAUAACAUUUGGCAUAUUUAUUUUUGAUUGGGAAGUUAGAAACUGCAUUUUGUUUGUAGACCUUACAUUGCCCAGUUUCCAUAUUAAAAUAUUGUGUGCUCCAUUUUUAUCAUGUAGAGUAUGGUGACAUGAGAAAUUACCAUUCCUUACUAUAUAUGAUAAUGUAUAAAAUGAAAUUCUGCAAAUAAAUUAUUUUUCAGCAAGAAUUUGUGUAUUUUAAAUCACUGGUCCAACAUUUUUUGUGAUUUAGGUCUGGUGGUUUAUUAUGUUGAUAAUUUUAAUUCGGAAAAACAAUAUCCCUUUUUAAACUGCAUGACCUUUCAGUAUUUAGAUUUUUUUUUUUUUUUUAAAUCAUCUGCUUAAUUGUGUAAUGUACGAUUUGUAUGCACCAGUUGUGUAUUAUCACUGUAAAAAUGAGCUGUCAAGAGAAAUGUGAGCCAUCUUAUCUACACAGAGACACAAGAGGAAAUUAAUGUUUGAUUGACAAGUAGAUUAUCCAUUUUAGACUUAUAGUCUGUACAGUUCAUACAGAAUUCCAGUUUUAUUAUUGCUUAUAGUAGUAAUCUUCCGUGAUCUAAUUACAAUGAAUGUUAAAUAAGAUAAACAUUUUGAUUUGUUCUGAAUUAUUAUUGCAAGUGGCAGCUGUACAAGUCAUGGCUUUAACCUUUAAGGUAGAAUACAUUAAAAAUCAUUAUAAUUGUAAUAACAAUCUUUAAAGGUAUAUAUGCAAAGAGUAAAUAAGAAAAUAUCCUCUUUUGAAAAAUAUAUUUCAGCUUUACUUUUUUGUCAUUUUAUCAGGCCUGCAUUUUAUCAUAUUUAACAAAAAAGUAAACCCAGUUGUAUUUAUGUAAUCAAUCUAAAUGAACCUUAAUAAUAAAAAAAAUUAAAAAAAAUACCAUAUUCAAGACUAAUUUAGUUUUUAAUUACAUAUAUGACAGAAAAAAAAUGAAUUAAGUUUAGUUGAGAGUUUGCGCCAAUACAACAUUAUUUCAGUUCAACGUAACAUUGUGUAAAGGUUUGCAUAUAAAUUACAUCCAUUCACAUUGUUACAGUAGGUUUUAGGUCUUGUGUUUUGCUGCUCAAAAUAAAGAUAUAGGUUGCUCCACUCGUGUUCAAUGUGGAUCUUAAGUUUACAUUACCAAUUAAUCAUUAUAAAUUGUAUUUAACAAAGUACAGGUUAAUACAUUGUCUUCAGUGUGGAUUUUCUAGGUGUCUGGAGGUGAGAGGGUGGAGGGGACGGGCAUGGGGGUGAAAUGUUAACCUUAUAGCAUUCCUCCUGAUUUAGGUCAGUGUUGUGUUGGCUAUAUUGUGAGGUUCUUGAGGUAAUAGCACUGAGGUUGCCAGGUAGAUAUGUAGGUGAGAUAUUUAUCAGUAAUGGAAUUGUAAGUUUCCUCUAGGCCCCUAGUCGUUUGGACUCUUUGUAUCCAUUCACGAAUGGAGGGUGAGUUUGGGUGUUUCCAUAGUGCAGGGAUGAGUUGGUUCGCUGCGGAUAUUAGAUGAAUUAGUAGGUCUUUUUCAGUUUAGGUGUGUCUUGGGGAGGAGUCAGGAAGAUACAGAGUUCUGGAGUGAAUGGGAUGUGCGUGUUCAGAACAGAUUGUAUCAGGCCAUGUAUUCGUUUCCAGUAGCUGUUAAUUACUGGGCAGCUCCACCAGAUGUGUGCUGUGUUGCCUUCGGGUGCCUGACACCUCCAACAAUGGUGUGAGAGUGUCAGAAAGAGGGCUUUAGUUUUGUAGGUGUGUAAUGGUGUGACGAAGUGCCCUUCACCACUUGUGCCUGGAGAGGACUAAUUACCAGCCUCUUGCCGUAUGACUAUGGUCCCUGGUAGAUUUUGUCAGUUAGAAACACCAUUUGGACUUAUUGGUAUUUUAAAAGACUGUUCUGGCCCUUUAAAUGGUACUGGCACAGUUCUGCAACUUCCAAUAACUGUCAUAUAUUCAAACACUGACUGAACUUAACUGUCAUUUUGUUUUCCUCUGAGGAGGAGUUGUUUUGCUGCCUGUUGCUUUUGUGUGCUCAUAAAACCUGCUUGACCCUUUCUUGAAGCCUUGGUUCAUGCUUGGGGGAUGGGAUAAGUCUGCAGUGCUGAUGGUGUCGGUUGGAGUGCUUGGAGUCCUCGGCAAGCACUAGGAACAUCGAUUGGCGGAGGUACUCGGUCGGAGUGCCAGCGGGUCCAUCACAAAUGCCAUCUCACUAUCGUUUUGUAAUUACUCUCUUGAGUUAUUGUAAUUCGUGAGGAUCUGUGGAUUUGCUUAAAUACAAUACGCCAGGUUUCUGGUGGAAUGGAUGUAUUGAGUUAUUUUUCCCAUGAUGUAGUGAACGCUGGUGGGUGGUGUGGUUGAGUCUUUGCUAUGGUGAAGUACUUUGUUGAAAUAACUUUUUUCUUUAGGGUAUGUUCCUUGCAUAUUUGUUCAAAUUGUGUUCGAGUGUGGAAUGGUUUGUGGGCUAGCGGAUCAGUAUGUAUGAAGUGGGUGAGUUGUAUAUAUUGAAAUUUUUGUAUCGCAUUUUGCCCAUCUGUGAUGACAUCUGUUCUUCCGUGUAGUCUAUGAUACCCUCUAGUGGCAAGUAGUCUGAGUUGUGAUAAUUCCAACCCGUCUUCCCCAGAUUGGAAUAGUGGGUUGUGGAUACGUGGGUAUAGCGGGGAAGGUAAGGGGAUAUCAGAUGGUGUGGUCUUAGUUUCGCCCACAUGCGGAGUGUCGGUGAGAUAGUGGGGUGGGGAAUGUGCAUGAGGAGCUUAUGUCCUGUUUUGUGCCAAGGUAUUGUGCUCCAAAGAAUGUAUCUUUUAUUUUUACCCAUUGAGUGGUGGAGUGUGGGAGUGUCCAGUCAUAUAUUCUAGUUAGGAGGACUGCCCAUAUGUAUGUUGUGAAUGUUUUUCGAACCAUUGUGGUUCAAGACUUAGGUAACGUGAUUGGUAGUACUUGAAGUAUAUAUAGUUGUGACGAGACCAAUCUCGCCGCAUUGCAUUGGAGAAGCCUGGUUGCUCGCCUGCUGCCUCUGGACUAUGGCCCCGUUAAAAGACUUUGUUUCGCCUGCAGAAAAUCUGUAUUCGUGCUUUUCUGCCGGUUGUUCGGUAGAUUCAAUCUACCGAACAACCGCACGAAUGAAUAGACCACCUGGGAGCUGGAGUGUGCCGGCAAUUAACCUCCCUGAAGCUGCGGUUAACCGCAGCUUAAUUGACGAAUGCUGGGUGGCCGCCAUCCGUAUCCCGAACACGAGGUCGCGGCCAUUUUUAACAUAUGAAUGCACAGCGGUGUUCGUCUCUAUUUUCAUGGUACUAAAAUCGGACACAGUUUUGCGUGAACACCACUGAAGCCGCCGAACUUCCCUUCUUGUUUGGUGGAAGUGCACGAACGGCCCGGUGUUCGGUAGUUUUGUUUGAAUGUGUUAUACCCCAGAUAGGAAUCCCAUGGAGCCCAUUCGUAUGAAACUGACUAUAAAGACUUUGGCUCCAUGGCAAUUAAACUGUAUUCGUGUGGUCUGAGCGCCAUUCACUUAAUAAUGUGCGCUCAGACCUGAGCUAUCUGGGGAUAUGUUAAAUGUAUAGUUUUAAUGUAAUGUGUCUUACCUGGUGUAUUUUAACAGUAAUGCUUGUUUUAGUAUCCCCAUGUGCAUAAUGGAGAUUUGCCUUUGUCUUGGGAGAUAAUUGAAUUACUUCUCAAUUAUCUCCCAGGGCAGAGGGGAGGAAGCCAGGAUGCAUUGUGGGAAUAUACUGUGACUGUGUGUUCUAUUUGUCUGCUUGUCUGUCCCUUGUCACAGUCUCCCAUUUGGUCCCACCAGGUGGGAGGCCUAAACGGUUUUUACCCCUUUUGUGCAAAACGGUCCGUUACAAUAGUAUUCUCUGUAAAACAUUUAUUUUUAGGAUGUUCAGCCUGCAGAAUCAUCCAAAUUGUGGUUUGUUCCAAGUAUUGAGGUCUGUAUUUAUGCCUGUCAUCAGAUAUUGACCAUAUUUGAGGAGAAAGUCUGAACUAGAUAGGUAGUCCGGUGUUGUCUGUGCAGGAGACAGUCUUGCAGAGAGGGGAAUUUUGAAAGUCCAUAAUAGGUGGGAUGCAUCUUUGGUUAAGUGGAUUCCUAGAUUUUUUAUAUUGUGGGGGGCCCAGACAAACUGUUGUAUGGUGAUUUUUUCUUGUGGGUUAAUGUGCAGUGGUAAAAUCUUGCAUUUACCGAGAUUGGCCUUGAAAUUGGAUAUAGGAUGUAUGCGUCCAUCUCAGCCAUUGGGGGGUAUAGAUUUUAUAGGGUCUGAGAUCGUAAAGAGCAUUUGGAUUUACAAAUGCAGCUAUCUUAUGCUAUCUUAUGCUCUUCUGUACCUGCCAUGACGCCCCUGAUUUGAGCAUUGUCCCUGAUCCCCUGAAGGAAGGGCUCUAGGACCAGGACGAACAGGAGGGGGAUAGAGGACAACCUUGUCUAGUGCUGUUCGUUAUUGUUACUGGCUCUGACAGUUGCCCGUUAAUGCGGAUGUUUGCUGUGGGAGAAGAGUAUAUAGCAUUAAACCACUUUAGCCAGUGAGGGCCAAAUCCCAUAUAUUGCAGGGUAUGCGAUAGACUACCCUGUCAAAUGCUUUCUCGGCAUCAAUUGACAGGAGCAGACUAGCACACUGUGAUCUUGUGGCUUUGUGUAUGAGGUUUAGUAGUUUUGUGGUGUUGUGUUUAGCUUUCCCACCCGGAAUGAAACCUGAUUGAUCUGCGUGGAUUAGUCCUGGUAACAGUGGGCGGAGUCUAUUGGCUAGAAUGUUUGUGAACAGCUUUAGGUCUAUGUUUAUUAAUGAUAUUGGCCUGCAGCUCCCACAUUGGCUCAAAUCUUUUCCUGGUUUAGGGAGCAGUGUGAUUGUUGCGUUUAAGGCCUGUGGAGGGAGGGUGUCUGUUUUGAGUAGCGAUUUAAAUGAGUUUUGGAAGUGGGGCGCUAAUAUGGUGGCAUACGUCUUGUAAUAUUUGGCUGUCAGCCCAUCUGGGCCUGGGCUCUUCCCUGUUAGUAGGUGUUUGAUUGCCUGUAGGCAUUCUUCCCUUGAAAUGGGUCUAUCUAGGGAGUCUCGGAUGUUUUGUGGGAUAGUAGUGUGGAUCCUAUGGGAGAGAAAAUUUUUUAUGUCGGCUGCAUUUGGGGGUGUUUGUCUCAAGUUGUAAAGUGAGGAGUAAUAAUCCUUAAAUGAUUUAAGGAUGUCGGUCAAGAGUUUUCUUCGUUUUUUCGAAUGGCUGCUAUAAAUGUGUGUUCCCUUUGUUUUUUAAUGCGUGUGCCAAGAGGCGCCCACAUUUUCCCCCUUGUGCAUAGUACGUGCUUUUCGUUUUAGCUAGAGCGUGUUUAGUGCUGACGUUGAGUAUCAGUCCUUUUCUCCACCAGCGUCUUGUAUGUAGCUAGUUUUAGGUAUUUUUUGUGUGUUUCUUCUAACUUCCUAAUUUCCCUGGUUAGACUAAGUGUGCAGGAUUCCGUUUGCUUUUUGAGUCUAGAGGCUGCUUGGAUGAACGUACCUCUAAUAGUGCUCUUCUGCGCUUCCCAGAUUAUGGGGUAUGGAGAUUCUGGAUGUAUGUUAAGAUCAAAGUAUUGUUUCAGGGAGUCCUCAAUUUGGUUUUGUAUGUCAGGCUGGUUUAGUAGGGUGUAAUUUAGUUUCCAUUGUGUCCUGGAGGGGUGUAGGGAGAGGAUUGUGAUGGAUAGGGAGAUUGGUACUUGGUCUGACCAGGUGAUUGAGGCAUACUUGCAUGAGCUGACAAGGUUGAGGAAUCUGUGUGGUAUAAGAAACAUGUCAAUUCUCGAGUAUGAGCCUGAGGAGUAGGAGUAGUAGGAGUAGUCCGCUCAUUUGGAUGUAAAACUCGCCAGCAAUCAUAGAGCUGAUGCGAGUCUAAAAGUUUUUGGAUAAGUGCCCUCGUGAAGGUCUGGUAAGUCUGAGCUUGGGGUGUCUAGUGCUCCAUCUAGCGAGGUGUUGAAGUCACCCCCUAAUAUCAAUAGGCCUUCUGUGUAAGUUUCCAGUUUCUUGAUUAGGCCUGGAAUUGUUUUCUAUUGGGGAGGUAAAUAUUAGCGAAUGUGGUUGGUGUUGAGCCUACUUGGCCUUUCAGUAAUAUAUAUCUACCAUUGUCAUCUGAUAUAUGUUCUUUGUACGUGGAUGGUAGUUGUGGGGAAAGGAGGAUUGCUACCCCCCUGGAUUUCGAGUCUGUGUAGUUGCUGAAGUAUCCCUUUGUGUAGUGUGUGGAUCUGAGAGAUGGUGCUGAAUCUUACAAAAGUGUGUCUCUUGUAUGAAUACCACUUCUGCUUUGCUUUUGUGGUAGUCUGUGAGAGCCAUGUGGUGUUUUUCCGGGGUGUUUAGACCCCUGGCGUAGUGGGAUAGUACUGAAACUGUUGCCAUAGCUAAGGGUUCAGAGAGGACAGGGGUGAUGAGGGGAUUUCGAGGGUUGUAUUAUUACAACACCUUUGCCUGUACCCUGGGGUACUGUAUACGAUAUGAAAUUCUAGUGACAAUUAACCCUGUAAAUUUACAGGUUUUUUGAGCGAGAGUUAAAGAUUGAUAGUCAAUACUGCAACAUGUGAUUUAGGUCUUUCAGUACAAACUUAAACAGAACUAUAUACAAUAAGUCAGGUUAGUCAGUGGAACCGAAUGUUAGGUUAUUGUGAAAAGUCCGGUGUUGCACUUUGGCAACUGUGAAAAUAACUAACUGGGGUCUGCCCCUGAGAAGUCCCAUAGUCUACAGUGGACUGGCGUUGGAUGACCCAGAGAGAGUGUUUGCGUUGCUAUAGUAGAGAGUUUAUUGGAUGGCCUUUGAAGUUGGAGGGUGAACCCCUUGUUCAGCCUGGUACUUUCUGCCAUCCGCUGCCUCUGGAAUUGUUUGCUCUUUAAGUAAGUGAAGUGAGUUUUACUGAGCUCACGGAUUACAUGGGAAGGGACCGCGUGGAAGCUUGUGGUGGCUUCGUGGAGGUUUGUUCUUAGUAAAGUCAACUGGAGGUCUGGGGGAGGGUGAGAGAGUAUGUGUGUGGUUUGGAGAAGUUUGGUCUGAUCCCAGGCGUGGGGGGGGGGGAUUUGUAGUAGUGUGCAUUUUUUCCCCAACUGUGUUCAUAAUAUCCCUUUCCCUGAAUGUGAGAGCAGGCAGCGUCUUGUUUGUUUUGAGGUUUGCUACUCUCAUGUCCCUAUUCUUGGACUAUCUAGGUCAUUGCCCCUUGCUGUCGUGACCUGUCUGAGUCUGUUACCUUUUCCCUUAGUGUGAAGUGCUUUUGGAUCGUCCUUGGUCAGGUCGGUUCAAGGUUAUAGGUUACCCCUAACAAUACCAUCUUAUGUCACAUUUGUAUUUACAUUUGGGUAACUGCAUAUAUAAACACAUAGGAUCUGAAGCUUCUGGUCUGACUGGGUUUUUCAUACACGAGGAUAUCUGGGCUGAGUUCUGACUAGGCCAUGUUGCUCUUGAUUGACCAUAUUUGAGGAGAAAGUCUGAACUAGAUAAGUAGUCCGAUGUUGUCUGUGCAGGAGACAGUCUUGCAGAGAGGGGAAUUAUGGAAGUCCAUCUGUGAACGUUUGUGUGAGUCCAUUUAGUCUUCUAGGGUGUUGCUCUGUCCUCUUUCUUCUCGCUGUUGAUUUCCAGCUUGAGUUAUUCUUUGCCUCUACGUCGGGAAUCUCCAUCUUGUUCUUUGUUGCGCUGAAGUGGAAGUCAGUUCCGGAUCCGGUGCAUACCAGACUAUAAUGGGCGUUUCUGCUAAGUUCAGCACUUUGGUGAAUGGGAUAAUAUCUUGGUGAGUGGCAAUCAUGUACGUGGAUCCACUGGUAUUUACUAUAAGGGCAAUGGGGAAUCCCCAUCUGCAUCUCAGGUUGCGUGAUCGGAGUUGAUCUGUUAUUGGCCUAAGGGCCAUCCUUGCCUGUAGGGUGUGCCAAGAGAGAUCUUGAUAGAUCUGUAUUUCAUGUCCCUGAAAUAACAUGGGGGUAGAGGUCUCCCUAAGCUGCUUGAGGAUAUCUUCUUUUAGUGCAUAGUAGUGAAUGCGGCAUAUUAUAUCUCUGGGUGCCUCUCCUGUAGCUGUUUAACCCCUUAAGGACACAUGACGUGUGACAUGUCAUGAUUCCCUUUUAUUCCAGAAGUUUGGUCCUUAAGGGGUUAAUUGUCUCAGGGAGCGAUGUGCUCUAUCUAGGACCACUGGGGUAUCUGUUUUGUGAUUAAGUAUUAGGUUGAAUAAUGUGGUCAGAAUGUUAUAGAGAUUUUCCCUGUCUUAUUCAGGUAAUCCCCUUAUGCAAAGGUUAUUUCUUCUGCCCCUGUUAUUGAUGUCAUCUAGGGAAUGUUGCAUCAUGGAUAGGUGUCUCUCUUGGGCCUGUACUUUAGCAGAGAGAGAUUGCUUUUGGGUUUGGUGUGACCCACUUUCAUCUUCUAGGUCCUGCACCCUGCGGCCUACCUGUUUUAUCUCCGAGCUGAGGCCAUCCAUUUUGUAUUUAAAGGUGGUUUCUAAUUUUCCCAGCAUCUGUGCCAGGUCGGCUCUGGAUGGUAGGUUUCGCAAUAUUUCUUUAAUAUCCAUGUCCAUCGAGAUGUGUGAUGCUUCCGAUGCUGUGGGGCUCGGCAGGUCUGAGUAUGUGUUUACCGCCGUCGGUGCCAUAUUGUUUUUGCCGAGCUCCAUCACGUGGUGGGCAUAUUCUUUGAAAAAACGGGUUACAGUGCCCGUUUUUCCUGCUGGGGUCUUCCCUGCGUAUUGAGAGGUAGGUUGAGCCUUUUUGUGGUUCCCCAUGGCGAUGUUACACCUCUGGUUUGCGGUUUUCCUCUGUGUUACUCGGGAGCUAAGCUAGUGUGCUGCCAUAUAGCUCGGCUGUCGGCCACGCCCCCCCCCCAAAAAAUGAAUUUGUAUCUCUACUGUGCAAACAUUUGUGGCCUUAUUUAUGAACAUUUGCUAACAAGGACAAACCAUUCAGUUUCUGAAAUAUCAUAAGGUACCCACAAAUUCAGAGCAGGUGGUCUAAAGGCAAACUCAGGCAAUCAAAGAGUAAGUCCAAUCCAUUUAACCCAUAAGGAAUGAGGACUGGGUUUUCUUUUGAUCUCAGAAAGAGUUUGAAAUAUAAGGAAUUAAGAUAAAAUUAAUUUGAAGGCCAAAGGCACAAAUUAUUAGUGGGAGCAGUUAAGUAUCAUCCUCUUCUUUCCUUGUAUGCACUAUAAACCACCAAAUCAGGAGAAACUAUUAAAGUUUAAUCUGUCUUUAAACAUAUAUAUAUGUGGCAGGUUAGGAGGGGGUACAAGCACUUACUUUGAUGAGAGGGCAGUCAAUUGACAUUUUCAACUUGUGGCGAAAGCAACCUCGCCACUGGCUUUUGGAGGAGCCUGUUUGCCAGCCUCCUACCCUGUGACUAUGGCCCCUGUGAUAAAACCACUGUUUGUGCCUUUUGGACUUGUAACAGUAACACGUCGAACUCCCGAAGCGGUUUGAAGUGGUGCUACGAACUCCUGAAUGGUGAAGCGGUUUGAAGUGACACUUCGAACACGUGGCGGCGGCCAUCUUAAGCCCCGAGCACAAUGAGCGGUGUUUGGUAGUCGUACAUGGAACUCAAAGCGGACACUCGACAGCACGAGCAACGCUAAUUACUUACCUUCCACAGAUGUUCGACUAUUCAAACGGGAGUCGAACAGCGUUCAGUAAGAAUAAACUCCCGAACGAGAGACAAACUGAGACUACUCCCAAAGCUAUACGUUCUGUAUUUGAUAUUUUACUUGGAAUCCCCGAAGUAGACCUCAUUCUCAGCCUCAUUCUCUAGAACUGUUUUGGGCAUGGGACCAUGCGUGCUGUCAGUCAAAAUGUGACUUCCAUAGAAUUCCUGAAACCCUGAACUGAUCUGGGUGAUUUUUAGAUAUGUUGGUCACCCACAUCAGGUCUAUCAGGGGAUGUAACAUUUGUGGGGGGUUUCUUUGUUUUUGGGGUACUUUUGGGGUUUUAUAAAAUUUGUUUUUUUUCUGCUUGGAGAUAAUUGAGUUAAUACAGUAUCUGACUCAAUUAUCUCCCAGGCAGAGGGGAGGGAUUGUAUGCUAUGUGUGUGAGUGUCAUGAAUUGUAACACUGUUAUUAUUGGUCUGUGACUUUGUACCAUAGUUCCCCAUAAGGUUCAUGUGGGAGUGCCUCUUGAAUGGGGAUUGCCAUAAAAGGCCAAGUUAUUGACGUAGGCACCCAGUCAGUCAGUCACAAUACUCUCUCAUUCUGCCAGGAACACUCUAUUUACCAUCGCAUAUUCACCUGAUUAAAGUGAGUAUGGUGCCUGAAGUCCAUGGGCACUGAGUGCACCAUUACUGUUAAACUGUGUAGCCUGUAACCUGGUCCCCAAGCAUGAUAUGGUGGAGGAACUAUGCUCUGCUUCAUGCCAUACUUGAGCUAGUGGACUGUAAUAGGCUGUGAGCAUCAGCUGAGCACUCAUAUCCAAUUACUUCUAUAAUCUCUGAUAUGAAUUGGUAUGGUGAUUGUGGGAAUAGCUUUGCUGCCACCAUGACAUUAUUGGGGCCAUAGUUCAGGCUGCCAUGGACUGAGCAUCUCAGCUAAAUGGUGAGUAAACCAUUUAACAUUGAUGCAGGACCAGUUGUUGAACUGGAUAUGGUGACUACAGUGUCCAUUAACACUUGAAAUCCUAGUUUAAAAAAUAAAUAAAAAUUAUAGAACCAUAUAUAUUAAUAAGCCUAGGAAGACCUCAAUGUCAUGUACCAAUAUGUUAUUAAAGAAUCAGCAGGAUCAUCUUAAAAAGAACAUAAUUUAUGGACUUUUCAUCCCUCAUCCCCCCCCCAAAAAAAAAUCUAUUUUUUUUAUAUAAAUUCAAACUUCUAAAAAUAUUUUUAACUUCUAAAAAUGUUGUUCUUAAUGGCCUACUGUAACAGUUUACCAGAAGUUGGAGCCCAGUUGCAGGAUAUGGCACAAGGAGUAGGCAAAAAACCAAAAACACAGUACAAAUAAAGGGGCAAUCCAAAGGCAGGGUCAGACGAGAAGCAGAAGUCAGGGCUGACAGCGGAGUUUCGUAGUCAGUAAGGCAGGCAGAGGUCAGAGUCCAGGAAAUCAGUCAGCAGAAUAGCAAAGAUCCAGCAGGAAACACUAAACAAACAAAAUGACCAGAUACUAAGUUUCAGGCAGAGCUGGCAUUUACAGCCUGCUGAUUUGGAGCAGCUGACCCUAAUUGGUAAGGGGCUGCAGGUGGAUCAGUACUGCUUCAUCCAGGCAAGGAGUCAGCAAGCAGAAUAAUAAGACAGAUACAGAUACAUCCCGACUGGGAUGCUGGAACUGUGCGUUCAAACCCAGCAAGGCCUCUUCCCUGUCAUGGCCGAAUCCUGUUUUUUUUAACCCCCCUCCCGACUCCACUACAUCUAACUGACCUCCUAGUCAACCCCAAAUGUCCCUAAGCCCCCCAUAUUACCUAUUUUUUAUCUUUAUUUUCUGCCCCGAUCUAUAUUCAGGGCUCACCAACUUUGUGUGGGUAGAGGAAGUCCCUGUGGGAUAUGUCAUCUGCCCACACUAGACAGACUGUGAGAUUCCCGCACAUGCCCAGUGAAACACUUGGACAUGCGAACGGGAAUUUCAUCUAUUCAUUCAUUUGUCAGAAAGACAAAUGAAUGACUAGGAAUUUCAGACGAACAAACAAACACUGAGUAUCAGUGUUCGUUUGUUCGUUCAGUUUGUUACAAGGAGGGAGCUACCGGCACGCAGCUCCCUCCUUGUAAUAUGUAAAGAUAGAAGCGUCAGGGAGCAGUGCUCCUAGCCUCUUCCUAAAACACAUCUUCCCCCGCCCUGCAGAGCUCAGUCUGUGUGGAGCCCUCCAUGGGUGAAGAGGGAUUUUUUUUUUUUUUUUUUUUAAUUCUUUAUUUUUGAUUGUUUUAGAUGCAUAUUAAAUGGAAAUACAAAAGAUCUUGUGUGUAGCAAGUUAAUAUAACAAUAUCGUUCAACAACAUAGUACAUGGCAUUCUCUUUUCAGUAUGGAGGAUAGGAAUGUUUUAGAAUCAUAUAAACAGGAGACCCAUUGAUAUGGUACCACAGUCUGGGGUGAGUGUUAUUUUCCCUUACUUGGGUUGUGCCAUCUACAUGUGUCUGGGCUUCUUUAAUGGGCAGUCAGCUCGACCCUAACCAUAGGAUUUGUUGUGUUUUGGGUCCCAGACUCAGACCCUGUUUAGGUAGUGGUGUCUAGUCGAGUAUACUGAUUCGUGGAGUAGCAAGUAAAUGAGAGACUUUGCUUUUGCCAUGGGAUUUUUUUUUUGAGCUCGGGUUUUUUUCUUUUUCAUCUGGUUUUUUUUUUACGCUCGGGUUUUUUAUUUUAUUUUAAGUUCGACGGGUAUGAUGGUUUUUUAUUUGGCCUUUUUUGGGGCUAAAAAACGAAAAAAAGACAUCAAAUGGUAAGUUUAAUUUUUCUUUUCAGGUUAGUUAUUUUAUUGCCCCCUCACUAUUUUUUAGGGUGAGGUGGGUAGGUAGGGGAUAACUUUUUUUGGGGUGGGGGGGUGACUAGGGGCUUUGGGACCCCUAGUCAUCUAUGAUGGGGAGAUUUGUCUUAGGGCCCCCACCCACCGCUCAAGGGUGGGGGACGCGGGGGAGGACAGUAGGUCCCCCUUUGUAAUUUAUGGCCCCACCGACGGCCCAGGAGUGGGAGCCGGGGGAGGACUGUAGGUCCCCCCAUUAUCUUUAUGGCCCCCACCCACCGCUCAAGGUGGGUGCCCGGGGUGGAGGACAGUAGGUCCCCCCAUUGUAAUUUAUGGACCCCACCGACCGCGCAGUGGUGGGGGCCAGGGGGGAGGACAUUAGGUCCCCCCAUUGUAAUUUAUGGCCCCCACCCACCGCGCAGGGGUGGGGGCCGGGGGGAGGACAGUAGGUCCCCCCAUUGUAAUUUAUGGCCCCCACCCACCGCGCAGGGCUGGGAGCCGGGGGGAGGACAGUAGGUCCUUCCCCUCAUUAUCUUCAUGGCCCCCACCCGUCGCACAGGGGUGGGGCAAUAGGUUUUUUUUGUUUGUUUUUUUUGCAGUGAGCAGCACCAGGCUGCUUACUGUUUAAUAGACAUGCCCCUACUUGCGGUAUAGUGAGUAGGGGCAGAUCAUUUACUAUUACUAAGUAAUCUUUACUUAGUAUUAGUAAAUGUGGCUGAAAGACCAAUUUAAGUGACCAAUUUUGGUCUUUCAGCCUUUUGGAAGAUAAUUCCCUAAUACCGUGGGAAUUAGGGAGUUAUCUACUAAGCGGCUGCAAGAUGCAGCAGCGGCACAAAUUGAAUCGGAGUUUCAUUCAUUCGAAUGAAAUUCCGAUACGAACUAAGUGCCGAAUUGAGUUCUAAAAGAAACGAACAUACUGUUCUCAUUCAGUUAGAAUGCAAUUCGACAGUUUUGUCUAAAAUGACAGGAAGCAUCGCGGGAACACUGAGGAAAGGUAAGAAUUAUGGGGAAAUUGCUCUGACAAGCGGAAAUGAAGCACCCUUUGCUCCUCUGCUAGUCAAAGCUGGUUAAGCGGAGGAAACCUCCAUAAGGCAGAGUCCCUACUUUGUCUUAUGAUUUUAAAAAAACUAAAGAAGACAGGAAGAAAUGAAGAACAGAUCCUGAGAGAGGGGGGGAAGAGGAAGAGAUUGAGGAAAGGUAAGUUUGGCCUGACAGUGGCGCUUUAAAGGGGUGGCCACGCCUUGCUGUCUGCAGGGCUCGGAUUGCACCGUGACACCUACCUUUAUAGACCUAAAUCUAAAAGGACCCUUCUUAGCAGCCAAACUUACCUAAUAUUUUCAAAUAUUAAGUGUAUGUAUAUUCCCAUGGUCGCAUACAUGAUCACAUCACACUAGUGCAGCUUUGGGUUGUGUGCACUCUUAUAGGCUUUUGGUUUAACUUUGUAAAUUUUUGUAUGUUGCUUUGCUAGACCUUGUCUCUAUUUGUAUAUUUGUCAUAUGAUUGUCGUUUGUAAGUAUACCUUAAUUGGGCGUGCAUCUCUUAUAUAUUUGGGUAAUGCAAAUAGGUAAUUAAUUUUCCCUAGCCACUUUUCUAAAAAAAAAAAUCUAAACCAAGAAAUCUAGCUUGUAAAAUAUGCCUUCUUAUAAAGGAUUCUCUAAAUUAUGGGAGGAAAUUAUAUAUUUCCUCCCAUAACAAUUACAGUAGAAAAUGUAUAAUAUAUUUCCAUAAUAUAUAUAUAGCAUAUUGUAUGCUGCUAAUCUAUGCUCCUUGAUGUACUAAUAUAUACUCCAUUAAUUAAUGUGGCAUAUUAUUUAUUAUUGUACAAUCAAUCACACAAACAGACAUGUAACAUUAGCUGUCAGUAUCACAGUCACAUCCCUUUUAUUAACAAAAUAUUGAAGCAACAAUAAACACAGAACUUAUUAGUCAUGCAAUGCUGUCAGAGGUUAGAUACUGCAGAAGUUCUGAGAUAAAGAGAUGUACAUGAUCAAUUGUACACAUAACCAUGUGAGGUAAUUUUCAUUAGAGUACACACUUGGGCAUUUUGUGUUUGUAAAAAGUGGAUAUUGAAAAAAUCAACCAUGUUUAUCAAACUGAAGCUUGUUCUCUUUUUGGAGCUAAAAUAUAUUUAUAGAAAAACAGACACACAACAAUAUUAAAUACUUUAGUCACCAGAACCACUACAGCCUAAUGUAGUGGUUCUGGUGUUUACAGCCUGUCCCUGCAGUAAAGAAAUGGCAGUGUCUAUAUUGCUGCCUAGUUACACCUCUAGUGGCAGUCACUCAGACGGCCACCAGAGGUGCCUCCUGUUUAGAAUCCUACUUUCAGCAUCUCCACCUAUGUUAGGCAUCUCCACGUUCUUGGUGCAGUGAUGGAUUUUGCUGCACAUGCACAAUAGCCUCCCAAAGCUUUCCUGUAGGAAAGCAUUGGAUUGGCAGAGAUCAUCAAAAUUGAUGAUCUUAGCCACAGAGGCAGAGUCAAGUGGGCCAGUCGUGGUGAGACUGGCGUAACCUGGGAGAAAAGAUGAGUAAAAUCACAUUUAACCUUUGGAGAGUGAGGGGUGCCUGGGACUUUAUACUGCACUCCAGCACUAUAGUGCCAGGAAUACAUGUUUGUAUUCCUGACACUAUAGUGACUCUUUAAUCAAUACCAUCAUACACAUCAUAUGGAAAUCCUCUGUGAUUGGUUGUAUUUUAUAUGGUGUUUUUUUCUUCUUCAGAUAACAGUAACUACUGCUCUCAUUUUAGAGUCCAAGAAGCCCGGCACUGGAGUGGUCUUUUGAUUAGAUUCAAAAUUAGUGAUGUCCCGGACGGUUCGCCGGCGAAUAGUUCUUGGCGAACAUCGCUUGUUCGCGUUCGCCACAGAUGGCGAACAUAUGCGCUGUUCGGUCCGCCACUCAUUUGUCAUCAUUGAGUAAAUUUUGACCCUAUACCUCACAGUCAGCAGACACAUUCCCUCCCAGACCCUCCCACCUCCUGGACAGCAUCCAUUUUACAUUCAUUGUGAAGCUGCAUUCUUAGUGAGAGGAGGGACAGUGUAGCUGCUGCUGAUUUGAUAGGGAAAUUGAUAGCUAGGCUAGUGUAUUCAGUGUCCACUACAACCAUUUGAGAGCGAUUUAACCCCUUAAAGGAAAACGAGCACCCAGGGGCUUCCUGGCAUCAUAGCAUUUUCAUUUAGGUGAAGUUGUUAUGGUGACCAGAAUGGUCCUUUAAUUUGCUUAAAGGAACACUAUAGUGUCAGUAAUACAAACAUAUAUUCCUGACACCAUAGUUGUGAAAACGCUAUUCACCCUGGCUUUAUGUGAUAAUGGCUAUGCCCCUUCCCUUUCAUGACACUGUCAAAAAGGUACCAAGCAUGGAUGUCAUUACAAUUAUGCCUCCCCCUGGAAAAAUUCCUGCGGACGCCCAAGGUCUCACUAUCCCCCCACCACCCUCAACAUCACCAGCCCCCACCCCCUCCUUCUCACAUCACCCCUCCUCACAUUACCCCCUCCUCCUUGUCACAUUACUCCCUCCUCCUUGUCAUGUUACCCCCCCUCACUCUCACAUUACCAUCACCAUUGUUAGUGGGGCCUCAUGUUUGAGUUUCGCCUAAGGCCUUAUAAAGUCUAGAGCCACCUCUGGGUGUCACAAUAGCUUACAUUUAAAAAAAAAAAAACUUUUUUGACUGUAAAAUAAUAGCAGUCAGUUUCCUUCACAAGUGUGCGUUUCAGGGCCUGCCCAGUGCCACCACUCACUCACUGGUGUCCCAAUAGCUUGCAUUUAAAAAAAACCAACUAUUGGGACUGUAAUAUAAUAGCAGUCAGUUUCCUUCACGUGUGUGCGUUUCAGGGCCUGCCAGGGCACAGUGUCACACCAGCGCAACUCAUAUCUGGUGUAACAGUAGUGUACAUUUAAAAAAACAAAUAAUUUUUUUGACUGUAAUAGAUUGAAUAGCAGUUAAUUGUCUGCCAGCUUGUGUGUCAGGCUCACAGCGUAUACUGUGCCCACUUGCCCAGUGCCACCACUCAUAUCCAGUGUCACAAUAGCUUGCAUUUAACAAAAAAAAAACUUUUUGGACUGUAAUAUAAUAGCAGUCAGUUUCCUUCAUGCGUGUGCGUUUCAGGGCCUGCCAGGACACAGUGUCACACCAGUGCAACUCAUAUCUGGUGUAACAGUAGUGUACAUUUAAAAACAAAAACAAAGAGAGGCCUGGUUGCUCGCCUGCUCCCUUUAGACUAUGGUCCUGCAUUUUAAACUUUUAUUUUAACGGCAGAAAGGUUUAUUUGUGCCUUUCUGCGGACUGUUAAAGCCAUGCUACCCCAGAUAGCUAUGCCAUGGAGCCCAGCCGUAUACUGAAAGACUGUAUGAAAGACUUUGGCUCCAUGGCGAUUGAACUGUAUGUAUGUGAUCUGAGCGCCAUUCGGUAGUAAUGUGCACUCAGAUCUAAGCUAUCUGGGGAUAUGUAGAAUAUCUAUGUUUUAUGGAAUAAAUGUAACUGUAUGUAAUUUUAUGUCUUUUAUUGUCCUUUGUCUGCCAUGUGGUUAAUGGAGUUUUGCCUCUGUCCUUGGAGAUAAUUUGAUUACUUCACAAUUAUCUCCAGGACAGAGAGGAGGGAAUGUGAUGUAAUUGUGGGUGUGUUUUAAAGUUCCCCUGUAACGAGUGGUUGUACUGUGUCCCACCCUGUGGGAUGUCCCCUUGCAUGGGGACUUGCAUAAAAGCCAGUGUGUGGCCAUUACAGAGAGUUCCUGCUUAACCCUCAAAGUGAAGUGUCGUCUCAUUAUUGGGGGAGGAUUUAUUGUAUGCUAUUCCAGUUUGAUUGCCAGGAGUGUAAGCUGAUUGUAUGCUUUUCCUGUUCAGCUGUUUCCAGUAUUCGUGAGUUUCCUGUUCAGGAGUUGGAGAAUUCGUGUAGUUUGCAGUUCGGGAGAUUGGUGCUUGCAGUAGCUGUCUGUGCAUCUGAAAGGGGAAGAUCGCCUAAACGUUUUUUAUCCGCUUGUGGACAAAACGGUCCGUUACAUGCCCCAUUCCGAGCUCUGAAGUAAUAAAUAAUUUUGCGCUUUAGCCACAGCCUCUACCCUCACCUCUAGAGUGGCGGUCUGAUUACCAAUUGCCUGAAUCUCUAAUCUUAUUUCCCUAGCAUUUCUCUCAAUCUCUCCAGCUAAAAAAAAUUCUAUCCUCUUUCAUUUGUGCAAAUGUGCAUUGUAUGCCAUCUGGUCCUGGUAUCUGCACAAUAGGUAUAGCAAUGCUAUCUGUAUCAGUAGGUAAAAUUUUACCUGAUCCUCCCUCUCCUGAGUCUGGAUGAAUAUCGUGGCUGUCCCCAUUUUUCCUGCUUUCCAGUCUGUUUGUUGUGUCCAGGCCACUAUUCACAGUGUCAGCGCUAUUCACAGCGCCAGAAGCUGCUCGCUUUGUGGAUUUUGCAGAAUCUUCAUUUGCAUCCACAGGUCUCGCUGGCUUAAACAUGGUAUGAAGAGAGUGGAGAGUGCUGCUCCUGGGCUUCGGCUUGGAUCCCUUCCGCGAGGAUUUCAUCAGUGGUAAAUCCAAAAGGGGUAUAAUUCCCUUUUUCUUUUCUUUUUCUUUUCCCUUUUGAAGAGAGCUCAGGGGAUGCUGCCCCCCCCAAAAAAAACUUCCUCGACUGGAAGUAUCAAUUACAGCGCUACACUGUUACACUGUUAAGGUAAUGCAGCAAUAUGUAACGGUAUGUAGCAGUAUGUCGCAGUAUGUAGCAGUAUGUAGCGGUAUUACACUGCAGAGAAUAAGGAGGAGUAGGGAGAGAUUAGGGAGAGAUUGAAUGAUUGGGGUGGAUAGAGUAGAGGCUGACAGGCUGACCGGUUGACCGGCUGUCCGGCUGACCGGCUGGAUGUGUAACUGUACAGCUGCACCUCGACGAACAAUUAGCUGAGGAUUUCACCGGCACAUACAGGUUAGUUGAAAAGAGUUAGAGGAGCAAUAUAUAUAAUAUUAUAUUCUAUUUCAUCUUCGGUGUCUGUUUAUUCGGAGGCUUCAGUGAGAGAGCUCUCUGCCUGGACGUCUGUCUACAUCGACGGUCAGGCCACACCCCUCGACGGUCUGGAUGCCAGUCCUUAUUCUAACAUUGCCUAUAUAUGUUUUUAAUAAUUCUAUAAAUUAAAAAAUAUAUACUUAUUUUUUUAGAGUAAACAUCCUUGCAUUCCUGUUCAGUUGUCAAUCCAAAUAAAAGUACCUCUGUUACUUCCCAGUUGUGCCUCAAAGAGGAGGAAAACUUUAUUUUUUAAAUAAACUGUAAAAAAACAAACACACAAGCAUUCAGNNNNNNNNNNNNNNNNNNNNNNNNNNNNNNNNNNNNNNNNNNNNNNNNNNNNNNNNNNNNNNNNNNNNNNNNNNNNNNNNNNNNNNNNNNNNNNNNNNNNAAGAACUUUCCCACGCUGUGUAAAAUGACACAGAUCACUCUGAUUGGUGGAUUUAAAGCCAACCAAUCAGAGUGAUGUGCCAGGUAAAUGUAGAGACUUACCUGUCAGUCUCUUUAUUUACCUGUCAGAGCACUCUGAUUGGAUUGCUUAAACCCACCAAUCGGAGUGCUCUGAGCCUAAUUGCAGGGCGGAGCAAGGUUUUAUAAGCCUUCCCCCGCCCUGCAGCACUCAGCCUGUGCGGAGCCCUCCAUGGGUGAAAAUUGAAAAAAGAUAUUUUUUUUUGCGCUCGUUUUUUUUUUUUUUUUAAAGUGCGUUAUUAUGGAUUUUUAUUUGGCCUUUUUUGGGACUGAAAAAUGAAGAGUUUAGAAGAAAGAAGACAUCAAAUGGUAAGUCUAUUUUGUUUUUAAAGGUAUUUAGAUAAGGGUCCCCCCUCAUUAUUUUUAGGAUGCGGGGGGCAAGUAGGGGUUAUUUUUGGGGGGAGGGGGUGACUAGGGGUUUGGGGACCCCUAGUCACCUUGGAGUGUUAAAUUUUUAUUUAGGGCCUCCACCUGCCAUGCAGGGGUAGGGGCCCUGGGGGAGGACAGUAGGUCCCCCCCUCUAUUGUUAUUUAUGGCCCCCACCCACCGCUCAGGGGUAGGGGCUGGGGGGAGGACAUUAGGUUCCCCCAAUUUUUAUUUAUGGCCCCCACCCGCCAUGCAGGGGUGGGGGCCUGGGGGGAGGACAAUAGGUCCCCCCCAAGUUUUAUUUAUGGCCCCCACCCACUGCUCAGGGGUGGGGGCCGGGGGGAGGACAGUAAGUCCCCCCUUAUUGUUAUUUAGGGCCCCACCCGCUGCGCAGGAGUGGGGUCUGGGGGGAGGACAGUAGGUCCUCCAAUCCACAUUCUUAUUUAGGGCCCUCACCCGUCACACAGGGGUGGGAGCAAUAGUUUUUUGUUUUGUUUUUUACAGUGAGCAGCCACUGGCUGCUCAUUGUUUACUAUACACGCCCCUACUCGCGGUAUAGCGAGUAGGGGCUGAAUUUACUAAUACUAAGUAAUCUUUACUUAGUAGUAGUAAAUUUGGCUGAAAGACCAGUUUAGGUCUUUCAGCCUUUUGGUAGAUAGCUCCCUAAUACGUGGGAAUUAGGGAGUUAUCUACUAAGCGGCUGCUUAUUUUAUGUAUUUUAUGUUAUUUUAAGUGAUUUCUCUAUCCAUAAAGGUUAGCAUGGUGUUUAAAAAUAAAUCAAUUGAGAUUUACUAAUUAAUUACAGGGUUAUUCACUUAAGUCCAAAUUUAAGAAAGAUGGACAAAAAAUGCUUUGGAAUAAUUGCAUUUACAUUGAAUUGCAGUUAUUUCAACUGAAUCAGCACAUCUCAAUCGGUACCAUCUGGUGUUAAAAUCACUUAUUUUCAAUCCUAAAUAAAAUCUACAAUUUGCAUAUCUACAUAGUUACAUAGUUACAUAGCUGAAAAGAGACUCGCGUCCAUCAAAUUCAGCCUUUCUCACAUUAGUUUUUUGCUGUUGAUCCAAAAGAAGGCAAAAAAAUUCAGUUUGAAGCACUUCUAAUUUUGCAUCAAGCUAGGAAAAAAACUCCUUCUUGACCCAAGAAUGGCAGUCAGAUUUAUCCUUGGAUCAAGCAGUUAUUACCCUACAUUGAAAGAUUAUACCCUUGAAUAUUCUGUUUUUGCAAGUAUGCAUCUAGUAGCUGUUUGAACAUCUGUAUGGACUCUGAUAAAAUCACUUCUUCAGGCAGAUGAUUCCACAUCCUUAUUGUUCUUACAGUAAAAAAACCUUUCCUUUGCCUUAGAUGAAAUCUUCUUUCUUCCAGUCUAAACGCAUGACCUCGUGUCCUGUGUAAAGUCCGGUUUGUGAAUAGAUUUCCACACAAUGGUUUGUAUUGGCCCCGAAUAUAUUUGUAUAAUGUUAUAAUAUCCCCUCUCAGGCGACGUUUUUCUAAACUAAAUAGGUUUACAUUUGUUAACCUUUCUUCAUAGCUGAUAUGUUCUAUUCCUUUUAUUAAUUGUGUAGCCCGCCUCUGCACUUUUUCUAGUGCCAUAAUAUCCUUCUUUAGAACAGGUGCCCAAAAUUGCACAGCAUAUUCAAUAUGUGGUCUUACCAGUGAUUUGUAAAGAGGCAAAAUUAUAUUCUCGUCCCGAGAAUGAAUGCCCUUUUUCAUGCAUGACAAUACCUUACUGGCCUUGGCCACUGCUGAUUGACAUUGCACAUUGUUGCAUAGUUUUUUGUCUAUAACAAUUCCCAAGUCCUUUUCGUGUGGGGUUAUCCCUAAUUCGCUUCCAUUAAGGGUAUACGUUGCUUGUGUAUUCUUUACGCCAACGUGCAUAACUUUGCAAUUUUCAACAUUAAAUUUCAUCUGCCAUUUGAGUCCCCCAGUAUAUCUAAAUCCCUCUGCAGUAAAGUAAUAUCUUGCUCACAUUGUAUUAUUUUACAGAGUUUUGUGUCAUCUGCAAACACUGAAACAUGACUUUGAAUGCUUUCUUCAAGAUCAUUUAUAAACAUGUUAAAUAGAAGCGGUUCCAGAAAAGACCCCUGAGGGACACCACUUGCCACCUCUGUCCAGCUUGAAAAUUUACCAUUAAUAACAACUCUUUGUACUCUGUUUUUAAGCCAAUGUUCUACCCAAGAACAAGCAUUUUCAUCUAGACCGAUUUCCUCGAGUUUGAACACUAAUCUAUUGUGUGGAACUGUAUCAAAUGCCUUGGCAAAAUCCAAAUAGAUCACAUCCAAUGCAACACCCUGAUCUAUACUUUUACUUACUUCUUCGUAGAAUGCACUAGUUAGUUUGACAUGACCUGUGCUUCAUAAAACCAUGCUGAUUUUUGCCGAUAUCCAUGUUCUUCUCAAGGAAUUCUUGAAUAUUAUCCCUUAAUAACCCUUCAAAUAUUUUCCCAGCCACAGAAGUUAAGCUCACAGUUCUAUAAUUUCCAGGCAAGGAUUUUGAACCCUUUUUGAAUAUAGGAACCACAUCUGCCUUCCUCCAAUCCUCCGGAACACUUCCUGAAAGAAAAGAAUCUUGAAAGAUUAAAAACAGAUUCACUUAUUUCUACACUUAGUUCCUUAAGUACUCGUGGAUGGAUAACGUCAGGCCCUGGAGCUUUGUUUAUAUUAAUUUUCUUUAGUUGCUGCAGCACCUUGUCUUGAUUUAACCAAUUACAAUUAUUCUGCAAGUUUUUAGUAGCAAUCAUUUGCACAUCUAUUGCCAUGGGUUCUUCCUUAAUAUAUACGGAGGAGAAAUACUUAUUUAAAAUAACUGCCUUUUCCUGGUCUUCAUUAACUAACACCCCCGUUUCAGUUUUUAGUGUACCUACACUUUCAUUUUUUGUUUUUUUAGAAUUUAUGGACUUAAAAAAUGCUUUUAGGCAUGUGUAUAGGAAAAUUUUUCGUUUCGGUUAGGCUCGGCAUUCCGAACACUUCAGAACUUCGGCACUUCGACACUUCGGAAAUUCAGUAAUUUCGGAACUUCAGGACUUUGGCAAUUCGGCACUUUGGCACUUCGGAACUUCAGGCAACUUCGGCACUUCGACACUUUGGCACAUAGGGACUUCGGAAUUUCGGAACUUCUCUUGCAGUCGCUUGGUAGAUAACUCCCUAAUUCCCACGGUCUUUCAGCCAAAUUUACUAAUACUAAGUAAAAAUUACUUAGUAUUAGUAAAUUGUGCUCCUACUCGCUAUACCGUGAGUAGGGGCAUGUCUAUUAAACAAUGAGCAGCCAGAGGCUUUUAAAAAUGGGUCCCUCCUGAGCUCCCGCGACGCGUGAGGGGGGCUUUUAAACUAAAGGGGGGACCUAUUGUCCCCCCCGGCCCCCACCCCUGAGCGGCGGGUGGGGGCCUUAAAGUAAAACAAUGGGGGGACCUAUUGCCCCCCACCGGCCCCCACCCCUGAGAGGCGGGUAUGGGCCCUAAAGUAAAAUAAUGGGGGGGGACCUAAAUCCUCCCACCGCUCAGGGGUUGGGGCCCUAAAUUAGAAUGAGGGGGAGGACCGUAUGUUCUCCCCUUGGCCCCACCCCUGAGCAGUGGGUGGAGGCCCUAAAAUACUAAUAGGAGUGGACCUAAUGUCCUCCCCCUGGCCCCAACCCCUGAGCGGUGGGUGGGGGCCCUAAAUACUAAUUGGGGGGACCUAAUGUCCUCCCCCCUGCCCCCACCCCUGAGCGGUUGGUAGGGGCCCUAAAUACUAAUAGAGGUGGAUCUAAUGUCCUCCCACCUGGCCCCCACCCCUGAGCAGUGGGUGGGGUCCCUAAAUAAAAAAAAUAACCCCCUGUCCCCCAGGUGACAAGGGGUCCUUAAACCCCCAAAUAAUUGACCCCUACCUACCCUCCUCACCCUAAAAAUAAUGAGGGGGGACCAUUUAACUAAGUACCUGGAAAAAAAAUUAAAAAAGAUUUUCAGCCCCAAAAAAGGCCAAAUAAAAAGCCAUAAUAACUGAAACACUAAAAAAAAAAAUAAAAAAAAAUCCAUCUUCACCCGGCGAGGGUUCCCGCAGACUGAGCUCUGCAGGGCAGGGGAAGGCUUAUAAAGUCUUGCCCCACCCUUCAAUUAAGCUCAGAGCACUCUGAUUGGUGGGUUUAAGCCAUCCAAUCUGAGUGCUAUGACAGGUAAAUGAAGAGACUGACAGGUAAGUCUUUACAUUUACCUGUCACAGCACUCUGAUUGGUUGGUUUGAAAUCCACCAAUCAGAGUGCUUUGUGUCAUUUUACACAGAGUGGGGGGACAAUAGGAGGGGGAGGGGGACGUUUUUUUUUGUUGUUGUUUUUUUUACAGUGAGCAGCCACAGGCUUAAUUAUUAAUUAUUAAUUACAUAAUUUACUAAUACUAAUACUAAGUAAUCUUUACUUAGUAUUAGUAAAUUUGACUGAAAGACCAAUUUAGGUCUUUCAGCCUUUUAGUAGAUAGCUCCCUAAUACCGAGGGAAUUAGGAAGUUAUCUACUUAUUCAUUCCUGUCAUUACAUUACUGGCUAAGUAACUUACAUUUUAUACUUACUGUUGUAAGUGUUGCAAAUGCUUACAGCUGAAUCCUGGCUAUGUUUGUAUACUUUUUAUUUAAAAUUGUAUACAGUGUAACAUUCUUCUUCUUCCUCUGGAUAAGUAUAUUAGUACUUAGGCAAUACUGUGCUUCGGCACUUCGGCAACUUCGGAACUUCGGCACUUCAGCACUUCGACACUUCAGAAAUUCAGUAAUUUCGGAAAUUCGGGACCUCGGUAAUUCGGCACUUCGGACAUUCGGAAGUACCUGAAUGUCCGAAUUGCCCGAAAUUCAUCCGAAUUCAUAUUCGGCCCGAAACGAAUUGCACAUGUCUGUCAUUUUUUCAAAUUGAAGUUUAGCAAAUCUAAUCGCGGUUUUGCACGCAUUAUUGGCUUCCUUAUAUCUUUUAUAAAAUGCAUCUGAUUUGUCCAAUUUAAAUGCUUUAAAUGCCCUUUUCUUAUUUUUAAUCUCUUGUUUUACUUCUCUACUAAGCCACAUUGGUUUUAAUUUGUUUCUUUUAUAUUUAUUACCCAAUGGUACUGAGAAAUUUACCAUUCUUAUAUUUGUUGGAAGAUGUUCCAUUUACCCUCAGUGUUCUUUUCACUAAAGAGUUUAUGCCAGUCAAUAUAUUGUAAAGCUGCCCUAAACGUAUUGAAAUUGGCCUUUUUAAAAUUAUAUGUUUUAGUAUACCCCAUGUGCUUUUGUUUUUUUUAGUUUAUUUCAAAGGACACUAUAUUGUGAUCACUAUUUCCCAAGUGCUCACCUCCUUAAAUGUUGGUCAAAAGAUUAACGUUGUUUGUUAAAACCAGGUCCAGACAAGCAUCCAUUCUAGUUGGUGCUUGUACAAGUUGUGACAUGAAGGUGUCAUUUAACAAGUUUAAAAACCUAAUUCCUUUUGCUGAGCUACUAGUCCCUCUGUCCCAAUUUAUGUCCGGGUAAUUAAAAUCUCCAAUAAUUAAAGUGUUACCCAGAUCUGCAGCUUUCUCAAUUUGCUCAAACAGCUGUUGUUCCUCAUCAAUAUUAACAUUAGGUGGUUUAUAACAUAUCCCAACCAAUAGUUGUUUUCCCUUCUUUUCCUCCAAGCAGAUAUUUACCCAUGAAGCUUCCACAUUUUCCUCAUCACAUUCCACUUGCUUAAGAUUUGGCUUUAACUCAUGGUUGACAUACAAACAUAUCCAACCACCCUUCUUGUUUUUCUAAUCCUUCCUAAAUAACAUGUACCCAUUUAAGUUAACUGCCCAGUCAUGUGUCUCAUCCCACCAUGUUUCAGUUAUGCCUAUUAUACAAAUUGUUUAGUGUAUGCUACUACCUCUAGUUCCCCCAUUUUGUUAUUUAGGCUCCUUGCAUUAAAAAGCAUACAUUUAAUAUCAUGAGUCACUUGUACUUUUUGUGAAUUAUCAACAUUACAUACCUUCUCUGUUCUGAGCUUGCCCCUCCCCUGUUUCCCCCUGUCUAAGGGGGGUCCCUUAUACUGAGCUAAAGCCGAUCUCCUUUCUGUCCUUUCUCCAUUUUGUAGAUUGCUAUGAUCCACCCCUCCCCCCUACUACUAGUUUAAAAUCUCCACCAACCUUCUAGCUAUUUAGGUGCAAUCCAUCUAUAAAGGUUGUUCCCAAGCGCAAAGUCGGCUCAGUGCUCUUAUCAAACAAUUUACCAAAUUUCAGUAGGACUCACUCUGAACAAAUGUGGUAGAAGGUAAAUUUGCUAAAUAAAUGAAUCUACAUUUUAAAUUGUAUAGCCUGAAUGCUCCUGAAGUAAUCCUAUUAAUCAUAAAUAAUAUUUAUUUUAAAACAAAUAACUUAAACAUAAUUUAUUAUUUAAAUUGCCAUCCAUAUUUAACUUAAAUACAAAUGCUCUUAUGUUAACUGUAUAUAUUUAAGGUCAGAUGUAAUGCUUUUCAUUUAUUUUUUGCCAGAUCAGGAGCAUUAAAAUAUAUACAAAGUGCAGGGACUUAAUUUGGGGGAAAGGAUGACAAAUUAUUACAAUGUUACUGUAUGCCCAAACAGAACUGGUAUACAUUUGGUGCAAGUCUAUGAGGGUUAAAGGGACACUACGUAUCAAAACAACUUGUUGAUGUAGUAGGGUUUGUGCAUAUUCCCAUCCAUUGUUUUUGACAAUAUAAAACAUUGCAUACCUGAGUAUGUAAAACAUAAUAGGGUAAUAACAGCGUUAUUCUGCCAUGCAAGCAAACACUGCACACAGUGUCAUUCUUGUGAUCAAUGCAACACAUGGCAACAUUCCUGUGUCCAUAACACACAGUGACACUUCUGGGCCUAUAGUGAUGCUGAUCAUCUUCAUGGCUUCAAUUGUGACGCUUACCAAGUGAUAACUCUUACAAUGCCAUGAGCUUGGAUAAUUUUUUGACAUAGAAAGAUGUUGCGUCAAAAUAUUUGAUAAUGCAUGUUCUGGAUUCAUAGAUGUUAUGUGGACGAAUAGAAUUCAGCCUAUAGGUAAAUAUGUUUGCAGGUUUUCUGCAGGGCACAGUGAAAGGGUAUGAUCGCCAGCAGACCAUGUUUGCAGAUUUUAAAAUGCAAGACAGGGCAAACUCAGGACUGCUGGCACCUAUGUGGUACGCACUUCUGUCUUGUCUCAGCCUGGGUUUGCAUGAUAGGGUUAGUUUAGCCUUCACAGGGACAUGUUGAUACUAAAAAUUUUAAAAUCAGAUAAAAUAGCCCCAUAAUUUUAAAAUAGCAUUCCAUAGACUGGUAUUGGAUCUUUAUAGUGGUAGAGUAGUAAGGUCUAACAUUUUUGCAGCCAACGUGCUAGAGAUACAGUGCAAUAUAGGUGCACAAUAUAGGAAGGAAUAUUUGUUCAUCUUACAUUUCAUAUUACAGUAAUUUGUUUUCCCACUGUUCAUACAGACUCUAACAUCUGCUUCAAUGAACAAAAAUGUGUUAAAUGAAAGCAUGAAAUUUAAAGGAAAGAGAAUAAGAUUUUGGAUUCCUUCUUCUGAUAACUUUUUACAUGCAUGAGGCCUUAUUAAAAUAAACACAGACAGUUUUAUCAUGGGGAAGCAGAGGGAUUUUCUGUGCUUGUCAAGGAAAUAAAUUCCUUGAAAUGGCCAUGAACUGAAAAUGAUUUUAAAUUCCUAGGGGGUAGAGUUCCAGGGUUCAUAAUGAAAAUGUAGGACAUUUAGCUAGAUUAAUCUUUCUAGUAUGCUUUGAAAAUAAAUAAUUUUUAAUUUAAUAUUUUUUUAUUCUGAUCUGAGGUGGAUACAUGAGUUAAAAGAUUAUACUAAAAUAUGUAUACUUUUAUUUCUGUUUCUCAUUGUACACCAUACCAGAUGGAAUAUGUAUCUUCUUUCUGAAUUUUGAAAACAUUGUUGAAUGCGAAGUAUAAAACCAUGCAAAAUGAGUUACUAAUCCGUGAUUAGUGUAGUGUCCUCAAACAAACAAAAAAAUGCCAUGUAUUUUAAGCUGCUUAUAUAUACACACCUAUAAAUAGUUACUCUCAAGGAACACUCCAGGCCUCAUAACUGCUGUAGUACAUUGGAGUGGUUGUGGUGCUAGGCGUGCCCUGAUGCCCCCCACACACAGGAGUCAAACUGUGUUUUAAUGGUUUGACAUGUCACCUGGGGCUCGUUGCGUCCAGCUCACUGUCUAUUUUCAAAUCUAAACUUGUGGCUUUUAUUUUACAUAAAACUCACAGAUACUAGCAUAUGCUAUUAGAUUUAAUAGUUAAAGCCAUUCUUUCUUUACAAAUACUGAACAAGAUUAUGGAUGUUUUCAGGCAGGGCCGCCAUCAGAAAUUUUGGGACCCCUAACACAGCUCAAGGUCUGGGCCCCCAGGUGCCCACCUCCAAAUCCCGCCCACAGGAAUACACACACACACAGACAUAAAAGGACACAGACAGACACACAAAAAGAUACACAAAUACUGAAACAAACAUACACACAUACAGGCAUACUAACACACACAUACUGAAACAGACACACACACAUAUACAGACACAUACAGACACACACACAUAAGGAGAUACAGAUACACACACAUACAGACACAUACACACUGACGUACAUACAUACUCGCAUACUGACACACACACACAUACAUACUGACAAACAGACAUACAUAUAAACUGACAAUACAGACAUACAUACAUACACAUGCAUACUGAUAUACAUACAGACACACAUACAUACUGAUAUACACACACAUACAGAUAGAUAUAUACGUACACACAUACAUAUAGAUAUAUGCAUACAUACAGGCAUACACACACACACACACACACACACACACACAGACAUACAUAUAAACAUACAUACAUACUGACAGACAUACAUACACAAACAUACGUACUGACAUAUAUAUAUACAUACACAGAUAGAUAUAUAUACACACAUACAGACUGACAAACAGACAUGCAUACAUGCAGACAGACACAUACAUACAUUCUGAUAUACAUACAGACAUACACUUAAUUUUUCAGCCACCCUCCUAUUCCUUACAUUUAAGUUGCAGGAGGGUGGCUGGGGAUGAUGGGAGCAGAUGCCUCUGCUCUCCCCGGCUGUUUCUCCUCCCGCGCGGAGUAAGCUGGGAGGAAGGCACACACACUUUUAUACUGAGAAAACUGGGCCUGCCAGGGUACCCUAGAUAGGGCCAUAGAUAUGGAGGGGACAUGGGUGAGAGUAUUCCGAUGAAGAGCAGGGCCCCACACUGCUCACAAAGUUCAUGACAAGCACGAUCUGGGGGGAUCUGAUGCUGGGGGGGGGGAUAUGGUACUUCCUGUAAAAGUUGUACAGGAAGGUGAACUGAAUGACGACCAUUGGCGCACGACGGAUUGGGGAUGGGGGCUCCCUCCCUUGGCGAGGACCUUGGAGUCGUUGAGGGGGAGGGCUUGCACUCCCAGACUGCUCUGGCAGGGUGUAAGAACAGACUUUUUUGUUUAGAGUUAUAUAUUAUUUUGUAUAUGUACUGUUUUAAUGGUUUAUACAUUGCUGCUGUUUCCCCACGACACUGGGGGGCCUUGAAUAACAAACACACUAUAGUCCACACCCAUGAAGCAUUACCAUUGAACUUAGGCACAACCCCAUUCCCAUGGCUCUGAAGAUAAUAUCUAUAAAUGUAAAAGGCCUUAAUACCCCAAAAAAGCAUUGCCUGUUGCUGAGGGAACUAAGCUAAGAAAGCAGAUAUAACAUAUCAUAUUCAUACAAGAAACUGUAACAAAUUCAUCCGCCUAUGAUAAUGUGUUUAAUGGGCCGCUGUGGAUCUAUGCCACCUUAUAAACCCAUGACCGCCCACGUUGAGGAUGAUGUCGGCGUGCGCGUGAUGUCACGUGCACGCACGCUUUGGGGUCAAAGACCGAUUACAGCCAAUCAGAAUAAUAGGAGGGUUAUUUAAACAUAUUUUUACAUUCUCUCAUUGCCCUGUCGUGGUUUCUACCUGAUGGUUAUCCAAGAGUGCAUUCCUGAUCUUGAUUUUUUGGUAUUUGACUUUGGCUUUGGUUCUGACUUCCCUGACUUAUGGUAUCCUUGACUUUUGGCUUUUUCUCAUCGCUGUGUCUGAUUCUCUAUCCCUGACUUUGGCAAGUAUUCUGACUAUUCUUGGAUACGUUAAAUCCGGCCAUUCUAAGGUCCUUUAGACGUUAUCCUUAGUCCUAGGUGUGAUACAAUUCUGACAGAAACGCACCUCCCCAGGUUGGCACCGGUUAGAUUACAAAACAGGAUGUACGCUAGGACUUACGAAGCAUGUGCACUGAGAAAGAGAGCUGGGGUAGCCAUCCUAGUCCACCGACAGUGCCCGCUACAGGUAACCGGCACACAGGUUGACCUGGAGGGUAGAUAUGUAUCCCUGACAGGUACUUUAUACACCACUAAGAUUCACAUAACAAACGUUUACGCACCAAACGACCCAGACCCAUCAUACUGUGACACCCUUAUCACCUUGACCCAAAACGCGGGAGGGUGUGUGGUCAUGGUGGGGGGAGACUUCAAUGCAGUGCCGUGUCUGGCAGCUGACAGGAGUGCAAAAUGAGGGGUACCCAGAUCCCAGGUCAGGGGUGCACAAGAUAAAUGUAUGCACACGUUCCUCUCUCACACUGGCAACUCCAACACCCGUAAUUAUACAUUCUACUCUGCACCACAUGACACAUACUCAAGGAUCGACAAUUUACUGCUAAAUGGCCACAGGAUAACCAACGUCCUACAGUCAAACUUCAAUAGCAUAAUGUGGUCACACCAUGCAGACAUCUCAAUCACUCUCGGUGGGCUCAAAUACUCAACACCUUGGUGAUGGAAACUGAAAACCUCCCUCCUUGAUGACAAAGAAAUUUUCUGCAAGACUGACUUAAUCCUCAAGGAUUACUUCAUACUAAAUGACACACCAGAGGUGAGCCCAACAGCGGUAUGGGCAGCCCAUAAAGCAGUGGUGCAUGGGCACCUUAUUAAGGAGGCCACCUUCUUUUGGAUCAACAGCAACAACAUAUGUGAGGAGGGCUGAACUUGAUGGACACAAGUCUCUUUUCAAAUAUGUAACUAUGUAACUAUAUGUAACAUACCGAAAAAAUUUAAAACAGAACUCUUAACAAAACUACAAACAGCUCUACGUAGAGUUGAACAACAGCACAAAGCUAACAUCACAAACUCACAGAAAUAAAUGCACUUAGACAUUCCAUUAAAGAACUAGCACUAGAGGGAGUUUCUAGCUCCCUCACAUGGUCCAAAAGUUUCUUCUAGGAGAAGGCAAACAAAAUGAAAACUGUAUUAGCCAGAACUCUUAGGCCCAGAGGAAAGUACAAGCCAAUCACGAAAAUACGCACCCCGAGUGGCAGAAUAGCCACCACACCACAACAAAUCAACAAAGUGUUUACUGAAUUUUACACAGACCUAUAUGAUCACCCCCCCCAGCUAAAUAGCGACAACGUACCCUACGUCAUGGAAGUACAUGACUUCCUGAAAAAACUUGGUGUGACGGGGGAAGAUAUGGAGUGCCUUAAAGCUCCCAUAACACAAACCGAAGUAGACGUGGCUAUUACAGCAUUCAAGGGGAAUAAAGCCCUGGGACCUGACGGCUAUGAUGUCAGAUAUCACAAAACAUUCAGUAAAGUACUCCCUCAUCAUCUCACUAACUUAUGCAACCAUUUUCUGCAGGGGGGCUAUACUAACGAACAUAGUCCUAAUGCCGAAACCUGGUAGGAAUGACACAUACGCAUCUAAUUAUAGGCCCAUCUCUCUCAUUAACUCGGAUAUGAAGAUAUUCGCUAAAGGACUGGCGGCUAGACUAACAUCUUUCCUAACACGUCUGAUACACCCAGAUCAGGUGGGCUUUAUGCCAGGCAGACAUCUAUAUGAGAACACCCCGCCGAGAGGCAGUGUUGACUUGGCGUAUGGCGGUGACGGGGAGACCUUCUCUGGUGAUCUCUUUGGACCCCGAGCAAAGGCCGUAUCUGAUUGGUGUACUCCGGAUCUCCGGAUCUUCGGUUUUCCGGAACCAUUUAUUACAGUGACACGGGCCCCCUACACAAACAUUCAGACACAAACCAUAAUAACUGGGGCACAAUCAUCCCCAUUCCCGUUGGGGAAUGGCACGAGACAGGGCUGCCCGCUAUCCCCUUUACGCUUUGCGCUCACAUUGGAACUGCUGCUCCAUGCCAUCAGAACGCACCCACAAAUCCAGGGAGUAACGAUAGCAGACAAACAAUAUAAAGUAGCGGCAUACACCAAUGACGUCCUACUCACCCUUUCAGAUCCCAUAAGAUCGAUGGAACACCUAACACCACUGCUAGCUCGCUAUGGCAAUCUCUCAGAUUACAGAGUUAACCUACAAAAAUCUAUGGCCAUGCCAUUCCACCUCUUGGCCCUGGACACGGCACAACUGCAAAGCGCUUUUAAGCUACAAAUAUCUAACACAGCCCUCACAUACCUGGGUUCCCGCCUAACUGUGGACCACACUCAAAUGUAUGACCAGAGCUAUCUGCCACUGAUCUGAACCCUCACACAUGACAUGGAACACUGGAUGGACAAGCCUAUCUCAUGGAUAGGCAGAUUACACGCAAUAAAAAUGGACAAUUGCCUAAUGGAUAGGCUGACCUCAAUGGUCAGCAACUCCUCUAAGUCCUUCUAUAAGGUGUGGGAUCUGUGGCAACAAUAUGACACAGACUACACAGGUGGGAGGCCCGCCUAGUGUACAGGGACAGACAUACUAAGCAGCAUAGUUUUAAUUAUUGUUUAUGCUAAAUGUUAAAGAUGUUAAAUAAACACAGUGUGACUGAACGGAAAACCAUUGACGAUGGGAACCCUAUAUAUAAGGCCAUAGAUAUGUGAUAUGAUGCUGUGCCACAGAAACAGUUCUUGUAUGUCAACCGUUAUGUACCACAUUUUAAAUACUUACCUGAUUCCAGCACCAAGGUCCCUCGGCGCUGGAUUGGGCUCUUCCUCUACUGACAGGAGUCGAUGGUAGGUAGCCACUAGAGACCAUCUAAACCCUGCAAUUUUCUCUAAACCCUGCAAUUUUCUCUAAAACUGCAGUUUUACAAUGUAUGGUUAAGGGGACAGGGACAUUGUGCUCCCAGAACACUUUAAUGGGUCUGGGUGCCUAUUGUGCCCCUUUAAGGUCAUAAUAUCCAAAGUGAAAACAGAAUUUACUAGUAGAAAUUAUCCAGUUUGGUUAUUUUGGCCUAAAUGUUGGGAUUCAUUUUGAAUCCCUGUUAUUUUUACUUUUGAAAUUUCAAAUUUCAGAUCAAAAUCUUCAAAUCAGCUUUGAUUUCAAUCCAGCUAUUUUCAUCUGAAAUUUUAUAUUCACUUUAUAUCUCUGACAAUUCAUACUUGUUCAUUUUUAUUUAACCGACAUUCAGUUUUUAUUUUACUCUCACUAUGUUGAGUAUACAAUAAUAUAACAAUUUAGGUCAAAAUAGCCAAAUUGGAAAAAUUAUUCAAGUCAGUUCUGUUUUCAGUUUUUUUCUGUUUGUUUGCUUAAAUUUGAAAUUCACUGUAAAUUCACUUGCAUUACUGGCAAUUUUUCCAUUAGAGAAUAAGCCUGUUAUUGUACACACAGCAUAGGAAGCUGAGUACUGUUUGUAAAAUAAAAAGAAAACGUGUAAAACUAAAAACUUUUCUAGAAGUCAAUGGGAAUUUAACAUUUUAGGUGAAAAUAGCUGGGUAGACCCUCCAUGGACUGACAAGGAAGGAGGGACAUGACUGAUGCUAAACUGAGGGGUCAUGACCGGGGCUAAGCUAAAGGGAGGGGGAUAUAGUGAAACAAUGUUGCAAAUGGUCUACAGGUUAUAAGGACAGUGAAGGGAGGGGACUUACCAGUCAGCGUUGAGAAAGUGCAGGGAUCCUGACUUUCUUGUCUCUCUUGGCACUUGCUGACACUGGUUAUAAAAAAAAAAAACCUUUAGACUUUAGUGCAAAUAUUUUCCCUCCUAGCUGUGUUCCUGCUCUAUAUGGAUCUUUCCCAGGAGACGUUGGUGGCCCUGUUGCAGUCUUACCGGGCCGCACAUGGUGCAGGCUCACUUGAAUCAGUGCUGGAUGGUGUGGACGCCAUUUGUGGAUAGGAAGCUACCCCGGGUUCCAGUGAGACUCCGGUGAUUGCAGAUGGUGGACGGCGGGCCAGGCGUUCCAGGCCGCUGUCGCUCCUGUCCCCCAGCCCGGUGAGGAGAGGACAAGAUGGCCGCAGGUGCAGAGGAGCGGAGGUGGCUAAUGCACCUGCACCGAGCCCGGCGACAUCCCCACGAGCAACUCAGCAGCGAAGAAGGGCCACGGUCGGAGCCAGCAGCCAGGUCCAAGAUGGUGGUCGGGUGGUAAGAUCUCGCAGCCCCCCUUCUCUUCCGGCAUGGCCGGAAGUUACGUCACAACGUCAGGACGGAGCGACGCCGGGAGUGACAUUAUCGGACGGAGCCGUGAUGCACCUGGAAGUGGCCGAGAGGGACACACUUUACACCGGAAGUCCAUGGAUCCAAACCCAGAACCGAGCAGAAGCCUCCAGAUCGGGAGGUCGCAUGGGUGCCACAACCAGAGCGGUAGUCCCCAGGGGAGCCAGCAGUGCCAGCCAGGAUGCCGGUGGUCAGGAGACCGUGUCGGUUACUGCGCUCUUGGGAGCUGGGAGGCUCCAGGGUGAAUCGGAUGAGGAAGAUUCAGGAGAGGAGCAAUCUGGUACCGGAGAAACAGGACCACUGCUUCUGCCUCAGAUUGGUGAGUUGACCUGCGCUAGCGCAUGGGGUCCUGCAGGGGUCUGGGCAGGAUAGUGAAUUGCUGCGCCUUCUUAGGAUUUUAGUGGGUGGGCAGUCUAGUAGCGGUGGGACUGGGACUAUAGGUCAUUCUCCCGCUGGGAAGCAUUUCGCCCAUGUCUCCCUGGGUGUGAAUUGUCCCCUUUAGGGUUACACCUGCCGAUUUCAAAGUGGUUUCAAACCGCAAACCAAGUUGUCCAGGAACCGCAUCGUCACCUCAUGCCGAAAACAGUUCCAUAACAUUUGUGACCAAGUCCUACUGAGGUGACCAGGAACCCACAAAGUCCUCAUGCCAAAAUUAGUUUCAUAGCAGUGGCAACUAAAUAUUGCCGAGGACUAUUCGUUUGUUUUGUUAAUGCGAACGUCCGCCAGAGAGCUAGUGUUCAGUUCUAUUCGCAUGAAGGGAAAGUGCCGAACCAGGAGCACCCAGGGAACUAAUGGUGGCUGGGCUGGGUAACUCCUAAAUGGUGUUUUUAACCUGGACCAUAGUCAUGGGCAGGAGACCAGCUUCCACACUGCUCCAGGUAAACACUACCAUCAGCUAUGUUGCACGGACUGUGCCCGUUAUGUUAACAGACACUCAUAGCUUUAUUCACAAACAACAGGGUCAUCUGGUUACAUAUAUCUGAAUUCAGACCAAAUUAGCAAUUCUCAUAUUUAUUAAAGUUUAUUUUGGUUGGAAUUCGACCAACCAGACUGAAUCUGCAACGAUUAGUCAGAAGCUUUCAGUGUCUGGGUUCAAAUGAGUGCUUUUGCAAUUUGAACCCUAUACAAACAAUAGGAGUCGUAUUAUUAAUAAAGUGGAGAGUUAAAAUAAAUUUGGUGGUGAAUUCAUUUAGCAGAGUUCAUGGGCAAACAUUUUUUGUUCACCUGCUUUUUGCAAGUGACCAAUAAAUGUAAGUAAAAUUAGUUCCAUGCAAAAAACAAUCCUUAUCAGUGCCAAAGUUAACCAUGUGGUGGCUGGUAAGCAUUUGCUAGGAAGCUGCCAUAUUGAAAGCAAAAAAAAAGAUGGUAGGUGGUGGCACUAAUUAAGUAUUCAUAAGAGGUGGUCAUGCCAUUUGUCCACUCCCCCAAAAUUGUGCUUAAGUUUCCUAAAAGGCAUUUCAAAGCUCCUAGCUUUUAGCCCCUCACCCUUCCAAUAAAAUACCCUGCAUAUCCCCUCUCAUCCAAAUAAUAGUGAGGACGGCCAAUGAAAUUGAUAGCUGUAACAAAAAAAAAAUACUUAACAUCAGAUGUCUUUCUUCUAAAAAUUUUCUCUGACCCAUAAAAAGCCAAAUUAGAAUCCAUUAAAAAAAAAAAAAAUGCAAUGCUAAGGUGCAGACUGAGGUUUUAACUCAGGAACAGCCUAUAUAAAAUCUCUCCCACACUUUAAAAUCUCAGAGUGCUCUGAUUGGCUGGCUUUUAAAUGGGAAUAUUCCUGUUUCCCAGGUGUGUAAUAGUUUCUGUUAGCAUUACGCCUGGCCACUCCAAAGGAUUUUCUGCAUUGCUAAGGGAUAACCUAAAUACUCUGUGUUGGGGUCUGCUAUUACUGUGACAUAAGAUGACACUAUUAGAGAAUUAUGUUUUUGUGUAAUUGCAAUUUGGAAAAGCUACCAUGUUUGAACAAUCUACCUGAAUGAAGGUAGCAAAUAUCGGGGCUUUCUCACUCUGUUAUAUUCAUUUACCAACUUAAGAGACUGAAUCGAGAUGCAAAUUUUGUCCUAUCCCCAAAAUAGACCAUUACAAUGAAGCUUAUGCUAGUAUAAGGAAUAUGACUUAACCUUCCUUUGAUCUUUACAAAGCUGGAUUAAGGUGUCUUGGAUAUAACAAGUGGAGCCUUACAAUAUAACUCAAACCUCCCAAGUUACAAGGGCAGUCCCUAGUUUCUUUCUGUCCUUUUUUUAUUUUUUUCCCUCUUCGAACAGCUCCAUAUUGUUAGUGUAUCUGAGUGUAUAACAGAGUUUCAAAAUAAUAAUACUGAGAGUAAUGUGUCUUUUUACUAGAAUAAAAGUGUAUAAAAGCAAGUCUUUGUAAGUAAAAUACAUUAUUCUGGUUAUAAAUUACAUUUUAAUUAUGUAAAUUUUUUUUAGUAAGGCACCCGUAAUUUCUCAUAACAGCCCAUCCAUGUCCACACUCCCACUCAAAAUCCUAAUAUUAAAGUGUUGCUCUUUGUCAAUAUGAAAUGUUGGGAGAUAUGCAUAACUCCAAUAAAAUGUAUGACAUAAUCCUUGCAUGUUGUCUCCAUAACAUAGCUGUAGACACACAACUCAUUGAGGGCAUUUGAACGAUGCAAUUUAGACACAUUCCAGUUGAUAAGUGCUGAGAUGUGGGUGUUCUCAGGGUUGAACAAAUACAUGCACAUAUCAAAAGGCAUUAUUUUAGCUCUAUGAUGUCCAAUGCAACAACAUCAUGUAUGUUAAAAUGAGGUGUGUCAGAAAAAAAAUCAAUCCUCCUGUGUUUAGCCAUAAUAUGCUUGCAUAAAUGUCAGGGUGGCGGUCCGGUGACCGGGACCCAGACACUGUCUGAGCGGCGGUCGGACGACCGGGACCCAGUAUGCCUGAUGAAAAAAGUAGGAGUCACAGUGUGGAAGUGGAUUAGCAGGGUCUGGUGCAGGGUAAACGCACUCCCCCUGGUGUUGAGCACCAGCGUUUGUGCGGCCACAUACCAGGACCCUGAUGCAGCUUCAGCAGAUCCCAGGAACUAGGAGCUUGGAAAUAAGCAGACCUCCCAGGAGCUGAAUAGGGAGGUUCUGCAGCAGGAAUGUAUCCAGUACAGAAACAAAGCAAGGCUAAGAUAGGCACCAAACAUAAAAUCAAGACAAAACUAGUAGAACCCAGAACCAGAGAAGGAAAGGAAGCAAUAGGCAAAACAAGAGGAGAUAUAACUAAGUACUAUAUAUGUAAAACAUUGGAAAUUUAGACAUACAUACAUAGGAAUCAUGGAAAAGGAAUGGGUGUGGCAACAUAAAACAAACAUUUAAAGGAAUCCAAGAGACUUGGAAUUCCAGGAACGGAAUACAGGAAUGAACCCAGAAAACCCAGCAUAAAGAAAACCAGACAUGGAAUAGAAAAGCAGAAAAACCAAGAAAAACUAAACAAGAAUUGUAAAAAGAGUACUGGAUACCAGAAGCCAUUGCCAGAAUGAUCCGCAGCUAGAAACAGGAUGUGACAAUAAACCAUGUGAAAUGAAAACAAACUUACAUACUAACCACACUGAGUCGACAUCCCUGUAUAAAUAUAUUUUUUUAAUGAGUCUGCUUUUUUUUGUUGCAAGUUAGAUAGAUGCUAUCUAGUUUCACAAAUAAAAACCUAAAUUUACUAUGUGCUAAACCUUAAAUAUAUAAGAGCUAGCAAAUGAUUAUUAAACUGUCCUUUGAAAGAAAAUUGGUUGACAAAACUAAUUUGAAAUAUAUUUUGACUACUUCAAAUUUUCCAAUAUUCAGCUUAUUUGCUAAAAGGUAAGCAUGCAAGUAAACAAACUACCUCUUGAACCAACUUAAAGUGACCAUAAUAGCUCUAGUCCUUCUAUUAAUACAUUACAAAAAACUAACCCCUUCAGGACGGAGUCAAUAGUGCACGUUCUGAUCAAAACAAAACGUAAACAAAAACUGGAAUUUGCGCUAUAUGUCUGUUCAACCGUAAUUCACUGCUGUCACAUUAAGUGUACCCAGACUUAUUAUAUAUAAUUUUGUUCAGGAGAAACAGGGCUUUAAUUUAUCAUUAACUAUUCAUAUAUGGAACAUAAUUUAUUAUGAAUAAAAUUUAAAACAAUGUGAGAAAAUAAGAAUUUUUUUUUAAUUUGUAUUUCCGUCUGACAUUUUAGCUGCAAAAAAAUGCACACAUUUUUAAUCAGCGAUGUAUAACGAGUACAACAGUAUCCUCCAUUAACAGGUUUUAUGGUGUUUUGGAAAGUUACAGGGUCAAAUAUAGAAUGUUCCAUUUUCAAAUUGAAAUUUGCCAGAUUGGUAAUGUUACCUUUGAGACGGUGUGGUAGCCCAGGAAUGAGAAUUACCCCCAUAAUGGCAUACCAUUUUAAAAAAUAGACAACCCAAGGUAUUGAAAGUGGGGUAUGUGUAUUCCUUUUUAGUAGCCUCUUAGUCACAAACACUGGCCAAAGUUAGCAUUCAUAUUUGUUUUUGUGUGAAAAAAGCAAAAAACUAAUAUUUGGCCAGUGUUUGUGACUAAGUGGCUACUAAGAAAGACUGGACAUACACCACAUACCUUGGGUUGUCUACUUUUUCAAAUAGUAUGCCAUCAUGGGGGUAAUUCUCAUUCCUGGGCUCCCAUACACUCUCAAAGGCAACAUAACCAAUCUGGCAAAUGUCAAUGUCAAAAAAAAAAAAAAUGCAAGCCUUAUAUAUGACUCUGUAACUUUCCAAAACACCAUAAAACCUGUACAUGGGGGGUACUGUUAUUCUCGGGAGACUUCACUAAACACAAAUAUUAGUGUUUUAAAACAGUAAAACAUAUUACAACAAUAAUAUAGUCCAUAAACGUGCCGUUCGUUUGUAAAAAAAAUGCAAAAAACGUCACUUUUACUUAAAAUAUCAUCGUUGUAAUACAAUUUACCAGUUUGAAACACUAAUAUUUGAGUUCAGCAAAGUCUCCCAAGUAAAACAGUACCCCCUAUGUACAGGUUUUAUGGUGUCUUGGAGAGCUACAGGGUCAAAUAUAGUGCUUGCUUGCCGGGGGAGGGCUGCCUGGGCUGUCAGGCAGUCCUCCCGAAGCAGAGCGCCGGGAAGGUAAGUAUCCCGGGCGCUCUGGGGGCUUAAGCCGUUACGGCGUUCUAUGCCACCGCAACGGCUUUAAAGUCCAUUUAAUGCGGGACGGCAUAGAAUGCCGUAACGUCGUUAAGGGGUUAAUAGUGCACAUAAACAGUCCCUGAUAAUAGGUGGGACUCUAGAUAGAUAGAUGGUAAUAGCUGGAGAUAGAUAGAUAGAUAGAUAGAUAGGGUUUCCAUAUAUCCUGAAUUAAAUUGCUGUAUCUAGAUAGAUAAAAUAGAAAAGACAAAAAAAAGUAUAACACAAUUUAAACUGUUUAGAUUGUAUUUUAAAAAAAUAUUUUGUAGAACUAUAGACUUUUUUUUUACAGAUUAUAUAGUACACAUUAUGAUGUAAUAUUUCAGAAGAAAGACACGUUUGUCACUAAACUUUACAUGAUAACAAAAAAGAAGGUCAUAUAACCUGCCUAUGGAUAUUUAAUAUAGCAAAGCUAAUGGAUUUCUUGUAUCUCAUAAAAUACCAAAUUAAUUGCAUUGUGUUAAAAUCCUGGUAGUUUUAUAUUUCUUAAAAGGUUAUUCCUCUACUGCAGCAUUUCCCAAUUGGCGUUCCAAUUGGAACAAAAUUAGGGUUCUGCGGAAAUUCGCCACAUCCAAGAUGGCCGCUACCUACUGUUCCCGGCCGUGCAUUCAGCCCACCUUGCUGUCAGCCCACCCUGCCAUCAGAGCCCCUCCUGUCACCCACCCUGCCGUCAGAGAGCCCCACCCGCUGUCAGAGAGCCCGCCCAGCCGUUAGCUAGCCUGCCCUGCCAUCAGCCCGCCCACCUUGGGGGUACUGUUAUACUCGGGAGACUUUGCUGAACACAAAUAUUAGUGUUUCAAAACAGUAGAACGUAUCACAACAAUAAUAUCACAAUAAUAUCAUCAAUGAAAGUGCCGUUUGUGUGUGAAAAAUGCAAAGAAACUUCACUUUUACUGACAAUAUCAUCGCUGUGAUAUGUUUUACUGUUUUGAAAAACUCAUAUUUGUGUUCCGUGAAGUCUCCCAAGUAUAACAAUAGGUUUUAUGGUGUUUUGGAAUGUUACAGUAUCAAUAUUGGGCUUGCCCAUUUCAGUUUGAGAUUGGAUUUCUGGGUCUAUGUUGCCAUCAUGGCAUAACAUUUGCAAAUGUAGACAGCCCAGGGUAUUCAAAAUAGGGUAUGUGCAGUCUUUUGUAGUAACCACUUAGUCACGAACGCUGGUCACAGUUAGCGUUUUUAGUUGUUUUUUGAAUUUUUUAAAACAAAAACUGCACUUUUACUGGCGAUAUCAUUGUCGUGAUAGGUUUUAUUGUUUGAAAAACUCAUAUUUGUGUUCAGCGAAGUCUCCAAAGUAUAACAAUCCCCCCCAUGUACAGGAUUUAUGGUGUUUUGGAAAAUUACGGGGUUAAUUAUAGGGCUUGCCAAUUAAAUCCUCUGGAAUACGUGUGUGUGUGUGUGUGUAUAUAUAUAUAUAUAUAUAUAUAUAUAUUUAUGGUCGUAUGGUCGUGGCAUCAAAAGCCAUAAUGAGCAUAUUAGAAGUAGAUAUAUAAGGUCCCUAUAUGAGACCAAUAGUAAUAUGAAAGAGUUAUGUAAUAAAAAGAAGGCCCACCCUAGAUAAAGAUAUGAGAAAAGGGAGUGGUGGGAGGGGCAAAUCGCCAGACUGAACGAUAAUAGGGAGUGGUCUGGCAUCCUUAAGAAGGGCAAUCAAGCCCCUCCCAUAACUACAGGCCCAGCCUUCCAUUUAUGGUCCUGGCAUCAAAAGCCAUAAUGAGCAUAUUAGAAGUAGGUAUGUAAGGUUCCUAUAUGAGACCAAUAGUAAUAUGAAAAAGUCGGUUGUGGUGUGCCGGAACCGACGAUGCGGAGUGCCUGUAAUAAAAAGAGGGCAAAAGAGUAUAUCAUACAUAAUUAUACAAAUCAAGCAUUUUACAAUACAUUACAUAUACAUGUUACAGAAUUCUUGGUGUAUUUAAGAACAGGUUGAUAUAUAUAUAUGGAGUAAGCGGAGACCUCCAUUGUCUCAAAGUCCCAUUAAAAUGUACUGAAUAUUCCUGGAGGUAUGGUUGUCAGCACUGUAAAGUUUGGGUUCGUAGCGAACAUUACUAUUUUUUGACCCCGAGCCUGGACAUUUCAGUGGCAGUUCAGGUUCGAGUUCGGUGUUCGGCGAUUUAAUGGCUCGAUUUGAAAAGCUGCAGGGCAGCCAAUCAACAAUCAUUUUACUCAUGUGCCCUUAGAAGCCAUCACAGCCAUGCCUACUAAUGGCAUGGCUGUGAUUGGCCAGUGCAGCAUGUGACCCAGCCUCUAUAUAAGCUAGUAGGGGUAUGUCUAUUAAAAAGUGAGCAGCUGGUUGAAAAAAUUUUUUUUAACCCGGGGCCCCCAUCCCGAGCCCCCACUCGUGACGUGCGAGUGGGGGCUUUUAAUCUAAAGAAUGUUGGGGAUAAAAUCAGCCCGGGCCCUUUGUGGAUGAUGGAUAUUUGCCAACUCAUACAGAGCUCUGGAAAUUGGAAAUGAAUAGCAGAGACAUGUUCGAUAACCAAUUCAAAUUGUAUUCAUACGUCAGUUAUAUUUAUACCCCAUUUUCAUAGCAGGAUGGGAGGGGGAAAAAUGAGCAUAUGGGCGUGACAAUGACAUUGUUUUUCACAAGUUAUAAACAGCUGUUUUUAGUUAUAAUUGGAUAAAACCCAGAUGAUUACAAAUACCAAAAUCUUGGACAAUUAACAAGGUCAUUCCAGAAUCCUUAUCAUGUCAUGUCAUGUCAUGUAGAUAUCCAAAAUCAUGUUCCAAUAACAUUUCCCGUAAAUAGAUCAGUUUUAUUUCCGAGAAUUGGAGAUACAAUUCCAAAUCUAUUCUUGGUUCAAAUUAACCCUUAUAUGAACAGCUAGGCUAUUGAGCAAAAUGGAUGUUCGCAUCUACAAUUCCCCUCUUAGAUCAUAUCAUGAUCUACCUUACGGAAUAUCCAUGGGAGGCCUGCGGCAGAGAAACGAAAGGAGGUAUAUUCAGACGUGCUAAUCACGUCUGCGGGACUUUCAUUAUUUCUUCACCUCGAUUUCCCCCAUUUGCUCUGUGCCGUAGGUUUUCCCUUUAAGAGGAGAUCGAGCUGUCGAUUUUCAGCUUCUGUAAUCAUCUGUUGUACACAUCUUUUAAGUGUACAAGUUUAAAAAAAUUAGGGCCCUAAAUUAGAAUAGGACCUAUUGUCCUCCCCGCUGGCCCCCACCCCUGAGCGGUGGGUGGGGGCACUAAAUAAAAAUUGGGGGGCCUAUUGUCCUCCCCCUGGUCCCCACCCCUGAGCGGUGGGUGGGGGCCCUAAAUAAAUGUCCUCCCCCCAAAAAAAAAUUAGCCCCUACCUACCCCCCUCACCCUAAAAAUAAUGAGGAGGGGACCUUUAACUAAGUACCUGUAAAAAUAAAAUAAAACUUACCAUUUGAUGUUUUCUUUCUUCUAAAAUCUUCUUUUUUCAGCCCCAAAAAAGGCCAAAUAAAAAUCCUUAAUAACCGAUGGACUUAAAAAAAAAAAAAAAAACGAGCACAAAAAAAUAACCCAUCUUCACCCAUGGAGAGCUCCGCGCAGACUGAGCUCUGUAGGGCGGGGGAAGGCUUAUAAAGCCUUGCCCGCCCUGCAAUUAGGCUCAGAGCACUCUGAUUGGUGGGUUUAAGUCAUCGAAUCAGAGUGCUCUGACAGGUAAAUGAAGAGACUGACAGGCUUGAAAUCCACCAAUCAGAGUGCUCUGUGUCAUUUAAUUUGACUCAUAACACUCUGGGUGAUUAAGUAAUUAAGUGAUUAUUUUUUUAUUUUAUUUUUAAGUACGUCGGUUAUUAUGGAUUUUUAUUUGGCCUUUUUUGGGGCGUCGAGGGGGAGGACAUUAGGUCCCCCCCUUAUUUUACUUUAGGGCCCCACAUGCUAUUCAGGGGUGGGUGCUCAGGAGGGGGGAACCUUUUUUUUUUUUAACAGUGAGCAGCCAUAGGCUGUUUAAUAGACAUGCCCCUACUCGCGGUAUAGCAGAUAAUAAGGACAAAAAAGAAUGGGGUGGGGAAACCACUCACAACAAGUGGGUGGAAUGCGCCAGCCCAUUCAAAAAAUACCUCCCAAUAUAAAGGGUCACAUGAAUAGGGUAAAUAACCUUUAUUUAAACAUACGCCUAUCCGGUACUAUAAGUUCUAUUACUCACAUAUGUAUUUAAUAUGUUUAAAUAAAGUUUAUUUACCCUAUUCAUGUGACCCUUUAUAUUAGGAGGUAUUUUUUGAAUGGGCUGGGCAUUCCACCCACUUGUUGUGAGUGGUUUCCCCACCCCAUUCUUUGUUGUCUUUAUUAUCAUUUUUUCGGGGUUAAGCCCCUUUUACCUCCUGUAACCUCUCUUUUGGAGGAAUGGUGGUAGUUUUUCUGCCCCAUUAUCCCUCCUUCUUUUCUUCUUUUUUUGUUACUGAUAACGAAACUACUGUGUGUACCUCAUAUAGUUCAUCACGGUAGCGGAGAUACAAUAUCCCACAGAUUAUCUCCGCUUAAGAUCCCAGUGAGGUGCAGGAACAAGUAAUUAUAGAUCCACAAGGCAAGGUUUCCAGAAGGUAAAAUAAUCCAACAGUAUCCCAACAGCAAUCCCAAUAACUGGACGACACACAGCAUCAGGAGCAGAACUGAAAACCUUUAUUCCACAGUGGCCUUAUAAAGCAUGCUCCCAUGCAAGGGAGGGACUUUCAUCAAUUAUUACAGUACCCAAUCCGACAAUAGUAACCUCCCACACAUCUCCUCCCCUCAGCCUGACUCAUAAUCCCCUUAUACUGUACACAAAUUCCCCCAGUUUCUGGAUGUACCCCUAAACCUAGGGGUACCCCUUUAAAUGGCACAUCCCCAGGUAGCCCUAAUCUGGGUGGGCAACAUAUCCAAAAAUCACCCAGAUCGGACCAGGGGUUUGGUAAAUUUAUGGAAGUACUAAAAUGACCGACCGCGCUAGAGAGAACAGCCGAAUUGGGUUCCACGCGAUGGGGCCCUGCGGUCGGUCCCAGUAUAAGGGAAUAAAUUACAUGAAAGGCUAAGGCUACAGAGAUCAGGUAGGGUUCGCUUGAAUCCCCUCGUUCGGUUGUUUCUGUCUACCGAACGAGGGGCUGUUCGGUAGUUUGGAACCGAACUGACCGGGCUUGUGGAGGUCUCAGCGGUGUUCGCCUAGUCGAGUGUCCGAUUUGGGUUCCAGACACUCGACGGCAAAACACUGCUGUUCGGGAGUUUUAAAAUGGCCCGAGAACAAAGGACCUACUGCAUAGCUUGUUAAUUACCCGUUCGCAACAUUGUUGCAACGGAUAAUUGAAGGCACACUUCACACAGGGGAGGUCUGAUUGUUCGGUAGUUUAAUUCCCUUAGUUUAUUCGAAUGAUUCUACUGAACAAUCAGACAAAUACACUUUAUUUAAACACAUACAAAACCAGCAGUUUACACGAAUGCAGUUAUACACAUGUAAUUUUCAGGACAGCCCAGUGCCAUCCGCUACAAUCACAUGAUAUUCUAAUAAAGUAUUAUUGUAACAGAAGGAACUUACCAAUACCUAAUAGUACCAGCCACAUAACUUUAGAUUUAAUUUACCAGCUGCACAGAUUUACGUCCAAGUUAAAUAAAUCUGCUCAAUAUAAUUAUACAAAGGGUGGUUUCCAAUACUAGACACAGUUCUAAUACUAAGCAGUUGCCUCCCUUCUAAAAUCCUGUUUUGUGGUACCUCAAUAUAUAUGUAUAUAUAUGUAUGUAUGUGAUUUGAAAAUGUGGUAUACAUAGCAGUUUCUGGUACAUUAUGUGCCAUUCAAAAGUUCUGCUGUGAUGCGAGGUAUAGUCGAAGAUCUAAUAGAAGUAAGACUAGCCAUGUCCCUUGUGUGAUGUUGUAUCAGACCUAGAAGGAGUGCUGGGCAGGGAGAGUACUCUCCACCCACGUCGUCAAGAUAUGUUAAACAGCAAUAUACUGGCUUACUUGCUAUGCCAAGUGGCAAAACCAUUACACAAGGUUGAUGAUGGGGAAGGCCCUGCUAGAUGCCAAGCGGCUUGAGAGGCUCUAUCUAUGCGUUGGCGCGAGGGGAUUUUGUGACCAGCGAAUGUUGUGGCGGGGUGUCGGCCUCUCUGUGACUGUGACUUUUAAAGCAUAGGAUAGAAUGGGAAUGACAAUGGGAGUGACAGGUGAGGCCCUCUCAAUGCCACUAUGCGAACUAUGAUUUGGGACAAUGGGCGCAAGACCUCAGAGUAUGAGGAUGGGUGUUGGCCUCACGGGACCCCUAACAUAAGGCAUAGAGGCCUGAGAAAGUAUAAGCUAUCAGGCUCCUGGUGCCCUGUCAGCCAGUGAUGAAACUAACUAAUGGAGGCAUGGGAAGGUAUGGAAUAAGUAUGUGUAAUUUGACUCAUCUGAGAAUGAGUAGUCAGAAACCCGGUAUGACAUAGAAGGUGGAUUGGCGCAGUCCCACAGGGGUAACGAGAUAUUGUAGGAAUUGUGGUAUGUUAUGUAAAAGAAGAUAUCCUGGUCUGCUUAACAGGAUACGCAGCAAAGUAACGUACAACCAUAAGUAGGAGGUUGUGCAGUAAAUCGUACCUAAUGAAUGUAGUAUAAGUUGUAUGAUUAGUAAUGUUGCCCUUAAAUGUUGAGUACUCUGUAACCUGUAAUAACCAUGUUAUCAGUAAUGCCCUUGAAUAUCUUCUAACCCAUGACCAGCGGCGUCCAUACCGCGGUCGCAGGGGUCGCAGCUGCCACUGGGCCCGUCACUCCAGGAGGCCCGGCCAUCCUGUGGACCCCCACGAGCGGGUACCAGCUGCCAUGUUUUGCGGUCCUUGCCUGUCCAGCAAACCGCCGGGGCCGCAUGUUAAGGGGUCCAUCGGGUGGCCCAUGUGUGACGAGAGUAAUCUCGCCACAUUGCAUUGGAGAAGCCUGGUUGCUCGUCUGUUGCCUUUGGAUUAUGGCCCCAUGUUAAAAGGCUUGAUUUUCCCCUGAAAAGACAUGAAAGCCGGGUCAUAUGGUGCUUGCCCUGUUUGGUGAUACCCCAGAUAGCUAUGCCAUGGAGCCCAUUCGUAUAAUGAAAGUCUAUGGGAAAGACUUUGGCUCCAUGGCAAUUGAACUGUAUGUGUGUGCUCUGAGCGCCAUUCAGUAAUAAUGUGUGCUCAGAUCUGAGCUAUCUGGGGAUAUGUUGAAUGUACCUGUGUUGUGCAAUGGCUGCACAGUUAUAUGUUUUUGUGUUUUAUUGUCUUUUGCUGCCAUGUGUUCAAUGGAGUUUUUGUCACGAUUCGGGGAACCCAACACGCUGGCACACACACACACACACACACACAAAAGGUGCCGUACCGGACCUUAGAGUGGCCGGGCUAAGCACACACAGAAUAGUCAGGAGACAAGCCGAGUAAGGGGAACCAGAAGACAGAAUAACGUGAAACAAGCCGAGGUCAAAGGGUAGGAGAAAGUCACAGAGUCAGAUAAACAAGCCAGAGAGUACGUAACCAGAAGUACAAGGUAAGUAGCAAUACUAGAAAGCAAAGACCACAACAGGGCAGGGAGGAACAGGAAAGGUAAGUAUUUAAACCAUAAGGUUAAUUCUGAUUGGAUAAUUUCCAAUUAGAAUUAACAAUCACACGUGGGAGAUAUCUAGACCUCCCACUGUGAUUGAGGCACUGUGCCUUUAACGCCGGGUCAGGUGACGAGGCUGGAAGGUUGCCGCUCGCCGGACCCACGAGGAGGAGGGGACCGCGGACGGCUGGAGGGUGAGUACCGUGAGCAGAGUGCAGCCUCCCCUCGCAGCCGCCCACGGGAUCCCGACAUUCCCCCCCCUCGAAGACCGCCUGGAGGGCGGGAAGCGGAAGGCUUCAAAGGAAACCGGGCAUGAAAGGAGCGGACCAAAGAGGGAGCGUGCACAUCAGAGCUCGAAACCCAGGACCGCUCCUCAGGGCCGUACCCUUUCCAAUCCACCAAAUAUUGCAGCCGGCCCCUAGAAACAUGAGAGUCGAGAAGAGCAGCCACCUCGUACACAUCAUCAGAGACAGCGCGAGGGGAAACGGGCCGCCCAAAGGGAAGAGAGAACCGGUUACACAGCAAGGGCUUCAAAAGCGAGACGUGAAACAUGUUUGGGACACGCAUGGAAGGAGGCAGAUCAAGGGACCUGGGGGCAAAUUUCAUCGAGGGAACCUUGAGACGAACCAUACCCUAUCACCCGGAACAUAAGAAGGGGCCGCAACCCUACGGCGAUCAGCAAACUUUUUCUGAGCACCUGCUGAACGAGACAGCGCAACAUGGACCUGAUCCCACGUCUUCCGCACAGAGGCGAGGUGCUGGUCCAAGGCGGGCAUUCCCUUGUCGGAGAACGCACCGGGAAGGACAGAAGGACGAAACCCAUAAGCAACCUCAAAAGGACUUAAGCCAGUAGAUGAAUGAGACACCGUAUUCCUGGCAAAUUCAGCCCACGGAAGAAGGCGAGACCAGUCAUCCUGGUGCGCAUUAGUGAAGCAGCGCAAAUACAAUUCCACAGACUGAUUAGCACGUUCGGCCGCACCAUUAGAUUGCGGGUGAUAGGAGGAAGAGAACGACAAGGAGACCCCCAUCUCAGCACAGAAGCCCCUCCAAAACCGAGAGACAAAUUGAGGGCCCCUGUCAGAUACAAUAUCCUGAGGUACCCCAUGCAAUCGGAACUCUUCUUUGGCAAACACCUGAGCUAACUAAACCGCAGAAGGCAGUUUCUUAAGCGGAAUAAAGUGCGUCAUUUUAGAGAACCUAUCCGUCACAGUCAGUAUCACCGUCUGACCAUCAGAAAGAGGCAGGUCUACAAUGAAAUCCAUGGAUAAGUGGGUCCAUGGUUUCUUGGGUAUAGAUAGAGGCAUCAGAAAACCCUUUGGUCUCACAUUAAGGGACUUACACUGCGUGCAGACCCGACAAGCCUGAACAAAAUCUACUACGUCUCGCUUGACUGAAGGCCACCAGAACUGUUGAAGGAGGCCCUUGUAGGUUUUGGUAACCCCCGGAUGACCAGCAGUUUUGGCUGUGUGAAAUAAAGUUAACAACUUUUUUCUGUCAUUUGUUUCAACUUAUAGUUUACCAACCGGCGUCUCAGGGGGUGCCUGGGUUUGGUAUGUCUUAAUGCUAUCAAAGAAAGGUGAAGAAACAACCAAACGGGUAGCAGCUAUUAUCUGAGACACAGGUACAAUAGGUUCAGGAGUCAGGUUAACAAAUUCUACCGGUUCAUGCUGCCGAGAGAUAGCGUCAGCUUUGGCAUUACGGCAACCAGGUCUAUAGGUAAUAACAUAUUGGAAGCGUGAGAGAAAUAGAGACCAUCUAGCCUGCCGGGCAGAUAACCUUCUAGCAUCAGCUAUAUAGGAUAGGUUCUUAUGAUCUGUUAUAACCAUAAUUUUGUGUCUAGAACCCUCUAAUAAGUACCUCCAUUCCUUAAAAGCUAACACAAUAGCUAAUAGUUCCCUGUUCCCAACAUCGUAAUUCUUCUCUGAAUCAGACAACCUUUUAGAAAAAUAACAACAGGGAUGGAGGGGUUUGUCAUACGACAACCUCUGUGACAGUACGGCUCCCACACCUGACUCUGAAGCGUCUACUUCCAUAACAAAGGGAAGAGAAGGAUCAGGGUGGUGCAGCACUGGAGCAGAGGCAAAUGCCUUCUUGAGGGUUUGGAAGGCCUUAAGGGCUUCAGGAGUCCAAACCCUAGGGUGUAGACCUUUUUUUGUCAGCUUUGUUAUAGGAGAGAUGAGUGGUGAAAAGUUUUUUAUAAAUUUCCUAUAAUAGUUGGCAAAUCCUAUAAAACGCUGGAUAGCCUUCAGUCCUUGGGGGAGUGGCCAGGACAGUAUAGCUUCCAAUUUAGCAGGAUCCAUACUGAAACCCUGUUCAGUAAUGAUAUAUCCUAGGAACUGCACAGAGGUCUGAUCGAAUAAACAUUUUUCUAACUUACAGUAGAGUCCGUUCUGCAAUAGCCUUUUGAGCACCAUCCUAACAUGGUUAUGGUGUGACUUCAAAUCAGGAGAAUACACAAGUAUGUCGUCAAGGUACACCACAGCACAGACAUGCAAUAGAUCCCUAAGGACAUCAUUUAUGAGGUCCUGAAACACGGCAGGAGCAUUACACAGUCCAAAAGGCAUGACCAGAUAUUCGUAAUGCCCACUGCGUGUGUUGAACGCUGUCUUCCACUCGUCAUUCGGUUAUAAGCCCCCCUGAGGUCUAAUUUGGUGAAGAAUUUAGAACCUUUAACACGAUCAAACAACUCAGUGAUGAGGGGGAUAGGGUAGGCGUUUUUAACCGUUAUAUUGUUCAGACCCCUGUAGUCUAUACAUGGCCUCACAUCUCCCUCCUUCUUAGCCACAAAAAAGAAACCAGCACCAGCAGGAGAGGAGGACCUUCUAAUAAAACCUUUUCUUAGGGAUUCCUGUAUGUACUCCUCCAUGAUCUGGUUCUCUUUUUCAGAAAGAGGGUAGACCUUUCCCCUAGGAGGCAUAGUACCCGGUAAGAGGUUUAUGGCACAAUCAUACUCACGAUGUGGAGGUAGCUUAUCUGCCUCCCUCUUUUCAAAAACCAAGGCAAGGUCUGCAUAAACAGAAGGGACAGAAACCGAGAGUGGUUUAGCCGUGGGCACGUUAAGUAAACAAACAGGACGUACAUGAGCCAUACAGUCUCGCUGACAAGAUUCCCCCCAGGAGAGUAUAUCUAAACAACCCCAAUCAAGAACAGGGUUGUGUUUAACUAACCAGGGAAAACCCAGAACGAUGGAGGCUGUAGGGGAGUCAAUUAUUUGGAAGGUUAACUUCUCCUUGUGCAAAACACCCACAGACAUAAGUAUUUCCUGGGUUUCAUGGGUCACCAGAGGUUUCUCCAGUGGUCUACCAUCUAUGGCCUCAACGGCCAAGGGUGUCUCCUUUCGAUCAAAUUCAGGGCUGCGGUUUUGGCAAAGGUCUCAUCCAUAAGGUUGUCUGCCGCACCCGAAUCGAUCAGGGCUUUGGUUGUUAUAGUGGUUUUAUUGACCAAAAGAGAAACCGUAAUAAACGGUCUGGAGAUGGACAUAUGAGGGGACAAAGUCAUAACACCCGAGGCCGACCCCUCUCUAGGCCUUAGGUGCUGCAGUUUCCCUGUACUUUAGGGCAGGCUUUACAGUGAUGCCCCCUCUUCCCACAAUAAAGGCAUAACCCCUCCCUUCUACGGUACGCUCUUUCGGCCUCAGUUAACCCCGUAGCACCCAACUGCAUGGGUUCAGGGGAUGGUUGCCUAGGAGCGGGUAACGCUAGCAGUGAAGUACUGGGUAGAGCAGGUAACACCCGUGUAUCCAACCGUCUUUGGCUACGCCUCUCUCUAAUACGGUUAUCGAUAAGAAUCACAUAGUCUAUAACAUCAUCUAGAAGAGCAGGCAAUUCCCUGGAUGCUAUUUCAUCCAGUAUAUAAGCGGCCAGACCCUCCUGAAAGGCUGUUACGAGGGCGUCAUUAUUCAAAUCCACUUCAGCUGCUAGAGUACGGAAUUCGAUAGUGUAAUCUGCUACAGAUCUGUUACCCUGUCGGACCCUAAGCAGAGCCUUGCCAGCAGAAGCAACCCUAGCGGGUUGAUCAAACGUGCGUCUGAAAGCUGUCAGAAAAUCUGCAAAGGACAUAGGAGACGUAUUUUCCCAAAUGGGGUUGGCCCAUGCUAAAGCUCUCCCGGACAAGUGGUUUAUCAAAAAGGCAAUUUUAGAUCUGUCAGUGGGAUAGGAACGUGGAUUCAUCACCAAAUGGAUGUCGAUUUGGUUGAGGAAACCACAACACAAUGCUGGGUCACCACUGUAGCGCUGUGGCGGCGUCAUGUGAACUACAUGAGCGGGAACAGGUACUGGAGUGGGAAUGGGUUCGGGCAGCCUCCUGAACGGCAGGUUGCAAGUGUGCAGUACGAGCCAGUAUGGUUUGCAAAGCUUGAGCAAACUGAUCCAUACGGUGGUCUAAGCCUCUUGAUUAACUAGGAGCUGUGGUAUGUCAGCAGGUUCCAUUAUGGCCCUGUUGUAAUGUCACGAUUCGGGGAACCCAACACGCUGGCACACACACACACACACAAAAGGUGCCGUACCGGACCUUAGAGUGGCCGGAAUAAGCACACACAGAAUAGUCAGGAGACAAGCCGAGUAAGGGGAACCAGAAGACAGAAUAACGUGAAACGAGCCGAGGUCAAAGGGUAGGAGAAAGUCACAGAGUCAGAUAAACAAGCCAGAGAGUAUGUAACCAGAAGUACAAGGUAAGUAGCAAUACUAGAAAGCAAAGACCACACCAGGGCAGGGAGGAACAGGAAAGGUAAGUAUUUAAACCAUAAGGUUAAUUCUGAUUGGAUAAUUUCCAAUUAGAAUUAACACUCACACGUGGGAGAUAUCUAGACCUCCCACUGUGAUUGAGGCACUGUGCCUUUAACGCCAGGUCAGGUGACUGACCCCGGCGUGUACAAACUUGGGCGGUCUCCCAGCGUGCAGCGUCAUGUAUGCUGCCGCUGGGGGACGUGGAGGAAACGGCGGGCGGCAUCCGAGACUGGAAGGAUGCUGCUUGCCGGACCCACGAGGAGGAGGGGACCGCGGACGGCUGGAGGGUGAGUACCGCGAGCGGAGUGCAGCCCUCCUCGCAGCCGCCCGCGGGAUCCCGACAGUUUUGCCUCUGUCUUUGGAGAUAAUUGGAUUACUUCCCAAUUAUCUCUAGGAUAGAAGACUCUGUGGAACUGGUUUUGGGCAGAAAAACCAUGCUUCCUUUGGUCACAAAGGACUACGAUCUAUCUUUUGAACCACUGGACCAAUUUGGAUGAUUUUGACAUAUGUUUGUAUUUGGAGUAUGCUGAUUCUGAAAAUGUAAGUGAUGCUUACUUUGUGAAUGUGAUGCAUACUUUUCAAGUUAUGAAUAAUGUGGAAAAAUUGCAUUUCCCAUUGUGUAAGGUAAUUGUAUCACAGGCAGAGGGGAGGAUUUUGUGUGGGAGUGUCUGAGUGUAUUGUAUGUGUUUAUUGGUUGUGUUCCAAACCCUGUGGGUGAUACUAAUGUGAAUAUGAGAACAAUAAACCCACAGCUCUGGCUGUUCACUGCUUGACCCUCAAAACAGAGCCUUGUCUCGUUCUUGGGGGGAUUUAGUGUAUGCUGUUCCAGUUUAACUGCUAGGAGUGUAAACCUAUUCAUAUGGUUUUUCCUAUUCGGCUGUUUACAGCAUUCGUAUGGUUUCCUGUUCAGCGGAUUGGCCUAAACGGUUUUAACCCCUUGUGUGCUGAAACGGUCCGUUACACCAUGCUGUCAGGGUCACCCGAUGGACAUGGAUUGUCAGGGGGCUCGGUGAGCACUGGGCACUUUAACAGCGCGACCGGGCCCCCUAUGAUGACAUCACUGCUGGGAGGAAGUGACUCCCCGGUCACUCCUCCCAGCUAUCAGAGCCCGCGCAGGAGGAAGCAGGACGGAGAAGGGCAGACUGAGCCCCCACUGGACCCCAGGGAAAGUCACAAAAGGUAGGAAACAGGAAACAUUUUGUGUAUGUGUGUGUGUCUGUGUAUGUGUGUGUGUCUCUGUAUGUAUAUGUGUGUCUCUCUGUUUUGUGUGUGCCUCUCUGUUUUGUGUGUGUCUGUCUCUGUAUGUGUUUAUGUCUGUGUCUCUGUAUGUAUCUGUGGGUCUCUGUAUGUGUUUGUGUCUGUGUCUCUGUAUGUAUGUGUGUGUGUCUCUGUAUGUAUGUGUGUCUGUGUCUCUGUAUGUGUGUGUGUCUGUGUCUCUGUAUGUCUCUGUACAUGUGUGUGUGUGUCUCUGUACGUGUGUGUGUCUCUGUAUGUGUUUGUGUCUAUGUCUCUGUAUGUGUGUGUGUGUGUCUCUGUAUGUAUGUGUGUCUCUUUAUGUAUGUGUGUGUAUGUGUGUGUGUAUGUAUGUGUGUGCCUGUGUAUGUGUGUGUCUGUAUGUGUGUGUGUAUGUACGUGGCUGUCGGGGGGGUGUCUGUGUGUGUGUAUGUGUUUGUGUCUAUGUAUGUGUAGGGGGGGCCCACAGAUCAGAGAGAGGGAAGGAAGGGGAGAGAGGAGAGGGAGUGUACGCCACUGCCCAUGACCCAUAUGGAAGAAGAAACGGAUACAAGUGAAAGCAGAAGUCCUAAUAAUGAACCUAAAUAUAUAAUGAAUUAUGUGAGAAGUAUGUGUGUGGUCCUGCCUGGGACCUCCUCGAGAGCAGAACAACAGACUUAAGAUAAAACAGUAGUGCUAUACACUUGAGUAGAAUUGAGGCAAGCAGUGAAGGAAGCCACCAUAACAGGUAAAUUAGGAUAAAGAUCCAAAACUUAGUUAAAUAAUUAUACACCAAGGCUUUAAUUAAUGUAGCUUUCUAUACAGAACUAGUGAUAACAUCUAAUCCCCAGUUAAGUGUCAAAGACCCAUGUUACAAACUAUUGGUUACUGUUAUUGGAUCGUUACAACUCAGAAGCGAAUGUUACUUAUUGCUACAUUUCACCCAGAAUUGGAUUACAAUAUGGGGAUUUGAUACCUAGCCCCCGAACUGAUAUGAACGGCAGACCACCAGGAUCUUGGUGUGUGCCGCCACUUAACCCCGGUCACCUUGGGAACAGCCGAACGGCCGACCACCCGACGAGCGGAGUGUGUCUCCACUUAACCGCCCGGAGAGUUGCAGUCUGUGGUUAUCCGCAACCUAAUUGACAACAGCCGGGAGUCCACGUUCGUGCCCCAUCACCCGAUACUCUAACUACCGAACGGGUACCGAACAAAGGGCCACCUACAGCCUGGCGUGUGGCUCCAAUUAGAAUGUUGUUUUUUGCGGAAUCCCGGCGGUCUUCAUUCGUCUCCCGAACACCGGAGACUUCCAACGACGGAGCGGGGAUUCGCACAGACUGUUAGCCGGUUCCUGUUCCACAAGUUUGAGGGUGAAGUCCCGCGGCCUAUUAGCCUACCUCAAAACAUGGCCGCCAACACACGCUCAGAACCCAAAGACACGAACAGACUUUUGUUCGAGGAAAUACCGCAUACCAUUCGCGGGUUCUGAGCACUCUUCGGUUAAUUGUUUCGCCUCAACCGGGGCUAUGUAAUGAAUGGUGGAAGACACAAAUUAUGUAUAAAACUGUUUGAGUUAUGUAUUUUUAUUCUGUUUUCUAUGUGGCAAAAACACGUGGGGUUUUGGGCGCUUGGAGAUAAUUGUAUUGUAAUAACCGUUUCAUUUAUCAUUAUCUCCAAGCUGGGCGGUGACGAUUGUCCCUGUAUCCCAUCAGGUCCAGAGGGGGCUGUUCCUGGACCUGAGAUUUUGCAUAAAUACUGAUACCUGUGUGCCAUUAAACCAAGUUCUUGUUUGACCUUCAAAUCGCAGUUUCGACUCGUUUUGUGGGGAAAAGAGUAUCUUAGCUGUACUAUAGCUAGUGGGAUUGUUCUACAUUUACAGGAUUCGUAUGGAAUAACUCCCGACGGAACUCUCCCCUUUCUCUGACCUUGGGAUCCAGAUCAUCCAAGCAAUCCAGCUUCCAGCUAGCCUGCAGGUAACCGUAACAUUUGGUGGCAGCGGCGGGAUCGGUCUGGACUUCCUAGGAGAGAUACCGAACGGAUGGAGAGCACCUAUGACAAAUUAAAACGCACUACCUUAAAGGAUUUACUCGAAAGCCGAGGUUGGGAACGUGAGUAACCGGCCGAGGAGGGAGCUGAUCGCAGAGCUGACCGAACUGGUUCAGAGUUUCACCAUGGCAGAAGCCCCAACAACGACGGGCGAUGAAAAAAUCCAGGAUUGUUCGGGAGAGGCUCUCACUAUAUGUGCCGAACCCCUCCAUGGAACUAGUACAGCAGCUGAUGGCAGAGGCAGAUGAGUACAUACAGAAAACUAGAGCCCACAAGCUCAGUCUGGUGACCGCACACCGCAACGCCGAUGGAGCCCUAACCAUAAGUCCUGCAGAGAACACUGGGAGGCCAAAGAAACCCUAUGCGGCUUUUAGACCCUUUCUGGAGAACGAGACAGGGAUUGAUGAAUAUUUGGCAGACUUUGAACGACAAUGUGCCCUUCAUCAGAUUCCUGACAAAGAAUGUCCCACGAUAUUGUCUGGAGAACUAUCUGGGUGAGCACUAGAGGCAUUCCGGACCUUGAGUGCCGAGGAAGUGACUCGGUACACUGUAGUUAAAGACACACUCCUACGACGGUACGUGGUAACACCGGACACGUAUUGACGACAAUUUCGAAACACUAAAAAGAAACCUAAUGACUCUCACAUGGAAUGGGCGCACAGAAUGCGGAGAGCAGCGAACCACUGGAUGAACGGGAGUAAGGCCGUGACCACUGAGGAAAUAUUAAAAUUAUUUCUGCUGGAGCAUUUUUAUAAUGGCAUUGAGCAACAGGGAAAGGAAUGGCUGCGAGACAGACGAGCCGCUACCUUAGAAGAAGCGGCCAAGAUGGCCGAUGAGCAUUAUGAGUCCCGGUUGCACGAAUCCACAAAUUACCGAACAACGGCACGGAACGAACAGUUACCAACUGCUGUCACGCACCGAAUUCAGAGCUCCAGUACCCGCAGGGGCCGUACGGUACUCAGGACCACCCAGUAACAACCACACGGACCGGCCCCGACCAACGUGCUUUCGAUGCAAACAUGACAAGCUGUCCUUUAAACUCCCAUCAGACCUCUAGGAAUUACAACUCCUAUGCCGGGCCAUCUCGCCCUGCCCGGGCCCUCUGCAUUAACCAAGAGAGCCCUAUGGAGGAAUACCUGGGACCACUACAUGAAGCCGACCCCGUAUAUGCCACUUCGGAUAAUCCCCAGCAUCAUCGGCAAAAAGUAUGGCUCGAGGGUCACUCUACCGAGGGACUAAGGGACACCGGCGCUACGAUUACACUAGUCCAGAGCCAUUUGGUUCCGGAACACAAGAGAUCAGGACAGACCGUGGUAGUUAGAGUGGCGGGGGGGGGGAUGUAUACAAAAUUCCUACCGCCAAAGUACAUCUUGAUUGGGGAGCGGGAAAAGGGACAAUUUGCCCGCUGAAGUGCUACUGGGUUACGAUUUGGGUCCUAUGACUUCUGCCUAUGCUCCAGUCUAUAACAACGAGGCGAAUCCUGUGACUACUCGGGCACAAGCACAAAUGCAGCGGGAACCCUCACCAGUGCGGGAGACACAGGUAAGACUCACCCCGACCGGGACUGAUCCCUUAGGUCCCAUACCCUGGGACACUCCCACCACAUCUGAGACUGAGUCUAAGUCCGACCCGACCUUGCAAAAAUACCGAGAGAGGGCCGAGACGGGAGGGGGUGGACUAGAUAAUGAAACAUUUUUAUGGGAGAAGGGAAAACUGUAUCGGCUGACUGAGAAAUGGGGACAACACAGACGACAGCUGGUAGUACCACACAAAUACCGACAAGAAAUAUUAAAAAUAGGACAUGACAUACCCUUAGCCGGCCACUUGGCCGUGACCCGUACCCUACACCGCAUUACUCCCACCUUUUUCUGGCCAGGGGUAUACGCUGAUGUUAGGACCUAUUGCAACACAUGCGCUGUGUGUCAGCGAGUAGGGAGGAGAGGCGACCAUCCUAAGGCACACCUGGUGAAUAUGCCCAUUGUAGAGGAGCCAUUUAGCAGGGUGGCCAUAGACUUGGUGGGGCCACUGGCUACACCUAGUCCCUCCGGUAAGCGCUACAUUCUUACCGUAGUGGACUACGCUACCAGGUACCCAGAAGCCGUGGCCCUAUCUAACAUUCAAGCCGAUACGGUAGCCAAUGCCCUAGUACAGGUGUUCUCAUGAGUAGGAUUUCCCAAAGAAAUCCUGUCCGAUCGAGGUACACAAUUUACAGCUGAGGUAACGCAGCAACUCUGGCAGGCCUGUAAGAUUAAGUCGCUUCUAAGCUCCCCCUACCACCCUCAGACGAACGGACUUUGCGAAAGGUUCAAACAAAUGCUCAAAAUGUUCACCCAAGAUUAUAGAGACUGGGAAUGCUUCCUACCCCACCUCCUGUUUGCUUAUCGGGAGGUACCCCAGGAAACGACAGGAUUCUCUCCAUUCGAGCUGCUCUAUGGUCGCAAGGUAUGGGGACCCCUAAACCUGAUCCAAGAGCACUGGGAGGGAGAGACUGAGACAGGUGGAGUCCCAAUCGUGCCCUAUGUAUUGGAACUCCAGGACCGAAUGGAGCAAUUAGCCAAAUCUGUACAAGCUAACCUCCAGUCGGCCCAGAGGAGACAAAAAGUAUGGUACGAUUGGGGAGCACGGAAAAGGACUUUUGUCCUGGGACAAAAAGUGCUGGUACUCAAACCGGUUAAGACCGAUAAACUCCAAGCCUCCUGGCAGGAACCGUACCAGGUGGUAGAGAAAAAGGGAGACACCACCUAUGUUAUCGCUAGUUGCCACCAUAGCAACCUUAGGAAAACGUUUCACGUGAACAUGCUCAAGGAGUACUUUGAGCGACCGGAAAACGUGACAGCCAUCUGCUGCCCACUCCAGGAAGAUCCCGACAGCCUACCAAUCCCUGACCUGCUAGAACGAGGGUCCCACUCAGAUAUAAUAACCCAGGUCAAGGUAGGGGAUCGACUUAGUAUCACUGAGAGGGAGCAGCUUAACCAACUGCUUCGAGCCAAAAGUCCCACUUUCUCCCAGAAACUUCAGCUAAGGGUUAUUGAGCCGUCCGAUAGUCCAUGGGCUUCACCAGUAGUCCUAGUACCCAAGAAAGAUGGGACUACCCGAUUUUGUGUGGAUUAUCGGAAGCUCAAUGAUAAGACUGUGACAGAUGCAUAUCCUAUGCCCAGGUUAGACGAACUACUCGAUCGCAUCGCCAGGGGAAACUAUCUGACUACCAUUGACCUCUGCAAAGGCUAUUGUCAAAUCCACGAUUAGGAAACUACAUGUAAGAUUACUGGAACAUUUUAAUGGUAUUAAAAAUAAGAACACAAAACAUAGUGUUCCUAGACAUUGUAAUGUUUGCAGGGAAUUUGAUUUUAAAGAUUUUUUGUGUAUUGGAAUUGAUAAGGUUAUACCACAUUGGAGAGGGGGGGACACUGAAAAGAUGUUAGCGAAAAGGGAAACAGAGUGGAUAUAUAAAAUGAAAUCCUCUGUUCCCUUAGGUCUUAAUACAGAUUUAGAUAUUUUGUCUUUUAUGGAUUGAUUCAUUUAUUCUUAGGUCUGGUAUUUAUGUAUUUUCACAUUUUUAUAUAUAUGUUUUUAUAAUAAUGUUUUUAUUUAUCUAUUUGUUUUUUUAAUAUAGGUUGUUUCCGGAUUUGAUUAUGGUCUCUAUGAAUUAUAUGUAUAUACAUAUAUAUAUAUAUAUAUAUUUUUUUUAGAUUUUUUUAUAUAUAUAUUUUUAGAUAUGCAUCUAUUGUUAUGCUGAUUGGGUUGAUUUUCUUUGAUUGUAUUGCCAUUUAAGUUUUUACCAUGGAUGUUUCUUGUUUAUUCGGUGGUUAUCAAUUAGUUUAUUUAUCAAUUUAUUUAUCUAUUCUCAUCCGUAUUUAUCUUUAUUUUUAUUAAUAACCAUUAUGUCUAUUGGCUGGACUAUUUCUGAUUAUAUUGCCAUUUGUAUUGCCGUUUAAGAUCCAAUUAUGGGUCUCCCUUUUGCAUCUUUUGUAUCAUUUAUGCCCGUUUUUUAUUGUACUUUGGAUAUGUCUAUAAGGGACUGAUUUUGAUGUAUUUCCUAUUCUGUAUAAAUGUGCUUCUAGUUUUUUGUAUUCUUCCAUAUUUUUAAUAUUUUCUCUUAAAUUUUUUUUAUUAUGGCUUUUUAAUAGAUCCUUGGUGGAUCCUAUAUAUAUUUAUAUUUAUAUGUAUAUUGGAUGUACUUUAUUUGCCCCUUCUAUUAUUAAAUUUUUGGAUAAAAAUUUUUUUGGAUAUAUAUUUUCUUUCAUACAUCCUGAUAUAUGUAUAUAUAUUUUUCUUUUCCAUAUUUUCUAAUCAAUUUUUAUUAAUUUUUUUUUUUUUUAUAUAUAUAUUUUUCUUCUUCAUAUUAACAUUCAUUAUUCCCCAUGAAGCCACAUUUAUAUUUCAUUUGUGGGUUAGUUAUAAUUGUUAGUAUUUAAGCUAGCCGCCAGGCUUUUUUAUGUAAACACAGUUUACAAAUAUAAAACGAUUGCCCUUGAUGUAGGACACUCGGUUGUUUUCUGUGUAUAGGAACAAUAAAGUUUAUUUGCGUUCCAGGGUGACCGCGCAUGCGCGGAACGUAUACGCGUGCGUCAUUACGUAUGACGUUGCGCGUGACGUACGCAUGCGCGAUCACCAGGGGACCGGCGGACCGGCGGAUUUAAAAGGGGGAAAGAAGAGGAAGAAGACAAGAAGCUCCUGACGAAGUCUGAGAGACGAAACGCGUUGAGCCACAGUGGGACCCUCCAGUUUUGGUAUCAGCAGUUUCUGCUUUACAAAAUUGUUGCUUAUGAGAUUGUUUGUGGACAUUACUGGUGAAUAUCAUUUUUAGAGUGAUGAGAGUUGCACUUUCUCACUUUAUUGCACAGUCUGCACUUUAACAUUUGCACUUUUUGUCAUUUUGAGCUGCUUUACCUAUGGGUCCAUUUGCCUAUUAAGGCUUUUUAUAUAUAUUUUGUUUUAUUAUUUGCACAUUGUUGGUGCAUUCAUUAUUUUAGUUUUUUCAAUAAACUGCAUUAUACAUAUCCUUUUUUAUCUUUAUUUGUUCAUCUGGUGAUUUUGGCGCCCUGUAUUGUCUUAGUUUUAUAUUGUCAAAUCCCCCUGGCCCAGGAAGCUAUCCCCCAGUCGGCAUUCGUCACCCCGUUUAGCUUAUACCACUUUAAGGUUAUGCCAUUCGGGAUGAAGAAUGCCCCAGCUACAUUUCAGCACUUGGUGGAUAGACACCGGGAUGGCUUCCAGAGUUUUGCGUGUGCAUAUCUGGACGACAUAGCGAUCCACAGUGACUCCUGGGAGGACCACUUGGCUCACGUAGGUAUGGUUCUGGACCAGAUUCGGGCUGCAGGCCUGAUGCUGAAGCCCGAAAAAUGACAUUUUGGGAUGGCCGAGGUCCAGUACCUAGGGCACAGAGUAGGGUGUGGGAAACAACGACCAGAACUGGCCAAGAUAGAAGCCGUAGCCAAUUGGCCUACCCCCACCACUAAGACUCAGGUCCUAGCCUUCUUGGGUAUGGUCUCGGGAGAUAAUGGCAGACUGCUAAGAUGGAGCUUAUCUUUACAACCCUUUAACUUCACGAUUGCCUACAGACCUGGAAAACAGAAUGGCAACGCCGACGGGUUCUCCAGGCAGACAGAUCUCCGUCCAGCGUAACCACCAUCUGGACAGCCUUAGUCUACCCCAAAAAGGGGUCAGACGGUGUCUGCCAGAGUGUUCCACAAAGAGGGAGCACUGUUACAAACUAUUGGUUACUGUUAUUGGAUCGUUACAACUCAGAAGCGAAUGUUACUUAUUGCUACAUUUCACCCAGAAUUGGAUUACAAUAUGGGUAUUUGAUACCUAGCUCCCGAACUACGGACCUGCUGGCUAUUCGUGAUACGAAUGGCAGACCACCAGGAUCUUGGCGUGUGCCGCCACUUAACCCCGUUCACCUCGGGAACAGCCGAACGGCCGACCACCCGACGAGCGGAGUGUGUCUCCACUUAACCGCCCGGAGAGUUGCGGUCUGUGGUUAACCGCAACCUAAUUGAUGACAGCCGGGAGUCCACGUUUGUGCCCCAUCACCCGAUACUCUAACUACCGAACAGGUACCGAACAAAGGGCCACCUACAGCUUGGCAUGUGGCUCCAAUUAGAAUGUUGGUUUCUGCGGUUAACCUGAGGUUAAGUACCCCCCUCCCGAACACCGGAGACUUCCAGCGAAGGAGCGGGGAUUCGCACAGACUGGUUCCUGUUCCACAAGUUUGAGGGUGAAGUCCCGCGGCCUAUUAGCCUACCUCAAAACAUGGCCCCCAACACAUGCUCAGAACCCAAAUACACGAACAGACUUUCGUUCGAGGAAAUACCGCAUACCAUUCGUGGGUUCUGAGCGCUCUUCGGUUAAUUGUUUCGCCUCAACCGGGGCUAUGUAAUGAAUGGUGGAAGACACGAAUUAUGUAUAAAACUGUUUGAGUUAUGUAUUUGUAUUCUGUUUUCUAUGUGGCAAAAACACGUGGGGUUUUGGGCGCUUGGAGAAAAUUGUAUUGUAAUAACCGUUGGAUUCAUUAUCUCCAAGCUGGGCGGUGACGAUUUCAAAUGGUGCAUUGCAUUUCUAUUGGUCCCCCACUUGUAUUGUCCCUGUAUCCCAUCAGGUCCAGAGGGGGCUGUCCCUGGACCUGAGAUUUUGCAUAAAUACUGAUACCUGUGUGCCAUUAAACCCAGUUCUUGUUUGACCUACAAAUCGCAGCCUUGACUCGUUUUGUGGGGAAAAGAGUAUCCUAGCUGUACUAUAGGUAGUGGGAUUGUUCUACAUUUACAGGAUUCGUAUGGAAUAACUCCCGACGGAACUGUCCCCUUUCUCUGCCUUUGGGAUCCUGAUCAUCCAAGCUGUCCAGCUUCCAGCUAGCCUGGAGGUAACCGUAACAACCCAGUCUCCCUUGAAUAUAGAAACCGAUACAAGAAAACAUAGUUAUACAUUAGAAAUGGAAAAGUGGUAACAUAGGUGCAGGUUAUACAGUGUUGAUGUUGGACAUAGGUUAAGAAAUCAAGCCUUAGUAACAUGAUUAUAGGAAUGCACCGGGUAAGCAUUUACAUGCUUAGUUGAGUGAAAACCAAAUAGUGUUUAUUUAAGCGAACCAGUGUAUCAUCAGCAUCUACUGAUAUAGCAUGAAAAACGAUGAACACGCAAUGCGUUUGCUUUACCUAAACAAAACAUAAGACUAACUUAAAAUAUUGACAUGUGCAAUAUGGAUACUGACCAAUAGAGGCCGAUAUUUAACACUUAGUAUUAACUGAACAAAGAAUUUAUAAACAUUCCGUAAGAUUACGUGUAGAAAAUAAACAUUAAGGACUAGACAAAAAUGGUGCCUAGAGAGAUACCAGCUAUACCUCACUGAUGAUGCCUAACAAGGCUGAAACGAUCGUCUGGGGUUGCUGUAUCUCUCGUGCAGAGAGAACUUGCUGGCAUUUCGGAUCUGGACUGCCCGUAUGGGUGGGACCAGUCUGAUAUGCUUCAGAUAUGUUCUCUCUGUAAUGGCACAAGUUGAGCUAAAACCAGCUUGAGUUCUGAGCGGGGACCCACCGAAGGGCAGGCUAUUUUAGCUGCUGUCCGUCCUCAGAAUACUCUUGCGACCCCUUUUUUGCUCUCCAUUAGUUUAAAGGGUAAUCCAGACAUGGACCCCUUGCUCACGGUGCCUAGAGAGAUACCAGCUAUGCCUCACUGACGAUGCCUAACAAGGCUGAAACGAUCUUCUGGGGUUGCUGUAUCUCUCGUGCAAAGAGAACUUGCUGGCAUUUCGGAUCUGGACUGCCCGUAUGGGUGGGACCAGUCUGAUAUGCUUCAGAUAUGUUCUCUCUGUAAUGGCACAAGUUGAGCUAAAACCAGCUUGAGUUCUGAGCGGGGACCCACUGAAGGGCAGGCUAUUUUAGUUGCUGUCCGUCCUCAGAAUACUCUUGCGACCCCUUUUUUGCUCUCCAUUAGUUUAAAGGGUAAUCCAGACAUGGACCCCUUGCUCACGGUGCCUAGAGAGAUACCAGCUAUGCCUCACUGACGAUGCCUAACAAGGCUGAAACGAUCGUCUGGGGUUGCUGUAUCUCUCGUGCAGAGAGAACUUGCUGGCAUUUCGGAUCUGGACUGCCCGUAUGGGUGGGACCAGUCUGAUAUGCUUCAGAUAUGUUCUCUCUGUAAUGGCACAAGUUGAGCUAAAACCAGCUUGAGUUCUGAGCGGGGACCCACUGAAGGCAGGCUAUUUUAGUUGCUGUCCGUCCUCAGAAUACUCUUGCGACCCCUUUUUUGCUCUCCAUUAGUUUAAAGGGUAAUCCAGACGUGGACCCCUUGCUCACGGUGCCUAGAGAGAUACCAGCUAUGCCUCACUGACGAUGCCUAACAAGGCUGAAAUGAUCGUCUGGGGUUGCUGUAUCUCUCGUGCAGAGAGAACUUGCUGGCAUUUCGGAUCUGGACUGCCCGUAUGGGUGGGACCAGUCUGAUAUGCUUCAGAUAUGUUCUCUCUGUAAUGGCACAAGUUGAGCUAAAAUCAGCUUGAGUUCUGAGCGGGGACCCACCGAAGGGCAGGCUAUUUUAGCUGCUCUCCGUCCUCAGAAUACUCUUGCGACCCCUUUUUUGCUCUCCAUUAGUUUAAAGGGUAAUCCAGACGUGGACUCCUUGCUCACGGUGCCUAGAGAGAUACCAGCUAUGCCUCACUGACGAUGCCUAACAAGGCUGAAACGAUCAUCUGGGGUUGCUGUAUCUCUCGUGCAGAGAGAACUUGCUGGCAUUUCGGAUCUGGGCUGCCCGUAUGGGUGGGACCAGUCUGAUAUGCUUCAGAUAUGUUCUCUCUGUAAUGGCACAAGUUGAGCUAAAACCAGAUUGAGUUCUGAGCGGGGACCCACCGAAGGGCAGGCUAUUUUAGCUGCUGUCCGUCCUCAGAAUACUCUUGCGACCCCUUUUUUGCUCUACAUUAGUUUAAAGGGUAAUCCAGAUGUGGACCCCUUGCUCACGGUGCCUAGAGAGAUACCAGCAAUGCCUCACUGACGAUGCCUAACAAGGCUGAAACGAUCGUCUGGGGUUGCUGUAUCUCUCGUGCAGAGAGAACUUGCUGGCAUUUCGGAUCUGGACUGCCUGUAUGGGUGGGACCAGUCUGAUAUGCUUCAGAUAUGUUCUCUCUGUAAUGGCACAAGUUGAGCUAAAAUCAGCUUGAGUUCUGAGCGGGGACCCACCGAAGGGCAGGCUAUUUUAGCUGCUGUCCAUCCUCAGAAUACCCUUGCAACCCCUUUUUUGCUCUCCUUAAGGACUAGACAAACUAAUGAGGGCCAUAUGUGGGCCAGAAUAACUGUAACCACUUAACCAAAUGCACAGUGAAUUGUGACUAGUAGCAGUGAUGGACUCCAAUGCAGAGCUUUGUGGAUCUGAAACAAAUAUAAUACAUGUUUUACCGCAUCUGAUCGCUAUGAUAUGAAUAUAAUAUAUACACUUAUAAACCCACCUAAUUGCUUCUGGAGAGCAAAACUUAAGAGUUGUGCCCGGAAGAUCCAUGGCCUUAAUGUAAGUUAAGUUUGAAGGUAGAUAACCUCCCUAUGGUUUGAACAAUAAGAAUUGGCAAUUAACCUGAAUAACACAAUUGAGUCCUCUACAAAGAGAAACAUGCAUAACGUCAGAAUAUACUGAUAAGGAGUGAAAAAAGAAUUAAAAAGCAAGCGCUUGUUUAACCUGAAUUAAUCACUUUAAAAUAUCAAACUUCAAAUAUAGCCAGUGCAAUAUCAAAAUUGACCACUAGAGGACGUCAUUAAACAUGCAGCAAUUACCCUACUUCAAUUAAACUCCUAUGCAAUAUCAAAACUGACCAAUAGAGGCCGACAUUUAAAACAUACAGUAUUUAACUGAAACUGUGAAUUAAAACGAUUCGUAUAAAAUCGUGUGAAAACUACUGCUAAAAUAGAGCAUUCGGUUAUAAAUAUACGAACAGCCCUUGUGGUGGGCUAACUUUUGUAUAUAACCGAACGUUCCUAGAUUAACAAAAACUGCACAAAAUAAUAUAUAUAUAUAUAUAUAUGUUUAAGGCUGCAGGCCUGUAUUUGUGGGAGGAGUUAGCAUUCCUAUAAACGCUUUGUGCACAUUACUGUUACACGAUUUUGGUUAGUGAAUGGGAAGAUCACUGUAUAAUAAAUUUGUACUGCUAAAAAACAAUGCAGCUGGCUAACUGUUCUUGGGGCAGGGGGGCGGGGACACACACCUCUCAUAGAUAUUCCAAGUUUAAGACUAGGAUUACUAAUUAUAAUCUGCAAGUUACUUAUAGUGGUUAUGCAAGAUACAGAUUAUCAUUUUAUCUGUUACGUUACUCUUAGUAAUUAGGCAUUCUACUACUGUUAUGGUUAUUAUGCAUGUAGAUAUCCUUUACUUUCUUGACAUGCUACACCUCAAUUUCAGAUUUCCUGAAGGUCAUUCUACCCUAUAGUCCGGGUUAUUGGUUCAUUAUUGUAGUUCACAUCUCUCUCUACUAAUUGCCUCUACAUGGCCACGCUUCAUCCAUAAACGGGGUACCACGGAACGGGGGCUUGAUUCCUGCCUUGCCUCGUAAGGCCACGGCGUCACUCGACUAAGUCCAUCAUAUGUUAUCCAAACUAUACAAACUCACUACAUGUCAAUAAACGACUUGAUUCUUUUUCACUGCUGGUAUCAGGACUAAUCACAGGCACCUCUUGGUCAUACCAAGUCUUUCCAUCAGAUACUACCACGCUUAAAUAGCACUACCUGAUCAUGGAAUUUCCUUUUUUGGAGAAUGCAGUAGCUAUCUCUAUAAUUUCAAGCAUACUCGGGUCCUAGGUUACAAUACUAUCAGCACUAUUAUUCAGAAACUCCACAAUACUAUACUUAGGUUUAUUUUUAUUAUUUUUUUUAUCCUUCUUUUACUUAUGUUGUAGGUCUCAUAGGGAACCUUUUGGUCACUAGAAAUCACAAUUUGUGGUUGGCUAGGUACAUUGCCUAGUUACUCACAUCACCCCUUCAUCAAGCCCCCUUCCAGGGUCAGAGAACUGGCUGUUCAGGGUUAGGUGCUGGCCUUAGUUAUACAUUAUAGCUGGCCCUGUGAGGCCAACUCCCCAAUCUCAACACAAAGAUUUUCACCCCUCGGCCCAAAUCAUAGUCAGAGCCUCGCAUUCACACACCUAUCGGGUUUAUAGUUAGGGCCUCACCGGUCACGGCCACACGUUUUUGGAUCUUUACUGUCACCGAGCCGCUCACCUGCCACUUGACAACUAUCAGGGCAUCACCUGUCAUGGGGUAGAUAGUUUUUAGCUUCGGCACUAGUUAGCAAGCCAGUUCUAUGUAGCUCAAUGGGGUGAUAUUAAUCAUACCUUUGUUGUUGUGUUGUUCUUUUCUUGCAGUAUGUCCCAGGAAGCAAACAUAGGCGAAGUGCACGUGUGCUCCAUAGCUCAUUCUAAGUCCAUGUGCCCAUCUAAAUUGAACCCUAAACAAUGACUAACUGAGAUGAACAUAGGGAAUUUGGCAUUCUACUUGAAUACUCUUCCGUCCCCUCACUUGGUGGAAUACUUCAUUCACAGGUUUUCACAAGGUUUCCACACUGGGCUAAACUCCUAUCUGCGGUACACAAACCACAAACAGUUGAUGAUCUUAUUGGGUAAGAAGUUCAAAAAGGGUUUCAUGAUAGGCCCCUUUCCCUCCCCCCCUCUUUUCCUCCUCGUGCACAAAUCCGAUUGGGAUAGCCACUAUUAAAUACUCAAAUAAAAAAAAAAUAAUCAUUGAUCUGUUGGCUCCUCAUUCAUCUACAAACCCAAGCCUAGACUCCCUCAUACUGUCCACCGAAUUCUCUCUACACUGUACCACUGUGGAUAAUGGUAUACAGGCAAUCGUGAAAGCUGGUAAAGCUGCGUGGCUCGGCAAGAGCGAUAUCACCAAUGCUUUCAAGUUGCUACCUAUCCAUCCCUCAUUAUGGCAUGUUCAUGGGGUUAAGAACAGAGAGAAAUAUUACUUAACUUCCAGGCUCACUUUUGGGGCAAAAAGUAGCCCCAAAAUUUUGACACAUUUACCGAGACUCUUUGCAGGCUUCUCCUCAACAUCACUAGGUGCCCCAGGGUGAUACACUAUCUGGACAACUUUUUAAUGGUGGAAAGUAGCAGUAGCACUACAGCACUAUUUGCAACUCUAGGAGUUCCACUUUCACAAGACAAAACCACUGAACCCACAACCAGACUUAAUUUUCUAUGAAUCAUGCUGGAUUCCAAUACCAUGCAGUCAAGUCUCCCCGAGGAUAAACUCCUAUGCAUUCGCAAAGACGUGAACAGGUUCCUGCAACUAGGAACUUGCACCCGGAAGGACCUACAAUCUUUGUUAGGUUCAUUAAACUUCACCAUGUGCAUUAUCACCCAGGGAGAUAAUUUAUUUCUAGACUGCCACGCCUAUUACCAGGUCUGCCCAACGGCAAUACUGAUUGUUUAGAUCCUCCAGCUAGGGCAGAUCUGGGCAUGUGGCAAGAGUUCCUUGAACACUGGAAUGGGAUUUCAAUGUUCAUUCCCCUGGCAUCUGACCAAUCCCCAGUCAUUUGGACAGGUGCAGCCGCUAACACUGGGUUCGCAGCAAUCUAUAAAAAUCACAGGUUGAGAGAUUGCUGGCCGAAAGAGACACUCAAACUACCUUCCUUUCACGAGACGUCUGCUUUAUUCGAAAUUUACCCGAUAGUAGUGGCGGCAUUCACAUGGGGCAAAUCCUGGUCAAGCAUGGCAGUCAAAUGUUAUACAGACAACAUGGCAGCCUGUGACAUAAUUAAUUAGGGUCGGUCAUCUUCAUAGACCAUUAUGAGGUUAGUUCGCAGGCUAACCUGGUUGGCUGUCACAUAUCAGUUCUUCCUCUUCUGCGAACACAUACCAGGCUACUCCAACUCUGCCGCUGAUGCCUUAUCUUAUUGUAAAUUUCAGGAAUUCUUCGUUCUUCACCAAGCAGCCAACAAAUACCCCACCCAAACCCCGGAGUUCAACAAUUUAAUCCUGGACUAGCGCGGCUAUUGGCGCAAGGCAAGUAAAUUGGCACAAGCAGUGUUGUCCACAAACACAAAGAAAACCUACAAUAGAGCUAUGGUAAUUUUUCUGAUUUUUACCAUAGAAUCCAACAUAUACGAUCAUUCGAUCCAAACCAUGGUAGCAUUUGCCGCAUUUUGCCACCUUCCUCUCAAACGUUCUUAUAACACUAUCAAACUCUAUCUAUCAGGUGUACAACACCACAUUUUGACCACUAUGCCAAAUCAAACUCCUUUUAUUUCUGUUUACCCUGUGAAGAACAUACUAAAAGGCAUAAAUAAAUUAGAUCAUCACACUACACAAAAACGUCUACCUAUAGAUGGAGAGAAAUUCCGGGCUUUAUCAGACAUACUGGACACACUAUCAUUUGAUCCCCAUACAAACCUGGUCAUAAAAACCUCUAUGUACAUAGUAUUCUAUGGAUUCCUGAGACCUAGAGAAUUCACAACCCAGUCAGACAGUCAUUUAUGUCUCAUCAUGAUAGAUACAUUACAGAAUGUGGCCUACUAUAAUUCUAUCAAUUUUACAGAUGGAUUCAGGGAAUUUUUUUAAAUAGAGCCAAUACCAAACAGUUAGGCAAUUCGCUAGAAGUGCCCUUCUACCCUACUGAGAAUCAUUGGUGCCCUGUCAAAGUUUUAGACAUUUAUCUAGUACUGGUUAGGGUCAAUUCUAGCCACUCUCCACUUUUUACACUGCUAGACAGUCCCCUCACUACUCCCAAGUUCAUAUUCUACAUCAGAACUCUGUGCAUCAGAUUAGGUUGGGACCCUACCUCUUAUUCUGGGCAUUCAUUCAGAAUAGAGGCCGCAUCAGCCGCAUCUAGUGUCAGUACACCAGUACACAUCAUCAAAAAGUUGGGACAUUGGAAAUCCGCAGUAUACAAUAGAUAUAUACCACAACCAGAAAAAGAGUUAAGGAAUGCAUUUAAAAAUCUUGUAUUAUAAUCAUGUUUGCAAUAAAAUGUGUUUUCUGCAUUUCUUUUGCCCUCUAUUAUAACCAAAAAACAAACACAAGUCCUGCGCAUCCAGGAUGCGCAGGACUCGUGUUUGUUUUUUGGUUGUAUAUACACUGUUGGGACUUCAGUGUGGAGUAUCUGCAGCACAGGUCUAACUUGUUCUUAAUUUUAUUUUGAAUUUUGUAGGCAUGUUUUGCCUCUACCUCACCCUAUAUAUAGUGAUCCCUCUUUAUUACAGACGUACCCCUACGUCGGUUUCGGCACACCACACCGACUUACUCCAAUCACAAGGUAUUUCACGGUCUCUAUGUUCACCGACCACAAGUUUAAGGCUGCAGGCCUGUAAUUGUGGGAGGAGUUAGCACUCAUAUAAAAUGCUACUCCCCCAUCUUACCUUUGCCGUAGCGUUCUGUUCACCCCACCCACCUCACCCUCUUCAUACCUAAACAAUUCCUCCAGGGGGCCCUCUUUAUUACAGGCUUACCCCUACGUCAGUUUGGGCACCGACCACACACAUAUAUAUAUAUAUAUAUAUAUACAUCUUUGUUAAUCUGUUCUAUACACACCAAAAAAAAACAUUGAUUUUGCUACAAAAAUCUGAGCUGUUAUCAAAACAGUGCAGUCAGGUAGUGAGAUCUCUAUUAAAGUGUUUUUUUUACUCCAAGCAUCCUUUGCAGUGAGUUACUGAGAUCAAAGUGUUCAAAUCUUUUUGCUCCAAAUCUGACUCAGAAAUCCUGCUUAAAGGGAAACUAUAGUCACCAGAACAACUUCAGACAUUUUCAUGUAAAAUUUGCCCAUAGGGACACCUCCAAGUGGUCACUCCUUAGAUGGCCACUGGAGGGUCUUCCUGGCUCAGUGCUGCGCUCUGCAUGGAGAUGCUGACUUUUCCUCAUAGAGCUGCAUUGAUUCAAUGCAUCUCUAUGAGGAGGUCCUGAUUGGCCAAAACUGCAUUUGGCCCUGCCCCGUGCCGAUUUUAGCCAUAGGGAAACCAUUGGAUUGGCUACAAAUCAGCCAUUUUGAUGAUGUCAUAAAGAGGGCAAAGCCAGCGGCGGCAGACUCGCACGGCACUGGAAAUAAGAUGUGUUUUAAACUUUUUUCAAAUCUUUUUGCUCCAAGUCUAACUCAAAAAUCCUGCUUAAGUUCAGUUCUUUCUUUUCAAAUAAUUUUUAUUGAAAGAUUUUGCAGAUUUCACAAGUAAUAAAAAAACGAUAUAUUAGGGGAGGGGAAAGGAAGGGAAAACUUGGAAGUGGGAAAAAGGGGGUAUCCAUCCAUUAUAACGGUAAGUAUGUUAAUGUACAAGGCACUUAAGUUGAAAAACAUUCCAUAACAAGUUAUUAAAGGUUAUAUAUUAAUGGUAAAUUUUCAGGCUAGACAAAAGUGGUAAGUGGUGUGCCUCAGGGUUCUCUUUUGGGACCACUUCAAUUUAACAUAUUUAUAAAUGAUCUUGAAAUAAGCAUUGAAAGCCAUGUAUCAGUGUUUGCAGAUGACACAAAACUUUGUAAAGUAAUAAAAUGUGAGCAGGAUAUUGCUUUGCUGCAGAGAGAUUUGGAUAGAUUGGGGGACUCGGCACUAAAAUGGCAGAUGAAAUUUAACAUAGAGAAAUGCAAAGUUAUGCACUUCAGGGUUAAGAAUGCAACUUACACACUAAAUGGUAGUGAAUUAGGGAUAACCACACAUGAGAAGGAUUUGGGAAUUGUUAUAGACAACAAAUUAGGCAGCAAUAUGCAAUGUCAAUCUGCAGUUGCUAAGGCCAUUAAGGUUUUGUCAUGUAUAAAUAGGGGCAUAAAUUCUCGGGAUGAAAAUAUAAUUCUGCCUCUUUAUAAAUCGCUGGUAAGACCACACCUUGAAUAUGCUGUGCAAUUUUGGGUGCCUGUUCUAAAGAAGGAUAUCAUCAGGAGAGGGUCCAGAGACGAGCUACAAAAUUGAUAAAAAGGAAUGGAGCAUUUUAGUUAUGAAGAAAGGUUAAAAAAAUUAAAUCUGUUUAGUUUGAAAAACGGCGCUUGAGAAGGGAUAUGAUAACUUUAUACAAAUAUAUUCGGGGCCAGUACAAACCUUUAUCUGGAAAUCUAUUCAUAAACAGGGCUAUACAUAGGACAUGAGUUCACACAUUUAGGCUGGAAGAAAGGAGAUUUCAGCUAAGGCAAAGAAAAGGUUUUAUUACAGUAAGAACAAUAAGGAUAUGGAAUUCUCUGCCUGAAGAGGUGGUUUUGUCAGAGUCCAUACAGAUGUUUAAACUGAAAUUGGAUAAAUACUUAAAAGAAACAUAACAUACAAGGAUAUAAUUUCUAAUUAGUGGGGUAAUAGCUGCUUGAUCCAAGGAGACAUUUGACUGCUAUUUUGGGGUCAAGAAGGAAUUUUUUCCUUGUUUGUGUCAAAAUUGGAAGCGCUUCAGACCAGGUUUUUUGCCUUCUUUUGAUCAACAGCAACAGCAACAACAUUUGUGAGGAAGGUUGAACUUGAUGGACGCAAGUCUCUUUUCAGCUAUGUAACUAUGUAAUAUGUUUUUUUUAUCAGUUUCCCAUUGAUCCCAGUGAUAUUUCAGUUGUGCAAAUAUAUGUGCGUUAUUUCUAUGUGAUAAUUCGUAUGAUUUGUUUUCUAGUGUUAGUGUUAGUACUUCUUUAACUGAGGGUGUGUUUUUAGAUUUCCAAUAUCUAGGUAGGCUUGUGGUUGCAGCUAUCAGAAUGUGGCAUAAUACUAUCAAUUUUACUGAUGGAUUCAGGGAAUUUUUUAAAUAGAGCCAGUUCAGAUGUGAAGCUACCUAUGUUACUGUUCACCUUAAUAAUUAAGUCAUGUAUCAUUUUCCAAUAUCUAGUCAGUCUUGGGCAAAACCACCAUAUGUGGUCUAUGUUGCCCAGUCCUCCGCAGUCUCUCCAACACCUAUCGCUGUACUUAUUAUUCAUAUUAUGCAAUUUAGACAGGGCCAGAUACCAUCGAUACAGAAUUUUAAAGUGGUUUUCGUGAUGGUUGGAGCAGAAAGAUAGGCCCUUCAGAGCUGAAAAAAAACUGACCCAAUCCUCCAACUUAUAUUGGGAACCCAGCUCCGUCUCCCGGGAUAACAUAUGCUUCAGUUUAAUUGAUGGUUUAUCGUUAUGUAAUAUAUAUCAGAUAGAUAAUGCCCUUCCUAGUUGGGUCAUGCAAAAACAGCUUUUCUAGUUGUGAUAUUUCUAGUGCUUUAUAAUUUUUGUCGGUUUCCGGUAUGUUGUAUAUUUCUUUUAAUUUCUCAAUCACCAACUCACAUUCAUCCUUACAUUCGUUUGCCAGUCUAUGCUUAAAUUGUAAUCUUUCAUACGACAGAAUACAGUUUCCAUGGAAAAAAUCGUCUAUAUGAUACAGUCGGUGUUCUUUAAGUAAUGAUGAGUUUAAGGUCGGGACGUAGUAUUUUAAAGAUUCAAUUGGCAUGGCUCUAUAUAGUUUUGUCAAGUGACAGUUAUUUUUAAAUACUAUAUCCCAGGCUUUAAUGUGGUCUUAGUGGUCAUAAACAUUUUAGUUACUACAGGUCUCCUUACAGGGCUUAGCCAGGGUAAUUCCCCAAGUUAAAAGGGGAGAAUGCUAGAUUCCUCCAUCUCCAUCCAUCUCUGCCUAUUUUUUUUGACUAUUAAAGCUUACAACAGCUGCAGCAUUAGUUGCAAAGUAGUACUUUCUGAAAUUAGGGACACCAAUGCCCCCAUGAAGUUUUUGGUGCUGCAGGGAUGUAAGCUUAAUUCUGCUGGGUUUGUUGUUCCAAAUAAAUUUUAGCAUUAUUGAAUGUACUUUGUUAAAGAAGGACAUUGGAACAGAUAAGGGGAUAGUUCUAAAAUAGUACAAGAUUUUUGAAAGGAUUGACAUUUUUAUGGAGGCAAUUCUUCCUAACCACGAUAACUCCACACCACCCCAUCUCUCCAUCUACUUGUGUCGGUCCGGCCAUGCUCUCUUCAAGUUAUGAAUAUGCAUAUUGGGUAAAUGUUUGCAUAAGUUAAUUCCUAAAUAUUCCAGGUAAUCCCUCCUCCAGUCGAAUGGAUAUGAUAUUCUUAAAGGACCUCUAUAGUGCCAGGAAAACAUACUCGUUUUCCUGGCACUAUAGUGCCCUGAGGGUGCCCCCACCCUCAGGGCCCCCCUUCCUCCGGGCUCUGGAAAGGGGUUAAAACUUACCUCUUUCCAGUGCUGGGCGGGGAGCUCUCCGCCUCCGAUCCUCCUCUUCCCCUCCCCGUCGGCUGAAUGCGCAUGUGCGGCAAGAGCUGCGCGCGCAUUCAGCCGGUCACAUAGGAAAGCAUUCAUAAUGCUUUCCUAUGGACGCUGGCGUGCUCUCACUGUGAAAAUCACGGUGAGAAGCACGCAAGCGCCUCUAGUGGCUGUCAAUGAGACAGCCACUAGAGGAUUAGGGGGAAGGCUUAACCCAUUCAUAAACAUAGCAGUUUCUCUGAAACUGCUAUGUUUAUGAAAAAAUGGGUUAACCCUAGAUGGACCUGGCACACAGACCACUUCAUUAAGCUGAAGUGGUCUGGGUGCCUAGAGUGGUCCUUUAAUGCAUCCAUAUCAGAUUUAUGCAAGUUGAAAGGUAGGGCCUGGGUCUUGGAUACAUUUAAUUUAUAAUAAGACACUUCUCCAAACUGGAGUAGAACAGUACUGAAAGAUUUCAGAGAGUCUUUUGGGUUUUUGAGUGCUAGAAUGACGUCAUCUGCAAAUAACCCUAUUUUAUGAGUGGAUCCCUUGAUAUUAAUACCUGCGAUUUCUGUGGUCGUCCUAAUCAGUUCGGCCAGGGUUUCCAUCACCAGGACAAAGUGAAUUGGAGAUAAGGGGCAGCCUUGACGCAUCCCAUUAGUUCGAGAAAACGUUCUGGAUUGGAAACCCGAGGCCGAUACAUGAGCUGUGGGUGCACUGUAUAGUGCCUUUAUUGCAGUAAUAAAAGAUUGUGGAAUAUCACAUUUGCUCAGUGUCUUCCAUAGAUAUCCCCAAUGUAUCCUGUGGAACGCUUUCUCUGCAUCCAAUGAAAGGAGCAGAGAAGGAGUUCUUGUUGAAUUGAUAUGCUGAAUUAAGUUAAUGAACCGUCUCGUUCCAUCAGGUGCUUGUCUACCUUUCACGAAUCCCACCUGGUCAUUAUUGAUCAAUAAAGGUAUUAGAUUAGUUAAUCGGUUCACUAGUAUCUUAGAAUACAUUUUUGUGUCGUUAUUAAUAAGUGAUAUGGGCCUAAAAUUACAGCAUCUGUCGGGAGUUUUACCAGUUUUUAGCAAGGUGACAAUUUGUGCGGACAAAGACUCUCCUGGCAUCUUCCCGCUGGACUUAUAGGAGUUAAAUAAUUUGGACAUAUGAGGAAUUAAAGCUUUUGCAAAGGUCUUGUAGUAUAAAAUGGUAAAUCCAUCAAGACCAGGGGCCAUUCCAGAUGGCAUGAGCUUAAACGCCUUGGCUAUAUCACGAUAUAUCAGAUAUAUCACGCUCUAAUUUUUCCAAAUUAUCAGAAGACAGCCGAGGCAAAGAAACCCUGUCUAAAAAACUAUUAAUAGUCGCCUCAGACGAGUGGGUGAGAUUUACAUCAGAUUCCAAAUGAUAAAGUAAUAGUUAAUGAUAAUAGUUGGCGAAUUGGUCACUAAUCUUAUCCAGGUGAAAUAUUUUUUGUCCCUGGUCAUCUAUUAAGUACGCAAUUUCAGAAUGGGCAUUCACCUGCCGGAGUUUGGACGCCAGGAGAGUUGAGGCCUUGUUACCCUUUAAAUAAAACACUUUCUUGAGGCGUCACACCAUGACAGUAGUUCGAUCCAAAUUUAUUUUGUGAAUUUUUGAUUUAAUCUCCCCUAUCAUUCCUGACAGGGAGGGAGAUGGGCCGAAUUUAUUUGCCUGAUUUAGGUUGUACAGUUCUUUUUCAAAAAUGUCUUAAGUUGCAGUUAUUUUUCCUCUUCAAGUGAGACACCCUAGAAAUGAAAUGGCCUCUCAACACAGCCUUGGGCACAUGCCAUGUCACCUCGCCAGAAACCUCAUGUGAAACAUUUUCCAAAAAAUAGUCAUUCAGUAUCCCUUCAGCUAGCGAUCUAUGUUCAGGAUCAUCUAAUAAGUAAUCACUCAGUUUCCAGUGCCUAUUGGGGGAGAAAGAAACAAUUUCAUCUAUAUGCAAAGUUAUGGGAGCAUGGUCAGACCAAUUGAUAUCUAAAAUAUCAGAUCUUGAGAUGUGUGGUAUGAGAGCGCCCUGUAUCAGAAACCUGUCCAGUCUGGAAUACAUGUUCUUGGAUACUGAGUAAAAAGUAAAGUCUCUUUCAUUCUCAUGCAUUAACCUCCCAUGAUCAUACAGUCCACAUUCUUUUUUGAGCAUUUCACAGCUAAUCUAUCACUACCUCUCCUAUGGAGUUUAUUCAAAUUAUCCCUUGCAUUAUCUAAGUCGCCAUCCAUAACGAAGUUCAUAUCUCCACACAUCACCAAAGUCCCUUUCAUGUUCUCAUUCACCAAAUCCAUAAUUUUCCUAAAGAAAGUAAGCUGACCCGUGGUAGGAAAGUACACACUGACAAUUGUAUACCUAACGUUGUUAAUCUUACCAAUCCAUACUAUGUACCUCCCGUCAUCAUCCGUCAUUAUCUUUUCUGUAGAAUUGGCCACAUUCCUGCUAAAAAAAAUGGAAGUACCUCUAGACUUAGUUUUGUAAGUGCAAUGAAAUUGGGAAGGUAAUAACUGUGUCAUAAAUGUGUACUCUUUUCCUUCCUUAAGAUGAGUCUCUUGAAUACAGACAAUAUCUGAUUUGUUGGAUUUGACUUCUUUGAACAAUAGUCACCUCUUGUGUGCGGUGUUCAGGCCCCUCACAUUAAAUGGCAUGAGUUUAAUGACCAUGACUCAAAUCAGACUACACAGCCAUUAAAAAGAGAUUGUACAGAAAUGUGGGAGCCCGAAGGCCCGCGUCCCAAGAGGAGAGUUAUGAAAUUCAACAAUCGUAAUAACAAAUACAUUUGUUUAGACAAGAAAGAGCGUGCUAAAACAUUUAAAGCAUAACCUGUUAGCUUCUUGAAUUGCUUACAGUGCAUUAUUAAAUGGAUGGGAUAAAAAGGAAAAAUUAAAAAUGGAGAAUGAUAAACUUGGAUAAAUUCCCCUAUAUGGGGAGAGAAAAAAAACUAUGUUUAGAAAAAGGGCAAUGAGGGAGAAUAAAAAAUAGUUCUGCAUCUCAGGGUAUUAGGCCCCGGUUGGGAGGAGAGAAAACUGCCUGCGGCAAGGGGAAAUAAUCAAAGCUUUAAAGAAAAAUUAAAAAUGAACAGUGGUAUGAAGAGAAGAGCAAUAAAGAAUGGAGUCCUUCUAAUUCCGUGAACACAUCUCUAAUGAAGUCCAAUAUAUGCUCAGUAUGUCCCAGGCCUAUAUCAGAAAUCAGUAAUAUACAUUUAAAAACUUUGCUGUCCUAUAGACAUUUAACCAAGUGUUGAUGCACAAUAAAGAGCAUAAAGAAUGUGGACCCAAAAAAUUAGAGAGCGGGGAAAAAAAAAGGGAAAGAGAAAAAACAAUUUGUAAGUAAUAAGAUGGAUGUGAUAAAACAACGUGGAGAAAGUAAUAAAUCAAAACCAGCAAUAUGUAUGUUGGAGCUUUUGUGCCUUCAAAAAAUUAAAAGAAAGUAGCUUCAAGUGUCAUCCGCCCUACUUUUCUUGUGGGUGUGUCUUGGAGUAGAUGGUGAGGAUACGUGAGGUUGGUUUUGACGUCUGUUCAUGGCAUUAAGAAGAUCCAUCCCUUCCUCAGGAGAAGUGAUUGUGAAAUUUCUGCCAUCCAUAUGAAAGAGUAGUUUUACAGGGAAUCCCCAUCUGUAACGAAUCUCUCUUUGUCUCAGCUCUGUCGUGAAGGGUUGAAAUUCUCUGCGGCGUCACAUAGUGUAGGCUGAGAAAUCUUGGAAAAUGUUGAUAUAUUUAUAAUCCGCAGAGAGACCUGAUUUGCAAAUAGUGCUCAGGAUUUCCUAUUUUAUAUGAAAAAAGUGUAAUCUCACUAUGGUGUCUUUUGGAGCUGUUGCAGGUGCAUUGCCAGAUUUAGGGGGUCUGUAGAUAUGAUCCACUAUUAGAUCUAUAUUACUCUCAGAGCGGCGGAAUCACGGCUUCAAGUGCCGCAACGUUGGAGGGCGGCUCAGUGCACUCUGGGCGCUCGGCACGCUCAGAGUGCCGCGGACAAUCUCCUGCGAGCGGCUUAACAGAAGCUGAUAGCCGCUUGCGUGCUAUAAUUAAAGCAGCCCGGUCGCUGGUAUACAAAAGCGGGCCAGGAUACAGAGGAGGGUAUAGGGGGCUAUAAGCUUUGGGUAAAAUCUUUUUAACUAUUUUUUGGAAAUAAUGUAUCAAGUCCAAGGUGUCCACAUUAUCAGGUAUCCCCCUGAUCCUCAAAUUGUUACGCCUGCUCCUGUCUUCAGAAUCUGCCAUUUUUUCCGCUUGCAAGUUAACCUGUUUCUGAAGUUCCUUCACAGUGUUAACCAGAUCUAAAUGUGAUUGUUCUUGCACCUGCAUUCUGUAUUCAACAUCAGAAAAAACCUGAGUGGACUUUCUUUCUUUCCAGGCACUGUCAAAUCAGGAUUGAUAGAUGCCUACUUUCCAACAUGUCUAGUGAUCAAAAAGAAAUACUUUCAUUAUAGAGCAUGUAGCUAAAGGUUUGUACAUUCUAAGAUAGUGCACUUUAGCUCUGACAAUCAACUUUUUUUAGAGAUCUGAGGCUUCAAUCAAGAAUCCUUUGGCUGGGAAUUACUGAUACGUUGGGAGCAUCAGCUGACACUCUCAUCACAUAACUGACACACCCCAUUCUUAACACUGAAUAAAAAAGGUACGUAUCUUUUCCACUCAGUUUUAUCAAUGUGGUACUAGUGAUAUGCUGGUAGUAUCAGUAGCACUAAGUCUGAAGUUUCCUUGGCCUUGGACUUCUGAAGGAACUUGAUGGACAGAUCAAAUUAGCACUGUCUUUGAAAAUUUGGGGUAAACUGUUCAUUAAUGAUUUAAUCCCUUAAAAAAAAAGAAAUACUUUGCCUUGUUACCAUAACAACUUAAUUGAAAUUAAGUUGUUAUGGUGCCCUAAGUGGUCAUUUAGUUGAUAGGUUUUCAAACGUUUUUGCCUCAUACUCAUGUUUUUUCACUGCUCAAAUCUCUUUAGUUUUACUUAAAAAAAGAAAAGGCCAAUGAACGACCAAAUUAGAUGCAACAUUAACAUUCCAGGUUCUUAUUGCAAAUACUCUCAUAGCAAGGGCAUGGAAAUCCUCACAGACACCAAGCACAAAUGUGCUAGUCACACAGAUCACAACAAACUGGGACUAUGAGUGUAUGACCAAUGACUGCAUCAGAUAUAAUCCACUCACAAUGGCAGCGAAAUUGAAAUGAGACAAAUAUAUAAUGAGUGUCAAAGAUUCACUAUAGCAAAAAAAUAAUAAUAAUGAAAUAUAUAUAUAUAUAUAUAUAUAUAUAUAUAUAUAUAUAUAUUUGUGUUCGGGGCUACAUGGAAUAGGAUAUGACAGUUAGUUAGCAACCUGAGAUAGGAAAAAGUCAGAUGAGGUGUGCCGAAACCGACAUAUGCUGUAGGCCGGUAAAUAAAGUGGGCAAAAAGAAAUACAUAUCAUGCUCAAAAUUAGUGAUGUCCCGAACGGUUCGCUGGCGAAUAGUUCCUGGCGAACAUAUGCGCUGUUCGGUCCGCCCCCUAUUCGUCAUCAUUGAGUAAACUUUGACCCUGUACCUCACAGUCAGCAGACACAUUCCAGCCAAAUCAGCAGCAGUCCCUCCCUCCCAGACCCUCCCACCUCCUGGACAGCAUCCAUUUUAACCCCUUAAGGACCAAACUUCUGGAAUAAAAGGGAAUCAUGACAUGUCACACAUGUCAUGUGUCCUUAAGGGGUUAAAUUCAUUGUGAAGCUGCAUUCUUAGUGAGAGGAGGGACAGUGUAGCUGCUGCUGAUUUGAUAGGGAAAUUGAUAGCUAGGCUAGUGUAUUCAGUGACCACUACAGUCCUGAAGGACUCAUCUGAUCUCUGCUGUAAGGACAGCAUCCCAUAAAGCCCUUUUUAGGGUUAGAACAUCAGUCUUCUUUUUUUUUUCUGUGUAAUGUAAUUGCAAUUACCUGCCUGCCAGUGUCAGGCUCACAGCAUAUACUGUGCACACUUGCCCAGUGCCACCACUCACUCACUGGUGUCACAAUAGCUUGCAUUUAAAAAAAAAAAAAAACCAGUUUUGACUGUAAUAUAAUAGCAGUCAGUUUCCUUCACAAGUGUGCGUUUCAGGGCCUGCCCAGUGCCACCACUCACUCACUGGUGUCCCAAUAGCUUGCAUUUAAAAAACUUUUUGGACUGUAAUAUAAUAGGACUGUAAUUGAAACAAGGCCUGCCCAGUGCCACCACUCACUCACUGGCAGGGGCGGGCUGGGCCAGGGGGCAGGGAGGCAAUUGCCCCCCCGGCCGCCCUAAAUUCCUGUAAGGCCGGCCGCUACGGGCCGGCCCUUUAAAUACUGCAGCCGCCCGAGCGCUCUGUUAAGAGCCUCAGGCGGCUGCAGCUUCUCCCCUGUAGCGUGGCCGAGCUGCACUCCGGUCCGCGGUGGCCGGCCGGCCGGAGUGAUAGGAAGGUGCACACUGAGUGUGCACCUUCCUGUCAGUCCGACCGGGUACAGGAAACAGAAACUCCUGUUUCCUGUACCCGGUCGGACUGACAGGAAGNNNNNNNNNNNNNNNNNNNNNNNNNNNNNNNNNNNNNNNNNNNNNNNNNNNNNNNNNNNNNNNNNNNNNNNNNNNNNNNNNNNNNNNNNNNNNNNNNNNNAAUAGAGGGGAGGGGGGAAUAAAAAGAGAAGAGGGGGGGGAAUAAAAAGAGGGGAGGGGGGAUAAGAAGAGGGGAGGGGGGAUAAGAAGAGGGGGGAGAAUAGAGGGGAGGGGGGAAUAAAAAGAGAAGGGGGGGAAUAAAAAGAGGGGAGGGGGAUAAGAAGAGGGGAGGGGGGAAUAAGAAGAGGGGAGGGAGGGGAAUAAGAAGAGGGGAGGAGGGGAAUAAAAAGAGGGGAUAGGGGGAAUAAGAAGAGGGGAGGGAGGGGAAUAAGAAGAGGGGAGAUAAGAAAAAGAGGGGGUAAGAAGAAGAAGGGGUGAGUAAGAAAAAGAUGGGGGAGUAAGAAGAAGAAGAGGAGGGAGUAAGAAAAAGAGGGGGGAGUAAGAAGAGGGAGAGGUGGAAUAAGAAAAGGGGGAGGGCGGAGUAAGAAGGAGGGGAGGGCGGAGUAAGAAGGAGGGGAGAUAAGAAAGAGGGGGGUAAGAAGAAGAAGAAGGGGUGAGUAAGAAAAAGAGUGGGGAGUAAGAAGAAGAAGAAGAGAGGGGUAAGAAGAAGUAAGAAGAAGGAGUAAGAAGAAGGAGGAGUAAGAAGAAGAAGGGGGGGGAGGAAGAAGAAGGGGGGUAAGAAGAAGAAGAGGGAGGAAGAAGGGGGGUAAGAAGAAGUAGGAGGGUUAAGAAGAAGAAGGGGGGAGUAAGAAGAAGAAGGGGGGUAAGAAGAACAGGUGGGGGAGUAAGAAGAACAGGUGGGGGAGUAAGACGACCAAGGGGGGAAGUAUGAAGAACACAGGGAGGAGGGGGGUAAGACGAACACAGGGGGUGUGAGGAGAACACAUAGAGGGAGGAGUGAGAAGAACACAGGGAGGGUGGAGGGGGGAUGAGAAGAGCACAGGGAGGGUGGGUGAGUGUGAGAAGAGACCGCUAGGGGAGGGUGGGGAGAGGAGAGACCACUAAAGGUGCAGGGGAGAGCUCUACGGGACAGAAGGGGCAGCUCUAUAGGACAGGGGCCAAGACAGGGAGCUCUUUCACACCACGCGCGCACACACACACACACACACACACAAUGCAUCCCUAUACAUACACAGAAACACAACAUGCUUCCCUUACACACAGAGAAACACACAAUGCAUCCAUUACACACACACACACAAUGCAACCCUUACACACAAAGACAAUGCAUCCUUUGCACACAUACACAGAAACAGACAAUGCAAACCCGUACACACACAUGCAAACACACACACUUCUUUUCUUACAUACACACAGAAACACAAUGCAUCUCUUACACUCAAUGCACACACAUACAGACACACACCUUGCAUCCCUUAUGCAUACAAACACAGAUUCACACAAUGCAUCCCUUACACACAACCAGAAACACAUAAUACAUCCCUUAUACACAAAUACACACUGCUUCCACUACACACAAACACACUGCAUCACCUGCACAAACUGGUAACCCUAUACACUACAUACCAUAAGCACACAUAUUAGAUCCUCUACAAUAACACAUAACACAUCCCCUACACACUCCACUCCCUGUGAGCGAACUCAUGGGUGGGUGGAACUUAUGAGUGGGCCUUAUGGGCAUACUCACCAUCAGGCCCUGGGGCCCAGACCUUGAGCUGUGUAAGGGGCCCCAAAAAAUGGAGCUGCUUCCAAUUCUCCCAGAACAUUGAAUUUUGUGACCACAGUUGCAAACAGCCUCCAGAGAUCCUGUUCUACACCAGACCAGUGGAGCCAAACUGCAGCCCAUCAUCAUCCUCAUCUGCUUGUAAGUAGGCAAUCUAGUAUAUUAUUAGUGACACUAAUCUAUAAUGUACCUCACAUUAAAGGGACACUAUAGCUUAAUGAAGUGGUUCUGGUGUCUAUAGCUGGUCCCUGCAGGCUUUUUAAUGUAAACACACACUGUGUGCAGCACUGGCGUUAGUUCAUAUGGGUGGGGCAUUGUGAUGUCACAUGGGGGGGCAGCAAAUUUUUAUUUUGUCUAGGGCGGCAAAAAUCCUUGCACCGGCACUGAUCCUGGGCAGGUGCACCAGUCUACUGGUGACCCACAGGAGGGGAGUGCACUGAUUGCACUGCACUCUCCUCCUGUCCAGCCCCAUCUUUACCGCAGUGCAAGUGCCCUCUGCCCCUAAUUUACAGUGGCUCACACUCACAACAAGCAGUGCCUGGAGCCGUGAAGGAGCGGGUAUGGCAAAGAGCUACUGAUUAGCAUAACAUCAAUAUCCGUUAUAAAACCAGGAAAAGGUGGGCAUGGAUGGUGAACUGAUUUGGUGGUGCAAUGGGCCACUUGACUGGUUUUGCCCUCCAGGCCUAAGGCUGCCAGCCCUCCCCUGCUCACUGGUGUCCCAAUAGCUUGCAUUUAACCCCUUAAGGACCAAACCUCUGGAAUAAAAGGGAAUCAUGACAUGUCACACAUGUCAUGUGUCCUUAAGUGGUUAAAAAAACCAAAUAUUUUUGGACUGUAAUAUAAUAGCAGUCAGUUUCCUUCACGAGUGUGCGUUUCAGGGCCUGCCCAGUACCACCACUCACUCACUGGUGUCCCAAUAGCUUGCAUUUAAAAAAAACAAAAAACUUUUUGGACUGUAAUAUAAUAGCAGUCAGUUUCCUUCACAAUUGUGCGUUUCAGGGCUUGCCCAGUGCCACCGCUCACUCACUGGUGUCCCAAUAGCUUGCAUUUAAAAAAAAACAAAACUUUUUGGACUGUAAUAUAAUAGCAGUAAGUUUCCUUCACGAGUGUGCAUUUCAGGGCCUGCCCAGUGCCACCACUCACUCACUGGUGUCCCAAUAGCUUGCAUUUAAAAAAAAAAAAACUUUUUGGACUGUGAUAUAAUAGCAGAUAUAAUAGCAGUCAGUUUCCUUUAACGAGUGUGCGUUUCAGGGCUUGCCCAGUGCCACCACUCACUCACUGGUGUCACAAUAGCUUGCAUUUAAAAAAAAACAAAAAACUUUUUGGACUGUAAUAUAAUAGCAGACAGUUUCCUUCACACGUGUGCGUUUCAGGGCCUGCCAGGGCACAGUGUCACACGAGUGCAACUCAUAUCUGGUGUAACAGUAGUGUACAUUUAAAAAAAAAAAUACAACUUCGACUGUAAUAGAUUAAAUAGCAGUUAGUUGUCUGCAAGCGUGUGUGUCAGGCCUACAGCGUCUACUCUGUCAACUUCUGCCACUGCACAGUGCCACUCAUAUCUGUUGUCACAGUAGCUUGCACGCAUAGUACCACUAAUCGGAAAAAAAAAUGACAGGCAGAGGCAGGCCACCCCGCAGGGGCCGUCGUGGUCGUGGUGCUGUGAUUCCCUUUGGCCCUAGAAUAAUGCCCAGUGUUCAGAGGCCACGUACCCUGAACUCAAAAAGUUCUGAGGGCAUAGUUGACUGGCUAACACAGGACACCCAAUCUUCUACAGCUUCCGCUCGGAACCUUGACGCACCAUCCUCCUCCAGCUUAGCUUCGGGCACCUCUCAAGUUACCACUCGCCCGCCUGCUGCCACCACCAACACUAGCACCACAGCAGCUUCACUUGGUAUGUCAGAGGACUUAUUUACACAUCAGUUGGAAGAAAUGAGUGAUGCGCAACCAUUAUUGCCAGAGGAUGUAGAUAACAGGGAUAUGUCUCAGUCAGGCAGCAUUACACACAUGGACGUAUGGUGUGAUGAUGAUGAUGUUGUAGCCGCUGCUGCUUCCUUUGCUGAGUUGAUAGAUACAAGUGAAGCGGUUGAUGAUGAUGAUGCGUCCGUGGAUGUCACUUGGGUGCCCGCUAGAAGAGAAGAAGAACAGAAAGUUCAGAUGGGGAGACAGAGAGGAGGAGGAGGAGACGAGUUGGAAGCAGGGGGAGGUCGUCGCAAGGAGCUAGUGGCACAGUCAAACAGCAUGCAUCGGCACCUGGGGUCAGCCAGACAGCACGCCAAUCAACGCAUGCUGUUGCCACCACCAGAAUGCCGUCAUUGCAGAGCUCAGCAGUGUGGCAUUUUUUUUGUGUGUCUGCCUCUGACAACAGCGAUGCCAUUUGCAACCUGUGCCAAAAGAAAUGAGUCGUGGGAAGUCCAACACCCACCUAGGUACAAUUGCUUUGCGAAGGCACAUGAUCGCACAUCACAAACGCCUAUGGGAUCAACACAUGAGUACAAGCAGCACACAAACUCAAAGCCGCCAUCCUCCUCCUGGUCCAGCAUCUUCAGCCACGUUAACCACUGCUGUCCUCCUUGCCCCCUCUCAACCAUCCGCCCCUCCGUCUCUCGCCUUGAGCAGUUCCUGCUCAUCUGCCCACAGUCAGGUGUCUGUCAAGGACAUGUUUGAGCGUAAGAAGCCAAUGUCACAAAGUCACCCCCUUGCCCGGUCUGACAGCUGGCUUGACUGAACUCUUAGCCCGCCAGCUUUUACCAUACAAGCUGGUGGAGUCUGAGGCGUUCAAAAAAUUUGUAGCUAUUGGGACACCGCAGUGGAAGGUACCCGGCCAAAAUUUCUUUGCACAAAAGGCAAUCCCCAACCUGUACUCGAUUGUGCAAAAGGAAGUAAUGGCAUGUCUGGCACACAGUGUUGGGGCAAGGUCCAUCUGACCACUGAUACCUGGUCUGCAAAGCAUGGUCAGGGCAGGUAUAUCACCUACACUGCGCAUUGGGUAAACCUGCUGACGGCUGCCAAGCAUGGAAUGCAUGGCUCUGCAGAGGAGUUGGUGACACCGCCACGACUUGCAGGCAGGCCUGCUGCCACCUCCUCUACUCCUCCUACUCCAUCCUCUUCGAUAACCUCCUCAGCUGAGUCCUCUUCUGCUGCUGCGUCUUGCUCCACAUCAACGGCACCCCCCCUAGCUCCCCAGGCACUAUUCCACAUCCCGGAUACGGCAGUGCCACACCGUCUUGGGGUUGACUUGCCUGAAAGCAGAGAGUCACACCAGACCAGCAUUCCUGUCCACCCUGAACGCACAGGUGGAUCAGUGGCUGACUCCGCACCAACUGGAGAUCGGCAAAGUGGUUUGUGACAACGGAAGAAAUUUGUUGGCGGCAUUGCAUUUGGGCAAGUUGACACAUGCAUGGCACAUGUGUGUAAUCUGAUUGUACAACGCUUUGUGCAUAAGUACCCAGGCUUACAGGACAUCCUGAAGCAGGCCAGGAAGGUGUGUGGCCAUUUCAGGCAUUCCUACACGGCCAUGGCGCACCUUUCAGAUAUCCAGCGGCGAAAAAACAUGUCAGUGAGGCGCUUGAUUUGCGACAUCCUGACACGUUGGAAUUCAACACUCCUAAUGUUCGACCGCCUGCUCCAACACGAAAAAGCCUUUAACGAGUAUUUGUAUGACUGGGGUGCUAGGACAGGCUCUGCGGAGCUGGGAAUUUUUUUGUCACAUUACUGGACGCUCAUGCGCAAUGCCUGUAGGCUCAUGCGUCCUUUUGAGUAGGUGACAAACCUAGUCAGUUGCACCAAAGGCACCAUCAGCGACAUCAUACCAUUUGUUUUCUUCCUGGAGAGUGCCCUGCGAAGAGUGCUGGAUCAGGCCGUAGAUGAGCGUGAAGAGGAAGAGAAAGAGUUGUGGUCACCAUCACCACCAGAAACAGCCUUAUCAGCAUCGCUUGCUGGACCUGCGGCAACGCUGGAAGAGGAUUGUGAGGAAGAGUAGUCAGAGGAGGAAUGUAGCUUUGAGGAGGAGGAGGAAGACCUACCACAACAGGCAUCCCAGGGUGCUCGUUGUCACCUAUCUGGUACCCGUGGUGUUGUACGUGGCUGGGGGGAAGAACAUACCUUCAGUGAGAUCACUGAGGACAAGGAACGGGACAUGGCUAGCUUGGUAUCCAACCUUGUGCAAAUGGGGAGUUUGCGGUUGUGCAAAUGGACUGUUUGCGGUUGUUUGCCGUGCGUUAAACGGGGAGUUUGGUCUGUCAAUGUGAAGCGGGCGUAACCCUUACACUACCUGAUCGAUACAACAUCAUACCUGAUGUUUUAAAGCACGUUAUUCCAAACAAUUUAGGAAUGUUAGGUGAUUUAUGCCCUUUAUGGAUUAAAACCAGACUCUGCAUCAACUAUGUAAUUUUCCAUGGGAGUUUUGCCAUGGAUCCCCCUCCGGCAUGCCACAGUCCAGGUGUUAGUCCCCUUGAAACAACUUUUCCAUCACUAUUGUGGCCAGAAAGAGUCCCUGUGGGUUUUAAAAUUCUCCUGUCUAUUGAAGCCUAUGGUGGUUCGCCCGGUUCGCCGGUUCGCGAACAUUUGCGGAAGUUCGCGUUCGCCAUUCGCGAACCGAAAAUUUUAUGUUCGCGACAUCACUACUCAAAAUACCUCUCUUGAGUAAGGAACAUAAUACCAUAAAGUACAUUAAGAUGACAUUCCACGCGUGAUAACCGUAUGUAUAACCUGCCUUGGAGGUAGUGAGGAUAAUCCUGUGAUGUGACAGUAGCAGAAGAGAUGCGAUAUACAUUAAGGUUAGAAGGUAGGAAGCGAACCUUCUAAUCUGCACCUUAUUGUAUUCCUGGGAUAUCCUGUAAUGUGGACGGGUUGACCCAGUUGACUUGUUUUGAUGGCGGGUAGUCAGUAUGUAAUGAUCUUGAUGUUUGAUUAGGUAGGAGCUUCGAAAGCAAGAUGGUGCAUGGUGUUGGCCAUUGACGGUGAAUUCCAGUGGCCUCUGGAAGCUGUAAAAGGGCAGAUAAUAGGGGUUCCAUAGUAAGUGAAGGAUUUGAAAGUGGCUGAAUCUAGCAAUCAGACAGGUUGGAUACCCUUAAGUAUAGGCUGAUUGGAUGGGAUGUAAAGGAAAAUGCUUUGUUGGAAAGUAGAGAAUCAUGUGAUGUUGGAUGACCAUCAGGCGCAACUUGAUGGUAUAGUGAGAUAACCUAAAUUUAAGGUGGCAAAAUAAGAUAGCGAACAUAACCAGAGACAUAAUAACCAACAUCAUGUACUGCAGGACUACUUACCUGUGACGUGAAUAGUAAUGGAAAAGACUUGGUGACAGCAAUUGCUGGGAGAUCACUAAGGGCACAACUUGAGAUACCUUAGAAUCUGGAGGAUAUUGAAAUAUCAGAAUCUGCCUGCUACGUGAGCCCUAUGAGGGAUAAGGAAAUAGUGGUAAAUUUGUAAGUGAAGAGUAACACGAGUGACUUAGACUAAACCAGGUGUCCUGAAUAUGAAAAUACCAGACUGUGACGUGAAACUUAAACUGACUAGUAUCAAUGCAUAUUUACAACUUCUAAUUAUGCAGAACCUGUGUAAAGUAAGUGGAUCUUCCCUGAAAAUAAGGGAUAGCCCGGAGAUAGAUGACCGUAGAUAAGUGCUUAAUAUAGCGAGUGCCAAGUUGACUAACCAUCUUAUAUAGUGGACUUAAUAGAGUAGAAAGUGGUUGAGAAGCAAAAAAGUAUCAAUACUGUGGAAAACCUCAUUAGCGUAGGUCCUUAGUAUCAGUAUCGACAAGGUUAUACAAUUAAAAGUAUCUACAAGGACCAUAACGGUGGACAAGUCAAGCAAUAUUACUGAAAUACUGACUAUGAUAGUAGUUUGCCCUGAAAGAACCCAUGUACCGUUAGUAACAACUGAUUAAAUCAGCCAUGACAGGCCAUGGUGCCUUCUAGGAUUAUGGGUUAGGGCCGGCUCAUCUUAACAAUGAUAUGUUUCGUAUAAUAAUGAUGUCACAAUGUGUCUGAUAGGUGUGGUGUCACAACUUAGUGUAAAACAUUCGGAACCGAAAGUCGGAUAGCGUGACAGAAAGUCAAUAUCCCUUUGGAUAUCUGAACGUACAGGUACAAGUGUACAAUAUUGAAUUACGUUAUGAUCAUAUCCUUAUGGAGGACCUUGUGAGGGUCAGUGUGCUGUUGAUAGCAUGGUUCGACAACGUAUUUCUAGUCUUUCCAGUCACUGAUUUAUUUAUACCUUAGAGAACACGAGGGCUGAGAACGUUGCCAUGAGGUUGUUGUUGUUCGAGCAACUUGUGCCUUUCGGCCAUUACUGGGAAAGGGGCAUUGCGCCUGCAUAGUUCCACCUGAAUAUGAGGCAUGGUCCAUGACCUGAUGGAACCCGAUAGGUGUCACCUUUCCAUGUAGGCGUAGUGCACCAGACUGGAGUACUAGAGGUUGACAAGUCAUAACCUUUUUUUAUGGUUCUAAAACAUACAGAAACAUAUUAAUACAUAGCUUGAAUCAGGAUUGUCUCACUGGCUGGCUAGCUAGUGUUCAAUUGGCGAAGCAAUUUACUAGGUAGGUGACAGGUGAGGCCCUACUAGUAGCCAAGCGGCUUGAGAGGCUCUAUCUAUGUUUUGGCGCAAGGGGAUUUGUGGCCACCGAACGUCGUGGUGGGGUGUUUUUAUUCUUGUUGUAGUCUAAGGGUUUUUUGAGGGAUUCCCUUAUAGGGUUGCUGCCUUUUCUUAUUUCUAAGCGCUUACUCUCUCUCUUGAUUUGUAUUCUCGCGUUGCCUCCUUUCACUAUUUCGAACGACCUGUCAUGUAGACAAGUGCACCACCGAAAUGACCAAAUUUUGUCCAAACAGAAUGUUGAGACUUCUCCAUUUGUUUUCAGACAAAAUUCUACUUUAUUUUCAGUUCAGAAUCUGAAAUUUCAGAAGCCGGAUGCCGCCAGGGGGUUAGCUGAGACUGGCACAAGGGCAACUUUGGGGUUAAACCUUUCGAAAACAUUUUAACCAAUAUAAGUGAGAAUGCAUUAGGUUUCCUCCUGUACCUUUAACCCCUUAAGGACACAUGACAUGUGUGACAUGUCAUGAUUCCCUUUUUCUCCAGAAGUUUGGUCCUUAAAUGGGUUAAAUCCCCUACUGCUACACAUGGAUUGGUCUGUAUGGUGGGCCAUUUAAAAGACUACAGUCUCUGAUCUAUAAGUAAUUUAAUUUGUAAUUUAUUUUGAACCUGUAAGUUGAUAUGUAUCACUACAUCAGUUUUCCGUUAUUAACUAAAAAGAAUAUUCGAGAUCACAUAUUUUAAUAUUUGACUUUUCCAGUGCAAAAUAGAUGGGGAGAUCAUGGAUAGACAACCUGGGGCCCACUAUCUUUUCAUUAAUCAGGAAUUUAAAGUGCUAUAUUGCCAAACCAUAACGAUAAAAAGAUGCUGGAUUUGGAUUUUUCUUUUCUUAUCUUGUUUAUUUUUGAAUUUAUUUUAAUCAUUUAAUCCUUUGUUGACUCAUAAAAGUUUUAGUUGGAAAUUGCUCAGUACUUCAAACGCAAGUUGCCUAUAUCAGGGAUGAAAUCCUAUUUGUAAAUAGUUUUGCCUUCAAAAUACCCCACUUCUUUUCAUUAUUUUCCAUUAGAAAUUUUGAUCAUAGUGAAUUACUCCCUUUGUGCCACUUUAAAUUCCAAACAUAUGUAGGGUGUGGCGGAACUGCGGCCGUUCAUACGUCUCCCCUCCCUUUAUUAUGUGUGUUGCCCUAUGUGUUAGCAUAUUGUGCCUGCUCCCUGUUCAGGAGUGUUUCCACAAAGGGAAUCCAUUAACCUCCCAAAUGGGGACCACCCCAAUGGCCAUUUGGAACGCUUGUUAGAAUGUCCAUUAGAAUGUUCGCACCCUGACAUAGUGCCAAAACUGUAAGGGAAUCCUUGGUGCAUGUCCUCCCCUGCGCAGCUGCCGUUUCAUAUAGACACCAUCCAGGGGGAGCAUUCGGGAAUUGCUUCCCCGGGGCCCUAUUGGAAUGUUCACACCAAUCAAUUAGAACGUUAACACUCACAACAUAAGUGUGAAACUGCAAGUGAAGUCUGACGGAUGCCUCCUUCAUGUACUGCACCCUGUAAACUUUUCUGUGUAAGUCUACAUUGUUCUGCCUAUGCAUUUGGUAAACAAACUAAACGAACACUUAAAACCUAUCCAGUUUGUAUACCGAACAAACUGUCAAACCAACCGACCACUCAGGAACAUCAUGUACCGCUAUUUAACUCCCUUGACCUUCCUAACACCUUCGCUAACUGCAAUCCCUGAACAUUCUAAGUGGUCAGCUGGGUGGCCGCCAUUCGUAUGGAUGAACACGAAGUGGCGGCCAUCUUGUUUUGACAAACACUUCCAGCGGGGUUUGGUCAUCGACUGCAUGGAACUAUUAUUGGACACUCGAUGACCCGAAAAAACGCUGAGACUUCCAUCCCCACUUAUGUUCGUUCCCAUUCAUCUGACGAAAGCGGCGUUCCAAAUUCCAAAACCAUCGGACGAAAGCUGCGUUCCAAACCAAACUCCCAAACGAGGGAUACACAAGUAGCCUGCUCACGAACGGUUCCUUUCGGUAUUUUGUUAUGUUUAGAGUUCCUGAAAGAGACCAACCGCACAACCUGAAUCUCUGGAACUAAUUUGGGCAGGAGCCUCGUGUGUGGUCGGUCAGAAACAAGACUUCCAUAAAACUUUUAAACCCCUGAACCGAUCUGGGUGAUUUUUACAUAUGUUGUUCCCCCAGAUCGGGGCUAUCAUGAGAUUGAACUUGUGUGGGGGUUAUGUGAGUUUUUGAGGUUCUUUCAGGUUACCUGCAAAUUGUGUUCUUUUUCACCUAGAGAUAAUUGAGUUAGCCCAGUAUCUGGCUCAAUUAUCUCUCAGGCAGAAGGGAGGGAUUGUAUGAUUGUAUUAGGAGUGUCAUAAAUGUGGACAUUAUUGUCAUUGGUCUAUGUCUUUAUCUUGUAAGUUCCCCACAAGGUGCAUGUGGGAAUACCCCUUGCAUGAGGAAUUGCAUAAAAGGCCAGCGUGGCACCAUUAAAAUCAUUCCUUGCUCACCCUCAUCAUAGAGUCUCAUCUCAUGAUUGUAGGGACCAGAUAUACAUGCUAUAAUCACUCAGCUCUUGUAAGAGCUAUACUAUCCUGGAAAAUCAGAAAGCAUCACUCUGAACAGGGGGAAAAGAACAGCUCAGGUGGUGAAACCCCUCAUCUUCUUGGGGUAGUUGCCACAGGAAGUAAUUAAUGAAUGCUUCACUAGGUGGCCGCCAUUCGUGUAGAUGAACGGCAACCAGGGAGAGCAUUUGUAUCCCGAAAAACAGUUGCUUCUCUUGCUAGGUUUCACACAGGGGCCUCGCUAACGGAGGUGGUUCGAGUCUGAGGUUGGUGUGGGCAUCCUUUUGGGGCACAGGCUAAUUUGGCAGGCUUUCUGUGCUUGGGAGACAAAGAUGCCUUUUCCCAAACUUUGACUCCCAGCUACAGAGGCUCCUGGAAUGAAGAACCCCUGACAUCUGGAGUGGGAGACCCUGGAUUAGGGUGGCGGGAAUAGGGGACAAAGGGAGCGAAGUCCCUUUCCUGCACUAAGACCCCUGGGAGGGGGAGGACCCUGGGAUGGGAUUUUGGGGUGAUUUUUUCUGAUGACUUGUAAUAGAGCAGCAGGAAAUGCUAGCAGACUGCUUGGUUGUAUAGGAAUAUGUGUUAGCAGUAGAAAGAGGGGAGUGCUCAUGCCAUUGUACAGAACUGGUGAGACCUCACUUGGAGUAUUGUACGCAGUACUGGAGACCAUAUCUUCAGAAGGAUAUUGAUACUUUAGAGUUCAGAGAAGGGCUACUAAACUGUUUCAUGGAUUGCAGGAUAAAAAUUAACAGGAAAGGUUAAAGGAUCUUAACAUGUAUAUCUUGGAGGAAAGACGAGACAGUUGGAUAUGAUAGAAACAUUUAAAUACAGAAAGGGAAUCAACACAGUAAAGGAGGAGGCUAUAUUUAAAAGAAGAAAAACUACCACAACAAGAGGACAUAGUCUUAAAUUAGAGGGGCGAAGGUUUAAAAAUAAUAUCAGGAAGUAUUACUUUACUGAGAGGGUAGUGGAUGCAUGGAAUAGCCUUCCAGCUGAAGUGGUAGAGGUUAAAACAGUAAAGGAGUUUAAGCAUGCGUGGGAUAGGCAUAAGGCUAUCCUAACUAUAAGAUAAAGCCAGGGACUAAUGAAAGUAUUUAGAAAAUUGGGCAGAUUAGAUGGACUGAAUGGUUCUUGUCUGCUGUCACAUUCUAUGUUUCUAUGUUUCUAUGCUUGUGUUUUGGAGACCCCUUGCAUGGGGCUUUGCAUAAAAGCCGAGUGUGGCAUAAUACAAUUGUGUUGUACCUCCAGAACUAGGUGUUGUCCAGUUACUGGGGGAAAUGGGUUUCUAAGUUUGUCCGGAAUGACUGACUGAGGGAAUUAGCGGAGAUAACCGGUCGGGUUACCCGUGGUCCGCUAGAACUGGUGGCAAGUGGUGGGAUCAUAUUUCCCAGCCGAACCGGCCCAUGAUUACUCCAAUUUGAAGAGGUAGAUGUUGCAGGAGUUGCUGGAGGCAAGUGGGCACUCAGCCGGCAACCGGAACAAGGCAGACUUGAUUGCUUCCCUCAUGGAGGAGGAUCUACUAAGCAGCGCAGCUGAUGUACAGCAACUCAGGGGUGAGAAAGAUGCCUUAGACAUGGCGAUGGAUCAUCGUUUGGCUUACUACGGGGAGAAGCCCUCCUCUGAGAUCAUGACCAAGAUCUUCGCAGAGGCACAAGCAUAUGUCCUGGCACAGAGGGCUUGGGCGAGCCCUGCAGGCUGAGGCCGUGUCCCCUGGGGGUCAGCCCGCUCCAGAACCUAAGCCAAAAAUACCCUUCCAGGCUUUCAAGAUGUUUGUGGAGGCAUUGAUGACUUCUUGCAGGACUUUGAGCACCUCUGCCUGCUGCAUACAAUUUCCCUGGCCAACUGGGUUCCCAUUCUAGCAGGGAACCUCACGGGGAAAGCUGCCGAUGCAUACUGUGCCGUGACCGAGGAUGACCUGAUAAACUAUACCGCAGUGAAGCAGGUCCUGCUCACCAUGUGGGCCAUCACCCCAGAGGCCUAUCACAGAAAAUUCCGGGAGUUGGAAAAGGGACUCCCAUGCUUAGUGGGCUUGUUGUUUGAGCAAGGCAGCCCAAAGCUGGAUGCAGUCCCAGCAUGCUUAGACCACAGAGGAGGUUCUACAGCUGUUCCUGUUGGAACAUUUCUACAAUGGGCUAGCCGCAGAGAUACAAGACUGAGUAAGAAACCACCAGCCCACGACCAUGACUGAAGCCUCCCAAAAAGCCGACAAGUAUACAGAUACCAGGCGACGUCACACGCCUGCGCCCCAGUUUACCUCACCUGCAGCCACCCUACCAAGGGGUUCCCCAGCCCAUACCAGCCCCGAGGACAUCAAGCCGGGUAACCAUUCAGUGUCACCUUCGGCAGGGUAGCUGUCAAUAUCAUAGGCCCCCUGGCUAAGCCUAGCCCCUCUGGGAAGAAAUACAUUCAGGCCAUUGUGGACUACUCAACUUGAUAUCCCGAGGCAGUUGCCUUGAGCAAUAUUCUGGCAGAAACUGUAGGCGAAGCCCUGAUGCGAGUGUUCUCUUGGAUGGAUUUUCCCCGGGAGAUUGUCUCGGAUCAGGGCACCCAGUUUACUGCCGAGGUAACCCACCAGCUGUGAUCUACUUGACCCUCAACAGGUAGUCUCGUCUCGUGAUUGGAGGGAACUGCUAUAUCACACUGGGGAUUGCUAUGCUCUGCAUACUCCCCUGAACUCUAAUGACUUAGCUCUUUUUAGAGCUUGUUCCUGAUACACUCUCCUGGAGGAGAGGUCUUCACCACACGGUCCUGGAGGACAGAAGCUGAUCCAGGGUGGAAGGAAGACGGCGAGACUCCAGUUAAGCUACGGCGGUUGUGGAAAUGGGGCUCGACGACGCAUACCAGGCGCUACAUUGGUAUGCAGUUCAGCGUGUUCCCAGUAUGGCUAAGUCCGACAGACCAGAGGGUGAGGAUUACAAUGGCCCUGGUCUAUUAUGGGACGCCUUUGCCGGACCAAGGUUCGGGGACGCUGCAGAGUCACGGCUAUGGGACAUACAUGAAUCCAGAGCAGACAUGCAAGAUCUCCCUAUGGAUGAAGACCUAGAGCCAGACCUGAUUAAUCUUGCCAUCAGGAAAUGGGAUCUGGAGCAGGAGUACCAGGACCUCAAAGAUUGGUCUCGGGAAGACCCCCAGUCGGCAGGUGGAGAUGAGACCGAGUUCUGUCUACCGGCCCUACAGGGAUGCUGGGCAGCCAACCCAGAUCUCCAACCACGGUGGGAGUUCCAGGGAGAGGAGACAAUUGGUCUCCCUCCCCAGCAGCAGUGUGUUCUGCAGGGAGAGGUGGCAGCCGGCCUCUCUCUCCAACAGUAGUGUUCCCUACAGGGAGUGGAGGUAAUCGGCCUCGCUCCCCGGUGGCAGAGUGAGUCCCAGGGAGAGGAGACAACUGGUCUCUCUCCAGCAGCAGCAGUGUGUUCGGCAGGGAGUGGAGGCCAGCACCCUCUCUCCGCAGCGGCAGCUUAUCCUACCAAGAGGAGACAUCAAUCUCCCAGAUGGCGCAGAUGGGACCAUGGUCUCUGUGUCUGACCCACUGGGAUGCUGGACAGCCUGUCCAGAUCCCCAGCUACCAUCGCCAGUACCAGGAGAAGAGGGUAAGUGAUGUCUCCCGUCCCCAACAGUCUACCCCAGCAGAAGCGCUGGCAUCGGGGCAGAGUGCAGUUGGCCUCUGCCCCACAACGUGUUGCACAGUGACAUCAGAGGAAUACCCAAGUGCAGUAACUGUUUGUUGUGGGUGGGUUGCUUUUGUAUCUGUUUGUUGUGGGUGGGCUACUCUGGCACUUGUUUAUUGUGGGUGGGUGGGUGGAUCGACUAACUUCGGCACUGACCGACAGAAGGUCAGGUGCCUAGUUAGUCUUCCCAAAAAGGGGAGAUGUGUGUCGAAGUGCCCUUCGCCACUUGGUCCUGGAGAGGCCUGCUUGCCAGCCUCCUGCCCUGCGACUAUGGCCCUGGGAGAUUGUACCAUUUUAAACCAACAUUUAGGCAUACUGUAUUUUAUUAUGCUGCUGCUGGCCCUUUAAGAACCAUCUGCAGACAUACUGUGGAGUUACUGGGUGGCCACCAUUUCAUGUAUCAGAGGCACAUGGUGAGAACAAUGGAUGAAGCACAUGGUGAGAACAAUGGAUGGUGGCCAUUUUAACUCACAGACACUAUUUGGACUUUUCUACACGGUGCCAUCUCGCUGGUAUUUGGUGCACAAAGACAUCGUUCAGUAGUUUUAAACUACAGAACAGGGGACACAUUUAACAGUAAUUAUUUUUCCUAUAGCCUGUAUAUGUUCUGCGGAAUCUGCAUUAAACCGUAUCUUCCAAACUACUGAAUGGAUCUGGGUGAAUUUUGGAUAUGUGGUUCACCCAGAUCCCCAAGUUCAGAGGAUAUAUUUGUAACGGACCGUUUUGCACACAAGGGGUAAAAACUGUUUAGGCGAUCGUCCCCCUUUCCAGAGAUGCAGGCACAGCUAUUGUAGAACACCAAACACACGAACCGCCAAUAAGUGAAUGCUUCAAACUCCCGAACGGCAUCCAAUAUAGCACUCCAAAUACACGAACAGGAACCAUACGAAUCGCUGCUAGCAGACGAAUAGGAAAGCGGCUUACACUCCUAGCAAUCAGUCUCUAUCAGCAUACAGUAAAUUCCCCCAAAGACGAGACAAGGCUCCGUGUUGAGGGUCAAGCAGUGGUCUGUUUAAUGAGGGCUACCUACCCAGUAUUUAUGCAGGUCUCCCACCUGGUGGACACUCCCCUAGGGGACCAAAUGGGAGACUGUGACAAAAGACAGACAAGUUGACAAAUAGGACACACAGUCACAUUAUAUUCCCACAAUGCAUCCUGGCUUCCUCCCUUCUGCCUUGGUGAUAAUUGAGAAGUAAUUCAAUUAUCUCCCAAGACAAAGGCAAAUCGCCAUUAUGCACGUGGGGAUACUAACACACGAAUUACUAUUAAAAUACACCAUGUAAGACACAUUACAAUAAAUUUAUACAUUUAACAUGUCCCCAGAUAGCUCAGGUCUGAGCGCACAUUAUUAAGCGAAUGGCGCUCAGACCACACGAAUACAGUUUAAUCGCCAUGGAGCUAAAGUCUUUACACAGUCAGUUUCAUGCGAAUGGGCUCCAUGGGAUUCCUAUCUGGGGUAUAACAUAGACAAGUAAAACUACCGAACACCGGCCGUUCGUGUACUUUCACCGAACAAGAAGGGAGGUUGGCUGCUUCAGCGGUGUUCGCGCAAAACUGUCCGAUUUUAGUUCCAUGAAUUAAGCGUCGAACACCGCUGUGCAUUCGCAUGUUUAAAAUGGCCGCAACCUUGUGUUCGGGAUACGAAUGGCGGCCACCCAGCAUUCGUCAAUUAAGCUGCGGUUAACCGCAGCUUCAGGGAGGUUAAUUGUCGGCACACUCCAGCUCCCAGGUGGUCUAUUCAUUCGUGCGGUUGUUCGGUAGAUUGAAUCUACCGAACAACCGGCAGAAAAGCACAAAUAAAGCUUUUCUGCAGGCGAAACAAAGUCUUUUAACAUGGGGCCAUAGUCCAAAGGCAGCAGGCGAGCAACCAGGCUUCUCCAAUGCAAUGUGGCGAGAUUGGUCUCGUCACAAUAUUUUUAUGGGGUUAUUGCAUGUUUUUGGGUCCCUGUGAUAUGUUUUAUGAUACUGUAUUUUUCUGCCUGUGAUAAUUAAGUUUAGUCUAUUGUGUUGAGUAAUUAUAUCACAGGCAGAGGUGAGGAUUUUGUGGGAGUGAAUGGGUGUGGUUUUACUGUAUGCUACGUGCUUUAUUGGUUAUUUUACAAAACCCUGUAUCUGUAAAACCUGCAUGAAAGAAGGUCUUUUGGUGCCAAGUAAAACAGAUCCUAUUUGACCCUCAAUACAUAGUCUUGUCUCAUUAUUGGAGGGAGCUGCUAUAAUCACACUGGGGAUUGCUAUGCUCUGCAUACUCCCCUGAGCUUGAAUCACUUAGCUCUUUUAAGAGCUUGUUCCUGAUACGCUCUCCUGGAGGAGAGGUCUUCCCCACACAGUCCUGGAUGCUAGAGGUUCAUACAGGGUGGAAAGAAGAGGUCUUUCCCACACGGUCCUGGAGGAAAGAAGCUGAUCCAGGGUGGAAGAAAGAUGGCGAGACUCCAGUCAAGCUACAGCGGUUGCGGAGUCUGCGUGGUUGUGGUGUCCGGUGUGGUGCUUGUGGUCCUUGUCGCAAGCUAGGAAGCGUCCAUUAACGGAAGGUUCCAUUACAUCAGACAAAAGGUUUUGGUUCUGAAACCGGUCCGGCAUGACAGGCUACAGGCUGCCAUGCGGGGCCCAUACCGGGUAGUGAACAAGAAAUGUGACACUACCUACGUGAUCGGUCCUUGCUCGGGUACGGGGAUCAGGCACAUUUUACGUGGCAACUGCUAGCUAAAAAGGGAGAGACCUUCUCAAAUCUACCAGGGUGUACCACCCACAGAGUAGAAACCCCUGACCAUCAACCUCUGAGGCAGACUCCGUACCAAAUAUCUGAGGCGGUUCAGAAGAGUAUGAAACAGGAGAUUCAAGAGAUGCUCCGACUGGGGAUGAUCUGACCAUCCCAGAGUUCUUGGGUCUUCUGAGAAGUUCUGCACCCAAAACAAGAUGGAACCACCCAGUUCUGUGUGAACUACAGGAGACUCAAUGACAAGACAGUCUUGGAUGCUUACCCCAUGGACCUCCAGGACUAUGCCUGCGUAUAUCUGGACGACACUUGUAGCAGUAUUGGACAGAAUAAGGGAGGUUGAGUUGACCUUGAAACCCAGCAAAUGCAGCAUAGGGAUUGACAAGGUGCAGUACCUGAGACACAGGGUAGGGUGUGGGAAGCAGAAACCAGAGCCAGCCAAGGUUGAGGCAGUAGCUAACUGGCCCCGUCCCUGCACUAAGACCCAGGUGCUGGCCUUCCUAGGGACCACUGGCUAUUACAGGAAAUUUGUCCCCAAUUACAGCGCCAUCACCAAACCACUCACUGACCUGACCUGAAAGAACAGGUAAACUGGGCCCCACAGUGUGAGCAGGUGUUCCAAGCCCUUAAGAAUGCCCUGAUACAUGCCACUGUCCUGGCUGCUCCUAAUCCACACAAACAUUUUCUCAUCCACACAGAUGCAUCUAUGUAUGGAUUAGAAAUGGUGCUGAGCCAGGUCAGGGACGAUGGAGGAGAACACCCAGUAGCUUACCUCAGCAAGAAACUACUACCCAUGGAGGUGAGCUGCGCUGCCAUUGAGAAGGAGUGUCUGUCAGUGGUGUGGGCUCUCAAGAAGCUGCAACCCUACAUCUAUACAGGGAGUGCAGAAUUAUUAGGCAAAUGAGUAUUUUGACCACAUCAUCCUCUUUAUGCAUGUUGUCUUACUCCAAGCUGUAUAGGCUCGAAAGCCUACUACCAAUUAAGCAUAUUAGGUGAUGUGCAUCUCUGUAAUGAGAAGGGGUGUGGUCUAAUGACAUCAACACCCUAUAUCAGGUGUGCAUAAUUAUUAGGCAACUUCCUUUCCUUUGGCAAAAUGGGUCAAAAGAAGGACUUGACAGGCUCAGAAAAGUAAAAAAUAGUGAGAUAUCUUGCAGAGGGAUGCAGCACUCUUAAAAUUGCAAAGCUUCUGAAGCGUGAUCAUCGAACAAUCAAGCGUUUCAUUCAAAAUAGUCAACAGGGUCGCAAGAAGCGUGUGGAAAAACCAAGGCGCAAAAUAACUGCCCAUGAACUGAGAAAAGUCAAGCGUGCAGCUGCCACGAUGCCACUUGCCACCAGUUUGGCCAUAUUUCAGAGCUGCAACAUCACUGGAGUGCCCAAAAGCACAAGGUGUGCAAUACUCAGAGACAUGGCCAAGGUAAGAAAGGCUGAAAGACGACCACCACUGAACAAGACACACAAGCUGAAACGUCAAGACUGGGCCAAGAAAUAUCUCAAGACUGAUUUUUCUAAGGUUUUAUGGACUGAUGAAAUGAGAGUGAGCCUUGAUGGGCCAGAUGGAUGGGCCCGUGGCUGGAUUGGUAAAGGGCAGAGAGCUCCAGUCCGACUCAGACGCCAGCAAGGUGGAGGUGGAGUACUGGUUUGGGCUGGUAUCAUCAAAGAUGAGCUUGUGGGGCCUUUUCGGGUUGAGGAUGGAGUCAAGCUCAACUCCCAGUCCUACUGCCAGUUCCUGGAAGACACCUUCUUCAAGCAGUGGUACAGGAAGAAGUCUGCAUCCUUCAAGAAAAACAUGAUUUUCAUGCAGGACAAUGCUCCAUCACACGCGUCCAAGUACUCCACAGCGUGGCUGGCAAGAAAGGGUAUAAAAGAAGAAAAUCUAAUGACAUGGCCUCCUUGUUCACCUGAUCUGAACCCCAUUGAGAACCUGUGGUCCAUCAUCAAAUGUGAGAUUUACAAGAAGGGAAAACAGUACACCUCUCUGAACAGUGUCUGGGAGGCUGUGGUUGCUGCUGCACGCAAUGUUGAUGGUGAACAGAUCAAAACACUGUCAGAAUCCAUGGAUGGCAGGCUUUUGAGUGUCCUUGCAAAGAAAGGUGGCUAUAUUGGUCACUGAUUUGUUUUUGUUUUGUUUUUGAAUGUCAGAAAUGUAUAUUUGUGAAUGUUGAGAUGUUAUAUUGGUUUCACUGGUAAUAAUAAAUAAUUGAAAUGGGUAUAUAUUUGUUUUUUGUUAAGUUGCCUAAUAAUUAUGCACAGUAAUAGUCACCUGCACACACAGAUAUCCCCCUAACAUAGCUAAAACUAAAAACAAACUAAAAACUACUUCCAAAAAUAUUCAGCUUUGAUAUUAAUGAGUUUUUUGGGUUCAUUGAGAACAUGGUUGUUGUUCAAUAAUAAAAUUAAUCCUCAAAAAUACAACUUGCCUAAUAAUUCUGCACUCCCUGUAGACAGCAAUUCACCUUGCUCACAGAUCACAAACCAUUGGUGUGGCUUAACCGGGUCACGGGAGACAAUGCCAGGAUGUUGCGAUGGAGCCUGGCACUUCAGCCCUAUGACUUCACCAUCCACUACAGACCCGGAAAGCAAAAUGGGAAUGCCAACUGGUUGUCAAGAGAGACAGAACUGGAGAAGUGAUCUGUGAACCCUCCCCCCUGCAACAUCCUACAGCCAAUCCGUUGGACUGUGUAUGCCAGCUUUUCCCCUCUCCUUCUUAUGUGUGUUGCCCCAUGUGUUAGAGUAGAGAUAGGCAAUCGUUUAGCAGCACUGUGCUGAAAUACGAUUGUGAUGUCCUGUAGAGUGUUGGUCCUAUUUUUUUUUAAAUUGAGGUGUGUAUGUUGCCAUAUUCUGCUUGUGGUAUUUAUAUGGCAGUUGCUUUGUAUCGUUGUAUUUGUGCGUAUAUCAGCUAUUAUAUUGUAUAUGUUCAUGAGUAGUUUGUGGUAUCAUGUACCUAUGAAUGUGAACUGUGUAUGGGGGCUGCUUGUGUAAUUGUGUUCUACUGUCUCUGCCUCUAUAUUAGACAGUGCUACUGCCUCUGGAUAACGGGUGGCAUAGUCCACCACGGUGAGAAUAUACUUCUUACUGGAUGGGCUAGCCCUGGCCAGUGGACCCACAAUGUCAACAGCAAUGCGGGAAAAGGGUUCCCCAAUGAUAGGCAUAGAUAUAAGCCUAGCCUUUGGGUGAUCCCCCCGCUUACCUACCCGUUGACAUGUGUCACAGGUACUACAAUAUACCCGCACAUCUCGGUUGAAAUUGGGCCAAAAGAAAUUCUGAGUAAUCCUAUGAGCUGUGCAGUGAGACCCUAGAUGUCCAGCUAAUGGCACAUCAUGCCCAAUCCGCAGAAUCUCCUGCUGGUAUUUCGCAGGCACCACCAGCUGCCGAUUCUGCGGAGGGGUAUUAUGUUUCUGGGAUGGUUUAGGGAUACCGUACAGCCUAUCCCCCACCCUCUCGUAACACUCCCCAUCUACUCCCUCCUCCCCAGCAUCUGCCCUAGCCCUAUACUUCUCCAGAGUCGGGUCCUCCCGGGUUUCCCUCCCGUACAUCUCUGGGGCAUCCCAGUCUAAAGGGGCCUGAUCUAAGAGAGUCUUACUUGGGUCUCCACAGCAGGUGGGCCGGUCUCGACAGCACGGGUCUGGGCACGGUUCGUGACAGCGUUAACCUCGGCGGGGCCCAUGGGAGCAUAGGCAGAAACAAGGGGGGCCAAGUCAUUUCCAAGGAGGAUGUCAGCUGGUAAGUCCCUCAUGAUCCCCACAUUCACAUGUCUAGCGCCCACUCCCCAAUCCAAAUGUACCCGGGCAACGGGUAGGCGAAACACAGCGCCUCCGGCUACUCUCACUGCCACAGUGUCUCCAGUGUGUUGGUUCUCAGGUACCAAGUGCUUUUGGAGCAAUGUCAUGGUUGCACCGGUAUCCCGCAGACCACUGACCUCCUUCCCAUUUACUUUGACCAGUUGCCGGUGUUGUUGACGGUUAUCGCGGUGGGCAGCUUGGACAGGGUCGGCCUCGUGUAGAACGCCCCAACAUUCCUCCUCCUCUAUGCAGUGGGCAGCAGGCGGAGGGGGUCGUUGGUUUUUCGCUGGUCGGUCUCCUCCAAGACUGGGCCUGGUUAGCGUUAUUCAGUGGUCACUCUGGUCGUUUGUGCCCUAGCUGCUUGCACCCGAAACAUCGGAUGGGUUGUGAGUAGUCCCGUGAGUUGAACCGGGGUGGCUGUGUGUAGUUAUUAGCUGGGGGGGUUGCUGCUGGCCGGUGCAUUGGUGGUUGGUAGAUGGUAACUGGAGGGGGUGCCGCGGGUCGGUACUCCACUCUGGCAGGAGUCUUACCCGUGGUACUGUCCAGUUUAUGGGCAUCCGUGUACUCGUCUGCCAGACGAGCUGCUUCAUGUAGAGUGGAGGGUUUACGGUCCCUUACACACUCUCUGACGCCUGGGGAUAAUUUCUCAAAACAGUGCUCCAGCAGGAACCUCUUCCCCGGAUACGGCUUGGCACCCUGCCAUCCAGUGGGCAGCUGUGCGGUGCACUUUACAUGCCCAUUUAACAUAAAAAACAGCUAGUUUGGCAGUGUCUCGGAACCGUCUCCUGUAUGCUUCUGGUGUAACUGCAUACCUGGAGAGCAAAGCUUUCUUCACAGCUGCAUAAUCCCCGAUCUCCUCAUCAGGAAUGGCCCGAAAAGCGUCACUGGCCAGGCCGGAUAGCUUUCCGGACAAUAUAGUAACCCAGUCUUCUGGGGGUACCUUGUGUAGCGCACAUUGCCGCUCAAAAUCAGCAAGGUACCCACCAAUCUCUCUUUCUGUCUCAAGGAAGUGUUUAAAUGUGGUAAAUUGCACUUUCUUUUUCUCCACCGUGUUUGCUGGAACUGGGGCUGCUGCAGCACCGCUUUGGCGGAACAGGUUAGCCUCCACAGCGGCUAUGACCUCUGGAGACGUGUUGGGACCAUAAUGGGCCAGUCUGAUUUUUACCACCCGGUCAAAGCUUGCCUCUUCGGGGGUUCUGUCAGCUGCGCUGGACCCAUUGGUUCCUUCAGCCCCUGGUACUCCAUCCAUUUCGUUCAAAAUGGCGAUAAUCUCUCUUUUCCUGAUAUUACUAGCUUGUCUGCCUCUCUGUUCCAGUAAGUCUUUAACCUUUCAUACAGUAUUUCCAUUAAUCCUAUAUGUAGUUUUCUCUCUGGGCGAUGAGGGUCAUCCCGUCGCUUGCCACCAAUUGUAACGGCACCCUUAGCAUCAAAUAGUAAAACCGCCGUUUAGUUAAUCCUCCCCUCUCACCAUAACGCAAGCUGCAUUCAUACCAACUCCAAUCAUAUGAAUCGCAAGCAGGGGAAUACUCCAAUCUCUCGAACAGGACCCGUACGGGCACUUCACUUCCCAAUCAGUAAACUCACGAAUCGCCGCUAAUAGCCGAAACCAUAUAUCUCCCAAGCGGCUAAUAAUUCCAUCCGGCAGUCGCUAUUCGUGUAGUAAAUUCCCCUCCAAUAACGAGACCAAGCUCCGCAUUGAGGGUAAAACAUGAACUGGGUUUACUGUGGGCUACCCGCCUGUAUUUAUGCAGGUCUCCCACUUGGUGGACACUCCCCUAGGGGACCAAAUGGGAGACUGUAAUGGCAGAUCGUUGUAAAUACAGCAUUUCAGGACACACAGGCACAUAAUAUUUCCAGCAUGCAAUUCAAUUAUCUCCCAGGACAGUAAUUCAAUUAUCUCCCAGGACAGAGGCAAAUCGCCAUUUUAGAUGCGACCCAAAAAACACAUAAAAAUAUAUAGUUUUACAACAACCGAACAUUUCCCAUUCGUGUCACGUAUCCCCAGAUAGCCUGGAUCUGAGUGUAUAUUAUUGGCGAAUAGCGCUCAGAUCCCAUACGCACAGUUCAAUCGCCAUGGAGUCAAAGUCUUGUACAGUCUUUCGGUAUGCGAUUGACUCCAUGGGAAGGCUAUCUGGGUUAAGUCCAUUCGUGCGUUUCAAACUCCCGAACGGCAGGUGUUCGUAUGCCUCGGUCGAUGGAGAAGGGAGGUCGGUGGUUUUAGCGGUGUUUCGCAGAAAAAGGGUCCGUUUUCAGUUCCAUAGAAUACGUGCCGAACACCGCUGGUCUUUCACCUGAUUUAAAAUGGCCGCCGCCUCGUGGUCGACAUACGAACGACAACCACCCUGUAUUCGGUUAUAAUUGAGAGGUGUCUGCGGUUAACCACAACGUUCUAAUUGGGAUCAAGAGGUUAACCAGCAGCACACUUCUCUUCUGGGUGGCCAUCCGUUCAGUAAGUUCAUUCGGUAGAAAAGUCAAAUAAACGAACAGGGGCAUACGGACAGGUAAUUCCACGAAAGGAGGCAAAACAGACGAACCAGCAAUCUUAGUCUAUACAGAUGGAUCUGUCACAGUAUUAUCAGAUAUCUGAGGUUUCACUGGGACUCCUGAUAGGCCAGAGCCUGUUCUAGCAGCCUUGAGUGCCGUGCAAAGACACCACGGGUGCCUUGCAUGGCACACGUGCCAUAGGUUGCCUACCUGAGUAUUAUGCCCGCUUGUUAGAACAUCCAUUAGAACGUUUGCACCAAAUAGUGCCAAAGCCGCAAGGGAAGCCUUAGCGUGUGUCCUCCGCUGGGCAGCCCCCCUUUCGUAUAGGCAAACAUCAUCCAGGGGGAGCAUUCAUUAAUUGCUCCCCUUCUUGUUCGGUUUACGAAUGAGGACCUCCCUGGGGCCCCAUUGGAAUGUUCACACCAAUCAAUUAGAACGUUAACACUCACAACAUAAGUGUGAAACCGCAGGGGAAAUAAUUAAUGAAUGCUUCCCUGGGUGGCCGCCAUUCGUAUAUAUGAACGGCAACCAGGGGAAGCAUUCGGAUCCCAAAAACAGAUGCUUCCCUAGCCUGGUUUCACACAGUGACCCCGCAAACAGAGGCUGUUCGAGACAGGUACCAUUGUGGGGGUCCCUGAGGUUGGUGUCUUGCUGGCUUUUUGUGCCUGGGAGACAAAGAGGCAUAAGCCUUUUCCCGCGCUUUGACUCCCAAGUACGGAGGCUCCUGGGAUGAAGACCCCCCUGACAUCUGGAGCGGGAAACCAUGAAUUUGGGUGGUGGGAACAAGGGACAAAGGGGGAUAAGACUCCUGGGAUGGGGAGGACCCUGGGAUAGGACACUGUUGGUGUGUGUUGGAGACCCCUUGCUUAGGGCUUUGCAUAAAAGCUGGGUGUGACAAUAAAAUUGUGUUGUACCUCCAGAACUAUUUGCUGUCCAGUUACUGUGGGGAAAUUGGUCUCUGUAUCUGGUGAGUGGGUCCAGAACGACUGACGGAAGGGUAUUAGAUAACCGGUUGGGUUACCCAUGGUCCACUGCAUAGGGGUUCCCUUAGAAACAGUCUACUGUUACAAUUGGAUUAUUGCAUGGAUUUUGAUUGAGGAGUACAGACACAAAAUGCUGUUUCAACUUUUGGGUUCGUAUUGGUUUUAUGGUACUGAAAAGCAAAAUCCUCAAAACAGUGUACUAGUAAAAGAGUGAUUAUUGAAAAAAAAUAAUUAUAUAUAUAAAUAUAUAUAUAACUUUCUAUUAUCUGUGUAAGUUUGCUGCAUGUUUGCCAAAUUUGUUAAUUUAAAUUCCCUAUCAGUGUUUCAGAAUUAUACGCAAAAUGUUUCAGUACACAAAGUUUUAUUAAAAUAUCAUACUCAUCUGUUACAAACAUCACUCUUCUGUAUCCUGUAUCCUGUAUCCUGUGUCCCAUAUGCUAAUGCAGGAUUCCUAGUUAGUUCUGGGGUGUUCACUAUGGUAUAAUGAACAAUGAAAAGUAAUCUCUUUAGGGAUUUCAAAGCUGUUUGAAGGAAUAAAUAAUCAUUGUCUUUGAACUAAAACAACUUUGAACUUGAUGGCCACUAAAGCAAAGAGCGGAUCAAAGAAAAACUAGCUAGCACAGUAAGGAUCUAAUGUGAAAAGGACAAUUCAUAACAAACAAAGCAAUUAGCAACACAAGUAGGUUCCAUAAAUAACCAAGAAAUUGUCAGCUUGUCAUUUUUAUUUACACUGCAACUAAUUUGAUUAGCAAAACUAUACAAUACGUGAAAAUAUUCACUGCAAAAAGCACACACAGUAUGAUUAAAAUGUACUUAAUGCACUUUUUCUUAUUACUGCUAUAUUUUAGUAAACAGUAAUCUAAAAUGCUGGAGUUUUGUUUCAUAAAUAAAAAUAACUGCCAAGUAAACUGUUUAUGUAAAAAUCUUUAUUCCAAAAUAACACUAAUUUUUAUUAUUAAUACUUUUUGUAGAAAUACUGUUGUAUCUAUCGAAGUUCCUGAAAAUAUUGAUAGAACAUUUAAAAGUUUUAUCUUUCCUGAAUACAUGUGACUUCAACAUGCCAUUACAUCAUAAUGAACACCAUACAUAUUAAUGCUAAGUCAAGGUAUUUUAUAGAAAUUUUAAAAAUGCCAAGAAAUUAUAAUUGCUUUUCAGCAUAUAACAAACAAAUAAAAUAUUAUUCUAAAGAAUUAGAAAACUGAAUUUCCAAAACAAAAAAAAUCUAAACUUUGAGACGACUCAUUAGAUUUAAUCUUUGUAAGAGAUUUGUGAGGAAUGUAAAGGAAAUAAAUGUAGACAAGGUAUUCACUUACUGAUGAACUGCACAGCAGAAGUACUAAUAAUGCUUAUAUAUGACCUUUUUAAUACCAGAAAUAUAAGCAAUUUAUUGUUGACUAAUUUUAUAAUCUUAUUGUGAUAGUUUAUAUUUCUUUACACUGCAAGCUCCUUUCCCUAUUCCAAAAAUAUAUCACAUUGUGCCAGUCAUACUCAGCAGAGAAAGCAGACAAUUAAUGUUUACCCUAAUUCACACAUAAUUUAUUGUUAUGCCACUACAAAGUUUCCAAUCAAAACAAUUACUUCCCUUAAACCAAUGUCAAAUGCUUCACCAGUAGUAUCAGGUUGAUUACAGCAAUCUCAUUAAUCCACCUACUAGUAGUCCCUAACCUGACUUCUAUCAUUAUACUCUACAAGUGAUGUGUCAAUUUUAAUCUUUAACACAAGAUAUGUGGGCAACAAUAUUGGGGGAGAUUUGUCAAAGUGUUCUGUCCUAAAAAGUAGUCUAAAUUUUCUAAAAGUGGGACUAUCAGCUGGGAUACCAGUGGAGUCAGAAUGCAAACUCCAUUGGCAAUUCGUCCUGUUUUACACUUUUGAAUCUCUAUCAUUGUCUUCAUCCAAGAUCAAUGUCUUCACUCUGCUUUCAUGGUCCUAAAAGAUACAUAGAUAAUACAUUAACAACUUGUGUCCUAAAAUUCACACAAUCUGUAUUCUCCAAGGCUUUUAACGGCUUUGUCCUGGAUUUAUGCAUUCAACCCAAGAAACAUUCCUUUCUCUUCUCAGACGAAGAUAUAUUCUCUUUUGACUCUCCCAGGCAAUCCUCAUUUGUCUUUAAGGAAUUUGACUGUUUAUUAAGCAUCUCACUUCCUCUAUACAACCCACAAAUAAUCUUUGGAGAUUUGAACAAGCGCUUGGUUAGUCACUGUACACUAUUCUACUUACUCUCAUUCAUAAAUUCCUUUGACCUAUUUCUGACUGGCCAUAUCCUCUCUCAGGGCUGCCAAGUUUUCCUUCAAUGUUAAAUGUUGAUUCUGCUGACCACUUUGUUCCUUUUUUAUCUUUUAGUCCAAUGCCAAUCUAUGUCUUCUCCUUUAGUCUCUCCUUAUCAUGCAGAUAACCCUCCACUAUCUGUUUUAUAUAUAAUAUGCACCUCUCUGUAUGCAUCCAUUCCUUAGCUAAAUUACAUCAACAUUGGGUUAACAAACAACUAAUGACACUUUCCCUCACACUGUGCUAGGCUAAGUAUUAUGCUUGCCCUGGUCAUCUGGCACACUCGACAAAUGAUUGUGAGCUGAGGCUCCUUGGGAAAAUUAGGAGAUCACAGCAACUGGCUCACAUGUAGCACUAAUUGUCAGGGUACCACCUAAAGGGGACACUUCCCACACGCCUUCUUAUCAUCUCAGCAGUUCAAACUUGACUUGGCUCUGGUUUGACUAUUCUGUGUUCUCCUUCCCUUUGACUUUGCUUGCUUGUUCGCUUAUCUGUUUUCUGGCUCUCUUGACCUCGGCUUGUCCCUGACUAUUCUCUGUUAGUGAUGUCGCGAACCCGAAAUUUUCGGUUCGCAAACGGCGAACGCGAACUUCCGCAAAUGUUUGCGAACCGGCGAACCGCCCGAAACGCCAUUGACUUCAAUGGGCAGGCGAAUUUUAAAACACACAGGGACUCUUUCUGGCCACAAUAGUGAUGGAAAAGUUGUUUCAAGGGGACUAACACCUGGACUGUGGCAUGCGGGAGGGGGAUCCAUGGCAAAACUCCCAUGGAAAAUUACACAGUUGAUACAGAGUCUGGUUUUAAUCCAUAAAAGGCAGAAAUCACCUAACAUUCCUAAAUCACAAUCAAUAUGGAUUGACACCUGACAUAUGACAUAUUGACACCUUGACAUAUGGAUUGACACCUGUCCUCAGAGCCCCUGAUGCACACGGACACAGAGCAGAAUAGAGACUGGUCCCCCUACAUGGGGUCACUUGGCAGAUAUGGAUUGACACCUGUCCUCAGAGACCAUGAUACACACUGACACAGAGCAGAAUAGGGACUGUUCCUCCUACAUAGGGUCACUUGGCAGAUAUGGAUUGACACCUGUCCUAAGGAUCCCUGAUACACACUGACACAGAGCAGAAUAGGGACUGUUCCUCCUACAUAGGGUCACUUGGCGGAUAUGGAUUGACACCUGUCCUCAGAGCCCCUGAUACACACUGACACAGAGCAGAAUAGGGACUGUUACCCCUACAUAGGGUCACUUGGCAGAUAUGGAUUGACACCUUGUUACAAACUGCUAUUUGUAACCGUCCCUUUAAAUGGCAAAUUGCUCUGCUUCCCUGGGUUGUGGAGAAGCCUAUUUGCCAGCCUCCUCCCGCAUGACUAUGGCCCCUGGGAGAUUGUGAAAAUGUAUGCACUUUUAUUUGGUGUGUAUGGCCCUUUAAGACUGUCGGUGGGCAAAUUGGGGCUUAUGGACUCUUUAUGUGACUGGUGCUGGCCCUUUAAACACCUUUUUUUGGGACAUCAGGAAGAUUGGGACACUGCCCCUUUAAGGCCGUGUCCCCAGACUUGUUGGGGACACGGCCCCUUUAAGACGGUGUCCCCUGUGUCCCUAGACCUGGUGCAAACCCUUUGUGCCUGCCUGGCUAAUUCCCACUUGGUUCAGUAAAUGGGGCUUACUAAACCAAGUACCACACAGGCAGACCACCCAGAAGUGGAAGUGUGCAGGCAAUUUACCUCCCAGAAGCUGCGGUUAACCGCAGCUUAAUUGACAAUGCUGGGAGGUCUUUGUUCGUUUGCCGAACACGUGGCGGCGGCCAUCUUUGAUCAUUCGGCGAGGUCAGCGGUAUGUGUAGCCAAAUUCAUGGAACUAAAAUCGGCUACACAUUUCCGCGAACACCACUGAGCUCUACCUUCUCCCCUACUGGUUUUACAGCUGCAGAGACUAAGUCCCAUUCGGCGAUGGGACUUAGUCUUUUUUUCAGCCGUUUUUUUCAGCCUUAUUUCAGCUGCAGAGACUAAGUCCCAUUUGGCGAUGGGACUUAGUCUUUUUUUCAGCCUUAUUUCAGCUGCAGAGACUAAGUCCCAUUCGGCGAUGGGACUUAGUCGUUUUUUCAGCCUGAAAUAGACCGACCUCACAGCCAAAAUCUAUGGAACUGUUUUGGGCAGGAAAAUGUGCUUGCGGUCGGUCAUAAAGGGACCUCCAGCUAACUUUUUAACCCCUGGAUGUAUUUGGCUGAUUUUUGGUUAUGUUUAUGUUUUAAGUGUGCUGAUUCCAAAUAUGUAAUUAUGAAGAUGGGAUGUGUAGUUUUAAAGUUACAGGGUAUGGCUAAAAACUGUAUUUUUUACUGCCUGUGUUUAAUUAUGUUAAUCUCUUCCCAAACGUCAUUUCGUUCAAAGUGGAGAGAAUGUUAAAAAAAUAUAUUUUUGUUCGGAGUGUGAGAAAUGCUUUUCAGCCGCUUCUAAUCUUAAGCAUCAUUUGAGGAGCCAUACAGGAGAGAAACCUUAUUUGUGGUGUGUUUGGUAUUGUUCUGAUCAGUUUUAAUACCUUCCGCGUCUCCUAUCAGUGGACGUGUAUAUGGCAGCCAUUUUAGGAACCGUACACCUGGGACCCGAGCAAGGUCACCUUGUUCAACAGGCUUGCAGCGUAUCCUCCAGGAAGAAGAGCCUGAACCCUUACCGGCUGCACGUGUCUUACCUGUACAUGGAAAGCUGCUCUGGUUCCUUGAUGAGCCAGCUGCCCUUGAGUUAACAUGUCCCGUGGAGAAGCACUCUGUCCUGUAAAGCCUCACCAAAAAAAAGGAGUGGUGUGUUUAGUAUUGUUCUGAUCAGUUUAAUNNNNNNNNNNNNNNNNNNNNNNNNNNNNNNNNNNNNNNNNNNNNNNNNNNNNNNNNNNNNNNNNNNNNNNNNNNNNNNNNNNNNNNNNNNNNNNNNNNNNUUUUCCCCUCAGUUUGUCUGAAUGAAAAUUGUUUUUUUUUUUUUUUUGCUCACCUGACCAUGUUGAUAUGGUCUUGUCCCUGUGGAAGUCAGCCACCCUCCACAGGAAGCCCAGGCACAUGUAGCCCAAUCUCUGUGGAGUUGGGAACCCCUGGGAGCCGUGGUGGUUAGUUUCCCAGGCUGUUGGAACUUGCUGGCAUCAGGAUUGCGCAUGCACAAUGCGCACGAUCGGAAUCAGAGCGAUUUUGCCCUUUUCCAAAAUGGCGGUGUCGCGGUUUCGCGAUUAAUGAGCGCAUGUGUGCUCCCUUAAAGGUACAGAGCAGGAAAUUUGAAAUGGCGGCAUUACAGUGUCAAAAACGCUUGUUUCUUUUCCCUUUACAGUUACAGUGCUCUAUUAGACUGUUUCUUAAGCUCUGCAGGUAAGAAAUUUACUUUUAUCAUUUACAAUGAUCUAGAAGUUUAGGCUGGGAAUGCAUUACAUUUUUUAAUGUUCUUAGCCCUACAGUCAGUUCGGAUCCAUCAUCUCCUUCUGCAAAAUCAACGAGAUCUGCAAUAGGUCAUUUGUGAGCAACUCUUUUUUAUUUUUCACAUUACUAAACAGAGUGCAUGGAGGAUACAGUCUUAUGACUUCUGUGUCUUACAGCCCUCAAGACCGGUCCUGCCCCAGAUCUCCAUCUAGGAGAAGGGAAAAACCGGCAGCCUGCCCUGGAUGUGGUGCAAGGCCUAUGGAUAACUGCAGGCUCUGCAGAAGAUGCUUAGCCAUGGUUGCAGGAGAGUUUGAAUGCCAGAUGUCACCACAAGAUCAAGAGGUGAGACCUUCGGCAUGGACUCGGAUCAGUCUGAAGAGGACUUCAGACAGACUUCUGCCUCCCUGGAUUUGGAGCCAAUCUCAUUCAGUGAAGAGGAGUAUAUGGAACAGCCUUGCUCCUUGGACUACAAAGCUAUGGAGCAUUUGAUUAUGGCAGUCAGGAGAACAUUAGAUUUGCCUGAAGAGGCUAAGGAAUGUUCAGCUUCUGACAGAUAUUUUGGUGAUUUGCACAAGAGAAGACCUUCUUUUGCGGUUCACAGCUCUAUUAAAGACCUGAUGCGGAACGAGUGGCAGAAUCCAGGUGAAAGGAUUACUAUUCAAGGAAGGCUUUCUAAGUUGUAUCCGAUUAAGGAGGAGGAUUCCAGGAUGUGGACAGCUGUCCCAAAAAUAGAUGCUCCUAUCAUUAAGGUAGCAAAAAGAUCCACGCUUCCAAUAGAUAGCAAUGCUUUCCUAAAGGAGUGUCAGGAUUACAGAAUGAUCCAGCACGUGGAAUUGUGUAACACAGAGGACUGAUAGGUAACGUAUACCGGACCUUAGAAUGGCCGGACUAAUGUACCAAAGAAUAGUCAGGAAUAGUCAAGGUCUAGGGAUACAGAAAGAGACACAAUGAUAAGGAAAAGCCAGGAGUCAGGGAUGCCAGAAAACAGGGAAGUCAAAAACAAUGCCAAAGUCAAAUAACCAGAAUAACCAAAUUCAAUAACGCGCUCUCGAACAACCACAAGGGAAACCACGACAGGGCACUGAGCAGGAUGAGAACUGGGCCUAAAUACCCCUCCUUUAGGUCUGAUAGGCUUUAACCAGCCUUUGACCCCAAAGGCAGUUACCAGGUUCCCAUUUUCAUAAUUGCUGCUCAGCAUUAAUCCUUCAGUGGAUUUGGUUGCUGCUCGGCACAACUUUUCAUGUGUGGACAGUAAAUGCCAUUAACCACAUUUUUAUAAGCGGAUGAAUACGUGACAUUACCCCCCACCUGAAGAACGCCCACCGGGUGGGCAGGACCAAGCUUGAGAGGAAAUUUGGCAUGAAAAUAGUGAAUCUUGCGGCCAGCAUGUAUAUCAGAUGCCAGAACGCAAGAACAAUCGGCUGGUCCAUAACCUUUCCAAUCCACCAAGUACUGUAAAGUGCCCCAAGAAAACCUGGAAUAAAUUAUGAAGGAGACCUAUUACUCUUCCUGUCCAGAAACAACUAAGGGAGGAGGAGGGACACUUGAAACAGUAUAUUUAUUGCAAACAAGAGGUUUGAGCAAGGACACAUGAACGGUAUUAGGAAUUUUCAAGGAGGCUGGAAGGGCCAGAGAGUACGCAACAGGAUUGAUCCAACGAAGGACACGAAAAGGUUAGCCCUCUCAGCUGUACCAUUAGUCUGGGGGUGGUAAGAGGAUGAAAAAGACAAUUCAAUCCCCAAUUGCUUAUUAAAAGCCCUCCAAAACCGGGAUACAAACUGAGAACCUCUAUCAGAUACAAUAUUGUGAGGAAUGCCAUGCAGAUGGACAAUCUCACGUAUAACGAUCAGUCUUGAGAUGAUGGUAAUUUCUUGAGAGGAAUAAAAUGAGCCAUUUUAGAAAAACGGUCCACAACCAUGAGAAUGGUGGUAUAACCAUUAGAACUAGGAAGUUCAACAAUGAAGUCCAUGGACAAGUGGGGCCAUGGGACCUCAGGAAUAGGAAGAGGUUGUAACAAGCCACAAGGGAGUUUAUGAGGCAUUUUGAAAACCGCACAAACAGAACAAGCCUGCACAUAUUCCUUAACAUCCUUCCUGAGGGAAUCCCACCAGAAUGACCUCAUGAUAGCAGAAGUGGAUUUAUUAAUACCUGGGUGACCAGCAGACACAUUGUCGUGAAAGACCUUCAUGAUAUUAACCCUUUCCCCCAAUGGCACGAACAGUUUGUCCUGAGGUUUACCGCAGGGUGCCUGAGACUGAGCCUCCAUGAUGGAGCCAAGCAGUGGAGAGGACAAUGAAAGGACAGUGGACGCAAUGAUACAUUCUGGGGGAAUGAUACGGGACGUUUCUUGCUCUAGUAUAGCCUCAGUAUCAAACUGCCUGGGCAAGGCGUUGGCCUUGACAUUUUUAGAACCAGGUCUGUCGGUGAUAAGAAAAUUAAAGUGAGAAAGAAAUACAGACCAUCUAGCUUGUCUAGAAGAUAAUUGCUUAGCAUCUCCUAUGUAAGCCAGAUUUUUGUGAUCAUUAAUGAUCAAAAGUGGGUCCUUGGAAUCCUCUAGAAGAUGUCACCACUCCUUGAGAGCUAGAAUAAUGGCCAACAAUUCUCUAUUGCCAAUAUCAUAAUUGCGCUCAGCAGGAGACAAUUUUCUAGAAAAGUAACCACAAGGAUGUAACAGAGUUUCCUGGCUCUCCCUCUGGGAGAGAACUGCCCCUAUCCCUAUUUAUAAAGGGAUUUUCUUCAGUAAUAGCCCCCAUCACCAAUAUGACACGCAAGGGGGCUAGUAGUACGAUAUGGUCUAAGGAGGCAAUUGAAGCCUUUGAAGCAUCAACCUCCAGUAUGAAAGGCUUACUGAUGUCAGGAUGUAUCAAUAUGUCAGCGGAGGCAAACCGCUGUUUGAGAGUUUCAAAGGCUUCAAUUGCCUCCUUAGACCAUAUCGUACUACUAGCCCCCUUGCGUGUCAUAUUGGUGAUGGGGGCUAUUACUGAAGAAAAUCCCUUUAUAAAUCUUCUGUAAUAAUUGGCGAAACCAAUGAACCUUUGAAUGGCUUUCAUCCCAGUGGGUAAAGGCCACUGUAGAACAGACUCUAGUUUUUUAGCAUCCAUCUGAAACCCUGAGGCAGAAAUAUUAUAUCCUAAAAACUGUACUUCAGACUGGUCAAAGAUACAUUUUUCCAAUUCACAAUAAAGUUGUUCUUUUAAUAAGGUUUGCUGAACUUGUUUAACGUGAUCGUGGUGAGACUAGGGGUCAGGAGAAUAAAUAAGGAUAUCAUCCAGAUAGACCAAGACAAACAAAUAAAUGUAAUCCCUAAAUACAUCGUUAAUGAAAUCUUGGAAAACCGCUGGAGCAUUGCACAACCCGAAUGGCAUCACUAGAUAUUCAUAGUGUCCACUUCUGGUAUUAAAUGCAGUCUUCCACUCGUGGUUUUCCUAGAUUCUCACUAAAUUGUAAGCACUUCUAAGGUCAAGCUUAGUAAACACUAUAGCGCCAUGGAGUCUGUCAAAUAAUUCAGCAAUAAGAGGAAUGGGGUAGGCGUUCUUAAUGGUGAUUUUGUUUAAUGCCCUGUAAUCGAUACAUGGGCGCAACUCACCAUCCUUUUUAGAUACAAAAAAGAAUCCUGCACCAGCAGGCGAGGAUGAUUUCCGUAUAUGGCCUUUAUUCAAUGAAUCUUUAAUAUAUUCCUCCAUUACACUACUCUCCUGAGGAGAUAGAGCAUAGGCUUCUCCCUUAGGUGGCAUAGCACCUGGUAGUAAGUUAAUGGAAUGGAAGUCAUAUGGUCUGUGAGAAGGUAGAGUAUUGGACUGAGUCUUGUUGAAUACUUCUUUAAUGUCUUGGUAUUGUAUAGGGAUCUUGGGAUUUUGAGGUGUACUAGUGGGUAAUUCAAUAGUGCCCACUCUUGUGGUUACAUGCAAUAUGCACCUUUCAUUACAAUCCUUACCCCAUUCUAAUAUUUCCCCAUUAGCCAAGUCAAUAUGAGGGUUAUGCUUGCUGAGCCACGGGAAUCCUAAUAUAAUAGGACAAGAAGGAGAUGCAAUCACCUGAAAUGUAAUCUCUUCCUUAUGUAAUGCACCAAUGGAAAUAUUAAUGGGUAAGGUUUCAUGCUUUAUCAAUGGUUGUGAGAGUGGUCUCCCAUCAAUAGCUUCAACAGCUGGGGAUGAUAGUCUCUCUUUGGUAGGUAUAGUAUUACCUUUGACAAAUUGAACGUUGAUGAAGUUUCUAGCAGCACCUGAAUCCAUCAGGGCUUUGCAUGAAAAGUUAUUUUUGGCAAAGGCGAUAGAAAUGUCAAGGAGAAACCUAUUUUUAUUCUUUUCAGAGGAUGUUUCCAUUACACCUGAGACCUGUCCCUUAAGGUGCUUAGGUGCGGUAGUUUUCCGGACGUCUGGGACAAUUGUUUCUCAUAUGUCCCUUCCUACCGCAGUAUAGACAUAGGCCUUCUUUUCUCCUAUAUUGUCUUUCUGCUUCCGACAGUCUAGUGACCCCCAACUGCAUGGGUUCGGGUUCAGACUGUACAGGAAUUUCAGGGACAAUAGGUCUGGAGAAACGGGGUGCUAAAUGCAUGCUCAUGCGUCUGGUCUUGUUUCUAGUUGUUUCUCUGGUUCUUAAUCUAUUAUCAAUCUGCAUGACAAAAAUGAUAAAUUCAUUAAGCUUUUUAGGUAAGUCUUUGGCGGCAAUCUCAUCUAGCAUAGUUUCAGAUAAUCCCUUUUUAAAUGCAGAGAUUAACCCACUAUUAGUCCAGUCUACCUCGGAAGCUAGGGUACGAAAUCCUAUGGCAUAUUCCGAGAUAGACCGGUUCCCUUGUCUGAUGUACAUCAGGGCAGUAGAGGCGUCAUGCUCUCUGCGUAAAGGUUCAAAUGUAAGUUUGAAAUCCGUAAGGAACUCCUGGUAAUUGUGUGCCACACUCCUAUUACUCUCCCAUAAUGGAUUGGCCCAAGCUAAAGCUUUACCUUUUAAUUAAUUUAUUAGGUAACCAAUUUUAGCUCUGUCUGUGGGAAAAGAUCUCUAAGAGGCCUCAAAAUGCUACUCUAUUUGGUUAAUAAAUCUCCUGCAUUCUUGAAUAUUACCAUCAAAAUGCAGGGGAGGAGAUAGGGAGAUAGUAGGUGCUGUGUGUACUAUAGCUGGAGGUAUACAAGGUGGAGGUGAGGCCGCAGGUUGCAGAUGCGCUGUUAGGGUAAGAAGCGUACUGAAGGUCUGGGCAAAUUGAUCCAUGCGGUGAUCAUUAUCCUUCAGUUUCCUUUCACAAGCAGCUAUGUGCUUACACAAUUCUACAGGAUCUAUGGCCAUGCCAUAAUGUCAGGAUUACAGAAUGAUCCAGCACCUAGAAUUGUGUAACACAGAGGACUGAGGUAACGUAUACCGGACCUUAGAAUGGCCGGACUAACGUACCAAAGAAUAGUCAGGAAUAGCCGAGGUCAAGGGAUACAGAAAGAGACACAAUGAUAAGGAAAAGCCAGGAGUCAGGGAUGCCAGAAAACAGGGAAGUCAACAACAAUGCCAAAGUCAAAUAACCAGAAUAUCAAUAACGCGCUCUCGGACAACCACAAGGGAAACCACAACAGGGCACUGAGCAGGAUGAGAACUGGGCCUAAAUACCCCUCCUCUAGAUCUGAUAGGCUGUAACCGGCCUUUGACCCCAAAGGCAGUUACCAGGUUUAUUUGCAUAAUUGCUGCUCAGCAUUAACCCUUUUGUGGAUUUGGUUGCUGCUCGGCACAACUUUUCAUGUGUGGACAGUAAAUGCCAUUAACCACAUUUUUAUAAGCGGAUGAAUACGUGACAAGGAGCCAAUGGAUAAAAAGAUUGAUGCUGAUAUAUCUAAAGUCUUCAUGACAGCAGGAUUAGGAUGUCAUCUGGCUGUAUCCAUUUCAGCUUUAUCCAGAGCCUUGUGUUCCUGGAUCCUUGAUUUGGAGGAAGACCUAGAUAGAGUUGUAAGCAAACGUCAGAUGGCAGAAUCCUUGAGGGAUAUUAAACUCACCAGUGACUGGCUUUUGGAAUCCUCUACAGACCUUAUUAGAAUUCUCUCUAAGGUUAUGGCUCAUUCUGUCACUGCCAGACGGGCACUUUGGCUAAGAUCCUGGGGAGCAGACCUUUCCUCUAAAAAUAAUGUGUGCACCCUUCCUUUUAUGUGAGAGGUACUCUUUGGAAAACCACUGGAUGAAGCUAUUAAAAAAGCGGCCGAAGUUAAACAGGUCAUGCUGCCACAAGAUAGACGUCCCAAAAGGCGGUUGCUCAGGAUGCCCUAUCCAUCAGAUGGGAGUUCGAUCUAGAACAUAUUUCCUCCAAUUCCCCUCAUCCACUGUGUUAUGAGAAAGAUCUCCAAGGAACAUUGCAAGGUGAUAACUGUUCUUCCCUUCUGGCCACGUCGCCCUUAGAUUCCCCUGUUAAAGCGGUUAUCAAGGCACCUGACUUGCGAGCUUACGGUCUCGGAAGAUCUGCUGACUCAGGGUCCGGUGUUUCAUCCGGAGCCUCACAAGUUCAGGCUCCAUGCAUGGCUGUUGAGAGGCAAUCCCUAGUUGACCAAGGCCUUUCGGAUAAAGUGAUCUCGACCCUGUUAUGUUCUAGGAAUUCAUCUACUACCUCUACCAACCAUAAGAUAUGGGAAGCUUUUGCACUGUGGAGUAAUUCCAUGGUUCAAGAUUUAGGUUCCCCUUCCGUGUCUCAGGUUUUGGGUUUCCUGCAACAGGCCUGGAGAGGGCCUUCAACUUAACACCUUUAAAGUACACUGCUCCAAUCUUUUGGCUCUUUCUGGAAUUCGUUGGGCUUUAAAUCCCAUGGUGAUUCGCUUCUUCAAAGCUGUCAUUAGGAUUAGACCUCCUAUCAAAAAAUUCUCAGCUCCUUGGAAUUUACCUCUAGUUCUGCAGGCCUUAAUGGAACACCUCUUAGAACCUAUUAAUGAGGUCCCGAUGCAGGUUCUUUCUCUGAAGACCCUGUUGUUGCUGGUUUUAGUCUCAGCUAGGAGAAUGUCUAACAUUAAAGUAUUGUCAUCUGAGGAACCGUUCACUACCUUCUUCGAUGAUAGAGUGGUACUGCGGCCAAGACCAGAGUUCCUUCCGAAGGUUGUUACAUCCUUUCAUCUGAAUCAAGAUAUUAUCCUGCCGGGGUAUUUUCAAAAUCCUUCUUCACCUGAGGAAGAAAAAUGUCAUACACUAGACAUAAGGAGGUGUAUUUCCACAUAUAUUGAGCAUUCAGCUACUUGGAGAAAGUCUUCUCAAUUAUUUGUGAUUCCUUAGGGUUUUCGUAAAGGUGAAGCUGCUUCUGUCGCAACUCUUCAUUCUUGGACGGUCCAGGCUAUUUCUAAAGUGUACAGGACGAAACAGGUGCCGGUUCCCAAGGUCAUCAAGGCACAUUCCACAAGAUCCAUUGCUACUUCAUGGGCUGCAGAGUCCGGGGUCCCUGCAGAGAGCAUCUGCAAGGCUGCCAAUUGGUCAUCUUUGAAAACCUUUGUACAUCACUACAGAGUUGAUGUCUCAUCUCAGUCUGGUUCGGAGUUCGGCCUAUCGGAUUUGAACUCUUAUAAGCCUAUAAGUUGAUAUUAAAAAUUUUUUGUAGCAUGAAUUACCCUCCCUGAGUGAUUAUUGCUUUGGGAAUCUCAUAUGUUAAAUGCUGCCAUGAUUAGCCAGGAAUAGAGAAAAUGUAUUGAUACUUACCGUAAUUUUCUUUUACUGGCUAUUAUUCAUGGCAGCAUUUGGUUUCCCACCCUCUCUUGGUAAAUUUGUCUUGUUACUGGACUGAGGUGUGGAUGCUACUGGGGUCCCUAUUAUACUAGGGGAAGGUAUACUUAAUUGUUUAAUUGAUUGUGUUUCCUGUCCUGAGGGUUAGAGGGAGGAGCUAUACCCAUAUGUUAAAUGCUGCCAUGAAUAAUAGCCAGGAAAAUAAAAUUACGGUAAGUAUCAAUACAUUUUCUCUAAUAUUUGCACUAUAUUUUGGUUUUCUGCUCUCUUUUAUAUGAUGCCACAGAGAGGAUUACAGCCACCUACAAAUCCUAGAGUGGGGAUUAUACCACUUAAUGCUGUUAAAUAGGAGUCAUUUGGGGGCUCCAUUACAUGUGAGUGCAUUUCCAUUUACUUGCCUACUCAGCUAACCUAAGCCUGACAUACUACACUACAUAGGUGUUUCAUUUCACAAGCAUCUGAGGACAUUCCAAGGUGCUACUCCCACUACUCUUUGUACAACUGCUUUUUAUAAACCUCUGCGAUGCAAGAUAAAUUAUUUGGCAGUUGGCCAACGUUAAAAGUUAAAGGUUUAAAAUCAAUAUAUAAAAUAAAUAAAUGUAUAAAAACUCCACAGGGUUUAAUAAGACCCCCAUAUUAGUAUAAAGGAGGUUAAAAACCUCUGUAUGCCCCAACAUGACAUGCGGCUGGUGGGGGAAAAUGUAUAAACUAUUUAAAACUAGCGACAGGGCAGCCAGUGGUUUAAAAUAAAUAAUGGGGUGGAAAGAUUAUUAUCCACCCCCUACCACCACACAUGGUCAUCAGUUGUGGACUAUUAUAACAUAUAACAUAUAACAUAUAAUUUAUAAUUAGUGUCCCACCCACAGCUAAUGACCUGUUGGUGCCCUAAUUAUAGUAUUCAUAUGAGGAGUUCCCCACCAGCCCCCACACAUAGGUGGCAAGUGGGGGCUCUAAUAAUUAUAAAAUGAGAGUAUAUAUACCAUUGUCCACUCCCCAAAUAAUGGCAUUGCCAUACCCUACUUCCAACCCCAAUCCCUAGCCACCAUCAGAGUGCUCUGACUGGCAUAUCUUGUGAAGUGAAUUCUGCCAGUGGGCAAAUAGUUUAGCUUUUUUUUUUUUUUUUUUUAGACAAGGCAUUUGGGCUCAGAUGUAAAGCAUUGGGGUCCGAAUUUCAGCCAACUGGCAGAUUUCAGUCCUGCUCUGGACCAAAAACUGGAUAUUGUUAAAUAGUGUGCACAAUAUCUGGAUUUUGCAGUUUGAAUUCAGACUUUAAUGAAUAACCCUGUUAGUCUGUUUUAGAUGGGUUUAUUUAAAAAAAAAAAAAAGUUAGGAUAAUCAAAAGUCAGGAAGAGAUGCAGGAGGCGAGGUCUGGUGUGUAAGAGGAGAAUGACGAAGAUCUAAAUGUUCUUUGCAAAUAAAUGGGAAUGAAAACAUAAAAUGAGAUGUGUUUGUCUAGGGGCUGGUGUAGAGGGAAUAAGAACUGAGUCUGGUACUACAAAUACAAUGUUACCAGAAGAUAGGGAUGUGGAACUGCACUCAAUCCCCUCAGUAAUAUGAAUCUGGGUCCAACAGAAUGGUUUCACUACCAGGAAACUAAUUAUUUGAUAGAAAAAUGUAGAAAGGUCCCCUUCAGAAUUCAAGAAAAAAACGAAAUUUAUUAAACCCACAGCCCAGUCACAACAUCGAUUGUGGCCAGCCUAAGGCACACCUGUUCAAUAAUCAUGCUGUCUAAUCAGCAUCUUGAUAUGCCACAUCUGUGAGGUGGAUGGAUUAUCUCGACAAAGGAAAAGUGCUUACUAACACAGAUUUAGACAGAUUUGUGAACAAUAUUUGAGAGAAAUAGGCCUUUUGUGUACAUAGAAAAAGACUUAGAUCUUUGAGUUCAGCUCAUGAAAAAUGGGGGCAAAAACAAAAGUGUUGCAUUUAUAAUUUGGUUCAGUGUACAUUGGAUUUGAGAGCUGGAAAUGUUGCACUAUAGGAACUUCAUAAAAGUGCUGAUUUCUCUCAAAAUUGGCAUGUUGAUAAGAGGUGCUAUAGGGAUUUGAAUUAUUCCUUUAACCAAACAAUAUGCAAAUACUUAAUUUGAAAUUGUAGAUAAUACCUGUUCUCUUACAUUUAUCACCAGUUUCUUUUACGUCAACAUUAAUAUAAACUCACUCUUUUGCUUAUUAUCUUGAAAUAUGCCACUAAGUCUCGAUACUUAGAAUCCAUUAGAAGUUUGUUUUCUUGAGGUCAUUGUAAAUCUAACACAAUGUACAAAACUUUCCAAACAUUAUAUCCCCAUUUCAUCAUAUUUCACAUUCUUAUACAACAAGGAACAGGUUAAAGAAAAAAAUUUUAAAAUGAAAAAGUUAUAUGUAUGCAUUUAUUCAAUAUUACGCUGGAUGGGUCUGUUCCUUUUAACGCUUGUCCAACGUGUAUUUGGUAAAACACAAUCUCUGCAAAGAAUUAAAUAUUUGAGUGGGAAGGCAAACAGGAGAACAGAUGGUGGAGCAGAGGGGAAGUUAGAAGUGUUUUGAGGGGGUGGGCUAGAUGUCCCGGAGGAGGGAAACUCCAGUACAAUACAAAAUCCAACUGUGCAGCUUAUUUUUCUUUUCUAAACAAGAUAAAAAUCCUGCAGGGUUAUAGCAAAAGACGAGAAUGGCCAUAAUGUUCAGCCUAAUCAUUUAAUUAACCAAAAGGUUUUCUUUCUUUCUUUUUUUUAUAAGAAAGAUGAUACAAGAUAAUUUGUAUGCAUAUGUUUACAAAGUAACAUUGCUUACAAUAUUGUAUAUAUAAUCAUUGCAAUAGUAGGUUUACUAUGUAUAGUACCAAUGUACUAAUACAUGUGCCAAUAAAUUAUCUGAGUGAACAAAUUAAUUGAAUGAAAAAUAAGAUAAAGUAAAUACAUUUUAAUAAAUGUUAAAGAAAUGUAGGUAAGAGUUUAUGUUAUGUAGGUUGGCGGAAUCAUGUUAAACAAGUUUACUAAAGGAAUCUAAUAUUUAUGUAUUUGUUGUAUGUAUAUUCACUAUUUAUUAUGUUAAAGUAAGUCUCUUAUUUUUUAACUUGGAUGAGAUUAUGAUAUGUGUUAUUUGAUGUAUUGAUCAUAUUUGUUUUUGUUGCAUUAUAUGACAUAAGGGGAUGUAAGUGUAGAUAAUGUGGAAGUGGAUGUUGCGUAGUAUGUUGUUAAUUAGUAUAAUUUACCUGGUCAAUCAGGGUAUUUAUCAUUAUAAUAAAAUGUAAUAACAUGUUACAUAAGUAAUAAAAAAUGGAUAUAGUAAAUAAAAGUAUUGAUAGAAUAAGAAGUAUAUCAAGUGUUAUCUGAAUGCUUCUUAAAAUAAUUCCUUUUCCUACCUCAAAAAACUUUAUCUAAAACAUGCUUUCUGAAAUACCAUAAAAUAAGGAGAGUUAUAACAUCCACAUGACUGAAUUGUUAAGAAAAGGUUAAAUAAUUCCUGUAUAGGUGGCAUGUUGGCUGACUUAAAGGGACACUCCAGGCACCCAUACCACUUCUGCCCAUUAGAGUGGUCUGGGUGCCAACUCCCACUACCCUUAACCCUGCAAGUGUAACUAUUGCAGUUUUUUAUAAACUGCAAUAAUUACCUUGCAGGGUUAACUAAACCUCUAGUGGCUGUCAUGCACAUUAGGUCACCACGGCCGGUGGGCGUGAUUAGUCUUGCCCACCGGCCGACAUAAUGACUGGGAGGAGCGGCGGCAACCCGAAACCACCGCCGAGGGACAUCGGCAGGGGUCUCAGGUAAUUGGGAGGAGGGCGGCAGAGGGGACCUGCAGUGCCAGGAAAACGGAUUGUUUCCCUGGCACUGGAGAGUCCCUUUAACAGAUUUGACAUUUGAAAGCAUUUUUCCAAACUUGGGUGUCUGUGUAUUAAGACAUAAUCCCACCAUAUUUUUUCGGUGGAACCUGAUGUUUUUUUUCAAUCUUUGCAUAAGUAUAGUCUAUUGCAACUUUUACAGAAUUCUUAUAAACAUAAAAAUACUACAAUGCUAAUUGUGAAAGAUAUACAGGUAGAUAGAUAUAUAGAUGGAUAGAUAGAUACCAUCUAGUUUUACAAAUAAAAAACCUAAACCUAAAAUAUAUGUGAACUAAUAUAUUAUUUUUAAACCUUUGGAAGAAUUUUUUUUUUUUAAAAGUCAGAGAAAUUAUAUAAUAUUGCAAAUCUUGGUUUAUCAAUAAUGUAUGUGACAAAUUGAAAAUUUUGUAUCAUAUAAAUUUAUCAUAUUUCAGUAAAGCCUCUUGUAGUCCUAACUGGGGUUGUGUCAAUUGAAUAAUUAAUUAUAAUGAUUAAUGGACAUAGAGCACAAAGACAUAUUUAAAUAACUUAGUUCUGUACAGCUUAUGUGUCAGGGAUUUUUAACAUAUGUCCUGCAUACACUACUAUAAGAUUUGAAAAAGAUAACAACUUUAAUAUAUUUUGGUUUUAUGUAAACUUAUAUUUCAUUGUGACUUUUGCCUGUUCAUUUUUAUUUUCUCUCUAAGUUGUAAUCUCUGACUGGUUUUUAGUAUACUCUUAAAUUUAUAUAAAGUAAAAUUACUUUAUAUAAAAAUGUUAAGAAUAUAAUUACUCUUCAUUUUAAAUAGCUGUUUUUAAACUCUAUAAUUGUAGCCAGUAAAUAUCCCAAAACAAAUUUUAUAAUUGCAAUUACUAACUGUUCAAAAUAUAUUUACAUUUCUAAUUUUACUAAACUAUUUUGUUUGCAUUUGUGCUUAUUAAAAAAUAGUAUUUUUUUAAAAAAAACAACAACUUCUAAUUGCGUUCUACUAGCUAUUUUUAUUUAACAUAUGUUUAAGCAAAAGACACAGUAUUUUUAAAGGCAUUUUUUUCAUUAUCUUUUGAUCUAAUACCACAUCUCUAAACAACUUAAAAUAUGUAUAGCUGGUAAACUACUUGAUUGAAAUAAAAGUUAAUAUGAAUCAGAAUAAAAAACAAGUUUUCUGAAAUUGUAUUGAAAGCAGAAUUGAUGCUAUCAAUUAUUUUGCUAAAAAAAUAUUUAAAAAAUGUAAUGCACUAUCAUUAAUAUUGUGUAAAUCAUAAGAUCCAUCAUAUUUGUAUGUGUGUGUGUGAGUGUGUGUGUGUGUGCACGCAUGCAUGUCUCUCUCUCUCUCUCUCUCUCUCGCUUUCUUUCUCUCUCUCUCUCUCUAUAUAUAUAUAUACAAAUGUACAAUAUUAAUAAAUACUAAAUGCUAAAUAUAAAGCAAACAAGUCAAUUUGGUUAACUCUGAAUUUAGUUUACUAAGAAACUACUUUGGGCCAAUUCUUAGGCCAAAAGGUGCUGGAACAUAAAUCUUCAAUAUACCUGCAUGUAUAUUUUGUUACAUAAAUGAUCAAUUUAAUUAUAAAAAUGCAAUGAAAAUAAGAGAGUGUAUGUGUAUUUAUUUAUUAAUUUAAACCAUAGUAGCAUAACUACAUUAAUGGCAAGUAGAGAAAUUCAAUAUGCUAUUCAUUUGGCUUAAGUUAGAACAUGUAUACAAAUCCCUAAUCCAGCUAGCAAGAAAAGGUCACAAGGACACAAAGGGUCAUCUCCUUUUAACAUACUGCUGCUCUCUCCUAAAAUCUAAUUUCUCCAUCAACACUUCUUAAACAGGAGCCCUUGUACUAUUUGCACAUCCAUCAUACAGCCAGUUAUAGUGUCCUUGUGUUUUUCUCUCCUUUUCCUUCCUGCUUUAUUUAUGGUUUCUUAGCUCAUCCUGUGCUACUUUAUCAUAACUGAAAGAAACUAAUCCUUACCACCUACAAUGUUAACAGGGAUAAACAAACCACCCAACGCAAGUGGAACAUAUGGUUCCAGUUCUGUAAAUCACAUACACAUACAGACAUAUGCAUUGCAGGUUUCUGUAGUUAUGCAUUUCUUUUAAGAACACCUGCAUUAUUGCACUACAAAAGUACGGUUAUACUCAUGACUUGUUAAACGUUUUUUUGUGUUUAUUUUCCCAGUCAUAAAUUCAAGGAGAAAAUAUAAUCUAUAUGCAACUUGGCACAUCUGUUCUGAGUUGAUAUCCAACUGCUUCCCAGGCAAUUUUAAAAUGUUGGUUAAGUAAUCUUGCAAAAUUCUUCAGCUCUCAUUAUGUACUAGAUUUUAUUUUCUAUUAAGACGGACGUAAACUCUCCACUUUGUUUAUAUUUUAUUGUAUUAGAUUUGCAGUCAGUGGGAACUAAAUUACACCUAGUUUCGAAAAUUGUUACUUAGUGGGGGGAAAAUUUUAAUUAACAUUGCAUUUAUUAUGAUAUGUAUUCAUAUAUUUAUUUUUGUUUAUGUGUCUAAGAUUAUUUGUGUCAAAUUCUUCAACAAUUUUAAUAUAUAUAUUUUUAAUAAUAUAUUCAACAUUUGGUGUCGGGGCAAAAGCCGUAAUGAGAGCAUAUUAGAAGUAGAUAUGUAAGAUCCCUAUAUGAGACCUAUAAUAAUAUGAAAAAGUUAGUCGUGGUGUGCCAGAACCGACGAUGCGGUGGGCCUGUAAUAAAAGAGGGCCCACCCUAGAUAAAUAUAUGAGAAAGGGUGGUGGGAGGGGCAAAUUGCCAGACUGAAAACGAUAACGGGGAGCGGUCUGGCGUCCCUAAGGCCCAGCCUUACAUAUAUCUUGGCAACUCAGGCAUUUGAUAUCAAACUAGUUAAUGUCUAUUGGAAGAAACUGUUCUCGAUAAAGCCCACCUCCUUCAAAUUUUAAAAUAUAUAUAUAUAUAGAUAUAUAUAUAUACAUAUAUAUAUCUAUAUAUAUAUAGGCAUUCAGUCAUGGCGAGUUAGCAAAAUGGUAAGGGUCUUUAUUAUUAUUAUUUAUAAAGCGAGACAUACAAAUAACUCACAAGUUUGACAUGCAGGAACAAGAGGUACUAAGGCACAUGCUCAAACAGGCUUACCAUCUAAAUAUAUGAUGAAUUCUAACAAUGUUAGCAUAAUUUUUGCAAUUAAUGUUUUGCAAUGAAGUAAUGAAAUUUUAACGUGUUUGUAAAGAUUGUGGGGUAUGGGUAAAGACAUUUUCAAGGUAGGUCGAUAUCAAGCUGGGAGGUUAGCAGACUAGUUAAUACACUGAAAGGAUAAGAAAAAAUUCACACUAAUUAAUAAUUAAAUUAAGGUGAAUUGGCAUUACUAGUGAGCACAUUUCCCUAGAUGUUUGAGGACAUCUUUCCCAUAAUCUUGGGUCAACAUUUAGUGUAAGAGAAAUAUAAAAGAAACAUACAUAUAAAGGGGUGUGUCAAGAGAAAAAAACAAUUUAGCUCCAUUUUUAGAUGGGUGCUAAAAUAGAAAUCACUGAAUUUUGUCGAAGGGGUUAAUAUUAACGCUGCAAAACACAUUUUUUUUACAUUUUUAUUCCAGAAUUAAACAUUUUAAUUAUAUCUGAUGUUAAAACACAUCUUAAUUUAUAUCUCAUCUGUCUGCAUCCCAUAUUAAGCAAAUCAGCAUGAGCUUUGUAGUUUCCUGAUACACCACUUUCAGUUUGUCUUUCAACCCCCUACUGCCUGCUGAUCUGCUCUACACACUCACUUUUUGGCAUCUUGUUCAAAGCUAGUUUUCAACAAAUAUAAUGAUUGUUGUUUCAUUAUAAUGUUUAUUUUUUUCCCUAGAACUAGCAGGGAAGCUAUCAUGGCCAGCAAGCAGCUUUGUAAAUUGUAAAUGUAUGCUGCAUACAUUUACAAUUUACCUUCCAAUAAAAGCUUCAAGCCUUGAUAAAUAUCUCAUAAUUCCUACCAUUUCAAUGAUUUCACUGAUGGUCACUCAGGGCUAUCAACAUUGGAUGGAAGACCCUAUUACAAACAACACAUAACUGUUAAUAUCUAACCAUACAACUUGUGUGCACUUCAUCCAACAAGUGUAACAACAACAUAAUAUUUCAAUCUUCAGCAAUUUAUUUGAUAUUCUUUGAAAGUUUGGAUUAUUUAGUAUCAUUUUAACUACUAAUUCCAUCAUUCACUGUCACUUGUUUUGCUCUAUAAUAGACAGUGAAAGGUACAAAUCUAAACCUGUGAGUAUCAUCUGUAAUAUUUAUCCAGCCUUCUUGAUUAUGACAUUAUGUAUGAUAUUAUGUUGCAACACAUUAAAAUCUGUUGAUAAUUUUCAGCAUUUUCCUUUUUUAAUUCUUUAUUUUUGUGUGCAAUUCUUAACAAGCAGCUUGCUUAGCCACGAUAGCCACAGCAAGAACAAUGGAUACACAUGUAUGUAGCAUACCAACAAAAGCACAAUUUUUAUACAUUUAACAAGAGGUGUCAGGUGUACUAUUGUACAGUGUUGUGUGGUAUCAGUCUGUCUAGGUGCAAUAGGCGAGUUGUAUUGGAGUUUAAAUUCCUAGACUUAAACCUGAUAGUGAGAGUGUUUAAACAUAAGUACUUCAUGGGAGUGGAGUAAACAGGUGGGGGCGAAGUACUCGAGGAGUACUUUGGUUAGUUCACCUGAUCGGCUCUCUCCCGGGUGCUUGGUUUUAGCGAAGGCAAGGUUGUAUCGUGCUUACAUCUAGCUAAGAGGGCAUUUGCAUAGUGGGCGAGGAUUGGGCCCAUGAGCACAGUAUGUAUAUUACGUUAACCUAUGCAUGUGGGUUUAUGGCCCCUGACCAAGGAAGUCGCGGGGGGUGGGGUAUUUUUGCCACUUACUGUGGUCUCUGUUUCCGCUGUCUAGUCGGCGUGUUUGUGUUAAGCCUGGACAUUAUGGAGCCCAGGUAGGUAAGCGUAUGGUGCGUGUGAAGUUAGACAAAUAAGGUUUGUUGAGGUGCGGUAGUAAAAGUCCCAUCUCUGCUUUUCAUUCCGGGUUGGCCGUCUCCUGCUGGCUUGGUGUUCUAGGGAUGAAUGGUGUUAUGGAGGCCGGGUCCCACCUCUGCACUCCUGAGGCGGCUGGUGUGUCUUGGGGUGAAAGUCCCAGGGUCCCCAGGAAGGAUGCCGCCUCUGACAUGGAUGGCGAAGUAUGUACUGUCCCGUCUCGAGUCACCGCUAGUGAGCAGUUCCACCCCCAGUGGUAGCUCAGUCCCGCGGUUCGCAACAGUGUCAUGACUGGAGUGUACGAUUUGCAGUGCAAUAGUGUGGACCUUGUCAAAUCUUGGAAGAAGGUCAGGGUCGAGUUUUCGAAGGUGAACGGUGUUUUGCCUUUCAGCGCUGACAAUAUUUGCAUUUUGUCAGGUAGGGAGAUGCAGCGACGGAUGACGUCUCUCCCCGUGUUAAUCCGGUGAUGUGGAUGGUUUGGGAGGCAGUAUACGCUUUCUAUUGCCAUGUUCUUGGCCACUGUGUGUGACAGGAUUGUAGCUAGCAUUCUCCUGAUAUAAUGGGAUAAUUCCUCCACCGUGAUCGUUGCGUGAAUGCCCCUGAUUUUGAUGUGGGUACGCCUCUGGCAGUCUUCCAUAUUGGAAAGCUUGAGUGUCGUAGAUUGUUGCUAUGUUUGUAGCGUUUUUAUUGAGUUCGCCAUCAUGUUGAGCUUGGACUGUACCUCCGUUAGGGCUGUUUCAUUAGUUCUGACCCUCUCCGACACUGCCCUUACUUCUGUUUUGAGAAUGACCGAGUCGGAUUUCGGCAAGCAUUAGUUUUAAGUCCUUCUUGGUGGUCGGUGCAGUGUCGUCGACUGAUUCUGGAGACUCGCCCGCGGGUGUUGGUGAGUAUUGCAGACUCUCGCGCUCAUGUUGUUGUAGCGUCGGAUUCUGCACCGUGUCUGGGUGUCCAUUGGUGGUGGUGGGCUUAGGUUGCACCGGCCGCUGCCCUCCGCUGGGGUGUACGAUUUUUGGGAGCGCCUGCCCAUGCUCGGAAUGUUGGUCAGCGAGGCAGAUGGAGCUAGGCUGUGGGGUGUUGCAGCGCUGGUUGUUGCGAUGCAUCCUAGGAAACUUCCGAGGUCAUGCAGCGUGCGGUAGGCCCCAGUUUUGUAUUUCCAUCAUGCCGUCUUCGGUCGUUGAAAGAAAGGCAUUGAUUGGUGCUCCCUGCCCUUUUGGCACCAGUUGUGCUCGUGUGGUAUUUGGAUUGGGUUCGGUACUGCUGAUAUCCGCAGGAUUGUGUUUUGUUUUAGGGAGCUUAGAGAAAUGGCGUCUGGUCAGGUUGCUUGGUAAGUCCCGCCCCCAAUUUUCAGCAUUAUAAUGGCUGUCAAUAAGCUGUUAAAGGGACACUAUAUUCACCAGAACCACUAAUAGCUUAAUGUAGUGGUUCUUGUAUCUAUAGCUUGUCCCUGCAUGCUUUUCACCUCUAGUGGCAGUCACUCAUAUGGCCAGUUGAGGUGCUUCCUAUUUCAGUGCUAUUCUGCAUGGAGAUGCUGAACUCUCCCCAUAGAGAUGCAUUGACUCAAUGUAUCUUUAUGAGGAAAUGCUGAUUGGCUCAACUGACCUGUAAGCAUUGGAUUGGCUAAGAUCACCAAGAUUGAUGAUCUCAACCAUAGAGCAAGGCCAGGUGCAGGGAGACUGAUACAGCGAUGGAGAAAAAGUAAGUUAACUACUUUUUCCCUGCACUCUGAGGGGGACCAGAUGUCUAAAUAGCCCUUCUGCACUGUAGGAAUACAUGUUUGUAUUACAUAGUUACAUAUCUGAAAAGAGACUUGCAUCCAUCAAGUUCAGCCUUCCUCACAUUUGUUUUUUGCUGUUGAUCCAAAAGAAGGCAAAAAACCCAGUUUGAAGCACAAUUUUGCAUCAAGCUAGGAAAAAAAAUCCUUCUUGACCCCAGAAUGGCAGUCAGAUUUAUCCUUGGAUCAAGCAAUUGAAUAUUCUGUUUUUGCAAGUAUGCAUCUAGUAGCUGUUUGAACAUCUGUAUGGACUCUGAUAAAACCACUUCUUCAGGCAGAGAAUGCCACAUCCUUAUUGUUCUUACAGUAAAAAAACCUUUCCUUUGUUUCAGACGAAAUCUUCUUUCUUCCAGUCUAAACGCAUGACCCUGUGUCCUAUGUAAAGUACGGUUUGUGAAUAGUGUAACGGAUCACCUGGCACCCCGACUGGGUACCUCCGUUAAAGGAUGCUCCUAGCGCUUCCUGAGGACUCCAAGCACUCUGGCAGACACCACAAUCACUGAACCGGAGAAACAAAUAAAUUCUCCCAAGCAUAUGAAUGCUGUAGACAGUUGAAUAGGAACCAUACGAAUAGGUUUACUCUCCUAGCAGUCAAACUGGAACAGCAUACAAUAAAUCCUUCCCCCAAUAAUGAGACGACACUUCACUUUGAGGGUUAAAACAGGAACUGAGUGCUGGCACACCCAGCCUGGUUUUUAUUACAAUCCACAAAACAUAGUACUGCCCACAGGGUUUUGCAGAACCACCAAUAAACACAUUACAACACAUACAAUGCAAGUACAGCAGCCAAUCAGACACAAUGGGACAAUAGAAACACACCCAGCAUAUUCCUCCCCUCUGCUUAGGAGAUAAUUGAGUCAAUUACUGUAUCUACUCAAUUAUCUCCAAGCUGAAAAGUUACUUUUUGUACAUUUUUAUAACUUUGUGAGUUAACAUCGUACAUACAUAAAACUUACAUUUUCAUAAUCAAUCCAUUCAGGGGAACAACAUAUUAAAAAAUGGCACGAAUCAGACCAGGGGUUCAAAAGUUAAGGGAAAGUCCUUUGUGACUAAAUGAAGCAUGGCUUUCUGGCCCAAACCAGUUUCAGAGUCUUCUAUCCUGGAGAGUAAUUCAAUUAUCUCCCAGGACAGACACAAGACUCCAUUAAGCACAUGGUUGCAAAAAGACACAAAACACUUUAAAAUACAUAAAGUCACUUUUUACACAUAAGACACAGACAUUUCACAUAUCCCCAGAUAGCUGGGAUCUGAGCGCACAAAACUACCAAAUAGCGCUCAGAUCCUAUUCACACAGUUCAAUUGCCAUGGAGCCGAAGUCUUUAACUACACGAAUGGGCUCCAUGGCAUAGCUAUCUGGGUUAACACAUUCACAUAAAGUCUGGUCCAUAGUCCAAAGGCAAGAGGCGGGCAAGCAGCCCCCUCCAAGGACACGUGGCGAGGCCGGUUUCGCCACAUUUCUCCCCUUUACCAUCCAGACUAACAGGGUAUCUGACCUCCUGCCGGUCAGUGCCCUGGUUAGUCCAGCAACCCACCCACGAAGCACAAACAGCAAUACAGCCCACCCACAAUAACUGGUUACUACACCUGGAUAAAAUAGCAACUUGUCCAUGUCCAGGUGCCUCACCACGGCUGUGCGGGGGGCUGGUAGACUGCCUUGAUGGGUUGCUGAGUGGGCAGAGACCAGCGGUACUCUGCCUGGGUGCCAGCGCUACCACUGAAGUAGCCUGGUUGGAGCCUGGUUGUGGGAGGGGGAGACCGACUGUCUCCCCUCUGGAUACACUGCUCUGUGGCUGGGGGACAGGACCGACUGUCCCUACCCCUGGUGCUGCAAGUGCAGAGACUACGGUCCCAUCUGCAUAGUUGUGGGGCUUAACAUCUCCCCUUGGUGGGUUAGGCUGCCGCUGGAGAGAGGGUGUAACAAGCUCCUCUCUCUGAAUUGUAGACUGCCGCUGGGGAGAGGGGGUAACCUGCUCCUCUCCCUGACACACUCUUUGCUGGUGGAGAGGGGGACCAACUGUCUCUCCUUUCAAUAUUUUGUCCUGCUGCUGUGGAGGAAGGACUGCACCUUCCGUUCCCUGGGAAAAAGACUGCCGCUGGGGAGGAAGGACCGCACCUUCAGCUCCCUGGGACUCACACUGCCGCUGGGGAGGAAGGACAGCACCUUUGGCUCCCUGGAACUCACACUGUUGCUGGGGAGGAAGGACAGCACCUUCGGCUACCUGGAACUCACACUGCCGCUGGGGAGGAAGGACAGCACCUUCAGCUCCCUGUGAUACAUACUGCCGCUGGAGAUCUGGGCCGACCGCCCAGCAUCCCUGUAGGGCCGGUAGAGAGACCGCCGUCCAAUCUCCACCUGCCAUCUGUGGGUCUUCCCAGGACCAGUCUGUGAGGUCCCUCAACAUUUGCGAGUAAGGACCACCUGCUUCCGCACCUGGCAACUCCGGCUGCUGCUGGGGAUCUGGGCCGGUCCCAUCUCCACCUGCCUGUUGUGGUUCCUCACAGGACCAGUCUAUGAGGACCCCUACUUCGGGUUCCUGCGGCCGCCUCAGGGGGAGACGGCUAGCCUCCUCGGAUGCAGCCUCUACUCGGCUGCUGUAACACUCCUUCCGCUGAGCAUACUCUCUCUCUUUCGCCAGCCGGAAUUCUCGGGCCAGCCUUGUGUUUCGCUCGGCCGUGACCUGGUUCCAGAUCACCCGGCGUACCUCCAUGGGUAAAUCAUCCCCAUACUGGGCCACUCGCUGCCUCACCUCGGCCAUCCAAUCAUCGCCAGAGCCUUCCAUACUUGUCUGCUCCAAGUCGCUGGAUACCUCUGCUCCCAGGGGCGCUGCACGUGUGCUAGCGUUGCCCUCAAUUUGUAACUCCACGAACGGUGUCUCUGAGCUGCUUUACCUCGCCCUAGGACGCCAUCCCACCGCUGCCACCAAUGUAACGGAUCGCCUGGCACCCCGACUGGGUACCUCCGUUGAAGGAUGCUCCUAGCGCUUCCUGAGGACUCCAAGCACUGCAGCAGACACCACAAUCACUGAACCGGAGAAACAAAUAAAUUCUCCCAAGCAUAUGAAUGCUGUAGACAGUUGAAUAGGAACCAUACGAAUAGGUUUACUCUCCUAGCAGUCAAACUGGAACAGCAUACAAUAAAUCCUUCCCCCAAUAAUGAGACGACACUUCACUUUGAGGGUUAAAACAGGAACUCCAGUGCUGGCACACCCAGCCUGGUUUUUAUUACAAUCCACAAAACAUAGUACUGCCCACAGGGUUUUGCAGAACCACCAAUAAACACAUUACAACACAUACAAUGCAAGUACAGCAGCCAAUCAGACACAAUGGGACAAUAGAAACACACCCAGCAUAUUCCUCCCCUCUGCUUAGGAGAUAAUUGAGUCAAUUACUGUAUCUACUCAAUUAUCUCCAAGCUGAAAAGUUACUUUUGUACAUUUUUAUAACUUUGUGAGUUAACAUCGUACAUACAUAAAACUUACAUUUUCAUAAUCAAUCCAUUCAGGGGAACAACAUAUUAAAAAAUGGCACGAAUCAGACCAGGGGUUCAAAAGUUAAGGGAAAGUCCUUUGUGACUAAAUAAAGCAUGGCUUUCCGGCCCAAACCAGUUUCAGAGUCUUCUAUCCUGGAGAGUAAUUCAAUUAUCUCCCAGGACAGACACAAGACUCCAUUAAGCACAUGGUUGCAAAAAGACACAAAACACUUUAAAAUACAUAAAGUCACUUUUUACACAUAAGACACAGACAUUUCACAUAUCCCCAGAUAGCUGGGAUCUGAGCGCACAAAACUACCAAAUAGCGCUCAGAUCCUAUUCACACAGUUCAAUUGCCAUGGAGCCGAAGUCUUUAACUACAUGAAUGGGCUCCAUGGCAUAGCUAUCUGGGUUAACACAUUCACAUAAAGUCUGGUCCAUAGUCCAAAGGCAAGAGGCGGGCAAGCAGCCCCCUCCAAGGACACGUGGCGAGGCCGGUUUCGCCACAAAUAGAUUUCCACACAAUGGUUUGUAUUGGCCCCGAAUAUAUUUGUAUAAUAUUAUCAUAUCCCCUCUCAGGCGACUUUUUUCUAAACUAAAUAGGUUUACAUUUGUUAACCUUUCUUCAUAGCUGAUAUGUUCCAUUCCUUUUAUUAAUUUUGUAGCCUGUCUCUCCACUAUUUAUUGUGCCAUAAUAUCCUUCUUUAGAACAGGUGCCCAAAAUUGCACAGCAUAUUCAAUAUGUGGUAUUACCAGUGAUUUAUAAAGAGGCAAAAUGAUAUUCUCGUCCCGAGUGAAUGCCCUUUUUCAUGCAGGACAAUACCUUACUGGCCUUCGCCACUGCUGAAUGAAAUUGCAUAUUGUUGCAUAGUUUGUUGUCUAUAACAAUUCCCAAGUCCUUUUCGUGUGUUGUUAUCCCUAAUUCGCUUCCAUUAAGGGUAUACGUUGCUUGUGUAUUCUUUACGCCAAAGUGCGUAACUUUGCAUUUUUCAACAUUAAAUUUCAUCUGCCAUUUGAGUGCCCUGUCCCCCAGUCUAUCUAAAUCCCUCUGCAGCAAAGUAAUAUCUUGCUCACAUUGUAUUAUUUUACAGAGUUUUGUGUCAUCUGCAAACACUGAAACAUGACUUUCAAUGCUGUCUUCAAGAUCAUUUAUAAACAAUAAAUAGAAGGGGUCCCAGAACAGACCCCUGAGGGACACCACUUGCCACCUCUGUCAAGCUUGAACAUUUACCAUUAGUGACAACUCUUUGUACUCUGUUUUUAAGCCAAUGUUCUAUCCAAGAACACGCAUUUUCAUCUAGACCGAUUUCCUUGAGUUUGAACACUAAUCUAUUGUGUGGAACUGUAUCAAAUGCCUUGGCAAAAUCCAAAUAGAUCACAUCCACUGCAACACCCUGAGCUAUACUUCUACUUACUUCUUUUUAACACUAUGGUGGUACUUUAACUAUGGCAGAGUGAUUCCAUUGUUUAGUCUGUUUUUUUUUUUUUUUUUUUUUUUUCCAAAAGGUAGUUGCCAACAUUGGACACUUAGCAAAUUAAAAAAACUAAAACAACUUUGAAAGCCACUGAAAACACUUUUUAGCGAUUAUUUUUAAGUUGUAUGUAUCUGAGAAGAAUGUACACCAAACACACCUCACCUGAAUUGUGAUGAUGUGUGUAAGCAACAUUAACAAUUCCUUGCUAAUCAGGCCCGUUAAAAUACAAAUAGGCACUAUAGCAACUUUAUAACAAAGAAAGAAAAAUACAGAUGAACAUAGUACCUGAAAUGUCCCUUAGUUAUCUACAUACACUCCAAUAUCCUUAUUGAAACUGCUGUACUUUGGCACCCCAAAAUGUACUUUUUGUUUAAAUACAUUUGUCCGAAAAUGUUUUGGUUUUGUUCGAACAGAAUUUAAUUGAUUUGUUCGUUCGUUUUCAGAUGAAAGUUGGCGAUUAUUUUCGUUGAUGGAUUUCAUUUGGAUGAAUAAUUUUCUAUCUGUGCCGCGGCUGUAUGUUGCAGCCGUUUAGUAGAUAACUCCCUACAUUGGUAACAUUGUGGGAUUUUCAUAUUUAAGCAUACCUGUAGCGGAGCUCCCUGUACCCCAGCUGGUUUCCUCCACCAAGGACCUCUUCCUAGCUGGAACAGGGAAAACCUCAGCGUUUCCCCAGUCGCUGUGGCUGGACUGGGGUCUUCCUGAAGCCUCUCUGUCCUGGAACAGGAUAGGGAACUAGCUCUAUUCCCUCCAAGGGACUGGACGACACACAUCUUGUAUUCAGCACAAACCCCUCCAAGGAAUCUCUAGGUCUGGGAGUUAAUUAUAUAAAGUAUUAAUCUGAGGCGCUUUCCCUUUAAGAAAUAAAUAUGGUAGAUUCUAUCUCUUUAAUUAAUAUAUACCUUGUGCUACUAUCCUUCACUUGCCCCCCCAAAGUACACAAAGCUUCCAUUCAAAUCUGGGAGCUAAUUGCAUUAAAGCUAAUUAUCUCCAAGGAACAGAGAGACAAACACAAAAACAUAAAGUGUGCAGCACUAGAUAUAGUGCUGUACACAAGUAAUGUGUACCCCAAAACAUCAUAAAAGCAUACAAUAACCCCACAAAUAAGACAUCCCCAAAUAGGCACCAGCUGUCUCCACUCCCUGUAACUCAUUCUGCCACUGGGGAGUGAGACCGACCUUCUCCACUCCCUACACUCUACACUGCAGCUGGGGAGUGAGACCGACCAUCUCCCCUCCCUGGAACCCACACUGCACUUGGGGAGUCUCUACUCCUUGUUACUCACACUGCCACUGGGGCAACGGCAUCCCCCACCGUGCCAUUUCGCUUGCCAGCUCUGGUGUGCAGUGCAGGUGCCUGGCCACAAAAGUUAGUUCCUCUCCCGAAGAUGUGUUUCCCCCAAGUCUUGGAAGCCAUCCCACUUCUGCCACCAUUUGUAGCAGAGCUCCCUGUACCCUGGCUGGGUACCUCUGCCAAGGAUCGCUUCCAAGCUGGAACAGGAGAAAACCUCAGCGCUUCCCCAGUCGCUAUGGCUGGACUGGAGUCCUUCUGGAGCCUCCACAUCCUGGAACAGAAUAGGGGACUAGCUCUAUUCCCUUCCAGGGACUGGAUGACUACAGUCCUGGGAGCUGUAGUCCUUACAAGGACUUUCCCAGCUGAAUCCUCCACGAGCUGGAACAAGAUGCUAAACAGUGAUUAGCCUUUUCCCCUCCUAGUAAUUAGACGACACAUAGUUCUGGGAGUACAACUGAUUUUAAUGAGCCAAACUUGGCCUUUUAUGCACAAACCCCAGCAGGGUGUCUGCAUUGUAUUCAGCACAAGCCCCUGCCAGAAAUGUAUGGGCGUGGGAGUUAAUUGCAUUACAGGCCAGUAAGCUAAUUAUCUCCCAGGCACAGAGAGGAAAACACUAAAACAUAAACAUAAAAAUACCCCAAAACAUCAUAAAAACAUUCAAUAACCCACAAAUACAUCCCCAAAAAGCCCUGAUCUGAGUGCCCAAUCAACUUUCAGGAGCUCCUAUGUCUGCAAUAUGGGGUGCUUUGCCUAGCUCUCAGGUAGCUUUUGUUUCCCUUUGUCUCAGACACCUAUCAUUCAAAAAGUGCUCUUCAGGCAGGUUGCAGUAGUUCCAAACCCUAGACCAAGUUGUCUGGGAACUACAUGGUCACCUAAUGCCGAAAACAGUUCCAUAACAUUCACAGCUACAGUUGCAAGAAAAAGUAUGUGAACCCUUUGGAAUGAAAUGGAUUUAUGCACAAAUUGGUCAUAAAAUGUGAUCUGAUCAUCAUCUAAGUCACAACAAUAGACAAUCACAGUCUGCUUAAACUAAUAACACACAAAGAAUGACAUGUUGCCAUGUUUUUAUUGAACACACCAUGUAAACAUUCACAGUGCAGGUGGAAAAAGUAUGUGAACCCCUAGACUAAUGACAUCUCCAAGAGCUAAUUGGAGUGAGAUGUCAGCCAACUGGAGUCCAAUCAAUGAGAUGAGAUUGGAGGUGUUGGUUACAGCUGCCCUGCCCUAUAAAAAACACACACCAGGUCUGGGUUUGCUUUUCACAAGAAGCAUUGCCUGAUGUGAAUGAUGCCUCACACAAAAGAGUAAGUCCAGCUGAGUUGACUGGGAAGCCACAAAGUCCUCAUGCCGAAAUUAGUUCCAUAGCGCUCACGGCUAAGUACCAUUUGUGGGUUUGGUUCAUGUGAAUGGCCAUCAGGGAGCUGUUUGCCAAACCAGAAGCACCCAAAGAAAGCUGUUAAUGGUGGCUGGACAGUGUAACUCCCAAAUGGUGUCUCUGUCAUGGCACAGCCUGAGCCCUGCAGACAGCAAAGUGUGGCUGCCCCUUUAAGAGACCUGGCUGGGUUUGAACACAGCUCCAGCAUCCCAGUUAGGUUUCCUACCAUGAUACCCGCCAAGGGGCUUCAGUUUUUGUUUGCAUUCUUCUGCUUUCUGACACCUUGCCUGGAUUAAGCAGUGCUGAUCUAUCUGCAGCCCUUUUCCAGUUAGCGUCAGCUGCACCUAAUUAGCAGGCUGUAAAAGCCAGCCCUGCCUGAGACCUAGUAUCUGGUAAUUUUUGCCUGUAUGGUGUUUACUGCCGAAUCUUUGCUAUGUUACUGACUUCGUUACUCCGCUACCAGCCCUGAUUUCUGCUUCUCGUCUGGCCCUGCCUUUGGAUUUCUCCUUAAUCUGUACUGUGCUUCUGGUUUUUCUCAUACGUUUAUCUCUGGGAAUAUAUGCCUCUUUCAUAUGGACCUCUACCAUCACAAUUACAGAUCCUUAAACUUUAUUACAACUCACUAACACUAUCCACAUCAUUUUUUCACACAUUAAUUUAUCUAACCAAAUGGUUUGGAAUUCAACAUUUGGUCUCCUUAUUCUCCAAAUUGCUUUGUUUUUGUAAAUUAGGAAUUCUGCUAGGGACACUCCAGAACCCUAAAUAACUGCUUGCCAAAGUGUGUCUUGUUGUUGUUGUGUUUUUAUUUUUUAUUUUUAGAUUUUACAAAAAGUGCAGAUUUCAAAGAAAAUUGCACUUUUAUAAUCUAACCUUGCUACACCCCCUGGUUGUCAAUCAAAGUAAAGGUCUGUUAAUUGCUCAAAUCACGUGCCUUGCAAAGACUUAUCAUGGAGAUGCAUUGAGAAGUCUGUAAUUUGACAGCCACAGAAAGUCUGGGCUAAUCUGGAGGGCCAGGACUGCAGACAAGAGAUAUGCAGCUGUUGCAAACUUUUUUUUACACCUAUACCCCCAAUGGAAAAAAUGCAUAAUUAAAUGUAUUCAUUAGGGAUAUAUCUGCUAAACAAAAAAGGUUAGGAGCUCUCUUCAACCCUCUCCCUUUCUUUGACAUCUCUAAACUUCUCUGUUACUACUUACCCUCAUAUGAGCUUAUUUAUAGCCCUACCUUCCUGCCACUAUCUUUCCUCAUGCAGAUGAUAACCAACCAUAUCUCUAGUUACAUUACACAUGCACUUAUUGCUCCGAGAUAGAGCUAGCUGCCUAGCCUGACCCUAAACUUACCUAUCAGUUGAAGCUAUGGAAUAUGAUGCCUAUGGCAUCUCAGGAAUUCUUCAUAGCCAGAAUGCCACUGCUAUGGUAUCCUUAUGACACAACAUUUAACCCCUUAAGGACAGAGCUUCAAAAGCUUGUCUUCCACUUAAUGACAACAGCAUUUUUUCAUUUUUUGCUGUUUGCGUUCAACUGCAAUUUGCAUUUUACUAAUUUGUUGCACCAACACAUAUUAUACAUCGUUUUUUAAAGGACAGAAAGGGCUUUAAUUUGAUGUAACACACACACAUAUAUAUAUAUAUAUGUGUAUAUGUAUAUGUGUAUAUAUAUAUAUAUAUAUAUAUAUAUAUAUAUAUAUAUAUAUAUAUAUAUAUAUAUAUAUAUACACUUAUUUAUUAUAAAAUAAAUACAGAAAAAUGUAAAGAAUGAAAAAUAUAUAUAUAUAUUUUUUUUUUACAGUUUUAGCAAUAAUAUUGUGUGCAUAAUUAGUGCAGGUUAAGAAAAGUACUUAAAAAUAAAUUAAUUUAGUUGUUCUGAUUUACAGAAUAUAUAAUGUGUCUGGGAUUUUAAGUUUUUUUUUUUGGUAGUUACAGGUCACAAAGCACAAGGAGUAAAAUAGACUUUUAAUGUGGAGCGAUCUUAGAAUUUGGUAUAUUUGUCUUGUAAGCUUAAUAGCCAUAAAAGAAAACAAAAUUGCCACACAAAAGUAUAUAUUUAUAUAAAGUAGACAUCACAGGCUAUUGUCCUAAGGUUGUUUUGACACUUUCUGAGUAGCCAUUUCACCGCCAACCUCUGCUAAAUAUUGGAGUAAAAUUUUGUUUUUUUUGGUUUUUGGCACACAAACUUAUAAUAAAGAAAUUCUCAUGUAUUAUUUGUAAAGUUGGUGUGUGCUAUUCCUGUACAAAGUUUUUUUAUUUUGUGUUCAGUUACAUCUGCUGAGUAAAAUGACACCCCCAUUGUAUGUCUUUGGCACUAUUUCGUGAAGUUACAGUGCCAUACAGGAUACCUGUCCUUUUCAGUAUUCACAGUAGAAUUUUGAGAGAUGGAUUUAAUGAGCCUUAGCUUCCAUUUGGGGUAUUAUAAGUGUUUGACUGUUCAAAAAAACCCCACAAAGGCCUACCAUUUGUAAAAGUAGACACUCCAGGGUAUCUCAUAAGGUGCAUAUUGUGCCUUAACAUGCCCCCAUUCGUUCACCAAUAUAUGCCAAAGUAUGUGGUAAAAAAUAAUUUUGUGCAUUUUUUACAUACGGAUUGCAUUUUUGCUGGGCGUUUUGUAUAUUUCAUAUGUGCCACUAAGUUCAAACCCCCCAAAUUAUGCUCAGCUAAGACUUCUGAGUAAAAGGACACCCCCAUUGUAUGUCUUUAGCACUAUUUUGUGAAGCUACAGUGCCAUAUAGGAGACCAAGCCAUAUCCGUUUUUACCGAACUUUGAAUUUUGACGCUGGGCCUAUGUGCAAUUUCCAAGCAUCUUCGCAGGUUUUAAAUUCAAACUACCCCACAAAGGCCUACCAUUUCUUAAAGUAGACACCCCAGGGUAUUUCAAAAGGUAUAUUUUGAACCUUAGCGUGGGAUCAUUUUUCCGCCAGCUUGUACCAAGUGUAGUGGUAAUAAGUGUUUUUUCUGCCUUUUUGACACACAAAGUGAGUUUGCACAGUAUAUUUUGCAAACCUUAUGUGUGCUAUGACUGUAUAAUACUUCAUAUGUUGCUCAGCUAUGUCAGCUGAGUACAGCAAUACCCCCGUAUGUACCUUUGCCAGGUAUAUGUGGAUGUUGAAGGGGCGCAUUUGAGACGCAGCCAUUCAGUUUUUUUCUAACUUUGAAGUUUUUCGCUGUGUCCAUGUUCCAAUUUGGAGUAGUUUCGACGGUUGGUUAUUGAAACUUCCCCACAAACACAUACUAUUUAUUAAAGAAUACACUCUGGGGUAAUUCAAAAGGCAUAUUUUGAACCUUGGCGUGGGAUAAUUUUUUCUCUAGUUUGUUCCAGGUGUAGUGGUAAUGAGCAUUUUUAGAAUGUAUUUUUUUUACUUUUUUUUUUACUUUUAAAAACUAGUUUUUAAACUUUUGUUUUGCUUAUUAAUUUUUUUAAACUUUCCUAAACUUUCUUAAAACUUUUUUACAGAUUUAACAUUUUUCUAAGCUUUUUUUUUUACCGUUAACCCCUAACUAACAGUAAAUUCCCCAUUUUCCCAUAACUCCCACCCACCCCAGCUAGCAAAAUAUAUAGUUAUAAAAUAUUUAAAUUAAUUCAAUAAAUUGAACCCCUGAGGGUUAAAAAAAUAAAUAAAAGUUAAUGCUCAGGGGUUAAAAAAAAAUUAGAUCACAGUAUAAUACUGUGAUCUGUAUUUGAUCACUGUAGGCAGUGAUCGACUGGCAGGGAAGGGGUUAAUUUUUAUUUGGACUGGGUAAAGAGGGGUGGUUUUUUUUGUUUGUUUUUUUACUUAAACGUUAUUAAAACUUUUUUUUAAGCUUAAUUUUUUACUUUUAAAGUUUAUUUUAAAACUUUUUUUAACGUUAACCCCUAAUUAGCCUAACGCCAAACCCCCCAAUUCCCCACUAACUUCCACCCACCCCAGCUAACUAAAUAUAUUAUUUUAAAAUAUUUUAAUUAAUUAAAUAAAUUUAACCACUGAGGGUUAAGAAAAAAAAGAAUUAACCCUCAGGGAUUAAAAAAAUCAGAUCAUAGUAAAAUGUAAUCCCUGCCAAUUGAUCACUGUAGUCAGUGAUCAAUUGGCAGGGAAUGGGUUAAUUUUUUAUUACAAUGGGUAAAGGGGGGGGGGGUGGGACUUUAAAUAAACUUUUUUUAUUUUUUUUCCUACAGGGGGCAGGAUGAGCACUGUUCCGGCUCCCUGCACUUCACACAGAACCAGGAAGUGCAGGGAGGCGGAAGGUAAGUAUACAGAGCACAUGUGCUCGCUCUGACUUGCGGUCAGAGCGAGCACAUGUGCUGGCCAGCUUGACUGGGUGCUCCCGGUCUGCCUCUAAUACAGAGGCAGACCGGAGCACCAUUAACCCCGCGAUAGCGGCGAUCCGGGGUUAAUUUUACCGCGUGACGGACGAGGUCCGUCACUCGUCAUGAAGGGUCUCCCCUCUGUGACGGACCUCAUCCGUCACUUGGCGUUAAGGGGUUAAGAGAAACUUGACUUGAUUGUUAUUAGUAAAUUAAAGGGAAACUAUAGUGCCAGGAAACAAACUCGUUUUCCUGGCACUAUAGCUUCCCCCAUUGUGUUGGCUUGGGUCUCCUUCAAUCCUCCUGCUGACGUCAGUCGGCGGGGGAGACAUAAGGCGCUUCAGAAUUUCCCCAUAGGAAAGCAUUAUUCAAUUAUUCAAUGCUUUCCUAUGGGGAUUCCAGUGACACUAGCAGGUAAUUAUUGCAGUUUAUAAACAAGCUGCAAUAAUUACAUGCUCAGGGUUAAGGGUGAUGGGACACUGCACCCAGACCACUUCAAUGAGUUGAAGUGGUCUUGGUGCCUAUAGUGUCCCUUUAAUAGUUUACAGCCAAUAUACUGUUGAUGCACACUUUGCAGCCUUUUAUAAAAAAAAAACCACACUGAGCAUCAUGACGGUGACAAGACCAAUCUCGCCACUGUGCAUUGGAGGAGCCUGGUUGCCCGCCUGCUGCCUUUAGACUAUGGCCCCAUGUUGAAACGCUUGAUUUUCCCCAGCAAAGACACGAAAGCCGGGUCAUUCGGUACUUGCCCUAUUUGAACAAUGAUACCCCAGAUAGCUAUGCCAUGGAGCCCAUUCGUAUAACGAAAGACUAUGUGGAAGACUUUGGCUCCAUGGCAAUUGUACUGUAUGUAUGUGAUCUGAGGGCCAUUCAGUAAUAAUGUGCGCUCAGAUCAUAUCUGGGGAUAUGUUGAAUGUACCUGUUUUAUGCAAUAGCUACACUGUUAUAUAUAUAUAUAUAUAUAUGUGUUUGUAUGUAUGUGUAUGUAUUGUCUUUUUGCUACCAUGUGGCUAAUGGCGUUUUGCCUCUUUCCUUGGAGAUAAUUGGAUUACUUCCCAAUUAUCUCCAGGAUAGAAAACUCUGUGAAACCGGUUUUGGGCAGAAAAGCCAUGCUUUUUUUGGUCACAAAGUACUUUGAUCUAACUUUUGACCCACUGGACCAAUUUGGAUGAUUUUGACAUAUGUUUGUAUUUGGAGUAUGCUGAUUCUGAAAAUGUAAAAUGUAAUGUAUGUGAAUGUGAUGCAUACUUUUAAAGUUGUGAAUAUUGUGUACAACUGUGUAUUUUCUUACCUGUGAAACCCAUUGUGUUAACCCAUUGUGUAAGGUAAUUGUAUCAUACGUAUGUGUUUAUUGGUUGUUUUACAAAACCCUGUGGGGGUGUGUGUGUGUGUGUGUGUGUGUGUAAAAGAACAAUAAACCCACAGCUCUGGCAGUUCUACUUCACCCUCAAUUUGGAGUGCCGUCAAUUGGGGGAAUCUGCUACAAGGGAUUGCUAUGCUAGUCAUACUCCCUUGCUAUAUCACUACUAAGCUCUUGUAAGAGCUUGUUCCUGCCUUGCUCUCUGGAGGAGUCUACGGUGGUUAUGGUGCCUGCUGGAGUGCUUGGAGCCCUCAGGAAGCGCUAGGAGCAUCCUUCAACGGAGGUACCCAGUUGGGGUGCCAGGUGAUCCAUUACAAUGACCAUUUUAAAUUAUUGCAGUGGAUAUGGUGCAAGGGGUCUUUGAAUUCAGGCCCCUGGUUUCAGUAAAACCAUUUUUAAGCUCCUCCUGAAAAAUUAGUUUUUUUUUUUUUCUCUUUUGAGAUACAUUUUGAUAUGAGAGAAACAUUUAAAUACAUAAAGGGAAUCAACACCGUAAAGGAGGAGACCAUAUUUAAAAGAAGAAAAACUACCACAACACGAGGACAGUCUUAAAUUAGAGGGGCGAGGGUUUAAAAAUAAUAUCAGGAAGUAUUACUUUACUGAGAGGGUAGUGGAUGCAUGGAAUAGCCUUCCAGCUGAAGUGGUAGAGGUUAACAGAGUAAAGGAGUUUAAGCAUGUGUGGGAUAGGCGUAAGGCUAUCCUAACUCUAAGAUAAGGCUAGGGACUAAUGAAAGUAGUUAGAAAAUUGGGCAGGCUACAUGGGCCGAAUGGUUCUUAUCUGCCGUCACAUUCUAUGUUUCUAUGAUAGAAAAGAAAUUUCACACAAUUCUCCUCCAAAUAUGAAGGCCCCAAAACGGCACUGCUAUUUGUCAGUAAGCUAAAAUAAAAGCAGCAUAUGCACAUACAGUUUCUGUUCACCAUAGCUACUGCAUUUUAAAGGCAAGAGUGUCCCUUAAAGAUUUUAAAGCUUAGAUUUGAAAGAUUUUAUGCUAAAUACAAAAUAGAUUGUUUUAUGGUAAGUUGCUAUCAAUAUUGCAAAUUAACUCAUGCUGUUUUAAAAUUUAAUUUAUUUUAAACCGAUGAAUUGGUACAGUUUUUGUCAACAUUCAUACAAUAGGAACAACCAUUAUAAUAUUUUAUAUACAAUGAACAACAUCAGAAAUAUAAAGACUGUGAACUGGAAAUAGCAAUAAGUAAUCCAAGGUUUUUUUUUUUUUUUUAAGGCUCCUUUCUGUUCCUUUACUUUCAGGCGUCAAAGGAUUCAAUGAUUCAAUAAUCUUGAAAAGAGAUGUAAAAUUUGAUUGGAGCAGAACUAUGACAUCAAAUUAUUUUUUGAUUAAAAGAACCUUGACUGGCAGAGCACAAAACAUGUGAAAUGAUCCUUGUCCCUGAGACAAAAAUGUAUACAAAGGGAACUGAUAAUGUUUGUCCAAAAUAGAUAAAAUAGUUCAGUUGAACAUUUCUCCAAUUAAACGAAAAACUUGUAAAACCCAUGCAACAUAGAAUGUGACAGCAGAUAAGAAGUCUGCCCAAUUUUCGAAAUACUUUUAAUUAGUCCCAGGCCUUUUCUUAAGUCUAGGAUAGCCUUAUGCCUAUCCCAAGUUUUGCUAAUUAAACUGAAACGUUUUCUCUUUAUGAUGAGCUAAUAAAAGUUAGGUUUAAUUCCCUAAUAAGGCAUUAGAGUGCUGUCUGUUUUGCCAAUUUUUAUAUACACAGACAAAUACAUUAAGUGCAUGUUUCUACAUACUUAAAAAUAUAUAUUCGUGUGCAUGUAUUAAACAUAUCUUUUACUAAAGCUGUUCAUGCUUCUAAAAAUUAUAUUGUUAUUUCUCAGUUUUCUUCAUCAUGGCAUUUUUUGAUGCUGAAGCAUCCAUCUUCAUUUUCCUUUUGUAGUGAAAAUAUUUUAAAUCAAUAAGAGUGAUUCAAAUUUGCAGGUGCAGACUUAUAAAAGUGUAUGUCUCUUGUGUUUCCAAAUAAAUGUCUUGUCUUCACUGAACCAUUGAUGGAAUUCACAGUAUGCUCAGAAGUAGACAAUGGAUUAACACAGUGACACACACACACACACAUAUGCUGGUGUUUUGUUUGAAGAACAGUGGGGGUUACAUUAUGUGAAACAAAUUAGGCAUUGGAGCAGGAUAGGGAAAUGAGGGAGGAGGACAGAAAGCAUGUGGUAGUAUCCCAACAGUUCAUAUUUUGAAUACCCAAAACUGCUGGUUGAUUUAUGCAUUUUCUUCAUGCGAUGACUAUACUAUCCCUUUGGGAUAAAGGAAACUUACAGAUGGUCUAGAAUUAAAUGUUAUGGGUUCAAAAUAACAUACCAAUGCUUAAUGUGCUUUAUACCUUCAUCAAAUUCGAUAUUCCUAUGCAUUGUUUUAUUGUUAGAAAAUGACCUGUCAUAUUAGAAGCAAAUAAGAUGGCAUUCCUCACUUUAAAUAUACAACGGUAUAAAAUGUAACUUUUUUUUUUUUUUUUUUUUUUAUAAAUAGUAAAAUAAUGGCAGGCAUUUCCUUAUUAAUUAAAGGACCACUAUAGUGCCAGGAAAACAUACUUGUUUUCCUGGCACUAUAGUGCCCUGAGGGUGCCCCCACCCUCAGGGACCCCCUCCCGCCCGGCUCUGGAAGGGGGAAAGGUGUUUAAACUUACCUUUUUCCAGCGCUGGGCGGGGAGCUAUCCUCCUCCAUUCCUCCUCCUGGGCUAAAUGCGCACGCGCGGCAAGAGCUGCGCGCGCAUUCAGCCCGUCGCAUAGGAAAGCAUUUACAAUGCUUUCCUAUGGAUGCUUGCGUGCUCUCACUGUGAGAAUCACACAAGCGCCUCUAGUGGCUGUCAAUGAGACAGCCACUAGAGGAUUAGGGGGGAAGGCUUAACCCAUUGAUAAACAUAGCAGUUUCUCUGAAACUGCUAUGUUUAUAAAAAAAAAUGGGUUAACCCUAGAAGGACCUGGCACCCAGACCACUUCAUUAAGCUGAAGUGGUCUGGGUGCCUAGAGUGGUCCUUUAAUGUAAAAUUAAUUUAAACAAAAAACAAGUUUCUUUGCUUUACAGCUCCAAACAACCAUAUAAUUAUAGUGACUUUUAGAGAAUGACAUAUCUUAAUGCCUUACUGGGUUCCACAAUAAAAUGUUUUUUAAAUGAAAUAAUAUCCUCUUUAUGUAACCAGUCAAGAAUAAUUCCUUUUAGAAGCCUAUUUAGCACAUACAAACCACCUAGCAUAACCCUAACUUUAGCAUGCAACCAGCAUAUAUGUCUGAAAUAUCUUUUUAACAUUAAUAUUCAUGUUAUAAUCAAUUAUUUAUAAAAAGAGAAAAAAUCAGCGCACUACUGCCACACAAAUAAAUAAAGAAGGCAGCACCUCUCAGAGGGGAGUCCCCUAUAAUCCCCUAAAUAUAAAAGGUAAAAAUAAAUUUAAAAAAAGAUAAGAGUGCGCCUAAAAUGUAUAAUAAAACAUAUACACAGUAUAAAAUAAAAUAAUAAAAGUAAAUAUAAAAUGGUAAUGAUAAAUAUAAAAUGGUAAUAAAAUAUAAAAUGGUCCAAAAUACUUAUCAAGAGUCUGUAAUGGUGAGAUCUUUUGAGGAAACAGGAAAUCCUGAGACGUCAAAUGGAGUGGAAUCUUCACAGUGAUGUACUCGAAUCCAAUGAAGAAUAUAUAAAAGGGAAACAGAAACAGGAACUCCAAUGGUACAGUAUAUCAGCGAGAAUAAAAUUCUAAAAUAAUAAUAAAAUAGCCGUACUCACACUCUUCAGAGCUAGAUCCUAGCUCUAAUAUUAAGCGCGUGAAGUGGAACAAUCCCCACUCAAGGAUAUGUAAAGUGGUGUUUGAUUGGAGAGGUUCUGGCCCAAUUUCCGUGUUCGAGUAAAUAUUAUUCAACCCAGAAUGAGAGAAUAAAAAUAUAGUGCUCUCUGUAUACAGUAAAGCAAAAAGAUGUAAAGUAGAUUACUUACAUUCUAUAGAGCAGGUCUAUACUGCUCGGUAUAAACGCCUGGGUGGUAUAAUCCCCACCUAUGGAUUCUUUGGGUUCCUUAUGGGUGUAGAUCAGGUGCACAAAUAAAAAUAAAAUUAUAAAUAGAAAAUAUAAAAAGAAUAUAAAAAGAAAUGGCAAUAAAGUGUUCUAUGCCAAAUUAAAUUCUUUAUUAUAAAGUAAUUAAAAUAAUAUCUAGAUGCGUUUCGCCUCAAAAGGCUUCAUCAAGUAGAUAAUAGUAAAAAGCACUCCAUUUGACGUCUCAGGAUUUCCUGUUUCCUCAAAAGAUCUCACCAUUACAGACUCUUGAUAAGUGUUUUGGACUACUGUUUUAUUACCAUUUUAUAUUUAUCAUUACCAUUUUAUAUUUACUUUUAUUAUUUUAUUUUAUACUGUGUAUAUGUUUUAUUAUACAUUUUAGGCGCACUCUUAUCCUUUUUUUUAUUUUUUUUAUUUUUUUUAAUUUAAUUAUUUAUAAAAAGCCUGGGAUCUCCCAUGGAAUCUCUGGCACUGGAAGAAGACCAAUAACAGGUCAAAACGCAUCUGGUUUGAGACAUUCAUGUUUGGAGUUGGUGUUGCCAGCGGUAAGCUUAAUUUUACUAAAACUUAUUUUUUAUAUACUCAUGAAACUGCUAUUAUUUGGCACACCAUCCUGCUUCAACUAUAUUGAUAUUUUAUUUUGUUUUUUCUAUUGAGUUUUACCCUGUUAUAGCUUUGAAGUUAAAUAAAAUAUCCUUGAUUUCUACCUUUUGAUCUCUGUGUGCUGCUAAGAGGGAAACUUCUCCAAGUUUACAGGCACCCUGAGGUUUUUUAGACAGAGCCUGGUUGUGGCAAACCUAGCCACUCGGACUAUAACUGGACACUAUGCCUUUAAGGGUUGCCUAUAGGUCUGAAGAGAUAUGCGUUUUAACCUGUAUGUAUCUGCUUCAUGUAUUCCCUGCAUUGCCUGUACCUAUCUGUUCCGCCGAAUGCAAAUGGCGGUUUGUAUGGGGAUUCUCGUUCGUUUCACGAACGGCACUUUGGAGGGCCGUUCGUGAAACGAAUGCGAUACCCCCUAAUAGCCCACACACUUAGAGGCGUGUGGCGCUAGUUAACCGAUUGCAACAUUGUUGCAAUCGGUUAUUAGAGGCUCUCCUGGGUGGCCGUCGUUCGACUACCGACCAUGCGGCGGUCGGCCAUCUUGGAUCCUUUGUUCCCUCAGCGGGGUUAUGUCGUCGAGCGCCUGGUACUAAAAACGGCUACUCGACGGCAUGAGCCCCGCUGAGCCUCCAGGACGUUCGGGAGUUUCGGGGCGUUCGGGAUUUUGUUCCCUAAUAGCAAUCGGUUCUUUUUGUAUGUUUUAUAUGAAUUGUGUUGUUCGUGCGGCGUUCGGUUAUUUUAGCAGGGAUCUGAGCGGUAAUCUCACGAAUGAUACCCUCAGACCCCAGCUAUCUACCGAACGUCCAUUCGUGUAAAUCCACUAUAUAUUCACCAAGUUAUUGAUUUUUAUGUGAAUUAUCGGUUCUGCUGCACGAGGGGGUAAUCCACUUAACGGUGCAUUCUGGGAGGAUUAUCCCUCUCGUGCAGCGGUGCCUGAUGGGAGAAAAAGGCUGUAAUAUCAGUCCCCCAUGUAGUCCCCUCCUGUACAACCCCUGUAAUGUCAGUAAGGAAACCCCUUGCAUGGGGAACUGCAUAAAUACUGUGACCUGUGAUUAAAACCUCAGUUGACUCCCAGCCUAUGUGUCGUCUAGUUCUUGGGAAGGAAGGGUUACUGCAGUGCUGUUUGGAUUACUAUAUGCUGAUUCCCUGGAUUAUCCUUUGUUGUUCCUGUUACCCAGCGGAGAUAUCGUGGAUUAUACUGCCUCUCCGCUACACUGGUACUGCUCUGUGUCAUGUUAGUGCAAUUUCCCUUGCACUAUUUUGGAAUAAAGUUUUAUGCUAUGGGACUCUUAUGUAUUUCUUUUAGAUACUUUUUUUUUUUUUUCUUCUUGUGGAUCUUCAUUGAAUAUACUUUUGGAAUUUCAAGUAUUUUUCUACACUUUUUUGCACUGUGGUGAGUUUCAUAUGUUGUUUUUUAUCUUGUUACUAUUAUAAUAUGUAGUUUGAGUGAACUUUUAACUGGCGACACAUGCAGUGCACUUUUAUUCAGCUUCAAGUGACUUUACACUUUCUGUUUAUUUUUAUGGUAUAACGUUUUAUAUGGACAAAUAAAAAAAAUAGCUAAGAAGAUUUUAUACAAUUAAAUAAUACAAUCAUGCUAGUAUGUUAAUGCACACACAAUACAAAUCCUGAUCUCUAAAUGUGAGGAUUGGUAUUUCAUGAUGAGCUUGGAGAAUCUGAAUAGAAUAAUAUUGAUGAACCAUAAAAAAAAAAACAGUCAAUAUCUGGAGUUACCACCAUUUGCCUCACGCAGUGCAACACAUCUCCUUCGCAUAGAGUUGAUCAAGUUGUUGAAUGUGGAAUGUUCUCUUCAAUGGCUGUGCGAAGUUGCUGGAUAUUGGCAGGACCUCGAACAUGCUGUUGUAUAUGACGAUCCAGUGCAUCCCAAACAUGCUCAAUGGGUGACAUAUGCUAGCCAUGCAAGAACUGGGAUGUUUUUAGCUUCCAGGAAUUGUGUACAGAUCCUUGCAACAUGGGGUCAUGCAUUAUCAUGCUGCAACAUGAGGUGAUGGGCGUGGAUGAAUGGCACAACAAUGGGUCUCAGGAUCUUGUCACAGUAUCUCUGUGCAUUCAAAAUGCCAUCAAUAAAAUGCACCUGUGUUCGUUGUGCAUAACAUACGCCUGCCCAUACCAUAACCCCAUAGCCACCAUGGGCCACUCGAUCCACAACAUUGACAUCAGUAAAUCGCUCACCCACACGAUGCCAUACACGCUGUCUGUUAUCUGCCCUGUACUGUGAAAACCGGGAUUCAUCCAUGAAGAGAAUACCUCUCCAAAGUGCCAGAUGCCAUUGAAUAAGAACAUUUGCCCACUCAAGUCGGCUACGAGAAUGAACUGCAGUCAGGUUGAGACCCCGAUGAGAACGAUGAGCAUGUAGAUGAGCUUCCCUGAGACGGUUUCUGACAGUUUGUGCAGACAUUCUUUGGUUAUGCAAACAGAUUGUUGCAGUAGCUGUCUGGAAGGCUGGUCUCAAACGGUCUUGCAGGUGGAGGUCCUGGGCUGGUGUGCUUACACAUGGUCUGCGGUUUUGUGGCCGGUUGGCUGUACUGCAAAAUUCUCUGAAACGCCUAUGGAGACGGCUUAUGGUACAAAAAUGAACAUUCAAUUCACGGGCAACAGCUCUGGUGGACAUUCCUGCAGUCAGCAUGCCAAUUGCACGCACAUUCAGCCAGUCUCAUAGGAAAGCAUUAACAAUGCUUUCCUAUGGAUGCUUGCGUCUUCUCAUUGUGAUUUUCACAGUGAGAAGCAUGCAAGUGAGGCUGGAUUAGCCUAUUUAUAAACAUAGCAGUUUCUCUGAAACUGCUAUGUUUAUUAAAAAAAGGGUUAACCCUAGCUGGACCUGGCACCCAAACCACUUCAUAAAGCUGAAGUGGUCUGGGUGCCUAUAGUGGUCCUUUAAUAGUUUACAGCCAAUAUACUGUUGAUGCACACUUUGAUCUGGGUGAGAAACAUAUUCAAAAAUCACCCAGAUCGGACCAGGGGUUCAGGAAAUUCCUGGAGGUAGUAAAAAGACCGACCGUGCUGGGGUUAACAGCCGAAAUGGGUUCCAUACAUUUUGGCCCUGCGGUCGGUCACAGAAAAAGGGAACAAAAUGCCCGACGGCUUGGGUUAUGGAGACUGGGGAGGAUUCGGAUAAACCCCCUUGUUCGUGGGGUUCUUUCUGUUCAGUAGUUUCUACACGAAGUGAUGGCAGUGUGGAGGUCUCAGUGGUGUUUGCUUAACUGAGUGUCCGAUUUGGGUUCCAGACACUCGACGGCAAAACACCGCUGUUCGGGAGUUUAGGAUGGCCGCCGCCACGUGUUCGUCUCCCAAAUGGCGGCCACCCAGAGGACAAAGCACACACUGCACUGAUUGCCAAUUACCCGUUUGCAACAUUGUUGCGAACGGUAAUUGGAGGCACACUUAUUCCUGGGGUGGUCUGAUUGUUCGGUAGUUUCACUCGUAUAAUAACUGGAGUGAUUUUACCGAACAAUCAGUCAAUGCUGCAUACACUUUACAAACAUAUGGCAAAAAUUAACUGAAAACAUACAAAUACACAUAAUUCUGAGGACAGCCCAACGCCAUCUGCUACACUGUACAAAACCUGAUUUUGUGUUCAGCUACAUUUGCUGAUACCCCCAUUGUACAGUGCCAUAUAGGAGACCUGUCCAUUACAGUAUUUACAGUAGAAUUUUGAGAGACGGAUUUGAUAGGCCUAUGUUUUAAUUUGGGGUAUUAUAGCAGUUUGACUGUUCAAAAAACCUGGACAAAGGCCUACCAUUUGUAAAAGUAGACACUACUGGGUAUCUCAUAUGGUGCAUAUUUUGAGCCCAUUUUUUCACCAACAUAUGUCAAAGUUUGUAGUAAAAAAAAUAUCUUUGUCAUUUUUACAUAUGUAUUACAUUUCUGCUAGGCAUUUUGUAUAUUUUAUAUGUGCCACUAUGAUCAAAGUCCCAAAAUUAUGCUCAGCUAAGUCUCUUGAGUAAAACAAUACCCCCAAUGAAUGUCUUUGGCACUAUAUCGUGAAGCUACAGUGCCAUAUGGGAGACCUGUCCAUUUCAGUAUUUACAGUAGAAUUUUGAGAGAUGUAUUUGAUGGGCCCAUGUUUCAAUUUGGGGCAUUGCAGCAGUUUGACUGUUAAAAAAACACACAAAGGCCUACCAUUUCUUAAAGUAGACACACCAGGGUAUUUCAAAAGGCAUAUUUUAAACCUUAGCGCAGGAUAAUUUGUUUGCUAGUUUGUAACAAGUCUAGUAGCAAUUAUAAUUUUUCUGCCUUUUUGACACACAUUUGGAGAUGUUACUGGAUAUUUUGCAAUCCUUUAUGUGUGCUGCGGCAGUAUAACACCUAAUAUGUUGCUCAGCGUACCUUUUUCAGGCAUAUGUGGAUGUUGAAGGGGCACAAUUGAGACACACCAAUCUCAUAUUUUACAAAAGCGGAUGCUGGGCCUAAGUCUAAUUUUAACCACUCAUGAUUGCAAAUUAACUCUCAAAGGCCACAUCUUUAAGCAGCUCAUCAAUUUAAAUUAUGUACAAGUGCAUACUAUUUGCAGUGAAAGGGGGAAUAUUUGAUGUAAACUUAUCAGAGGGUAGUACCCAGUCAUCUGCGUCACGGACAACACUGUCAUGCAUUCCAGAACCAAAACACACAGACAGACCUCAAAGAGAGAGAGAGAGAAACUUGUAAUACUGAUCCUUAGAAUGGCCGGGCUAUACAAGCAGAGAAUAGUCAAGUUACAAGCCGAGGUCAAAGGAUUAAAGAGAAGCAGAACAACGAUAGGACAAGUCGAAGUCAAGGAUCAGAGAAGACAGGAUAAACUCAGUGCUCCAUCAGCUGAUCGUCUGCAAUAAGCAAGCCUGAUUUCCAAACCCCAAUACUGCUGUAAGAAACUCAGUGCUCCAUCAGCUGAUCGUCUGCAAUAAGCAAGGUAGCCUUCUGACCACAGUAAGACUCUAUUCUGCACAGCAUUAUUUAUAUUGAAUUUAAACACUCUGUACAUUUAUUUUAUUUAUCCUAUGUGCUUUGCAUAUUUUCUUGUCUUUAUAUCGUGCCUGUUAUGCUAAAGUGUAGGUUUGCUAGUCCUGUAUUUAAUUGUUUUAUUCACCUAUAUGCAUUCCUCUAUUUUCCCUCUGAUUUCUGAAUGACCUCUGCACCCUCCUUUCUUUUAUUGAAAUGUGUGUUUUUAUUUGAAUAACCAGAUACAUAUCCCCCUCCCUCAGCUUUAUUGCAAGCCUAUCUGACCCACACAUAUCUUUAUUCAACAGCCUGAUUUCUAAAUCCCAAUACUGCUGUAAGAAAUGCAGUGCUCCAUCAGCUGAGCGUCUGCAAUAGGCAAGCCUGAUUUCCAAACCCCAAUACUGCUGUAAGAAACUUUCUCUACACACACUAAGAAAACCAGAUACCCCACAAACCUCAUCACAAUACCCUGCCCUUUACCAUCACUUAACAACAUUCAGUGUGCACUCUGGAACGCCCGCUCCAUCUGCAGUAAUUUAAAAUCAACAGCCAAACAUGACUUUCAUCUCAAACUCACUCACACUAUUUGCACUUACAUAGACCUGGCUGUCCCCCUCUGAUAGCGCUACUCCUGCCUAUUUAUGUUUUUGGUGGGCUACAAUUCUCUCACACUCCCAAUUUUUCCCCUCAAUGUACCUUUCACCCAAUCAUAACUCCACCUGCCCUAUCCUUUUCUUCUUUUGAAGUUCACACUGUCCGCCUGUUUAAACCCACUCCUUUAAGAAUUGCUAUCAUCUACCACCCCCCCUGGGUAUCCUAGACUAUUCAUUGAGCACUUUUCUUCCUGGAUUCCCCAUUUCCUCUCAUCUAGCACUCCUUCCCUUAUACUAGAGGAUUUCAAUAUCCCAAUCAACAACCCCAAUUGCCCUGAUGCCUCUCGUCUGCUCUCUGUAACCUCCUCCUUUGGUCUUACGCAUUGGUCCAAUUUAGUAACCCAUACAGCGGGAAACACUCUCGAUCUCACCUUCACCAAUCUCUGUACCGCCUCUAAUCUUUCCAAUAUUCCUUUUCCUCUAUCUGACCACCAUCGGCAAACCUAAGACCCAAUUGACACCACCAUCUGAACAUCAAUCUCACAGAAACCUCCAAUGUCUUGACCUAGAGCAUUUUUCCACAAAUCUCCACACUCUCCUUUUACCUAUCUCAAACCUAUCUGUCCUAGCGCUGCAACCUCCUUCUAGAAUUCCACCCUCUCCUCUCAGAUAAACAUCAUGGCACCUCCUACAUUUAAACACAGCAGGCACCCCCAACAACAACCUUGGCACACCAAGCUGACUCCAUAUCUCCAACAAUGCUCCAGAACUGCUGAACGCUGUUGGAGAAAAUCUCACUGUGCGUCUGACUUUCUCCACUAUAAAUAUAUGCUGGGCUCAUACAUCUUGGCUCUUUCCUCUGCAAAAGUAAAUUACUUCAAUACCCUUAUAACCACAUUCUCUCACAAACCCAAACACCUAGUUUCACACAACUCUCUUCUUUGCCCUAUUGUUCCUCCUCCACCUACUUACUUGACCAUCUCAGACUUUGCAACUCACUUCACUGACAAGAUCUCUACAAUCAGAGAAGAGAUCUCUCAUCUUUCUUCUUCCCCUUACAAUACUUCCCCUAACCUCACUCCCUCUGCUGUUCUAUGUUCAUUUGCACCCACUACAGUGGAAGAGGUUUCUGCUCUACUCCAGCCAGCCUGCCCCACCACCUGCUCCCUAGAUCCAAUUCCCUCACAUCUCAUCUGUACUCUGUCUUCUUCUCUUUCUCCACCUCUUACUAAAAUUCUCAAUCUCUCUCUCUCCUCUGGUAUAUUUCCAUUGCCCUUCAAACAUCCAACUAUUCAUGCAACUUGCUAUUCUAAAGAAGCCCAACCUUGACCCUAACUCCCCUCCAACUACCGUCCUAUCUCGCUACACCCUUUUGCAUCCAAGAUCCUUGAAAGAGUUGUGUAUGCAAGAUUGACAGACUUCCUUGAGUCUAACUCUCUGCUAGACCCGCUUCAGUCUGGUUUCCGCGCUAAGCACUCUGUGGAAAAGGCACUGACCAAAGUAUCCAACGAUCUACUCGCUGCAAAAUCACGUGGUCACUACUCUAUCCUAAUUCUCCUUGACAUGUCUGCGGCUUUUGACACUGUUGAUCAUCAACAGCUUCUUCUCAUGCUCCGCAAUAUCAGUCUACAAGAUCUUGCUCUCUCCUGGUGCUCCUCCUACCUCUCCCAGCACUCUUUCAGUGAUUUCUUCUCUGGCUCGGCUUAUUCUCCCCAACUCCUCUCUGUUGGUGUCCCCCAAGGUUCAGUCCAUGGUCCCCUACUGUUCUCUAUCUAUACUGCCUCCCUUGGUAAACUCAUUAGCUCCUUUGGCUUCCAAUAUAAUUUCUAUGCGGAUGACAUGCAAAACUACCUGUCCUCCCCGUCCCUCUUGACUAGUGUCUCUGACUGCCUCUCUGCUAUUUCUAACUGGAUGGCUGCCCACUUCCUUAAACUCAACCAAAACUGAAAUUCUAGUCUUUCCUCCCUCAAGUGUUGCUACUCCUGUGUCUGUCUCCCACCAAAUCAACGGUGCUACCAUCAGCUCCACCACGCAGGCUCGCUGCCUAGGUGUUCCCUUUGACUCUGACCUCUCCUUCACACUUCAUCUCAAAAACAUUAUGCGCACCAGAUGCGACUAAGGUGCUGGUCCAUUCCAUUGUCCUUUUUCACCUUGACUACUGUAAUCCGCUUCUCAGUGGUCUUACAUGCUCCCAACUUGCGCGGUUACAGCUCAUAAUUAAUGCGGCAGCGAGGCUCAUCUUCCUGUCCGUCCGCACCUCCCACGCCUGACCCUUCUGUCAGUCCCUACAUUGGCUCCUGUAAGAUAUAGGGCUCAAUUAAAAAUUCUGGUUCUUGCUUUUAAAUCUCUACAUAAUGCUGCUCCCACCUAUCUAUCCUCACUAAUACAGAAGUAUGUCCCGUCUAGGCCCUUACGCUCUGCUGAAGACUUACGUCUGUCUUCUGUCCGUACUCCCACCUCUGAUGCUCGCCUUCAAGACUUCUCCAGGGCUGCACCGUUCCUGUGGAACUAACUUCCCUCCUCCGUUAGAUGCUCACCCAGUCUCCACUCCUUCAAAAAAUCAUUAAAAACCCACUUCUUAUAAAAGCGUAUCAAUUAAACUGUUAAUAGCUCCCAACUGAUUCCUCUCUUGCAACUGUCAAUAGUCUAAUACUAUCCUUACCUUUUGUGUCACUUUACCCCACCCCCUCUAGCAUGUAAGCUCAUUGAGCAGGACUCUCAACCCCUCUGUUCCUGUGUGUCCAACUUGUCUGGUUGCAACUACAUGUCUGUUCGUCCACCCACUGUAAAGCGCUGCGGAAUUUGUUGGCGCUAUAUAAAUAAUAACAGAGAAACUGCUAUGUUUACAUUUGGGUUAAUCCAGCCUCUAGUGGCUGUCUCAUUGACAGCCGCUAGAGGCGCUUUCGCGCUUCUCACUGUGAUUUUCACAGUGAGAAGACGCCAGCGUCCAUAGGAAUGCAUUGAAAAUGCUUUGCUUUCCUAUGGAUGGACUCAUGCGAAUUCGGAGGAAGAGGGAGGAGAGUCCCCAGCGCAGAGGAAGCCCGGUGCUGGAGAAAGGUAAGUGUUUAACCCUCUUCCUCCCCCUAGAGCCUGGCGGGAGGGGGGCCAUGAGGGUGGGGUGGGGGGGGACCUAUUAACAUUAUAGUGCCAGGAAAACAUAUUUGUUUUCCUGGCACUAUAGUGGUCCUUUAACACUAAACCCCACAACUUCCCACUAACUACCAGCCUCCACCCCUCCCCCAAAUUAACUAAAUCACCAAAAUAAAAAUAAUAAAAUAGUCCGUCAGCAGUCAGAAUUUUAGAAGCCUCCUUGGCCUGAACUUCCUCCGCAUCUUUAACACUAUCGGCUGUUCUCUCUUUUUAUCUUUUAUAUUAUACCUGAAGACUUUGUUCCUGUAUCCAAGGACGACAGAGAGGACAUUUUAGGUUGGACUUUUCUUUCAAUAUUUAUUACCAUUAUUGGAAAUGGACAUUGUCUAUUUAAUGUGGCACAGCCCUUUUUUUAUAUUUUGUUUUUAUCUUGUAUUAUAGGGUUUUGGGGGGAUUCCCUUUUUGGGGUUGCUGCCUAAUAGGUUGUUUGGCGCUGUCUCUCUCUUUUAUUUAUUUACAGUAGAAUAGAUGGCAGCCGCUCUAGGGUCCUUCAAACCCAACAAAAUUCCAAGCCCUGAUGGCUACACAGCACUUUAUUACAAGGAAUUUAGUCCCCUCGUCCUGACACAUUUUUGCGCUGUGUUCAAUGCUCCUUUAAGAGGGGAAAAGCUCCCGACAGACAUGAUCAGUGUCAGGGUACCUUGUGUUUGGCACAGGCUGUGCCACAAGCUGACAACAUCCAGCAGGGGAUUGGUGACAUUCCCAGUAGCUCUCCUCUUGUUUCUAGUGGUUCUCGCGCCAGCCACGAUAGCUCCGCCCCAUGCAUGCUGACGUCAUGACACUAAUUUGAACAUUUUGGGCGCUUGGCUACAUAUCAAGGAACACAGUACUUAAGGGGAGUUCAGGGAGAGUCUCAUUGCCCUGUUUGUGGUUCCAAUAGCGAGUUUACUUCGUAUUGCUUUCUUGGAUUUUGACUUUUGGCUUAGAUUGACUAUUCUCCUUUCUGUAUUCCUUUGACCUUGGCUCCUGUAUUCUCGUUGUUCCUGAUUUCUGGCAUCCCUGAUCUUGGCUCGUUUAUUUUUUUUUAUAUAUAUUUAAUUUUUAUUGAAAAAGUUUUUCUUUCUUUCAUUCCCUUUCUUUUUUCUUUUAUAAUAUUUCCUUUUCUCUUUUUUUUUUUUUACAAACAAAAAGAGAUUUACAAACAUUGUUACAACAAUAAACAAUCAGACAUUGGACAAUAAACAUCAAAAAAAGAAAUAGCAAAAAAAAAUAUGUAUAAAAACAUUACAAUUCAGUCACCUUCAAUGCAGAAAGAGAUUUACAAUAAAUCCAGAAAGGCUUUAUCCACCUUUUGUUCUGUCUCUUUUCUUACUCCUUCCCCUUCUCUUUCUUCACCUCUUCCCUCCUUCCUUCCUUUACCUUCUCCCCUUAUAUAUUAUAUUAACAAAAAAAAAAAAAGCUGCCCUUUGCCGAGAGUUAGUCGCAUAUUGCUCCUAGGAACCUAAAACCAUAAUCUUUGACAAAUAUUUUUUCUACCAAUCAGGCUCCGUAAACCUAUGGCUAAUUUAGAAAUUUAUGCACAGGAUCCACUACCCUAUCUACAAUUCCAAGACGUAUAAACCUUAGUAUAUAUUAAGUCACAUUACUUCUUCCUAAUUUUGCAAUCCAUUUCUGCCAUUGUUCAAUUCGUGGAUUGUAAUAAUUAUCUUGUCUCAAUAUCGCUAUUUCCAUUUUACAAUUAUUCAAGACCUGAUGUUUUAUCAUCUCCCAUGAUGGGGAAUCUGAGGUUUUCCAAAAUCUUGCGAGAGUGGCUUUAGUUUCUACAAGAAUGUGGAUAAUUAUUUCUUUUUUAUCCUUCGGAAUUGUGGGCCAUCCCAUAUGUAAUAUCAUAGAACUACAAGUAAAAUCAAGAUCCACUUCUAUUUCUUCCCUACAGAAUUUCGCUACCUUUUGCCAUAAUUGAGCUAUAAUCGGACAUGACCACCAUAUAUGCACAUAGUCUGCUAUAAGGGAAGCACAACGCCAGCAAUGAUAUUGGUUACCUGGAUAUAUUUUUGCUAAUUUAGCUGGUACAUAAUGCCAUCUGUUGAUAACCUUAUAGUGACUUUCCGAUAGAUUUAAGCAAUGUGAAGCUUUCAUUACUGCAUUAUUAGCCUUAAGCCAUUCACUUCUCAUAAUGCUAAUUUGUAUAUCUUUUUCCCAAGCUUUUAUAGCUGGAAAUUCAGGGAUUGGCUUAUACUUACUACAGAUAUUGGAGCAUUUAGAGACUAAAUUUUUACUAUAUGUGAUAUUUAAUAAAUUUAUGAACAUUUGUAAUUCCUCAGAGAUCUCCACUAUUCUGUGUCUCAUUAAGAAGUAUUUUAUCCUUAAGUACGUAAAACUUUCUCUGUAGGAAAGAGAAAAGGCCUGUUUGAUCUCUUCAAAAGGUCUAAUCUGUUGUUGUUGAAAUAACUGAUUUAUUCUAUUAAUGCCUCUAUUUAACCAUGGCUCAAGAUUAAGAUCCUUAAUAUUAAUAGACAAAACCUGCAUGGGUAGGUCAAUAAUAAUUUUAUCUGUAAUUUUAAGUCUUUUUUUUUCCAGAUUCUCCAUUGGACCAAUAAAAUAGAAUUAGGCCCAUAUCAUCUCUCUCCCCUUUGUGUAUAUUCCAAAAUAGAGCCAUUAGAUCUGGAAUUUCUGCUCUUUUAGCUUCAAUCUUUGCCCAUGAUUCUCCCCUAGAGCUCUCUUUCAUAGAUGAAAUAAUAUGUGCCAAUGAGCAAGAUUCAUAAAUAUCUGUAAUAUUAGGUACUCCCAUCCCUCCUAGUUUAGGUUUUAGGUUCAAGAUUUUUUUACUAACCCUAGGUUUUUUUCCCCAUCCAUAUAUAUUUAUCUAAGGCUGAUUGGAUCAUCAGGAGCCAUGGUUUAGGCAUUUUCAUUGGUAGCAUACAGAAUACAUAGCUCCAUUUAGGGAUCAAAUAGGCCUUUACAACAUUAAUUCUACCUGUCCAUGAUAUCUCUGCUGUUCUCAUAUAUUUCAAUUGUUUAUUAAUUUGCAUCAUUAAAGGCAUAACAUUAUAUUCUAGAAUCUUAGCGGGGUUACUAGAAAUCCUUAUACCCAAAUAAACAAAAAAAGUUUUUACCCAUUCAAAAGUGUAUUUCGCUUUAAUAUAUAAUUUUUCUUCCUUUUUUUAUAUUUUUUGCGAGAAUACUUGUCUUAUCUACAUUUAGCUUGAAAUUGGAAUACUGGCCAAAUUCAUGAAUCAGCCUUAUCAGUUCAUCUAUUGAUGUUAUAGGGUCUGUUAUAGUGAUUAAAACAUUGUCAGCAUAAAGUAGCGUUUUAUAUUCCUCUUGACCUAUUUUAAUUCCCAUAAUUUUGUCAUUAUUUCUAAUGUCACAAAUCAGGGGUUCUAUGUAUAGUAGGUAUAGCAAUGGGGACAGGGGACACCCCUGUCUUGUCCCAUUUCUUAUAUUAAACCACUCAGAGAUUAUCCCCCUCCCAAUUGUUCUAGCCAUUGGGGAGCUAUAUAAGGCCAUAAUUGCGCUCAGAAUCCAGCCUUCAAAGCCAAAAGCUUUUAGGGCCUCCCUGAGGAAGUCCCAUCUGACCCUGUCAAAGGUCUUUUCGGCAUCCAAUGACAGGGCCAGCAAUGGAGUACCUGAUUAAUGAGCGUAGUCCAGAAUAUCAAUCAUUGUUCUUAUACUAUUAUUUGAUUGUCUGUCCUUCAAAAAACCAACCUGAUCCCCAUGAAUAAUAGACGGGAGGACUCCUUGUAAUCUAUUCGCCAAGAUACUUGCAUAAAUUUUUAUAUCAGAAUUUAAUAGAGAUAUAGGACGAUAAUUCGCUACAAAUUCCUUAGGUUUAUCUGGCUUUUGUAUGGGAAUUAUGUUGGCGUAUAAUAGUUCGUUAGGUAUAUCUUUUUCUCUGACUAUAUUAUUAAAGAGAUCUUUAAGGUGUAUUACUAAGACGUCCUGGAAUUGCUGAUAAAAUAUAUUUGGGUAACCAUCCGGCCCCGGUGUUUUAUUUUUUUUUUAAGGACUUGAUUGCACUUAUUAUUUCAGUUUCUGAGAAGGGUUGAUUAAUAGAAUUCAAUUGUUCUCCUGAUAAUUUUUUUACAUUUUUGUUUUUAAAAUAUAUUUCUGGAUUAUAAGAAUAACUAGGUAAAUUAUACAAUUUUUGAUAGAAGGAAUUAAAUGCUUUGCCAAUAUUUUCAGGUGUUAAUUGGGUCCCUUCCUCUGUAAUAAUUUUAUUUAUUAACUUAUUCAAUUUCUCACCUUUAACUUUGUUUGUGAGUAUUUUGUUUGCUCUAUUUCCUUUAUAAUACCAUUUUAUUCUUAAAUAUUCCAUCUUUUUUGAAGUUUGUAGAAAUAGGAUUUUAUUAAUUUUAUUUUUUAUUAUUGCUAUUUUCUCACUUAUCUCUAUAUUUGGAUUACUUUUAUUGAAAUUUGUUAAUUUAUAAAGAGAUACAUAUAAUUCUGUUAAAGAAGCUUCUUUAUGUUUUUUCUUAAUUGAACCUAAUUUAAUAAGGUGUCCCCUCAACACCGCCUUAUAUGUACACCAGACUAUAGUGUCUGGUGUGCCUUUAUUUUUAUUGUCGUCAAAAAAACGGUUUGUUAGAUCUUUUAUUGUAUUAAUGUCCUGUUGCUCCCUUAGGAGUGAUUCAUUAAGUCUCCAAUUAUUCCUAGUUUUAAUAUCUGGUGAAAUAGAAAGAUCAAGUAUUAAUGGAUUGUGAUCUGACCAGGUUACUUCAUGAAUCAAAACCUUUUUUACCCUAUGUGGGACCUCAGGGGAACCUAAAAAUAAAUCUAAUCUAGAAUAAGUACAAUGUGCUUUAGAAAAACAAGUAAAAUCUUUUUCUAGUGGAUGAUUAAUCCUCCAUAAAUCUAGUAAUCCAUACUCAUUUAUCAAAGACGAGAAUUGAAUUGAUGAUUUCUUUCCUCUUUUAUCUUGAAUGACCCCUAAUAGUGAAUUCCUGUCUAACGUUCCAUCCAAGAUACAAUUGAAAUCUCCUCCCAGAAUAAUCUUGCCUUUUCUAAUUUUUUCUAGUUUACGCAAAAUCAUUUGUAUAAACUGCACAGAGUUAGUGUUAGGAGCAUAUAUAUUUACAAUAGUAAAUUCUUCUUCUUGUGUUUUACAUAUGACUAAAAUAAACCUCCCAUUUUUAUCUAUGUCUUGAUAAGUAACUUGGAUAUCUAAAUCCUCUGUUACUAAAAAAGCUACUCCACAUUUCUUUUUAUCCUCUAAUGAGGAACAGAGUUGAAUUUUGAAGUUUUUUGGGAUAAAACGUAUUAUAUCUUGUCUUAGCCAAUGAGUUUCUUGUAAUAAUAUAACUUUUGCACCUUCCUUUUUAAUAUAUUGAAAGACAGUAGCUCUUUUAAUUGGGUUAUUUAGUCCCUGUGCAUUUACUGUCAUAAACUUAACCAUAGACUAUCCAUCUUUAACUCGCGACUAUAACCCUCAGCAAAUAAGCAUAGACAUAAAAAAAAAGAAAAACACAUACCACAUUUACAUUCAUAUAGCCUCAAGUAGUUUAAACAUGGGGCAUUCCAUAUCCACGCUAUUAAAACAUAAAUCCAUCUCCACUCCCAAUUAGUGGAAGACAGAAAAUGCAUCCCAAAACCCUGGGUUUGCAUCCAAAACUCCACACUCAAAUAUGGAGUUAAGUCGGGGGGGCGUGAGGGAAACCCUCCUCUAGAGUGUCACAGAAAGACUAUAUAAUCCUUGUAACAGAGAAAGAGAGGAGAAAAAAGAAAAAAAAAAUAACAAACACAUACAUAUAUACAUUUUCCUAUUUCCCUCUAACCAAAAGCUUUUGCAAUGUGAUUAUUUCAAUUUCUUAUAUACCAAAUUUAUAUUAAUACGUUCAAUCUGUAUAUUCUCUAAGUUUUACAUAUUAAUACCGUGUCCAAAAAAAAAAAAAAAAAUACGUAUAUACAAUUUCCUAUUUCCCACUAGCCAAAACCUUUUGUAAUGAGAUUAUUUCAAUUUCUUAUAUACCAAAUUUAUAUUAAUGCAUUCAAUCUUUAUAUUCUCUCAGUUUUACAUAUUAAUAGCGUGUCAAAAAAACAAAACAAAAAAAAUAAAUAAAAAAUAAAUAAUAACACUAAUUCGAACAUUUUGGGCGCUUGGCUACAUAUCAAGGAACACAGUACUUAAGGGGAGUUCAGGGAGAGUCUCAUUGCCCUGUUUGUGGUUCCAAUAGCGAGUUUACUUCGUAUUGCUUUCUUGGAUUUUGACUUUUGGCUUAGAUUGACUAUUCUCCUUUCUGUAUUCCUUUGACCUUGGCUUGUUCCUGAUUUCUGGCAUCCCUGAUCUUGGCUCGUUUAUUACUCUCUGUCCUUGUGACGUUAGUCCAGCCAUUCUAAGGUCCAGUGUAUGUUACUAUUCCUUUACACUCUGCGUGUAGGAUCCCUUAAUAUUACUGACACAUAGCAAAUGUAUGUUUGCUAUCAAAACCCAACAAAGACCAUACAGAACCCAAACUCUACAGACCCAUAUCAUUACUGAAUGUAGACCUAAACAUCAUGACUAAAAUCAUGUCUAACAGGCUUAAUCCCUGCCUAGGCACGCUGAUCCAUCCAGACCAGGUGGGAGUUAUCCCCCAUAGGCAGGCCUCGACAACACCCGCAGAAACAUAGGCCUUAUUUGGCUGCCACAACAUUGGCAGAUGCCAACAGAUGUCAUAUCACUAGAUGCCGAAAAAGGCGUUCGACCGUCUGCUAUCUUUAUCGAACCCUAGAACACUUAGAGUUCCUAAAAUAAUUUCUCACCUUCCUUCCAGCAGCUUUCCACUCCCGCAUGUAACUCUACUACUACCCAACUCUACUACUACCCAACUAGGUAAGUGAUUCUAAUCUCUCUCACAAUCUAUUCUUACCCUAACCCUUGGGGUAAGGGUUAAAAUAAAGUGUGAAAAAGCACAAUUUUGUGAUAUUCCCCUAAUGUGAAAUUUCACAAAAUAUGAACAAGUCCCUAAUCCUAACCCUAAUUUGAACCCUAACAUUAACCCUAAAUGUCCCAUGUCCUAAGCUUAGUGAAUGCACUUACUAUAAUGAAAGUGUAAAACUAGUUUUGCUUACCUUCCAGGACCUUGCUGUGGAGGAGUAGCAGGAGUGCUAGCACGCAUGUGCAGCACAGGAUCCAGAUGAUUACCCACACCGGAAGUGACGAGGGUAGAGGAUUUUCACGGGUAGGAAAAUUUGAUAGAACACCGGCUUCCAGCUCACUGCAAGUUGCGCACAAACUCCUAUGUAGUCCAUAAGAAAUGUUUAAUCUCACUGCCUUCCAGUAUAUAUCUGUCCUUGCCUCUUAUGUGAAAAUGUGUAUUUGUGACAGUAUGUAUGUGCAAUGUGUGUGACUGCAUAUGUAAUCUGUGAAUUUCAGCUUGUGUGUAAUGUGUCUGUGUGACAGUGAUGGAACAGUUGUAUGUACCUGGAUGGGUCGGAAUAGAUUGGGGUCUUGGACUUCGUGUGUGAUAUUGCAGGAGGGAAUGUGACGACAGGGAGGUAUAUGUAUGUGGGUGCAGUGGUGGAACUACCGCGGUCACAGGGUUCGCAGCUGCAACCGGGCCCGGCUGUCAUGCGGUCCCCUGGGAAUGGGUUAUCUGCCGGCUACGUAAUACAGCCCCGGUCCAUGCAGUGUAACAGCAGGGGCCGCACAUUCAGGAGCCCAUCGGGUGGCCCAUGCUGUUAGGGCCACAGAUAUAAAUUAAUUUCCAGGGGUCCAGGUCAGUGCUGCGGCGCUUUAAUAGGGCGACUGGGCCCCCUUUGAUGAUGUCAGAGCUGGGAGGAACUGACUGCCCCGGUCACUUCCUCCCAGCAAUCACUGUGCUGCAAGGGAGGAAGAAGGAGAGGAGGGAGUCAGAGUGACAACCCUCCUGCACCUAAAAGGUAGGAAACAGGAGGGUGACUAAAUCAUUUUGCAUGUGUGUGUUAGUGUAUGUGUGUCUGUAUGUGUCUCUGUAUGUAUGUGUGUGUUUUAGUGUAUGUGUGUCUAUUGGUAUGUCUCUGUAUGCGUGUGUGUUUGUAUGUGUGUGUUUUUGUAUGUGUCUCUGUAUGUGUGUGUGUCCAUGUGUACAUGUAUGUGUGUGUGUGUGUGUGUGUGUGUGUCUGUAUGUAUGUGUGCAUGUCUCUGUAUAUGUGUGUUUUUCAAUGUGUGUCUGCAUGUGUGUAAGAGAGAGUAUGGGAGGGGGUAGAUGUAUGGGGGCCCAUGGCAAUCUUCGCACCAUGGCCCUGUGGUUUCUAGUUACGACUCUGUGUUGGUGAGUAUUACUAGCAAGAGGAGGGUAUGUGGCAGAGUGGGACAGUGUGGUGGAUACUAUGACAGCAUGUGCCAUUGCACACAGAGUAUUGAAGGAGGUGACUGCAGAUGAGGUAGUGAGUAUAUUGCCUUAUAUGUCAGGGGUGGGUGUUAUAUGUCAGGGGUGGGAACAAUGGGAUUGGGUCUUAUAUGGAAGAGAGGGUAUUAUGUCAAGGCUGGGGUGUAUGGCAGGUGGUGUUUUUUGAUAGGGUGGGGUUUAAGGCAGGGUGGGUAUUAUGAUAAUGUGGUGGGUUAUAUGGCAGGGAGGGUAUUAUAGCAGAGUGGGUAUUAUAUGACAUGUUGAGGGGUAUAUGCUAGGGUGCGAAUUAUGACCAGGUGGUGGAUUUAUGGCAGGGAGAGUAUUAGGACAAAGUGGGGGUGUAUAUUCAAGGGAGAGUAUUAUAAAAAGAUGGGUUGUAUAUUCCAAGGGGGGUAUUAUCACAAGGCGGGAGUGUAUAUGGCAGGGAGGGUAUUAUAGCAUAUACCCCUAUGACAUGUUGAGGGGUAUAUGAGAAGGUGGGAAUUAUGACAAGGUGGUGGAUAUUAUGACAAAGUGGGGUGUAUAUGCCAGGAAGAGUAUUAUGACAAGGUGGUGGGGGUGGGGGCGUGAAUGGCGGGGAGGGUAUUUUAGCAAAGUGGGUAUUAUCUGACAUGUUGAGGGGUAUAUGCCAGGGUUUAAAUUCUGACCAAGUGGUGGAUUUAUGCCAGGGAGUGUAUUAUAAAAAGGUGGGUGUUUAUAUAGCAGGGAGGGUAUUAUGACAAGGUGCAGAUUAGGGAUAUAUGCCAGGGUAGAAAUUAUGACCAGGUGUUGGAUUUAUGGCAGGGAGAAUAUUAUGACAAGUUGGUUGUGUAUGUGGCAGAGAGGGUAUUAUGACAAGGUGGGGCUAUAUAUGGCAGGGAGGGUAUUAUGACAUGGUGGGGGUAUAUAUGGCAAGGGGGUUAAUAUGACAAGGUAGGGAUUAGAGUAGGGAGGGUGGGUGGGAAUAUUAUGAUUAGGUGGGGAUUGAGUAUAUAUGGCAGAGAGGGUGGGUGUAUAAUGGCAGGAAGGGUGGGGAUAUAUGGCAGCAAAGGGUAUUAUGACAAAGUGAGGAUUGGGAGUAUAUGGCAGGGAGGGUAUUAUGAGAGUAUAAUGGAAGGGAGGGUGAGGGAUAUAUGGCAGGGAGGAGGGGGGUAUAAUGGCAGGGAGGGUUGGAGAUUUAUGGGAGAGAGAUGUCACAGGGUGGAUUUACAAAUACCAUAUAAUAGCAUUAACUCACCAUUUAGGGGGUGCAGGGGCAGCAAGGGGCUGGCUCUCACCAUAUGGUGGCUGCUCUUUCAGCCUCCAAACAUCUGCAUCCUUGGGUCAGGCAGUGCAGCAGGUGCAGACAGGGGAUCUAGAGAGGUUAACUCGGAUCCCCUGCAUGUUCAGAGUGGCUGCGGAGGAGCAACCUGGCUCUGUGCCCCCUGCUGGUAUACUCCAAAAUAAACUCUUUGGUGUGAGUGUGAGUUAGAGCACAGGCUGGGUAUCCCCUACUUGUGUUCUGACCCACUAACUGAGCACCGGUCUGCCAGAGCCAUGAGGGAGAGGAUAUUAUGUAUAAAGCGGCAGGAGGUACAGAGCGUGGUACCUCCCUUCUAAGUGGCACCCGGGGCAGACCACUGCCCUUAGUACUGCCUACACAGACAGGGUGACCAGACAUCCCAGUUUUACCGGGAUCGUCCUGGUUUUGCCUGCUUGUCCCAGCAUCCUGAGAAUCUUUUUAGGGAUGCAUGAAUGUCCUUGUUUUGUAGAGCCUUUCCCCAUAUUGAGGCUGACAGUGGAGAUCCUUUCAUUUCCCCUGCCAGCUUCAUGCAGAGCGGGCCAUGCUAUUUCCCUUCUCAAGCUGGUGGGGAGAUCACGGAUCUCCCUCACUGGCCCCAAGGCAGUGUGCUGCUGCAGAGGGAAGAAAGGGUGCUGGGCCUGGGAGGCAACACGCUCCUUCCACAAACAGGCCGGUUGGAGCUUUCCCGCACGUUACCAUGGCACUGCGACACUGCAAUAUACUCGUGGGACAAGGGGCGCAGUCAGCCUGCAGCCAGAGGAGCUGCAGGCUGAACUGUGCAUGACCCCACUGGACCACUAGGGAUUAAAAACUCUCCCCCUUCCUCCCUGGCCAAAGGUAAGAAGAAGGAAGGCGGGUGGGGGUGUAAUAUAAAUUAGUUAUAUCAGUUAAAAUUACAAAAAGCAUUUUAAGAUAUAUAAAUAUGCUUAAUUAUCCCCCUACACACACACAUACUGAACCCCUACACACACACUAUACCCCAUCCACACACAACACCCCAUCACACACAGAACCCCUUACACAAAAACAGCACCCCUCCACAUACAACACCCCUUCCUUGCACACAGAACCCCUCCACACACUGAAUACCUACACACAUUACACCCUCCACAGACACACACACAAUAAACCCCUACAAACACUACACUCUCCACACACACACGCAGCACCCCUUCCUCAAACACACAUGCAGCACCCCACACACACCCACAGCACCCCCCCACACACACAAACACACCUCACUGCAGUCUGUGUGUGUGGGGGUGCUGUGGGUGUGUGUGGGGUGCUGCAUGUGUGAUUCAGGAGGGGGUGCUGCGUGUGUGUGUGGAGAGUGUAGUGUUUGUAGGGGUUUAUUGUGUGUGUGUGUGUGUGUGUGUCUGUGGAGGGUGUAAUGUGUGUAUGUAUUCAGUGUGUCGGGGGGUUCUGUGUGCGAGGAAGGGGUGUUGUGUGUGUGUGUGUGUGUGUGUGUGUGGAGGGGACCUCCAAGGGAAAUAAAUAUAAAAGAAACAAAUUCAAACCAAUGUGGCUUAGUAGAGAAGUAAAACAAGAGAUUACAACUAAGAAAAGGGCAUUUAAAGCAUUUAAAUCGGACAAAUCAGAUGCAUCUUAUAAAAGAUAUAAGGAAGCAAAUAAUGCAUGCAAAAAGGCAAUUAGACUUGCUAAACUUCAAAAUGAAAUAAUGAUAGCUAAAGAGAGCAAAACCAACCCCAAAGCAUUUUUUAAGUACAUAAAUUCUAAAAAAAAAAAAAAUGAAAGUGUAGCUACACUAAAAACUGAAACGAGGGUGUUAGUUAAUGAAGACCAGGAAAAGGCAGGAAUUUUAAAUAACUAUUUCUCCUCCGUAUCUAUUAAGGAAGAACCCAUGGCAAUAGAUGUGCAAAUGAUUGCAACUAAAAACUUGCAGAAUAAUUGUAAUUGGUUAAAUCAAGACAAGGUGCUGCAGCAACUAAAGAAAGUUAAUAUAAACAAAGCUCCAGGGCCUGACGGUAUCCAUCCACGUGUAACUAAGGAACUAAGUGUAGAAAUAAGUGAACCUCUGUAUUUAAUCUUUUCAAGAUUCUUUUUUUUCAGGAAGUGUUCCGGAGGAUUGGAGGAAGGCAGAUGUGGUUCCUAUAUUCAAAAAGGGUUCAAAAUCCUUGCCUGGAAAUUAUAGACCUGUGAGCUUAACUUCUGUGGCUGGUAAAAUAUUUGAAAGUUUAUUAAGGGAUAAUAUUCAAGAAUUCCUUGAGAAGAACAUGGUUAUCAGCAAAAUCAGCACGGUUUUAUGAAGCACAGGUCAUGUCAAACUAACUUGAUUGCGUUCUACGAAGAAGUAAGUAGAAGUAUAGGUCAGGGUGUUGCCGUGGAUGUGAUCUAUUUGGAUUUUCCCAAGGCAUUUGAUACAGUUUCAUACAAUAGAUUAGUGUUCAAACUCAAGGAAAUCGGUCUAGAUGAAAAUGCUUGUUCUUGGGUAGAACAUUGGCUUAAAAACAGAGUACAAAGAGUUGUCAUUAAUGGUACAUUUUCAAGCUGGACAGAGGUGGCAAGUGGUGUCCCUUAGGGGUCUGUUCUGGGACCCCUUCUAUUUAACAUGUUUAUAAAUGAUCUUGAAGACAGCAUUGAAAGUCAUGUUUCAGUGUUUGCAGAUGACACAAAACUUUGUAAAACAAUACAAUGUGAGCAAGAUAUUACUUUGCUGCAGAGGGAUUUAGAUAGAUUGGGGGACUGGGCACUCAAAUGGCAGAUGAAAUUUAAUGUUGAAAAUUGCAAAGUUAUGCACUUCGGCGUAAAGAAUACACAUGCAACGUAUACCCUUAAUGGAAGCGAAUUAGGGAUAAUAACACACGAAAAGGACUUGGGAAUUGUUAUAGACAACAAACUAUGCAACAAUGUGCAAUGUCAAUCAGCAGUGGCCAAGGCCAGUAAGGUCCUGCAUGAAAAAGGGCAUUCAUUCUCGGGACAAGAAUAUCAUUUUGUCUCUUUAUAAAUCAUUGGUAAGACCCCAUAUUGAAUAUGCUGUGCAAUUUUGGGCACCUGUUCUAAAGAAGGAUAUUAUGGCACUAGAAAAAGUGCAGAGGCGGGCUACAAAAUUAAUAAAAGGAAUGGAACAUAUCGGCUAUGAAGAAAGGUUAACAAAUUUAAACCUAUUUAGUUUAGAAAAACGUCGCCUGAGAGGGGAUAUGAUAACAUUAUACAAAUAUAUUCGAGGCCAAUACAAACCAUUGUGUGGAAAUCUAUUCACAAACCGGACUUUACAUAGGACACGAGGCCAUGAGUUUAGACUGGAAGAAAGAAGAUUUCGUCUAAGGCAAAGGAAAGGUUUUUUUACUGUAAGAACAAUCAGGAUGUGGAAUUCUCUGCCUGAGGAAGUGGUUUUAUCAGAGUCCAUACAGAUGUUCAAACGGCUACUAGAUGCAUACUUGCAAGAACAGAAUAUUCAAGGAUAUAAUCUUUCAAUGUAGGGUAAUAACUGCUUGAUCCAAGGAUAAAUCUGACUGCCAUUCUGGGGUCAAGAAGGAAUUUUUUUCCUAGCUUGUUGCAAAAUUGUGUUUCAAACUGUUUUUUUUUUUUGCCUUCUUUUGGAUCAACAGCAAAAAACUAAUGUGAGGUAGGCUGAACUUGAUGGACGCAAGUCUCUUUUCAGCUAUGUAACUAUGUAACUAUGUAACUGUGUGUAUUCAACAGUCUGUGCGUGUUCAUAAUUCUGUAUUCAGCAUUAUGUAUGUAGUCAGCAGCCUGUGUGUGUUUAUUAAGCAGUUUGUCUGUGUGUAUUUAGCAGCGUAUGUGUGUGUAUUCAGUGGUCUGUGUGUGUAUUCAGCAGUCUGUCUGUGUGUUUAGCAGUCUGUAUGUAUUCAGUAGUCUGUGUGUAUUCAAAUCUUAAUACAUACAAGGCGGAGUUUCUUGCUUAAUCUAUAAACAGAUCUUGGAUGUGUUUCAUCCUACAAUGAAAAUACAGAAAAGCAAACAAUAGUGCAAUAUUGUCUGAGCAUAUACAUAUAUGAUAAGGAGUGGGUGAAAUAGCACUCACAAGCUUUGUGGGAUAUCAAGGUUCCCACUUCCUUCUUUAUGUGUGGUUGUGAUUUCUGGUGAUAAAUUCUCUUUCCAGAUGAAGGUGCAGUUUUAAAGUGCUUUAUUUACUAUAAAGUGCACACAAAACAAUAAAAUGAUAAUUUUAAAAUCAAAACCUUACAGAGUCCUUUUGUGGAUAUCUGUAAGUCCUGUGCAAAACGCGUUUCGCCUCUUAAAGAGGUUUCCUCAGUUGCUGCUGAUCUUUCCUGUGUGAAAAUCUUCUUUUACAUGCUCCAUUAUUGGCGUUUUUUGCGAUGGCGUCUAUGCGCGAUUUACUUCCGGUUUCCGGGUUUGCGUUACACCCGUUGAACGCAUUCACUUCUGGUUUCUGUCUUCAUUGGAAUGUCUGUUUGUGUUUCAUUGUGGUCUUUUUCUUCCAAUUCCCAUUUGUUGCAGUAUAUAUUUGAGUCCAUUAAUGCAAGUCCAUACAGAAAUCAGAGCAAUAAGAAAACUUAAAUGGAAUAUACUUAUGUCAGUGCAAUAUUUUGCAGGUUUAGUUAUCUAUAUGUAUACACUAAAAUUCAAUAAAAGUUCCACAUAAUAAAUAAUAUUCUACUGUUAAUUAAAAAAAGAGUAUUAAGACUUAGUGUCUGGAAGAGAGAUGUGCUUCACAAUAAUUCUGUGGUAUUUCAAAGUUUUAAGUUUUAAGUUCAUUUGGAAUAAGAAGGAAGUAUGUGGUUCCUUGUUGUAAUGUUUUUCAUGGGUCAUUAUUAUAUAUGUACAUACAAAUUUAUGUUUUAUUAGAGAUCAUACAAAUAAAUAUAAUGGUCCAAAAAUGCAUUAAUAAUAAAUCAUAGGUAGGGGAUGGUUGGAUAAAAAAUAUAUAAAUAUUUUUAAAAUGGGUGGUUAUAAAAUACAUUAUAUUUAAUCCUUUUAAAAUUCUCUGUAUGGGAUCUUUUCAAAAAAGGGGUUUGAAAAUGUAUCUAUUUAAAAAUGACAAACUUCAAAAUCGGAAUGGAGACCGUGUGGGAUUAGAGUUUUAAAAUUAUAAAUAAACUUCAUUUCUUCCUUACCCAAUUUUCUGAUUGUAGUUUCCUCCCCUCCAAUGCCUUUUUUUUUCUAAAUUCUUUUUUUUGAGAGUUAGUUUUGUUGGGGUAAGGGUACAGAAAAAAACAAAGGGAUAAGGUAAGUGGUACAGAUUACGUUGAGUGUACAGUUUCAGUUUAUAAUAAUCAGAUAUUCAGAGCAGGUAUAUAGUUUUUGUGACAGACCCAUCUGUAUGAACUAGAAAGUUACUACCUCGGGAAGUGAGUUAUGCGGCAGUGGAGAAGGAGUGUUUAGCCCUGGUCUGGGCACUGAAGAAGUUGAGCCCUUAUUUGUACGGGCAGGAGUUUUCCCUUAUAACAGACCACAACCCCCUUGUCUGGCUUAACCGGGUCUCAGGAGACAAUGGCAGACUGCUGAGGUGGAGUUUGGCACUGCAGCCUUACAACUUCACCAUCAGCUACCGACCCGGUAAGCAGAAUGGGAAUGCGGAUGGGUUAUCCCGGCAAACAGACGUCCCUACUUCUUCCUAGUCCGGUCAUCCCCAAGUUGACCCGCCAAAGGGGGGAGCCGUGUGACAGACCCAUCCGUAUGAACUAGAAUUGCUGUGUUCGUCUGUUUUGCUGCUUGUAUGAAUUUCCCCAUUCGUAUGCCUUGUUUAAGGGAAUGUAAUUUUUUUGUCGAACGGAACUACCGAACGGACGGCCACACAGAAGAGAAGUGUGCUGCUGGUUAACCUAUUGAUCCCAAUUAGAACGUUGUGGUUAACCACAGACACUUCUCAAUUAAAACCGAAUACAGGGUGGUCGUCAUUCAUAUGUCGACCACGAGGCGGCAGCCAUUUUAACUAUGCGAAAGCCCAGCGGUGUUCAACGAUUAUUUUAUGGAACUAAAAACGGACACGUUUUCAACCGAACACCACUGAAGCCGUCGACCUCCCCUUCUCAAUCAACAAAAGUAUGCGAAUACCGGCCGUUCAAGAGGUUUAAAGGCACGAAUGGACUUACCCCAGAUAGCCUUCCCAUGGAGUCAAUCGCAUACCGAAGAACUGUAAUAGACUUUGACUCCAUGGCGAUUGAACUAUGCUUAUGGGCAGGGCCGGUGCUAGGAUUUUUGACUACACAGGCGAAGAUGCAUUUUGACGCCCCCCCCCCAAAAAAAUAAACAAUGCAUCUUCACCUCUGUGUCUCGUAGCCCCCUUUUGAAUUUCUUAGUGUUGCAUAUCCACUCUCUUGAAUGUCUUACCCAUUUGGCCCCUUUGUGCCUUACACCCCCCUUUAGUGUCUCCUACAACCCCUCUUAUGUAUUUCUUACUUCCCCGCCAGCCCCUAUCUAUCUCUCUUUUUCUCCCACAUAGACAUAGAUACAUGCACAAAUACACAAACAUACAGACACACAACCAUACAAGCACACAGACAUAGUUUUUCAGACACACAGUCAUAAAAGGCACACAAACAAACACAGUCAUACAAUCUACACAUACAGGUACAUUGUCGUACAAACACAGACAUACAUUCAUACAGACACAGGCAUUCACAGAAAUACAGACACAGACAUAAAGAAACAUAGAGAUAGGCAUACAAAGACAUACAUACACAGACAAACAAAGAAACCUGCACACUGAUACCGUGUAAAUGCUCCGGCCAUCAACAGUGGUGGAUGCUCCGUGUCAGGCGGACAUCGCUGGAUCCACCAGUAAAGUCUUCAAAAGGAAUAAACGCAGGCAACACUCCAGUAGUAAGGAUGGUAUAUUUAUUGGUAGGUGAACCACCCCAUAGGAAGUGUGAUGUUUCAGCUCAUGCAAUAAGGCUCUGCUGAGCCGAAACGACGCACUUUCUUUGGGGUGGUUCACCUAUCAAUAAAUAUACCAUCCUUACUAUUGGAGUGCUGCCUGCGUUUAUUCCUUUUGAAUACAUUCACACAGUCAUACUGUAUGUCUCUAUAUGACGGUCUGUGUAUGUACACAGGAUGGCUAAAAGAUAGAUCCCCAUCUGUCGUGCAACUUCAACAAUGCUUUGCAAGCUGGGGCUCUACCGAUUCCCCAUGCUUGCAGGAUUGUAUUUAGCAUGGAGCAGUAUUUGUGUGUUUGACUGUAAGCAUGUGUUUGUAUGGAGUAUGUUUGUAUGAUUGUAGCGGUGUGUUUGUAUGUAGUGUUUGCAUUUGAAUGGAAGCAUGCAUUUAUGUGUAGAGUUGGUUUUUGAACGCAGGUGUGUGUUUAUAUAUAAUUUUGGUGUCUGAUACAGAGGUGUGUUUGUAUGUAGUGUUGACAUUUGAAUGCAGGGGUGUGUUUGUAUGUAGUGUUGACGUUUGCAUGCAGGUGUUUAUUUGUGUGUAGUGUUGGUGUUUGAAUGCUGAGAUAUAUGCACAUAUACACAUACACUGCCACACACGCACACACUGUGAUACACAUACACAAAGAUACACACACAGACACACAAGCAGAUAUACAUAUACACAAACUGAUACACAUUCAGAUAGACAGACACACAGAUACACACAAACACUGACAGACAUACAGAUAAACACACACUGACAUACAGACAAACAUACACAAUGAUAGAGAAGAAGACACACAGACAGACACACACACCAACAGACAUUUAGAUACACACAGACACACGGACAGAGACAUAUACAUACAUACACACACACUGACAGACAUGGAUACACACACACACUGACAGACAUAGAUACACACACACACACUGACAGACAUAGAUACACACACACACACACACACACUGACAGACAUAGAUAUACACACACACACUGACAGACAUAGAUACACGCACACUGACAGACAUAGAUACACACACACACACACACACACACACUGACAUACAUAGAUACACACACACUGACAGACAUAGAUACACACACACACACAAACUGACAGACAUAGAUACACACACUGACAGACAUAGAUACACACACACACACACACACACUGACAGACAUAGAUACACACACACAGACAUACUGACCAACAGGUUCAGGAGGGUGGCUUACCUGUGAUCCAAAGUGCUGCCUGAGGUAGUUGGGAGUUGGAGGAGCUGGUCCUGCCCAGCCCCCCUCCUCUCUGCCUUCUGCUGCUCUAGUCUUCUAGACUAGCUCUGCCCCUGCUUGUAUUGAAAAUGGCGAUUUGCCUCUGCUCUGGGAGAUAAUUGAAUUACUUCUCAAUUAUCUCCCGAGCAGAGGGGAGGAAACUGUGAUGCAUGCUGGGAAUAUUGUGGGGUUGUAUGUCGAAAAUGUCCCCAUGUCCAUCUGCUAUUCCAGUCUCCCAUUUGGUCCCCUAUGGGAGCGUCCACCAAGUGGUAGACCUGCAUAAAUACGGGCAGGUAGCCCACAGUAAACUCAGUUCGUGUUUUACCCCCAAAGUGGAGCUUGGUCUCGUUAUUGGGGGGAUUUUAUUACCGGCAACUAGAGACUGCUUAUUGGAAUUAUUUACCGCUUGGAAGAUAUUGGCGUUCGGCUAAUAUCGGCAAUUCGUGUAUUUGGAGCUCGAGAAGGGCAGGAGCCGUACAGGUACCGUUCGGGAGUUUGGAGUGUUCCCUGGCUGGAGGUUCGCAUGGUUAUACUGCAUACGCUACCAGACCACAUUAUUGCGAACGGGGAACAUUCACUAAACGGCGGUUUGUACAUUUACUACUGGAGGUACCGUAACAGUUUUCUUUCCUUGGUUACUGUGACGAGACCAAUCUCGCCACAUUGCAUUGGAGGAGCCUGGUUGCCCGCCUGCUGCCUUUGGAUUAUGGACCGGCAGUUAAACGGUUAAUUUUACUGUGCAGAAAGAUUUAUUCCUUCCUUUCUGCACAGCCAUUCGGUAGAUUCUAUCUACCGAACAAACAGACUUCUAUCAGCCUCCCCAGAGCCGUGGGAAGUCGGCCGGCGCCGUUAAUUGGCCACCCAGAAGCUGGCGUGUGCCCUCCAUUUACCUCCCUGAACGAGCAUGUCCCGGCAAUUGACCACCCAGUAGCUGCGGUUAACCGCAGCUUAAUUGACUGUUACUGGGUGGUCGCAGUUACACCUAGCCGCCACACGAUGGCGAUGUUCUGGAGCUCCCCGGGCAGCCAGAGCUUUUCUGCCCGGCUUUCCUACGCCAAAUCUGGACACUGUGUCAGCUAAGCACCGCUGAGCCUCCAGCCCCUGGUUCUGAUUCGUACCAAUUUAACGAAUGUAUGUAGAUUCGGUAUUUUGUGUUGGGGGAAUGUUUUAACCCAGAUAGCUAUGCCAUGGAGCCUGUUCGUGGAAUUAAAGACUUUGGCUCCAUGGCAAUUAAACUGUAUUUGUGUGGUCUGAGUGACAUUCACCUAAUAAUGUGCACUCAGACCUGAGCUAUCUGGGGAUAUGUUACAUGUCUGUGUUUUAUGUAGUAAAUGUUACUUUAUGUAUUUUAAAGUAUAAUACUGGUUUUGUGUCCCCACAUGUGUAAUGGAGUUUUGCCUUUGUCUUGGGAGAUAAUUGAGUUACUUCUCAAUUGUCUCCCAGGGCAGAGUGGAGGAAGCCAGGAUGCAUUGUGGGAAUAUACUGUGACUGUGUGUCCUAUUUGUCUGCUUGUCUGUCCCUUGUCACAGUCUCCCAUUUGGUCCCCUAGGGGAGUGUCCACCAGGUUGGAGACCUGCAUAAAAGCCGGGCAGGUAGCCCAUAUUAAAUAGACCACUGCUUGACCCUCAACACGGAGCCUUGUCUCGUCUUUGGGGGGAUUUACUGUAUACUGUUAGAGACUGAUUGCCAGGAGUGUAAGCCGCUUGGGUGCUUUUCCUGUUCGUCUGCUAGCAGCUAUUCGUGAGGUUCCAGUUCAAGUGUUUUGAGCAUUCCCUUGUAUGCAGUUCGAGUGUUUGGAGCAUUCCCUUGUAUGCAGUUCGGGUGUUUGGUGCAUUCACUUGUAUUCAAUUUGUGAGUUUUGAUGAUUCUACAGUAGCUGUGCCUGUCUCUGAAAGGGGAUUAUCGUCUAAGCGUUUUUUUUCCCUUUUGUGCAAAACGGUCCGUUACAGUUACCUUGUAUAUUGUCCCUUCAAUCCCUUUUGACUUCUUUAAUUGUGCAAAAGAAAAGGUUCUCAGGGUUUUGGUUGUGUGUCUGUUUGAAAUGUAGGGAUACGCUGUGAGUCUCUAAGCCAUUUUUUAUAUUUCUGAUAUGUUCGGCGAUUCUAACCUUGAGAGGACGGAUGGUCCUGCCGACAUAUAACAUAUCACAUGGGCAUUUUAGAACUUAUAUGAUACCUUUUGAAUGGCAAGUAAGAUGAUCCUUGAUAGUGUGUGGUUUCUUUAUUAUAUUUCUUAUAUCUACUAUAUGUUUUUUCUUGCUUUUGUUGUUUUACAUGGGAGGCAUGUGCCAGAGCCAUAAAACACUUAAAUUUUGUAUGAAAUGGUUAAUAUGGGGGGGUGGGGGGGAGUUAUUUGGCUUUUUACUAAGAUAUUUUUAAAAAAAAUGUUGACCCUCUCUAUAUGAUCUUAGGUGUUGAAGGUAAAAUUUUAUUCAAGAUUGGAUCAUCUUUUAAUAAGUACCAGUGCUUUUUAAUGGCUUUUUGUAUGCGCCUGUUUUGUCCAUUAUAGUUGCAAAUAAAUGGUAUUUAAUUUUUGCUUUUAUCAGUUGGUUCUAUUUUUGGCUUGUAUUUUAUGAGAUUCUUCUUUGGCAUCUCUUUUAUUUCUUUCAGUUCUUUAUCUAGGGUUGUUCUGUCAUAUCCCUUUUCAAAAAAUUGCUCUUUUAAAUAAUUUGCCUGUUCUAUAUAGUCAGAAUCCAGUUUGCAGUUUCGUCGGAUCCUUAGAAAUUGGCUUCUGGGAUCAUUAUUGAGCCAUGGUCCAUAGUGACAGCUUGUUUUUUCAAUAUAGCUGUUUGCGUAGACGGAUUUAAAAUAAUUUUAUUAAAUAUCAUUGAAUCUUGUAUACUAAUGCUUAAAUCCAAGAAAUUGAUCUUGGUCUCACUAUUUUGGCUGAUUAAGUUUAUUCCCCAAUCAUUUGUAUUUAAAUAUUUGAUAAAAUCAUGAAGUGUUUCUACUGUGCCGGUCCAUAUAAAAAAAAAAAAUAUCAUCUAUGAAUCGACAGUAGGACACAAAGUUCGCCACCCAUUCAUGGCCUUGUUGUACGAAUAUUUCUUCCCAAAAUGCCAUGAACAGGUUGGCAUAACUCGGGAGAACUUGGUGCCCAUUGUCGUGCUGCAGAUUUGUAAAUUAAAAUGUUUCUACGAACUCAAAAAAAUCAUUGGUUAAAAUAAGUGAUAUUCCCUACCGGAAAAAAUCAAUUUGUUCUGUUUUAAAAUCGGAGCUUUCUAAAAAAUGUUUUAUUGCUGCCAAGCCCUUAUCAUGUGGGAUAAUACUAUAAAGGGAAGUAACGUUGUUUGUGACCAUAAUGUACCCAUUUUAUAUGUCCUAAAAUUUGAAGGACCUGCAUGGUGUCUUUGAGAUAGGUGGGAUUUUUUGUGACUAUUGGUUGUAGUAGGGUGUGUAUAUAUAUAUAUAUAUAUAUAUAUAUAUAGUUAAUACAAUGCUAAACAAAAAUCUGCACACCAGUCAAGCCAUAAGACUUGCUUUUCCCACAGAAAUCCCAAAUCAGCAGUGAUGUUACAACCGCAAAGGAUUCUGGGUGGGCAUAUGCAAAUUAGUUUAACAAAGAAUCACAUUUUUGCCUCAUUCCAUUUUAAACAUGGAUUCCUUUUAAUUUGUGUUUGCAGUAUACAACUGCUUGGAACACAAUUUAGGAUAAGAUGCAAAACCAGUGAACCACUCAUGGACAGCUGUUUUGUUGUUAAUGCAACUCUUCAGCAUGAGGUUGGUUACUGGUUUGCUAGUUGAGGCUUGGUAGUGCUUGGGAAGCAAAAUCUAAUUAGUUUAUGGUGGGGAAAAAUUGUGAUUGAAAACCCCUUCCACCUGAAUUAUGUGGAUAGUUAAUACAAUGCUAAACAAAAAUCUGCACACCAGUCAAGCCAUAAGACUUGCUUUUCCCACAGAAAUCCCAAAUCAGCAGUGAUGUUACAACCGCAAAGGAUUCUGGGUGGGCAUAUGCAAAUUAGUUUAACAAAGAAUCCCAUUUUUGCCUCAUUCCAUUUUAAACAUGGAUUCCUUUUAAUUUGUGUUUGCAGUAUACAACUGCUUGGAACACAAUUUAGGAUAAGAUGCAAAACCAGUGAACCACUCAUGGACAGCUGUUUCGUUGUUAAUGCAACUCUUCAGCAUGAGGUUGGUUACUGGUUUGCUAGUUGAGGCUUGGUAGUGCUUGGGAAGCAAAAUCUAAUUAGGUUAUGGUGGGGAAAAAUUGCAUAUAUAUAUAUGCGGAAAUUCUUGUGGAAAUUGAAUUGAUUCCCGGUGGAUUUGCUGUGUUUUUGUAAACUUUUGGUAAAUGGUAAAACAUAGGUAUUUUUGGGUUCUCUACAAACAAGUAUGCCACUUCUUUAUCAUUUAGGAUCUCCAAUGUCUUUCCUUUUUCUACAUGUUCAUUAAAAACUGAAAUAAUGGUUUUUCAUGGGGUUCUUAGUCAGCUUUUGGUAGGUGGAGGAUUCUGAGAGUAUUCGUUCUCCUUUUAUGUAUUGUUCUUUACUAAAAAUAACUAUCCCCUCCCCCCCUUUGUCUGCUGGUUAAUGUUAAAAUUUUGGUCACUCUUUAUAUGGUUAAGGGCUUUCCUCUCUCUUAACGUUAGAUUGUGUUGAUAUUUAUUAAUUCUUUUAAUCUUUUCAACCUCUUUUAUGACCAUAGUCUCGAAUGUUUUUAUUUCACUCGAGACUAAAUGUCUAGGGUAGAACUGUGAUUUUUCUUUUAAAUUAGUAUGUUGAAAUUCAUCCUCUUCUUUCUCUGGUUUAUGUUUUUUACUGUAAAAUAAUUUUUAGGGAUAAUUUUCUUAUGAAGUGGUUCAUAUACACAAAGAAAUCGAAAGAAUCAAAGUCGUCAGUGGGAGCAAACUUUAAGCCCUUCGUGAGGAUUUUAAUCUGUUCAUUAUUGAGGGGUUUAUUAGUUAAGUUAAAAAUUCCCGCUAUAACGAGGUUUUCCUUCUCUUUUCCCUGUGUUUCUUUCCUAUUUCUUUUAUGUCUUCUUCGUCCAAUGAUCUUUGUUUCUUCCCUGGUGUUUCCCUGGAGUAAGUGUUGUUCGUCCACUUUCUUCAGUUUUGAAUAAGAUCCUUCCGAAAAAAAGAAGAGGGUGGGGGUAUUUUAUGUGGUUUCUGAUCUCUUUGGGGAAGGGUGCUGUUUGAUUUUAUGUUUCUCUUUUUCUGUUUUUCUCUUUUUGGCAUUUUCCUUCACAACAUCGCUAUAUUUCCUAGGUGUGCGGUGUUCCAUACAGGAUAUUUGCUUAGGUUCAUGAGAUAAUGGAUGAUGUGUUGUAUUGGUGGGUUGGGUUGGGUAAGAUUUCGAGUAGGUUUUCUCUUUCUUUGUUUCCCUUUCUUUAAACCUCUCUGAGUUGGGCCUAUAGGAUACUUUUCUAUUUCUUUCCCAUUUUGUUUCGAAUCUCUCUAGUUUAUAUAUUUUUAUUGGGGAGUGUUGGUUACAUAGUUACAUAGCUGAAAAGAGACUUGCGUCCAUCAAGUUCAGCCUUCCUUACAUUUGUUUUUUGCUGUGAUCCAAAAGAAGGCAAAAAAAACCAAACAGUUUGAAGCACAGUUUUGCAACAAGCUAGGAAAAUCCUUGGAUCAAGCAGUUAUUACCCUACAUUGAAAGAUUAUAUCCUUGAAUAUUCUGUUUUUGCAAGUAUGCAUCAUUGGUAAUUAGUUCUCUGUUGAUGCUGUUUUCUUUUAAAAUGAGAGUUUCAAUAUUUAUUUAAAUUUUUUAUUGGUUUUUCUUAUAUUUCCUGUCUGGUAAUCUGUGGUAUUCAGCAGUCUAUGUUUGUGUAUUCAGCAGUCUUUGUGUGUACUCAGCAGUCUGUGUGUAUGUAUAUAAUUUGUUGGAGGUACCAAUAAAUAUAAGCUUUCCCCGGGGGCCUAUAAUGCUGUUAUGAUGGCCCUGGUCUAGGGUAUGUUUGAGCUCUGAUCAUGCUCCUACAAAAUGUAAAUGAAAAUACACUCAUUUGAUCAUUUUGAGUACCAGGUAGGGGGUGAGCUGUAUCAGUCACUUCUGGCCAUGAAUUGGUAAAAAAAACUUCUCGAGUGUAUUUAUCAGUUGUUUUAUUUUAUUUUAUUGUUUUAGCGAUUUUUGUAUUGCUAGUCGGUGUCCUGUUUUUUUUAUUUUCAAAAUCUGGGCACCCUGUACACAGAGGCAUAGAGAGUCAACAGAAGGCAAAAUCAAAGCAAUUGAACUUUCACAGAGGUGAAUGGUGAAACUAGUUCUAAUAUUGAAGGAAGUAAUCAUAUGGCAAUAGAUAACAAGUUACCAGUGCUGUGUGUAUCUCUACUUGUACACCCUUGUUAUAAGGUAGAUGGAAAACUAUUAUAACCCAAAAGGAGAGUAUAAAUAGGGACAGCUAGCCAAUACCUUGGCUGUUCUAAGAAAAACAGCGUACUACCAGCACAGGACAGGGAAUGAAUACCUGCAAAAGAGCAUAAUAUCUUAGUUGCUGUGCACAGCCAACAACUUACCAAUACCAAAGAACCAACCCACUUACAGAACAGCUAUCCAACUGACACUAAUAAUAUAUUAUAUAUUAUCUACAAAAUCAAAUGUGCAUAGUGCGAGGUGAAAGUGAGAAAAAGGAAAGAAAAGCAAGUGAGCCCGAUGGCUGCACCUUCAUUGGGGGCCAAAACAAUCAGGGCCAAAAAUCAUGAUCAAUGGAAAAAAAGAUGAUUACUGGUUAAAGUGGCUCUGUCAUCAGAACUUUCUUCUAUUGUUUACUGCACUAGUCGUCUCUCAGAAUGUGUUAAUUUCUGAUCUAUUUGUUUUUCUGAUCUAUUAAGGCAAGCUACACUUCCUUUGUCAAGCUAACAAAGGGAGAAGCUUGCCUUAAGCUCCACACCAUGCCAGGAUUGUCAAGUGCAGGAAAAUACAUAAAACAAAAAUGUUCCCUACUUGUCUUAUAGAUCACUAAUUAAAAACAGAUCACAUUUUGAAAUUGGAUGAAAAAGAGAAAACAAUAGGAGAAAGGUAAGUUUGAGUUGGCAGAGCCACUUUAAGGGACAGCCACUAAAUGUUGAUUUUAUUCACAGACCAAGUAAGGAGUGACUAAUAGAAGGAAAAAAUAGUUUGACAUAAUAUGUACUUUAUAAAACCAUGAUAAUUCCUAUGACAAGGUUUAUGAUGGAUUGUUAUUAUUAAGUGUUCUUGCAUGGCAAGACCACUUACUAUUAUCUCACAUAUAUAUUAUUAAUAGAGUUGAGCGGACACCUGGAUGUUCAGGUUCGCCGAGUUCGGAUGAACUUCGUAAAAAAGUUCGAGUUCGGGCUCGAACUUAACCCUAACUUGACCCUGAACCCGAACCCCAUUGAAGUCAAUGGGGACCCAAACUUUUGGGCCCUAAAAUGCCUCUAAAAAAGUCCUGGAAAGGGCUAGAGGGCUGCAAAAGGAAGUAAAAUGGGGGUAAGAGUAGAACAAGUGCCCUGCAAACAAAUGUGGAUAGGGAAAUCACGUAAAAUAACAUAAAAUGCAUAAAAAUAAAAAAUACAGAUGAGCCAUAAAAUAGCACUAGAUGGAAUCUUUGAUUUUAGCUUUGGAAGAACAUAAAUCAAAAUCUAAAGCAUGGCUGUCAGGAGGAUCACCAGAAUUAUCCAUUUGAGAGAGGGUUGGAGUGCAGGGUAUUCUUUUUCAUUGUUCAAACUGAGCUCAACUCCUGGUGCAUGGGGAAAAGGCCUUCACAAGGCCUUCACAAGCCUCUGCUAUUGUGUACAUAGUUUAUACUAAGUGACCCAUACGUUAAGGAGGCGGUGUAGGUGGAAGUGGCGGAGGAGGAGGAGGUAGCCAACACUGUUUUUUCUUUGUUUUUUUUGUUUUUUUUAAUUGGGGUAGCCCCCAAAAUAUUGCGACAUAUAAAAAAAGAAAACAAAGAAUAAGUGCACUUGAGUAUAACAAGGGCUGGGUAAGGCCGGUAUAAAUGUCUAUUCUGCACAAGGUACAGACAAGUCUGGUGGGAUCUAUGCCUGGUUCAUUUUAAUAAACGUGAGCUUGUCCAUAUUGGCUGUGGACAGGCGACUGCUCUUGUCUCUGAUAAUGCACCCUGCCGUGCUAAACACACGUUCAGACAAUACACUGGCUGCAGGGCAGGCCAGCAUCUCCAAGGCAUAUAGGGCAAGCUCGUUGUUGUGGCGUGCUGACAAAGCUUUUCCACAUUUUGGCCAUGCUAACCCUGCCUUCUGAGGUGCUGGCGGUGCCCCAGCUGCGUUAGCGACCUCUUCCUCCUCAUCUGCCUUCGCCUUGUGCUUCCACUGAGCCCCUGGUGUCAGUUGGGAAUGCCCUCAGCAGCACGUCUACCAGCGUGCACUUGUAGUCGCGCAUCUUCUGCUCACGCUCCAGUGAGGGAAUUAAGGACGGCACUUUGUCCUUGUAACGGGGAUCCAGCAGGGUGGUCACCCAGUAAUCAGCACAAGUUAGAAUGUGGGCAACUCGGCAGUCAUUGCGCAGGCACUGCAGCAUGUAGUAGCUCAUGUGUGCCAGGCUGCCCAGAGGCAAGGACAAGCUGUCCUCUGUGGGAGGUGUAUCAUCUGUGUCCUCUGUAUCCCCCCAGCCACGCUCCAGUGAUGCCCACGAGCUGCCUUGGGUGCCACCUUGCUGUGAACACGGUUCCUCCACCUCAUCCUCAUCAUCCUCCUCCUCAUUCUCCAGAACUGUACCCUGGCUGGACAAUUGUGUACCUGGCCUAUGCUGGUGCAGGAACCCUCCAAGCCACUUGUGAAUGACUGGCCUGACAACCGUGGAAAUUACCCCUUUUCCUCCUCCUCUUCCUCCUGUGCCACAUCCUCUUCCAUCAUCGCUCAAAGUGUUUUUUUUAAGGAGACAUAGAAGCGGAAUAGUAAGGCUGAGAACAACCUCAUCGCCACCAGCACUGGCCAUGUUGGUGGAGUACUCGAAACAGUGCAAAAUGGAACACAGGUCUCACAUGGAGGCCCACUCAUUGGUGGUGAAGUGGUGCUAUUCCGCAGAGCAACUGACCCGUGUGUGCUGCAUCUGAAACUACACUAUCUCUCCAGCAUGUGCAAGGUGGAGUUCCACCUUGUGGGCACGUCGCAUAUGAGGUGGUGAGCGGGAAGGAUGAAGUUACGCUGCAGCGCAGGCAGGCGAGCAGCAGCAGGGUGAGAACGAAAGCGCGCACAGACGGCCCACACUUUCUGCAGCAGCUCUGAUAUAUCAGGGUAGUUUUUCAGGAAUUUCUGCACCACCAAAUUCCGCACAUGCGCCAGGCAAGUGAUGUGUGGCAAACCGGCCAGGCCCAGAGCUGCUACGAGAUUUCACCCAUUAUCGCACACCACCAGGCCAGGCUUGAUGCUCAGUGGCAACAACCACUCAUCGGUCUGUUGUUCCAUGCCUGUCCACAGCUCUUGCGCGGUGUGGGGUUUUUCCCCCAAACAUAUAAGUUUUAAAACAGCCUGCUGUCGUUUCCCCCUGGCUGUUCAGAAGUUGGUGGUGAAGGUGUUACACUGCCUGGAUGAGGUGGUGGGAGAGGAGGAGGAAGCGGAGUAGGAGGAGGAGGCAACAGGAGGCAAAGAGAAAUGCCCUGCAAUCCUCGGUGGAGGAAGGACAUGCGCCAAACUGCUAUCCGCCUCAGGCCCAGCUGCCACUACAUUUGCCCAGUGUGCAGUUAGGGAGAUAUAGAGUCCCUGUAGUAUAAAAGGUAUGGGAAAAACAGUAAUAAGUGGUGCUGCUAUCACUUAAGUGUGUAUCACUCAACCACACAAAAUCAGGUGCAUAAAAAAUAGUAAAAUAGUGAGAGCACACUGUACAUGCAAUAAAUUAUAUUACCAGUACUUCACAAGGUAAAUAGCUGAAACAUAAAAAAGGAGAGAGAAAAGCACAUAGGGUAAUAUUGUAUACACUUUGUAUAUUAACCGUAUAUAAUUGGUUGCACUCACGUAGUUCUGAGUCACUUUAAAAGCUGACUCAGACUAAGGGCUUAAAUCGGAGAAGAAAUCCUUAAUACUGGACCACUUGUGUUGAAAUAUAUGUUGAGAUAAAGUUAUCUCUGGCAAUCUCUAGAUGUGUAGUAGAAAUUACUCCAGGAUACCCAAUCUCGAUCAAUCUUUUAAGACUUUUAUUCCAUAUUUAAAAAAAACAAUUAAAAUCAAUCACAAGUAUACUACAGUCCAUAAAAUUACCACGACGCGUUUCGGCAAAAGCCUUUUUCAAGUGGUAUUACAUGUUCAUCUCCGAGUUGCCCUUUUAUAUCGUAUAGCGUUGGCGCUCUUUCCCGCGCUCACCGGCCAUCUUCAUUUCCGUUUUCGUCAUUUACCAUCGACGGACGUGUCCCGCACGUCUUGAUGUCAUCUCCCCGUCCUAUACCGGAAGUACUCUCGCGGCCAUCUUUACUACUCCAAUUAUUUAUGUUUGCCAGUUCUCUCUGGCACAAUCACAACAUUUAAAACGUCCUUUAUACAGAGUCCUUCAUCCUAACAGGUUAUCACUCUUACUACAGGAACAAAAUAAGAAACCUUAAUAUAUAUUUAACAGGAGGAAAUAGCAAUUCUCAAUACAUAAUAUAUCUUAAAACCUAUAUGCAUAAAACAAUAAAAUCUGUAAUAGAUACACUCAUUAAAAAUGUUUAAAUUCAAAAAAUAUAUAUAUAACUCUUUUAGAUAGAACACAAUUAUAAAAGAGGGGAGAGAAAAAAAGAGUUUAUAUUAAAAAACUUUAAAAUAACUUUAAAAUAAUCUCUAUUAAUUAUAAGUAUGUAUUAACUUCAAAAUCUAUAUUUAAACCAUAUGGAGAUAAAGUCUCCAUAUUAAAAAUCCAUUUCAUUUCAGUUUUGUUAAGGAGGUUUUCCAUAUUGCCUCCCCUCCAAUGGAUUUUAACAGUUUCUAUCCCCAUGAACUCAAAUCCUUGUGUAUUCCCUCCAUGGAUUUCUAAAAAAUGUUUUGAUACAUUAUGCAAAGUAUAUUUCCUAUUAAUAUUAUAAAUAUGCUCUCUAAUACGUAUCUUAAGUUGUCUUGAAGUCCUUCCAAUAUAUUGAUAUCCACAAGGGCAAGUAAUCAUAUAGAUAAUAUUCUUAGUAUUACAAGUUAUAAAAGAUUUUAUAUCAUAUAUUUUUUUGUUAUAAAAAGAGUGAAAUUGUUUGACAUUUUUAUUUUUGUGAUUUCUUGUCAUACAACCUUUACAAGUCCCACAAUAAUAAAAGCCAUUUUCUCUUUUAAACAUAGUUAAAGAUUGUGAACUCUUAUCUUUUUCUAAAAAACUUAAAACCUGUUUAAAACUUUUUGCUCCCCUAAAAAUGACUCUAGGUUUGGCUCCUAAAUACUUUUGAAUUUCCUGGUCUUGUUCUAAAAUAGGCCAAUUUUUCUUAAUUAUUUUUUGUAGUUGUUUACUAUUUGAGCUAUAAUUAAAAAUAAUAGGUAUAGUUGUAUCGUCUUCUUUUAUUUCUUUUUCUUUGUAUUUUAGAAUAUUUUCUCUAGUUUGCUGUCCUACUUCUUCUUUUAUUACUUCUAAAGUAUUUUGGUUAUAACCUUUUUCUACUAGUUGGUUUAUUAAAAUCUGUGUCUGUUCCUCAUAUUGUUGAAUAUCUGUGCAAUUACGUUUUAUUCUUAAAAAUUGUCCUUUAGGUAUAUUAAUUAACCAAGGUUUAAAAUGACAACUUUUUAAAUUAAUAAAGCUAUUUACAUCGACUAGUUUAAAAAAAGUUUUACUCUUAAUUUGAUUAUCUUCUAUAUAAAUACUAAGAUCCAAAAAAUUAACAUUUUGAGUACUCAUUUCAUAUACUAGGUUAAUGUUCCAACUGUUUUGAUUAAGAUCAUUUAAAAAACUAGACAAAGAAUCUUGGGUACCUCUCCAUAUCAUAAAAAUGUCAUCAAUAUAACGUCUAUAGAGGACCAGACUUGCCCCUACUUCUGGCUUAGAAAAAACUUCCAGUUCCUCCCAAAAUGCCAUGAAAAGGUUCGCAUAGCUUGGGGCAAAUCUGGUCCCCAUAGCUGUUCCCUUGGUCUGUAAAUAAAAAUCAUUCUCAAACCAAAAGAAAUUGUUAAAAAUAAUCAUUUGUAUACCCUCUAUAAUAAAAUCUAUCUGUCGAGGGUCCAAGUCAUUCUCUUUAUUUAAAAAAUGUCUCGCUGCUUCACAUCCUUUCUCAUGAUCUAUAAUAGUAUAUAAGCUGCUGACAUCGCAGGUAACCAAAAAUAAUCCUUCUUCCCAUUUAAAAUUAUUUAAAAUUUGUAAAAGUGACAUAGUGUCUUUUAAAUACGAAGGACAUUUUUUAACAGGAUUUUGAAGAAAUUGAUCUAGAAACUGGGAUAAAGGAGAUAAAAGGGAACCAAUUCCUGAGACUAUUGGUCUACCUGGGGGAUUAUGUAUGUCUUUGUGUACUUUGGGUAAGACAUAUAAUACAGGGAUCUUAGGAAAUUUUACAUCAAGAAAAUCAUAUUCCUUUUUGUUUAAUAUCUCCAUUUCCAAUCCUUGUACUAAAUAUUUAUUUAAUUUCUUUUUUAUAUCUUCCAUUGGAUUUUUAGGUAGUAGUGAGUAAGUUUCUUGAUCUUUUAAUUGAUCAAAAAUUACUUUCAAAUAUUUUUCUCUUUGCCAUAUCACUACAUCCCCCCCCCCCUUAUCUGCUGGUUUAAUGACAAUAGAGGAAUCUUUUUUUAAAUCCUGUAAUGCUUUUCUUUCAGAUAUAGUUAGGUUCUUUUGUUGUUCAUUUAUAGGUUUUAUUUUUCUAAGUUCUUUUGUACAAACUUUUUCAAAGAUUUUGAUGGCAUCUGAUUUAAGGUAACUUGGGAAGAAGGUAGACUUAUUUUUAAGAUUAGUAUGUUUAAAUUUUUCUUCUCUAUUUACAACUUCUUCCGAUACCUUACUAGGAAAUUUCUGGUUAAAAAACUUUUUUAAACAUAACUUACGUGUAAAUUUAUUAAUAUCUAGAAAAGUCUCAAAUUUAUCUAUUUCACAACUGGGAGCAAAUUUAAAACCUUUAUUUAAAACAUUUUUAUGUGACUCAUUUAAAACUUUAUUAGAGAGAUUAAAGAUUCUUAUGUCCGUUGAAAUCUUUUUGCUAUUUCCUCCCUUCUCCUUUUGUCUUCCUUUUUGUUUUCUAUUUCCUCUUCUUGUCUCCCUCUUUUGAUAGGAGUCUGAGUCCUUCCUCUUAUUCUGCUCAUUGACUGUCCUAAAAAAAGAUCUUCUUCAUUUAAGUGCUGUAAAUGACUAAAUCUAUUUGAAGUAGGUAAUUCUUGAAUUUUAGGAGGAGAGGAAUAUCUGUAAUUUCUAUUAUAAGUUGUUCUAUUAUAAUUAUUUCUAUCUUGAUUAUUCCCUUUAAAGGAAUUUUUUCUCUCCUUUAUUUUCACUUGAGUCCAUUCUUCCCUUUUAUCGUACCCCCUUUUUUGUGGUAGUUGAUUAUAUACAGUAGAUCUUUCUCCAUAAGUUCUAAAAUUAUUUGGAGAUGAUCUAAUUUCUUGUCUUCUAAAAUUCCCUUUGCUAUAAUCCUUUUUCACAUAUUUAGAAUUAUCAUUUUUCUUCUGUGGUUUUAUUUGACCAUUUAGAUAAUCUUCCUGAUCUCUUUUCAGUUUCUUUUUCUUAGUCUCAAUUACUUUUUUCUCAAUAUUUUUUAUUUUUUCGAUUAUUUUAUCCAUCAUAUUUCUAAAUUCCUCCGUUUCUACGAAGGGUUCUAACUCCUUUUGUAUAUCAUUUAUCUCUUCAUUCAUCUGAUAUAGACUAAGGGUACGUUGUUCAAUAAUAAAACCCAUCAUAUGUCUAGCGAAUGAUUCCAAAGCUCCAUCCCAAGCUUUAUUGAAUCUUUCGCUUUCAUUUUCAGAGGUAGGAGAUUUAUGAAAUCUUAGGCCUCUAGGGGCUAUUUGUAAUUCUACAUAUUUUUCCAGUGUAAAAAUCUCCCAUUUAUAUUUCAUUUCUUUAAUCAAUAAUCGUUCCAGAUUAGAACAUAUUGUUCCUAAAUUUUCAUUAAUCUUAAUUGAUCUAUUCUCUAAUUGAUCAUUCAUUAAGUCAAAUCUUUGAUUCAUGUCUCCCUGCCAACUUUUACGUAAGUUAGAGAUUGACAUAAUAAUGCUUUACAGUAAAUCCCAAAUGAGUGAUACAAAACACAAUGUAGUAUAAAAGGUAUGGGAAAAACAGUAAUAAGUGGUGCUGCUAUCACUUAAGUGUGUAUCACUCAACCACACAAAAUCAGGUGCAUAAAAAAUAGUAAAAUAGUGAGAGCACACUGUACAUGCAAUAAAUUAUAUUACCAGUACUUCACAAGGUAAAUAGAUAUAGAGUCCCUGCCCGUGCUUACUGGUCCACGUAUCUGUGGUUAUGUUGACCUUGCCACAGAUGGCGUUGCGCAGUACACACCUGAUUUUGUCCGCCAAUUGGUUGUGCAGGGAAGGGAUGGCUCACCUGGAAAAGUAGUGGCGGCUGGGAACCACGUACUGUGGGACAGCCACUGCCAUCAGGUUUUUAAAACUGUCCAUCUCCACCAGACAGAAUGACAGCAUUUCAAAGGCCAGGAAUUUUGAAAUACUGGCAUUCAGGGACAGGGAACACGGGUGGCUAGGGGGGUACUUCCUCUUUCUCUCCAGUGUUUGGGAGAUGGACAGCUGAACGCAUUGAAGGGACAGUGUGGAGAUGCUUGGGGACAGUGGUGGAUGUGAUGGCAUUGCUGCCAUAUCCUCUGUUUGCGGGUCAGGUGCCACUCUGACUCCAGAGGUGGAGGAAGAGGCCAAGACAGCAUCAGAAGUGGAAGCAGGAGGAGCCUGAGACCGUUCUUGGUUUUUGAGGUGCUUACUCCACUGCAUGCUUUGCAUGUAGAUGCCUGGUCAUGCAGGUUGUGCUCAGGUUAAGCACGUUUAUGCCUUGCUUCAGGGUCUGAUUGCACAGUGUGCAAACCACUUGUGUCUUGUCGUCAACACAUUGUCUGAAGAACUGCCACGCCAGGAAACUCCUUGGAGCUGGCUUUGGUGUGCUCGGUCCCUGGGUGCGGUGGGCAGUAGCAGGCGUACCGUCUAGGGGAUGGCCACUCCGCUUUUGCACCCUGCUCCCUCUUAUGCUAUGCUGGUGCUUCUGUGCAACCACCGCCUCUUCCUCCAAACUGCACACGUCACUCGCAUGACCUUCAUUCCAUGUGGGGUCUAGGACCUCAUCAUCCUCCACAUCAUCUUCCACCCACUCCUCAACCCUGCCCUCCUUGCCGGUCUGUACGCUGCAGAAAGCCACAGUAGUUGGCACCUGUGUUUCGUCAUCAUCAGAGACUUGCUGCGGUGGUCCUUGCAUGUCCACAUCCUUACACAUAAGUGGUUGUGCAUCAGUGAACUCUAUCUCUUCCACUUCUGGGGCAGGGCUAGGUGGACGGCCCAUGGAAACCCAGCCAGCAGAGUCAACAAAAAGCAAAAGAAACUGUUGCAUGACUUGUGGGUCAGACUGCUUGGCUGACUUGCAAGGGGGUGAGGUGAAAGACAGAUGGCCAUGCGCUGCAGGUGCCAAUUCUGACCUUUCAGCAGGGGACCGGGUGGGAGACAAUGUGAAGGAACUGGAGGCACUGUCAGCCAUCCAAUCUACUAUUGCCUGUACUUGUUCUGGCCUCACCAUUCGUAGAGCGGCAUUCGGGCCUACCAAAUAAUGCUGAAGGUUCUUUUGCGUACUCGCACCUGAGGUAGGUGUUUCACUUGUGCGUGUAGCUUGCACAGAUCAACCACGUCCUGUCCUUGCAACAGGAGCUCCACCAACACCAGCAGCACCAUGACCAGGGCCAUGUCCAUUAUUUGACACUCUCCUCAUUCUUUGCGUUCACCCACCAAACUAACAGAUGGUUUAUGUCAGGCGAAAAUGUAACCGCCAAUAGUCAUCAAUUUUUUAGUUUCUUGAACUGCAAGAAAUGCACCGCAGGCUGCAAAUGUACUAUUUAGCACCCAAAAAAUUAGAAUUGUUGAAAGUGCGCUGUAAGCACAGUAUUUGAUGGUUCUAUUUGACUCUCAGAUAUGACGUGUACGCCCCAAAUUUACUUUUUAGCACCUAAAGAAUUUGAAUGUUUAAAAAUGUGCUAUAACCACAGCAUUUGACGGCUCUAUUUGACUCUCAGAUAUGAAGUGCAGGCCACAAAUUUACUAUUUAGCACCUAAAGAAUUUGAAUUUUUAAAACUGCUAUCUCACAUCAGUAUUUGACGGUUCUAUUUGACUCUCAGAUAUGAAGUGCACCGCAAGCCGCAAAUGUACUAUUUAGCAGCCAAAAAAUUAGAAUUUUUAAAAAUGCAAUGUAAGCGCAGUAUUUGACAGUUCUAUUUGACUCUCACAUAUGAAGUGCACACCCCAAAUUUACUUUUUAACACCUAAAGAAUUCUAAAUUUUAAAACUGCAAUGUAAGCACAGUAUUUGACGGUUCUAUUUGACUCUCAGAUAUGAAGUGCAGGCACCAAAUGUACUAUUAAGCACCCAAACAAUUUGAAUUUUUAAAAAUGCGCCGUAAGCACAGUAUUUGACGGUUCUAUUUGACUCUCAGAUAUGAAGCGCACCGCAGACUGCAAGUGUAGUAUUUAGAACCAAAAAGUUAGAUUUUUUUUUAAAACCACCAAUGUAACAGUAGUAUUUAAGGGUUUUAUUGGACUGCAAGAAAUGCAGUACGCAAAUGUACUAUUUAGCACCAAAAAAAAAAUUGCAGUAUUUAAAAAUGCCUAGAAAUUGCCCACUGAGCUACCAGAACAGGAUUAAAGUAAUGUGCCUGGCACACAUGCAGUUGCAAGUGCACUGCACUCUCUGUGGCACUGCGCUCAGGGCAGUGUUCAAAAAUGUCAUAUUGCAGAACCCAGAAAAAUAAUCACUGUAGUUUGAAUAAUUGCUGUAGUUUGCAGAUUUUUUCCUAAUCUGUCCCUAACAGCUGCAGCAUCCUCUCCCUACACUAAUAACAGCUCAUGUGCGUGAGGCGCUACGCAACUCCAGCUUAUAUAUAGAGGCUGGGUCACAUGCUGCACUGGCCAGUCACAGCCAUGCUAUUAGUAGGCAUGACUGUGAUGGCUUCUAAGGGCACACGAGUCAAACGCUUGUUGAUUGGCUGCCCUGCAGCCUUUCAAAAUGCGUCAUUAAAUCACCGAACACCGAACUCCAACCCAAACAUACACUGAUAUGUCUGUGUUCGGGUCUGGGGUUCAAAAAACUUAAUGUUCGGUACGAACCCGAAAUUUACAGUCCGGGUUUGCUCAACUCUAAUUAUUAAGUGUUCUUGCAUGGGAAGACCACUUACUAUUAUCUCACAUAUAUAUUAUUAUUAUAGCCAAAUUUACCACCCUAACUCCUCCCACAGUUUUUACACUACAUAGACAGUAAUAUACCGAAACGUGCGGAUUGUUCCUGAUCGGUGUGCUAAUUACUUUGUGCAAUGUUUUGCCGAAUGGUUCACGAAAUAUCGUCGUUUUUGUGGCAAAAUUGGUCCCAUAGGAAUGAAUGACGGAAUGUUCAAAUCUAGAGUGGUAGCUGGCAAAAGCUGAAAAAUCAAGACAUGAUUUCUAAACUGUCACCACUCAUUUUUAAGCCCACCUACACAAAUCUUAUAUCAAAACGUUCAGCUAUCCCUGCUGCCACUAAAAAUGUCAACAGCUAAACCAAAGUCCUGAUAAUUUUCACAAUAUGACCAUUUGUUGCAACUCACGCCGUCCAUUGGCAUUCAUUGAAACUCCACUCUAGCCACCUCAAAUUUGAAGGGAAAUUUCUAAACUGCGACUGUGCCUUCAUUUUUAAUAUUUCAGAGACAUACUAUGCAUCAAUAUGUAGGUCUGGGUCUUGUGAUUCUCACAAUAUAAAGCUCUUCACUGUAGGAUUUAUAGUUUUUAAAACUACGACCAUUUGAAGAUGGCAACCGCCAGUGAAGUGAGCAAUUUGGAGCAGUUUUUUUUGGUUUUUUUAAAUUCUUUAUUUGUUCACUGACAGAUAUUUGCAAUAUGACAUAGUCUUUCUGUAUUUGGCUUACGCAGAAGCCGUACAUUCCAUUGUGCAUUAUUAUGCCGUAGAGGGCUUACACAGAAGCCAACUGUGCAGGUAUGAAUAUUCGUUAUCUGUCAGGUUUUUAUAUUUAAUUUUCGAGGGGUAGGGUACAGAAUGAGAAACAGGGGGUAAACAUUUAUAAUUUAGUUGUUACAGUGUAGGCUUGUGCAUCUGAUUACAUCUUUCGUUCUUAAGUUCUAUUUUAUUUAUUCUUGUUUCUAUUGUUUCUUUGUUUAUCCAGCGUGGUUAUUCUGUGGUCUAAUGGUUGGCGUGGGGUACAGGAAAAAAAAGAGGGGAAGGUGGUAGGCUGCCCUAUUGCAGCGUCUUUUCUUGUUUUUUCAGGCUGUGGGUUGUCUUGGUCGGUUUUGUGUCUGGUUUAUAGUGUGCUUUGUAGUCCUGAUUGGGUAUGGGUAGGGUGGUCGGGUUUUGGGGUUAUGUCUUUUCUCUUCAAGGUAGCUGGAUAGGAAGGGGGCCAAGGUGUGUGAAUACUCCUUUUGUAUGUCCUUUUGUCUCCCCGGAGUCUUUGCUGUGUGUUUAGAUCAUUACUUUACUAGUGUGAUAGUUGGGGUGUUAUAAGAUUAUGCUUUAUGUUGUUCUGCAUCCUGUGGUGUGGUUCUUGUUGUUCCGUUCGGGUUAAUCAGCGGGUGUCUGUUCCCAGAGUGUUCUGUAUGUUCCUUUCUAAUGUAUAUAUUGAACUGUUAUGGAUAUUAGGAUCUAGUACUUUACAGGGUGUGGAGGGGGUUACCCGUGGGGUUAAAUGUCGUUGUCAUGAGGUCUCCGUUUUUUUUGAGCGUGCUUUAGGUCUGCUGCCUGUAUAUAUUUAAUCUGGAUUCAUCUUUUUGGUGGGCUGAGGGUGGGGCCGUGUUAUAACAAUUUUUGUUUCAUAUUUUACAGUAAGUAAAGUCUCUCUCAGAUGGUCUCUGACCUGUGAUGUAGUUUUUCAUCUGGACCUCAGGUUUGUUGUGAUUUUUGAUUUUGGAUGGAAGCCCAUACCUAUAUAUAUUGGUGUGGGGUGGUUUGGUUAGUCGGCUCUUUUUUACUGUUCGGGGUAUAGGUUGUGGCCGUGCGCAGUCUAUUCUGGGGCCUAUGUUCUCAUAGGAUAUGGGGUUUAGUGGCCAUGCUGCGGAUCGAUUUUUAAUUUGGGGUUUUGUUCGGGGGGGGUUGGCUCGCCUGUGGAUGUGUGGCAUUUUAGGGUAACUUUUGACAUUUAACAUUUAACAGUUCUAACAUUUUUCAAAUAAACAGAAAUUAAAUAACAUGGUAUUGGGUUAUCAUAGUGAAACCUCGUAUACACUACUGGUCUUUUAGUGUCCGUAUUCCCAGUACAUGGGGAGGAAACCGAAACUCUGUUUUUUGUGGAGAGUUCCAUGUGUCUCCUAUGCUGCUGUUCAAGUGUCCGUUUGUGUGAGCUCUUGUGAGGCGGGUGGAGGUUUUCUCUUGGGCUGCGUGCGUUGUGUGUUUGCCCGGGACUCUCUUCUUCGGUUGGUGUCUUCUGCUGUGGCUAUGUUCGCGUCCGCCGGUAGGUGCCAUACUUGUACCCCCAAGUGUGCCGCAAAAUCUUGCAUGUCUUCGAUGUGAUGGAGGGUAUAGAUUUGGACUCCUUUUCUGGUGGUCAUUUUGAAGGGGUGUCCCCAUGUGUAGCGCCAACCGGGGUCAGGGACCAGGUCUUGGUAGAAAUGCAGUUGUUGCCCUUGGUAUGUGGGCGGGUGAUCUCUUGCCACUUUCAUAAGUUGUUCCUUUAUUGGGAAGUGUAAGAUUUUGACAAUGAUGUCUCAUGGUGUGUUUGUGUUGAAUGCUGGAGGUCUCAGUGCCCUGUGGGCUCGUUCGAUAUAUAUUUCUCUUUCUGGGGUCUCCGGUAGCAAGGACUGGAAAACCGUCUUGAUGGUAGGUAGUAUGGCGUCUGGCAGAACAGAUUCCAGAUGCGUAUGUUUUGUCUUCGGGACCUGUUAUUUAGGUCCUCCAGGCUGUCUUAUAGGAACAGGAUUCUCUAUUUUAGCACUACCACUUCACUGUUGUGGUUCGUUAUUUGGGUUUGUGUUUCUUUUAGUAAUAGCACCGUGUUGUUAUUUCGUGAGGCCAGUGUUUCGAUAUCUUCCUUGAGGCCAGAGAUCUGUUUUUCUAGGGCUGCCACGGUGUAGACUUUGAUGCCUGCCGACAUUUCUUUGAGCAUCUGUCGGAGGUCUUCCUUAGUGAGUGGGGUUGUCUGCCAGGUCUCAUGUUCGCUCUCCUCCGAUUCUGAGCCUGAUUCCCCCUGGCUUUGGGCCCAAGAUGUCCGCCCGUCAUCUUUGGUGCGGAACAUAGUGGCUACUGAUGGCGUUGAAUCCUUUUUUUUCUUCAUACACCCAUCUGGUUAGCUGAGUUUUUGUAAGUUUCUGGGUGUUUUUGCAGGUGGUUUGCACCAUUUUGGAGGCUGAUGGAUGCGGAUUGUAUACCCGGGGUGGGAGAGCUGAGAGAACACACGUCUUACUCCAUUGAAGGUUAGGCUCCGCCCCCGGAGCAGUUUGUUUUUAACUGCUCUUCUCUGCCCUUGCUGUAGAGUGAGUUGCCAUAGGAACCCAGGUGUGUGAGCAGCCAGCAGAAUGUUCCGGAACACAGAGGCUGCUAGAUAAGACACAUUCUUUAAACUGCUGUUAUUCCUACAGUUUUGAUAACACAAAAGUGAGCACUAUCAAAUUUAAUAAAUAUAUUUCCAUGUUAGUCAAUUCAUUAUACCUGUAACAGAAAAACAGUAACAUACAAUGUUACAACAAUGCAGCUAAUCGGUGUUUCAUAAAGUUACUCUGCCCAGUCCAACCUUUCCACAGUUACUCAAGCCACCAAAUUACUCCGCCCACUCCAGUUGUAGACUACUGGUGGAAUCAAGAACACUUCACACAAUUUCCCAAGAAAUUGUAGCUUUUCUAGUUAAUAAUAAUAUUAAUAACAAUAAUAAUAAUAAUAUUGGUAUUUAUAUAGCGCCAACUAAUUCCGCUUUACAACAUUAUGAAAGAGGGGGGUGGUAAUUUACAAUAAAUGAGACAAUUACACAGUGACACAGGAACAAUAGGUAGAUAAGGGUCCUGCUCAAACAAGCUUCCAGUCUAGAGGAGGUAGGUUACAAAAACACAAUAGAGCAGCAAGGGUCACAACCACCAAACAAGGUGGAAAGAUAGCAGAACUGGAGGUGAAAGUGGAGUGUGGCUCUUUGGGAGAUCAAGAGACAGAUAUGGGUAAGUAUAGAUAAGUAACUCUGGGAGUCCAUAAGCAUUUCUUAACAAAUGUGUUUUGUGGGACUUCUUUAACAAUUAAAGACUAGGGAAGAGGCUGAUGGGGGUAGACAGGCUGUUUCAAAGGAAAGGAGCCGCCUGCAAAAAGUUCUGCAAGUGCGAUUAAACAUUAAGGGUGUGAGCAGGGGACAGGAGGUCACUGGCAGAGCGGAGAGAAGCACAUCUAUGAAUCAGUAAAGAAAUGUAACAGGGGCUAGAGUUGGUUAGAGUUUCAUAGGUAAGGGUUAAUAUUUUGAAUUGACACCUAUAAAAUACAGGAAGCCAGUGUAAGGAUCGACAAAGGGGAAAGAUAUGGGAGGAGCGACAGAUGAGAAAGAUCAGCCUGGCAGCAGCAUUAAUUACAGGUUGUAGCAGGGCAGUUCAGCUUCUCGAGAGACCAACUAGAAGAGUAUUAUAGUAAUCUAUGUGAGAUAUUACCAGAGCAUGCACAAGCAUUUUGGCAGCAUCUUGUGUGAGAAAGGGGCAGAUGUGGGCGAUGUUUUUAAGGUGAAAUCGACAGGUUUUAGCAACAUACUGGAUAUGAAUCACAAAUGUGAGGCCAGGAUCAAAGUUAACACCAAGACCACAAGCUUGCAAGGACAAACUGAUGCAACUACCAUCAGCUUGCAGGGAAUGCAAAGAAGGAGGAUCAGCAUUAUGAGGAGGAAAAAUAAGAAGCUCAGUUUUAGAGAGAUUGAGUUUCAGAAAGCGUGAGGACAUCCAAUCAGAGAUUGAAGAAAGGAAAGCAUUGACACGUUGUAGGACCGUGGUGGAGAGAUCAGGGGAGGAGAGAUAUAUCUGGGUGUCAUCGGCAUACAGAUGGUACCAGAAUCCAAAAGGAGUUAAUGAGUUAUUACCCAAAGUCAUGUUUCAUUUCUUCUGUUUUAUUUCUCUACAAUUACAAUCUUCCACCACUAGUGGCCUCCCUAGCCACUAGUCUUACUCUCACCUGCAUAGCAUGAUAAUUUAGACUGCUAUAAGAGGCCAAACCCUGCUAACCAAAUAUCCUUUACAUUGAUUGAAGUCUAUGUUCUGAUCCUGACUCAUACUGAGAAAACCUGCACUAUUCUGAAUACCAUUAAACCAACCUGAUUUAUACUACAAUUUGCUUUAUUUACAACCUGCUUGCUAUCAAUACACAUGGGGAAAAACCUGAUCUUCAAUACAAACCUAUUUUAGUAACAUUUCGGGUUCGAUUUCGGUGUUCGGCGAUUCAAUGGCGCGUUUUGAAAAGCUGCAGUGCAGCCAAUCAACAAGCGUUUAACUUGUGUGCCCUUAGAAGCCAUCACAGCCAUGCCUACUAAUGGCAUGGCUGUGAUUGGCCAGUGCAGCAUGUGACCCAGCCUCUAUAUAAGCUGGAGUCACAUGAGCUCUUAUUAGUGUAGGGAGAGGAUGCUGCAGCUGUGAGGGACAGAUUAGGAAAGAAUUUUGGUGUUGAAUCUGCAAACUACAGCGAUUAUUUUUGUGGGUGCUAUACUACAUUUUGUACCCUGCUCUGAGACCAGUGCCACAGAGAAAUAAGCAGUCUCUUUGUUAGGUGGGCACUUGCAACUGCAUGUGUGCCAGGCACAUUACUUUAAUCCUGUUCUGGUAGCUCAGUGGGCAACAUCUAGGCAUUUUUAAAUACUGCUGUGACAUUGCAGUUUGACAAAUUCACAUUGUUUUGGUGCUAAAAAUUAAAUUUGGGGUGUGCACUUCAUAUUUGAGAGUCAAAUAGAAACGUCAAAUACUGUGGUUACAUCCCACUUUGAAAAAUUCAUGUUUCUUUGGUGCUAAAUAGAACAUUUUGCGGCUUGCGGUGCAUUUCUUGCAGUCCAAUAAAACCCUUAAAUACUACUCUUACAUUGUUGGUUUAAAAAAAAUCAGUUUUUUGAGACAGUGAAGUAACUGUAUUAAUUAUGCCUAUCACACUGUUGUGUGACCUCUAGAAUUUUUUUUCUCUUUAGGACACCAGCACUGCCUUACUGUCAAUGAACUUAAUUGUUCACUAUUGGCGGUUAUAUUGUCGCCUGACAUAAACCAUCUGUUAGUUUGGUGGGUGAACGCAAAGAAUGAGGAGUGCAUCAAAUAAGUGAUGUGUCCCUGGUCGGGGUGCUGCUGGUGUUUUUGGAGCUCCUGUUGCAGGGAGAGGACAUGGUCGAUCUGUGCCAGCUAAACGCACAAGUGAAACACCUUCCUCAGGUGCGAGUAGGCGACAGAAUCUUCAGCAUUAUUUGGUAGGCCUGAAUGCCACUCUACAAAUGGUGAGGCCAGAACAAGCACAGGCGAUAGUAGAUUGGGUGACUGACAGUGCCUCCAGUUCCUUCACAUUGUCUCCCACCCGGUUCCCUGCUGAAAGGUCAGAGUUGGCACCUGCAGCCCAUGGCCAUCUGUCUGAGCCACAAGUCAUGCAGCAGUCUCUUAUGCUUCUUGAUGACUCUGCUGGUGGGGUUCCAUGGGCCAUCCACCUAGCCCCGCCCCAGAAGUGGAAGAGAUUGAGUGCACUGAUGCACAACCACUUAUGUUUCAGGAUGUAGACAAACGAGGACCACCGCAGCACGUCUCUGAUGAUGACGAAACACAGGUGCCAACUGCUGUGGCUUUCUGCAGUGUGCAGACCGGCAAGGAGGGCAGGAUUGAGGUGUGGGUGGAAGAUGAUGUGGAGGAUGAUGAGGUCCUAGACCCCACAUGGAAUCAAGGUCAUGCGAGUGACGUGUGCAGUUUGGAGGAAGAGGCGGUAGUCGCACAGAGGCACCAGCACAGCAUAAGAGGGAGCAGGGUGCAAAAGCAGAGUGGCCGUCCCCUAGACGGUUCGCCUGCUACUGCCCACCACACCCAGGGACCGAGCACACCAAAGCCAGCUCCAAGGAGUUCCCUGGCAUGGAAGUUCUUCAGACAAUGUGUGGUUUGCAAGCUGUGCAAUCAAAGGCAUAAACGUUCUACACCUGAGCACAACCUGCAUGACCAGGCAUCUACAUGCAAAGCAUGAGCUGCAGUGGAGUAAACACCUCAAAAACCAAGGUCACAGGCUCCUCCUGCUUCCUCUUCUGCUGCUGUCUCGGCCUCUUCCUUCACGUCUGGAGUGACAGUGGCACCUGCCACCCCGCAAACAGAGGAUGUGGCAGCAACGCUACCAUGUCUGCCACUGUCCCCAAGCAUCUCCACACUGUCCCUUGAAUGCGUUCAGCUGUCCAUCUCCCAAACACUCGAGAGAAAGAGGCAGUACCCCUACCCACCUGCGAUCCCUGGCCAUGAAUGCCAGCAUUUCAAAAUUCCUGGCCUUUGAAAUGCUGUCAUUCCGUCUGGAGGAGACGGACAGUUUUAAAAACCUGAUGGCGGUGGCUGUCCCACAGUACGUGGUUCCCAGCUGCCACUACUUUUCCAGGUGAGCCAUCCCUUCCCUGCACAACCAAUUGGCGGACAAAAUCAGGUGUGCACUGCGCAACGCCAUCUGUGGCAAGGUCCACAUAACCACUGAUACGUGGACCAGUAAGCACGGGCAGGGAUGCUAUAUCUCCCUAACUGUACACUGGGCAAAUGUAGUGGCGGCUGGGCCUGAGGCGUAUAGCAGUUUGGCGCAUGUCCUUCCACCACCGAGAAUUGCAGGGCAUUUCUCUUUGCCUCCUCCUAAUACUCCGCUUCCUCAUCCGUUCAGCUUAACACCUUCACCACCAACUUCAACACAGCCAGGGGGAAACGACAGCAGGCUGCUUUAAAAUUCAUAUGUUUGGGGGAAAAAUCCCACACCGUGCAGGAGCUGUGGACGGGCAUGGAACAACAGACCGAUGAGUGGUUGUUGUCACUGAGCCUCAAGCCCGGCCUGGUGGGGUGCGAUAAUGGGCGAAAUCUCGUAGCAGCUCUGGGCCUAGCCAGUUUACCGCACAUCCCUUGCCUGGCACAUGUGCUGAAUUUGGUGGUGCAGAAAUUACUGAAAAACUACCCAGAUAUAUCAGAGCUGCUGCAGAAAGUGUGGGCCGUAUGUGCGUGCUUUCGGCGUUCUCACCCUGCUGCUGCUCGCCUGUCUGCGCUGCAGCGUAACUUUGGCCUUCCCGCUCAACACCUCAUAUGCGAUGUGCCCACAAGGUGGAACUCCACCUUGCACAUGCUGGAGAGAGCAGCAGCAGGCGAUAGUGGAGUUACAUAUAGUUACAUAGUUACAUAGCUUAAAAGAAACUUGCGUCCAUUAAGUUCAGCUUUCCUGACAUAUGUUUUUGCUGUUGAUCCAAAAGAAGGCAAAAAACCCAGUCUGAAGCGCUUACAAUUUUGCAACAAACUAGGAAAAAAUUCCUUCUUGACCCCAAAAUAGCAGUCAGAUGUCUCCUUGGAUCAAGCAGCUAUUACCCCACUAAUUACAAAUUAUAUCCCUGUAUGUUAUGUUUUUGCAAGUAUUUAUCCAAUUGCAGUUUAAACAUCUGUAUAGACUCUGACAAAACUACCUCUUCAGGCAAAGAAUUCAAUAUUCUUAUUGCUCAUACUGUAAAAAAAAAACUUUUUCUUUGCCUAAGAUGAGAUCUCCUUUCUUCAAGCCUAAAUGUGUGACCUCAUGUCCUAUGUAUAGCCCUGUUUAUGAAAAGAUUUCCAGAUAAUGGUUUGUACUGGCCCCAAAUAUAUUUGUAUAAUGUUAUCAUAUCCCCUCUCAGGUGCCAUUUUUCCAAACUAAAGAGAUUUACAUUUUUUAACCUUUCUUCAUAACUAAAAUGCUCCAUUCCUUUUAACAAUUUUGUAGCUCGUCUCUGCACUUUUUCUAGUGCCAUGAUAUCUUUAUUUAGAACAGGUGCCCAAAAUUGCACAGCAUACUCAAGGUGUGGUCUUACCAGCAAUUUAUAAAGAGGUAAAAUUAUAUUUUCACCUCGAGAAUUUAUGCCCCUAUUUAUACAUGACAAAACCUUACUGGCCUUAGCAACGGCAGAUUGACUUUGCAUAUUGCUGCCUAAUUUGUUGUCUAUAACAAGUCUCAAAUCCUUCUCGUGUGUGGUUAUCCCUAGUUCACUACUAUUUAGGGCAGGGGUUCUCAACCUUGUCCUCAAGGACCCCCUACCAGUCCAGGGUUUAGAGAUUACCUGGGUGUGUCUAAGGUGUUUAGAAAAAGAAAAAAAAAACACCUUAGAGUCUAAGGUGUUUUUUCCCCCCUUUUUCUAAACACCUUAGACACACCCAGGUAAUCCUCAAAUCCUGGACUGGUAGGGGGUCCCGAGGACUGGGUUGAGAACCCCUGAUUUAGGGUGUAAAUUGCUUGUGCAUUCUUAACCCCGAAGUGCAUAACUUUGCAUUUCUCUACGUUAAAUUUCAUCUGCCAUUUCAGUGCCCAGUCCCCCAAUCUAUCCAAAGCCCUCUGCAGCAAGUCAAUAUCCUGCUCACAUUUUAUUAGUUUACAAAGUUUUGUGUCAUCUUCAAACACUGAUACAUGGCUUUCAAUGCCCAUUUCAAGAUCAUUUAUAAAUGUUAAAUAGAAGCGGUCCCAAGACAGAACCCUGAGGGACACCACUUACCAAAUUUACCAUUAAUGACAACUCAUUGUACUCUAUCCUUAAGCCAAUGUUCUACCCAAGAACAAGAAUAUUCAUCUAGACCUAUUUCUUUUAGUUUGAAGACUUUUGUCUAUUUUGUUUGAAGUAGUUUGAAGACUAUUGUGAGGAACCGUAUCAAAUGCCUUGGUAAAAUCCAAGUAGAUCGCAUCCACUACAACACCCUGAUCUAUACUUCUACUUACUUCUUUGUAGAAUGCAAUUAGGUUAGUUUGACAUGACCUAUGUUUCAUAAAACCAUGCUGAUUAUUGCUUAUAACACAGUUCUUUCCAAUGAAUUCCUGAAUAUUAUCCCUUAAUAGCCGUUCAAAUAAUUUCCCAGUCACAGAAGUUAAGCUCACAGGUCUAUAAUUUCCAGGCAAGGAUUUUAAACCCUUUUUAAAUAUAGGAACAACAUCUGCCUUCCUCCAAUCCUCCGGUACAACACCUGAAACAAAAGAAUCUUGAAAAAUUAAAUACAGAGGUUCACUUAUUUCCCCACUUAGCUCCUUAUGUACUCGUGGGUGAAUACCGUCAGGCCCCGGAGCUUUAUUUACAUAAAAAAUUUUUAAUAGCUGUAGCACCUUGUCUCGAGUUAUCCAAUCACAAGUUAUCUGCAAGUUUGUUGCAGCAAUCAUUUGCUUAUCUCUUGGCAUAGCUAUUUUAGAAGGUAUCAAUAUUAUUUUAAAAAAUAACUAUUUUUGGUUUUUAAACUCUUUAUCUCUAAAAAAGAGGAACAGCUAUGGGAACUAGGUUUGCUCCCAGCUAUGCAAAUCUAUUUAUGGCUGACUGGGAAUCUGAAGCUGUUUUUAGUGAUCAUGCCUGGAGAGCAAACCUGGUUUCAUUUUUUUAGAUAUAUUGAUGACCUCUUUUUUAUUUGGGAAGGUUCUGAAGACGAUCUUAACUCUUUUAUCACUAAUCUUAAUACAAAUAAUAGAGGAAUAAACCUCACUCACGAAUAUAGUAUUUUUAUAAAAAAUGGUAAAUUACACACUAAAACGUUUUUUAAAAAGUGUGUGUGAACACUGCCAUAGAUAAGAGAAGCUGCCACUACCAACCUUGGUUAGACAGCGCUCCGAAGAGCCAAAUACUACGACUCUGGAGAAAUUGCUCCGAAAUAAGUGAUUUUAACAUACAAGCUAAUAUAUUGAAAGAUAAAUUCGUUGAGAAAAACUACUCAGAAAUGGAACUCGCAAAUACCAUUAGGGAUAUUCAAGAUAAAGACAGAAAUGAACUUCUAAAAUAUAAACCUAAAAUUAAAGACAAAUCUAUGCCUCUACCUAUUAUUUUUAAUUUUAAUAAUAAAAGCAACGAUGUAAAAAUGAAUAUAAAAAAACACUGGCACAUUUUUCAAGACGAAACUCUUAAUAAAAUCAUACCAGAACAUCCAAAUAUAAUAUUUAGAGGAGCCAAAAAUUUUAAAUCAAUACUAACUAAAAAUUUUACCAAAGAAGAGAAAAACACACCCUCUCUAUCUUUUUUUCCACAAAUUAAAGGUUUCUGCAAAUGUAAAAUGUGUAUAGUUUGUAGAACUACUGACCCUGCUGUUCCCCAGAAAGUUACUCAAUUUAUGUCAAAACGGUUCUACUAAAAAUGUUAUAUAUCUGCUUGAAUGCCCCUGUGGCUUCCAAUAUGUUGGAAUGACUACAAGGUGCUUAAAAACGCGCUUAAGCGAGCAUUACAGAAACAGAUAUCUGAAUCAUUCAGUAUCCAAACAUUUCAUUAUACACAAUAGAGAUCCAAGAUUGUUGAAAUGUAUUGGAAUAAAGAAAUGCACGAUUCCUUGGAGGGGUGGAAAUAUUAAAAAUAUUUUAGGUAAUAUAGAAAUGGAAUGGGUGUACAGACUUCAAACUCUUACACCACAUGGUCUUAAUGCAGACUUUAAUCUGUUUCAUUUUUUAUAAAUUCUCUUUAUUCCAAUAUUUAUUUCUGAUGUUCUCAGCUUUGUGUUUGUAUACAUCUUUUAUAUAUAUUUUUAUGUAUUUUUAUAAUAUCUUUAUGUUAUUUGGUGAUAUUUUAUAUAUUUUUAAUAUAUUCUUAGACCUUUUAUUCCCUUAUGCUUUAUGUUCACAAUCCGUAUUGUGUAUUAUGUCAUCUAACACCCUAGCCGGCCGCAGCUUUGUGCGUGCCGACAGGGCUCCUUUUCGUUGCCAUGACGACGGCUGCAGCCUUGUGCUAGCCAUCGUCCUUGCUUCCUAUUUUGUUUCCAUGACGACGGCCACAGCUUUGCGUGUGCCGCCGUCACCAACCCCGCCCCUUCUAGUUACGUCAGCCGCAAGGAUUAUGCAUGCUGACGUUCCUCUCCUAUCCCUCAUGUAGACGCCGGCGUCUACGCAGUGCGUGCCGGGGUCUAACUACAUUUCCCACUAUGCACCGCGGCAGUUUGUCGAUCACAUGACCAGGCAUUAAAGGCUUUCAAUACAGAAUAAUAUGCCUCGUUUUUUAAGUUUAUUUAUAUUAUGAAAUUUAUAAUGCUCAGCAGAAUGCAUGUAUAAAUAAAUUUACCAGUUGUUUUAUUGUUUUAAUUAUUUUACUUUUAUCUCCAUUCUGAUUGGCUGCUCACAUUUUGGCACCAAUUUUAAAUGAUUAUAGCUGUUAUAUAAACCCUCCUAUGCCAGGUAUCAGGUUCUUACUCCAUAUUGAUCACGCCGUGAUGGCGAAACGCGUUUAUGGAUAUUAUUUUGUGUAUUUUUUAUAUAUUAAAGUAUAUUUGGUUACUUUUUAUUUGUGCCAUUUUUCUUUAUACACAAUUAUUUAUUUUUUUUACCUGGCAUCUUCUCAACAUCCUGGACUCCAAGUAAUCCUAGGUGGGGAUCAUACCACCAGCGCUAACGUUUAGGAGCAGUUGGUCUGCUCCUGUCUUGUGAGUACCCAUUUUAUUUAUUUUACCAUCAAUAUUUUACUCAGUGUACACUAUUGGCUGUUUCUUCUUAUCUGAGUGUUAAAUAUACCACUGACGGAGGAAGCUCACCUUAUAUCCCAUAAGCGGGGAUUAAAUCGCUGUACGCUCUUCAUACUAGAGCGAGUUUAAGCUCUGAUAAAUGUGAGUUUUAUUUCAGCCUUUUAUUAUUUUUAUCCUUUUAUUCUGAAGCAUACUGCACUAUUUGGUUCUCCACUUUUUUAUCUUCUAUAUACGAGCGGACCCAUACAGAGGAGAACAAAAAGCACAAUUGUUUUGGAUCAAGCACGGAUAGAUUCUACGACCUCAAAAAGAACAUUUUACAUAAGACUUUUUAUAUUCUUCUCAUUUUCUCGGACUAUUUGUUAUUUUUCAUAUCGAGUUUUCCUUGGCGCAGCCCUUAUUUCUUAUUCUUUCUCCUUUUCAGUGUUAUUUCUAAGAGUUUUUGAGGGAUUCCCUUAUAGGGUUGCUGCCCACAUAUUAGUCAGCGCUUACUCUCUGUCUUGUUGUUACCCAGCUAUGUGCCUGUUCUCCAAUUGUCUCAUCUCCUCCCACUCCACUACCUGCACCCACUAAACUCUGCUCAGUGAGCAGCAGACUCCUCUCAAGAUUAUCAAUCUCCCUCAGUGUUGCAAUUUGCCUCUCCAGAUCUCCAAUUCAAGCUUCCAGAAAAGCCACUCACUCACACCCACCACAGAGGUAUGGACCCUGGACAGAUUUAUCCAAGCAUGCACGCACGGGUCAGUCGCUCGCACCAGACUUGCCCUCCAAUAGAUCCUUGAUAAAGGAGUUAAAGUGUACUCAUUCGAAUUACAGGGCCUUGAAAGAGUCCUGUAUUGUUAUUUAUCAUCACUACCUCCCCGCGUCGGGCGUGGGUAAUUUGCGCGCCUGUUGCCUUCCUUGGAUGUGGUAGCCGUUUCUCAUGCUCCCUCUCCGGAAUCAAACCCUGAUUCCCCGUUACCCGUGGUCACCAUGGUAGGCGCAAAAAGUACCAUCAAAAGUUGAUAGGGCAGACAUCCGAAUGCGUCGUCGCCGUCACGGGGAUGUGCGAUCAGCCUGAAGUUAUCUAGAGUCACCAAAGUACCUGCGCAACGACUGCCGAGUUGCCCACAUUCUAACUUGUGCUGAUUACUGGAUGGCCAUCCUGCUUAAUUACAUCACUAGAGCAUGAUGGGAAGAUGCGUGACUACAAGCGCACGCUGGAAGACGCGCUGCUGAGGGCAUUCCCAACUGACAACGGGGGAUCAGUGGAAGCACAAGGCGAAGGCAGAGGAGGAGGAAGAGGUCGCCAAUGCAGCUGGGGCACCGCCAGAACCUCAGAAGGCAGGGUUACUUGGCCAAAAUGUGGAAAAGCUUUCUCACACACCACAACAACCACCACCAUCAUCUGAUAUGGAACGUCUUAGCAAGAGGCAGCAUUUCAGCAACAUGGUGGAAUAGUACGUGUGCACACGCCUACACAUACUGACUGAUGGGUCUGCCCCAUUCAACUUCUGGGUCUGCAAAUUGGGCACAUGGCCUGAGCUUGCCCAUUAUGCCCUGGAGGUGCUGGCCUGCCCUGCAGCCAGUGUAUUGUCUGAACGUGUGUUUACCAUGGCAGAGGGCGUUAUCACAGACAGGCGCAGCCACCUGGCCACAGCCAACGUGGACAAGCUCACGUUUUAAUAAAAUGAACCAGGCAUGGAUCCCACCAGACUUGUUUGUACCUUGUGCAGAAUAGACAUUUAUACCAGCCUCACCCAGCUAUUGUUAUACUCAAAUGCACUUAUUCUUUGUUUUCUUUUUUUAUAUAUGUCCCAAUAUUUUGGGGGCUACCCCAAUUAAAAAAAUAAAUAAAUAAAAAACAGUGUUGGCUACCUCCUCCUCCUCCUCCUCCUCCUCCUCCACCGCCGCUUUCACCUACACCGCCACGGUCACCGCCUCCUCAACCUAUGGGUCACUUAGUAUAAACUAUGUACACAAUAACAGGAGCUUGUGAAGGCAUUUUCUCCAUGCAUCAGGAGUUGAGCUCAGUUUGAACAAUGAAAGAGAAUACCCUGCACUCCAACCCUCUCUCAAAUUGAUAAUUCUGGUAAUCCUCCUGACAGCCAUGCUUUAGAUUUUGAUUUGUGUUCUUCCAAAGCUAAAAUCAAAGAUUCCAUCUAGUGCUAUUUUAUGGCUCAUCUGUAUUUUUAAUUUUUAGGUAUUUUAUGUUAUUUUAAGUGAUUUCCCUAUCCACACUUGCCCUACUCUUACCCCCAUUCAACUUCCUUUUGCAACCCUCUAGUCCUUUCUAUGACUAUUUCAGAGGCAUUUUAGAGGCAUUUUUGUGCCCAAAAGUUCGGGUCUUUUUUUCAAAGUUCAGCCGAACCUGCCAGACCCGAACAUCCAGGUGUCCGCUCAACUCUACUUUUUAAACAUAUUAACAGGUCACGUUACAUUUUAACAUAGGACUCACAAGCUUCACAAGUCUUGCAUCCAUUGAACAGUUUCUGCAAGAUGUCAGAAUAGCCUCCCAGAUCUGCUGUUUGGAUGUAAACUGCCUCCUACCCUCAUAGAUCUUUUGCUUGAGGAUGCUCCAAAGGUUCUCAAUAGGAUUGAGGUCAGCAACCAUUGAUGCAAAGGUAUUCUUUGCAGCAUGAGAUGGUGCAUUGUCAUGCAUGAAGAUGAUUUCGGUAAGCGUAGUUCUUCCUUCUGUACCAGGGAAAAAAGUGGUCAGUCAGAAACUCCACAUACUUUGCAGAGGUCAUCUUUACACCUUUGAGGACCUCAUAAUUAAUCUAAUUAUCACAGGUGUCCGGGAUUGUUUUCAGUGAUCAAAAGAGCCCUGAGACACAAUGCCAUCCAUGAGUUAAACUGAAAAACAAACUAUUUAAUCUUUGUGACACUUAAAAAGAAUUUGCAUAAUAAUUUGGAACAGGGUGUAUAUUAACUAAGUAUGUAUAGAUAUAGAUAUAUAUAUAUAUAUAUAUAUAUAUAUAUACACACACAUACAUACACACACAUAUUUUAAUAUUAAUUUAUAUAUAAUUAUACAUAUAUAUUAAUAUCAAAAUAUAGGUGUUACAAACUGCCGUUUGUAACUCAGAUUUUAUGUGACAAAUUGCCCUGUGUCCUUGGCUUAUGGAGAAGCCUUAUUGCCAGCCUCCUCCCUCAUGACUAUGGCCCCUAUCAUCAGCCCAUGCUAAACCUAAACCCCAUGGUGAUUUGACGGUGUUUGUGGGUUCUGAGCGCUGUUUGGAUAUAUUGAGCGCUCAGAUCCAUUUCAUCUGGGGAUAGGUUGAAUGUGGUGGUUCUGUUCAGUAUGAUAGGCGUUAUGUAUUUUUGUGUAUUUUUGCUGUUGUUGUGAAUAGAGAUAUUUUCUGUACCUGGAGAUAGUUGGCUUACCACACCCAGUUAAGCCAAUUAUCUCCAGGAUAGAGGACUCUGUAGAACUGGUUUGGGCUGGAAAAGCCAUGCUUGCAGUCAUUCAAAAAGGACGUCCAUCUGGGGCGGAGCCUGACUUCCGAGCGGGAAAGAUGCAUAGCACACCAGCUAGUGAUCAAAACGAUUUAUUUGGGAACAAAUCCCCCAAAAUUGGACCUAAUAACGUCAGAGAAGGCAGGAUGCAUGCAGAGGGAACCCGGGGGUACCCAACGACCCCAAAAACAAAAUAUACAUCUGUAACGGCUACCCAGUUAAUAAGAGGGUAUCAGCCGUUGGAGACGUCCUUUUUCCUGGCAAGUCGCUGUGUAGUAGUGGAGUCGCUUAUUCCCAUUCACUAGAUCUAAGUAAAGAGUCAAGCAGAGCUCUUAAAAGAGCCAGGUGAUUAUGCUGCAUAUCCCCUUCCAAGAACGAGACAAGGCUACAUUUUGAAGGGUCAAGAAGAACUGAAUUUUAAUGGCAGAUACUCUCCUUUUAUGUGAUGCUGCCCAUGCAAGGGAGCCACCCACACAAUUAGCACAGUAACCAAUAAAACAUAAGGUACAACCCACACAUCUCCUCCCCUCAGAUAAGCCUGUAACACAAUUAACAAAGAUAAAUUUUUCCCCGAGUUUUGGAUGUACCCCAAAUAUAUGGGGUACAUUAAUAAAUGUCCCCAAAUAGCCCUACCUGGGGGAUUUAAAAAUCAGGAAAACAAGAGAGAGGUUGGCGCACACAAUGGAUAGUUAUUCAACAAUCUGUAAUAAAUAUAACAGAACCUUCAUAGGGCAACAUAUAUGCGGAAAUAUUCAAAUAUAUGUAUAACAGGAAAAACUCACAAUUUAGAGUGUCAUAUAAGUCGGCUCUCUACUAUAAUAGCAGAUAACGAUAAAAAAACAAUAAAAAACACAUGUGAAUCAUUACAAACACCCUUCCCAACUUGUCCAUAUACUUUUCAUGAUGUCCAGUGGGGGCCGACCUUUUCAUGAUGAUUUAUUAAUAGUGGAUGCAUACUUUUAAAGUUAUAAGAAUUGUGUAAAAACUUUAUAUUUUCUGCCUGUGCUAAUUAAGUUAGUCUAUUGUCUUGAGAUAAUUGUAUCACAGGCAGAGGGGAGGAUUUCUGCUGGGAGUGGUUUACUUUAUUGUAUGUGUUGUAAUGUUUUUAUUGGUUGUUCUGAAAAACCCUGUGGGCGGUCCUGUAUGUGUAAGACCUCCAUAAAAGAAGGCCCUUUGGUGCCAAAUAAAACAGUUCUUCUUCACCUUCAAUCUUGAGUCCUGUCUCUUACUGGGGAAAUUGCUAUAUCACUACAAGAGAUUGCUAUGCUCUGCAUGCUCCCUUGGAUAAUCACUUCUAAGCUCUUUUAAGAGCUUGAUCCUGUUUCCCUCUCUUGGAAGAGAGGUUCACCCACUGGAGCCUGGAGCCUUGUACCAGGUCCAGGGUUGGUAGGAGACAGCGAGACCCCAACCAAGCUACUGCGGUUUGUGGGGUCUGUGGUGGUUGUGGUGUCUGGUGGAGUGCUUGGAGCCCUCUGGAAGUGCUAGGAGCAUCCAGUAACGGAGGUACCCAGUCGGGGUGCCGGGCGGUCCGCUACAUUGGUGGCAGCGGCGGGAUGAUCCUAUCUUCCCAGAGGAGGUGCUACAUCUAUGGAGUAUGAGAAACUGAAAUGGCCAACAUUGAAGUAUCUGCUGGAGAGCCGUGGGCGUUCAGCUAGCAACAGACCGAGAUGGGAAUUAAUAGCUGAACUGGUCGAAAUGUACCAAAACAACAUCAUGGCUAACGCUAAGUCACCAAACGGAGAAGAGGACAAGAUCCAGAGAAUUGUGCAAAGGAGGCUGACACUCUACGGGCCAAAUCCACAGGUAGAACUGGUAACCCAGCUUCUCCACGCAGCGAUGGAGGAGGCGAAGGAAAAAAGAGCCUACCACCUACAGGUACUGACCGUACAGAGACCAGAGAGCCCAACAGUACUACCGAUAGGAACCCUCAGUGAGCGGAAAAAGCUACCAUUUGCUGCAUUUAAAGCAUACCAAGAGACUGAUGGAGAGAGAGAUGGAUAUUUGACUGAUUUUGAAAGGCAAUGCGCGCUCCAUCAGGUGCCGCCCGAGGAAUGGGUUACAAUUUUGUCAGGCAAACUGUCAGGAAAAGCCAACGAAGCUUUUCGUGCCAUUCCAACCGAGGAUGUUACAAACUAUGCUACAGUAAAGGAAGCGCUACUGUUCUGGUAUGCUGUAACCCCCGAAGCAUACCGGCGACGGUUUAGGGAAUCUAAAUGGAAAGGAGGAGAUUGUAUGGAUGGAUGGAGGAGUCCUGUGGGACUGUAUGUUACACAGGACCGCAUCUCAUUGGGUACAGGGUUGCCAAGCCACCACUGGAGAAGAAGUUUUGCAACUGUUCCUACUCGAACAUUUUAUAGGAGCACUUCAAUCGGGCCUGAAGGAAUGGAUCCAGGAUUGGUGACCACUCACCCUACAGGACGCAGCGCACCUAGCAGAUGAGUAUACUGAUACCCGACAGCCAGAACCUACCACUGUACGUCCACGUCCUGAGCUGACCAUGACAAAACCACCCCCUAGGACAGAGUUCCGUGCUCCGGUCCCUCCAGGCCCAGCCCGCUACUCCGGGCCCCCCAGGUUCCAGUCGAAUCAAUCCUGAGUACGGUGCCAUGGAUGCCAAUAGCUGGGGCACAUCAGGAGCAACUGCCCUAUGGAACCCCCCAGGACCACCUGGGGACGACCCUACAACCGACCGCAACCUACACCAGCUGCUCACUGUUUGGAAACUGCAGCCAAGACUGAGGGGUCCUACACGAGGCCAACCCCAUCCAAGCCGCCACUCAGGAUAACAGGCAACAGCACUGCCAAGAGGUACUGGUCAAUAGACAACCUGCUCAGGGUCUGCAAGACUCUGGGGCCACAAUAACUCUUAUACAAAAACACUUUGUUCGCAACAGCGACCACGCCGGAAAGACUGUUGCUGUCCGAGUUGCUGGAGGAGCUGUUUACCGUCUCCCCACUGCCGGGUUCAUCUCAAUUGGGGAACUGCAUCCGGUACUGUACAAGUGGGAAUAAUUGACAACCUCCCAGCUGAAGUCCUGCUGGGAAACGACCUUGGGCCUCUCACCUCAGCCUAUGCUCCUACCGCAGCCGCUCAUCCAGUCACCACCCGUGCCCAAGCCUGCAACGCAGAGAACAACCCAGGUAAGACAUACUGACCCAGGUAAGACAUACUGACCCCUUGACUCUCACUUAACUAACGACCACCACUGAAAUUUAACCCCGUUUUUACUUCGACACUUCGACAGAGGUCGAAGUGCGUUCGACUAUUCGAACGCCGCCUUUGGGUGGGACUUUGUUAUUUUUCAAGGCAGAAAUAGACCGACCGCAGUCGGUCCAAAGAGACUUUUCAAUAUUUCUGGAACCACUGAACGAAUUUGUAUGAAUUUUGAAUAUGUUUGUCCCCAAAUUGUGUUGUUCAUAAAAAUAUAAGUUUUCCUGUAGGAUGAAAAAUCAUAAAGUUAUCAAAAUGCAUAAAAAAGUAUAAGUUUUAGCUUGGAGAUAAUUGAGUAGAUACCGUAAGGAACUCAAUUAUCUCCCAAGCAGAGGGGAGGGAAUCUGUGGGUUGUAACCAUUGUAUGAUUGGUUAAUGUCUGAUUGUCUGUGGGUGUCUCCCUUGCAUGGGAGCACCUCAUAAAAGGAGAGUACCUGCCAUUAAACCUCAGUUCUACUUCACCCUCAAUCUAGAGUUCUGUCUCUUAUUGGGGGUAACCGCUAUACAGCUAUUCACACUAGUUCUUGUAAGAGCUUCUUCACUUUGAUCAUGACUGGAUAUUGUGAAUCCUCCUCACUGAUUGGGAAAAGGACACCCUCCAGCUAUUGAAACCCCUCUGCUACACUGGGUAACCGCCACAAUACGUACAAUGAUAUUGAUUAAAUAUAUAUAUAUACACAAAUAUUAGUGUUUUAAAACAGUAAAACGUAUGACAACAAUAUCGUCCUUGUAAGUGCCAUUUGUGUGUGAAAAAUUCAGAAAAUGUCACUUUCACUGACAAUAUCGUUGUUGUAAUAUAUUUUACUGUUUUACUGUUAAAUACAGUGCUAGCAAAUUAAAUUCCCUGGAUAUUUGUGUUCAGCAAAGUCUCCCAAGUAUAACAGUACCUCUCAUGUAGAAGUUUUAUGGUGUUUUCAAAAGUUACAGAAUCAAAUAUAAGGCUUGCGUUUCAGUUUUUUCACAUUGAAAUUCGCUAGGUUGGUUAUGUUGCCUUUGAGACUGUAUGGUAGCAAAGGAAUUAAAAUUACCCCCAUGAUGGCAUACCAUUUGCAAUAGCAGACAACCCAAGGUAUUGCAAAUGGAAUAUGUUCAGUCUUUAGUAGCCACUUAGUCACAAACACUGGCCAAAAUGGGCAUUCAAAUUAGUUUUUUGCAUUUUUUCACACACAAACAAAUAUUAACACUAACUUUGGCCAGUGUUUGUGACUAAAAAGACUGGACGUACCCCAUUUGCAAUACCUUGGGUUGGCUACUUUUGCAAAUGGUAUGCCAUCAUGGGGGUAAUUUUUAUUCCUGGGCUACCAUACGGUCUCAAAGGCAACGUAACCAACCUAGCGAAUUUCAAUGUGAAAAAAAAUGAAAAAUCUAACAUGCUAUAUUUGACCCUGUACCUUCCCAAAACACCAUAAACCCUGUACAUAGGGGGUACUGUUUUACAUGUGAGACAUUGCUGAAUACAAAUAUGUGUAUUUUAUUGCAGUAAAAGCAAACAGUAUUAUGACAUUCACAGUUAGAAUGUCACGUAGAACUAAAUGUUUUUUAACAUAACAAACAGACAUAUAGCGCAAAUUCAAGUUUUUGUUUACGUUUUGUUUUGAUCACAACGUGUACAUUUGGCUCAGUCCUUAAAGGGGUUAAUAAUGGUACACAUAUUACCAAUUCUCCAAGGGAAUGCAAACUUUUGAGCAAAACUGUAUAACUAACAUGUAUAUUAACAGGUUGUUAAUCCAAUGAGUAUGGAGUCAAUAAGAAUUUAUUUGCAUUUUCCCAUAAUUAGAUGUUUUGCCUUCUUUUGGAGCCACAGCAUGAAAGUAUGUGAUACAGAGGUUCAACUCGAUUGACAUAAUAUUUUUUUUUUAAAUCUAGUUUUUAUUGUAACUAUAUAACAUAUGCUUGUAAUAUUUUCUAAAUUCUAUAGAGAGAUAAAAACAUAUAUAAAUCAGUAUGUCAAAUAAAUACUUACUGUUGAGUAUCUAAUUAGAACCACUCACUUUUUUGAGAGCUGUGAGCAGGCUCUACAGAAUACAUUUUUUUUUUUUUUUUUUUGUAGUAACAUAUCUGGAUCAUACAUAUAAGUACCAACAUUGUACGUUACAUUUUGUUGUGCAGGCAAAAGUGGUAGGAAAUCUAACGACACAAUGCAUGUUAUUACAGUAUUCCUGCCUGGCUUCAUAUAAUCUGGGAACUUGCACAUUAUGCUGUGGACUCUGGAGGGUCAUCUGGUUAAAUCGCUUUAAAUGGGAGGGAGUGAGAGUCCCAGGAGAGAAGUGUAAACCUUGUGGUGACAGGCCCUAUGGGAUGAUUUAAUUAUGUUAAAAUAAAAGGAAUUGGAAAUAGAACCGUUUUCAGUAAACCAUAUGAUAUAAGGAUAAGUGGCCUUUAGGCUAAUUCUGGCACUAGCAUUAAGUGUGAUGGGUGUACUUCUCUGCUAACUUAUGGUUUCAAGUGUCCGGUUUCAAGUGUCUGGUAAUGAUGAGUGGCCUUGACAUCGCACUCCGCUCUCCGGGGUGAAGCGGCUGGAUGUUGGCAACGUCCCAUGUUGAGGGGGUGAGUUCCGUGGAUGUGGUUGUUUAAUGUCCCUGUGCUUUUUCUAUUGCUGGCAUAUUCAGACCCUUUUCGCUUCUGAGGCUUGUGUGAGGUAUAGUCUCUUCAUGCCAUAUUGCACCGAUAGCUUUCGUCCCCAGUGGUAUCUGACGCCAUUGUCUCGCAGUGACUUUGUGGCCAUUUGCAUGGAUUGUCUCCAGAUCAUUGUGGGUUUGGAGAUAUCAUUGAAGAAAGAGAGGUUUGCGCCUUCAAAGUGAAAGAUAGGUGACUCUUGGCUGCUCGAUUGUAGGAGCUGUUUGCUUUGGAGUAACUGGAAACUCAGGAGCAGGUCUCGUGGCACUUCGGCCGGAGUUUUGGGAGGCUUGGGGAUCCUGUAGUAGUGAUCAAGUUGUAUGGCUUUUGCCCUGGAUGGUGAGAGCAUUGCGCUGAAGAGCCUUCUGAGGUAGUGUGGGACCUCUGUGUCUGUGAUGUCUUCGGGAGCUCUGCUGAGCUUUAGGGUGCGCUGUCGCUUAGAGUCCUCCAGCACAGCUAUUUUUUCUUCCAUGUUUAGAGUGAGCUGUUUCAGUCUGUCUAUAUCAGCAGACAUAGUGCCCUGUAAAUAUCUGGUGGUGCACCCCUCGUCCUCCAGGGACUGCAAUCUGGUUGUCUUGGCGGACUAGCGCAACGUAGGCCGAGAAGUAGGCCUUCAUUUCAGCCAGCAUGUUCUUGAUGUAUGCCUUGCUGGCCGGCAUGUGCUCCGAGUGCUGUGUAGUGCUGGCUCCCCUGUUUACUGAGGCUGUCUCUGUGUGUGCCACGUUCGGCGGGGUCUGUGGGGUCCUCUGGUAUACUCUCCUCCGAGACGGAUUCCGAGUCCCCCUUCACAGACACCAUUUUGGUGGACCGCGGCAGCGGUGUGCCACGGAGCAGGGCACCAAUAUUUUUAGUGGAGGCUGCUGCUUCGCUUUUGCGAGUUUAGUUUUAGUUUAGUUUUUUUUCCCUAUCUCAUCAGGUUCAGUUUGGGCAGGUUUGUGGGUGCUGUGGAUUUGGUUCUGCUUAGCUUUUAGUGGGUCUCCCUUCCUACAGAAUACAUUUUAUGGGUGCCCCAAAAAGAAAAAGGUUUUGGUGUAAAAUAUCCAACACAUUAUUAUUAAAAUAUGUAGUAGCAUACAGCAGGGCUGUCUUAAACACAGAGCAUAUGGGACAGCUGCUUCGGUCCCAGUUACUCCUGGAGGGCCCCAAAGCCAUGCUGCCCAAGAUUGAAUUGAGCAGUCAACCAGCGGUCCUCACACUAAGGAGGCCCACCGAGUGGUCCAUGCAGUAAGGGCCACCAGGUGGGCAUGUGUCAGCAUUACGUGGGCCCCUUUCUGUUCAGCAGUCUGGGAGGAAGAGACAGCCGCUAGUUACUUCAGUAUGUCUGUGUGUGUCAAUAUGUCUGUGCGUGAAUCAGUAUGUAUGUAUAUUGGUGUGUGUGUGUGUGUAAGUAUGUCAGUGUGUAUGCCUGUCUGUGUUAGUAUGCCUGUCAGUGUGUGUGCUCAUCUGUGUCAGUAUGUCAGUCAAUGUGUGUGUGUCAGUAUGUCUUUGAGUGUCUGUAUGUCUGUCUUUGUGUCAGUAUAUCUUUCAGUGCGUCAGGAUGUGUGUCAAUGUGUGUCAGUGUGUCUGUCAGCACAUGUGUCAGUGUGUGUAUCAGUAUGCCUGUUUGUUGGUGAGUUUCAGUAUGUCUGUUAGUGGGUCUGUCAGUGUGUCUGUGUGCGUCAGUAUAUGUGUCAGUAUAUGUGGCUGAGUAUCUGUAUGUUGUCAGUUUGUGUAUCUGUGUGUGUUUGUCUCAGUGAGUGUAUUUGUGUAUCCUCUUGUAUGUCAGUGUGUAUCUGUGUGUCUGUGUAUUUAUAUGUUUAUCUAUAUCUGCAUGUGUGCCAGUGUGUAUCUGCAUGUGUUUCAGAGUGUGUGGAUCCACGUGUGUGUUUGUGUGGCAGUGUAUGUGUAUAUGUGCAUACAUCUCAGCAUUUAAACACUAACAAGACACACAAAUACACCCCUGCAUUCAAACUUCAACACUACAUUUAAGAACACUCCUUUAUUGAAAACUGAACGCUACAUACAAAAAUACCUCUGUGUUAAACGCCAAAAUAUAUUCAAACACACCCCUGCAUUAAAAAAAAUCAAUACUACUCAGAAAUGCAUGCUUAUAUUCAAACACCAACACCACAUUCAAACAUACUCCUACAUUCACACAAACAUACUCCAUACAAAAAUAUGCUUACAUUUAAACACUGCUCAGCUCUAAAUACAGCCCUGUAUGCAUGGUAAAAUGUAGAGCCCCAGCUGUCAAAGCAGUGUUUGAGACAGAUGGGGAAUCUACAUUUUGGCCACCCUUGUGAUAAAUUCUUGCACCAGGGCUCUCUAUUUAGUACAGCCACUGCUUAGAGAGCCCUGGUGUACAUGCCAUUGAGUGGGGGGAGGUGCGGGUGGCAGGGUUCAGGGGACACAAGCUAAUGCUUGCCCAGGGUCCAUUCAAUAUUAAAGAUAGUCCUUGCAUUCAGUAGCAAAGAAGGUCAGUCUACCAUAUAAUUAAUGACUGGUAUUUAUAACAUUUAAGAUGCUGAAUGUUUGGGUAUUCUAAGUAGGCAGUCUCUCCUUUUGUUACUAGAAGGGAAAGUAAAAAAAAAAAUGGAUUACUAAGAUUAAGAAUGUAUGAAUUCACAUCCAAGAGUUACAGAAUAUGCAUGAAGGGCUAUAGUAAAAACAAUAAAAGGCUGCGCACAUGAAUAAAGUCCAAUAAAAGAGAGAAAGUCCAACUAGUAUAUUCUUACAGGUGUCUUUGGUUGAUGGGGUCUUCUAUUUAUGUGGUGGCUUCACUCGUUAUGAAAAAUAAAAAGAGGGAGAAGGGACAUCCAAUGGUGUAGUAUGUAAAAUUUAGGUAUAGACGUAAAAAUAAUAGUAUAAAACUCACAUUUACCAGAGCUAAUGUCCAGCUCUGGAGUAAAGCGCGUACAGCGGUUUAAUCCCCGCUUGUGGGAUGUAAGCAGGUUCUUCUCCGUGAAUAGUAUCCAAUUCUCGGGAUAAAACAAACAGCCAAUAGUGCUCACUGUAUGGCAAAUAAUAAUAAAAUAAUAAAAGAAAUGUACUUACAAAAUAAGAGCAGACCCACUGCUCUUUGAUGAUAGCUUGGGUGGAUUGAUCCCCACCUACGGAUUUCUUUGGGUACAGGAAACUUCCAGGAAUUUUUAGGUUUGUUUUAAAACCAGUAAAAAUAAUAAAAUUAACAGUAAAAAGGCCAGGGUAAAAAAGAAAGAUAUGUGUCUAUAAAAAAGAUAAUUGGCACAAGCAAAUGAUCAAAAAUACUUUAAUAUAUAUAAAAAACACAAUAUUCAAAUAUCCAUAACGCGUUUCGUCACAAAAGGACUUUUUCAAAUGGAAUAACAUGUUUUACCUGGCACAUGAAUGUUAUAUAAGAGCAUAAUUGAUUGAAUUUUGGCGCCAAAACUUGGUUCAUCCAAUCAGAAUUAAAAACGUAUGUACGACUUUAAAAUACAAAAUAAACUUAUUCUACACAUAGUUUAUAAAGGUACAACUUAUUUAAAAUAUAUUUGGUUUAAAAACAAGGGUAGGAAAGUAUAGUUUUGGGUAUUUAAAAAAAAAAUCACAUGACCGGCGGCACUUCCGCUUUUCGGACGUUCCGCCGCAAGGGCACAUGGGAAAUGUAGUUGCGAUCGGCGGCCAAUACAAAAGUCUAAUAGACUGAAUUAUUUGAAUUAUACAACAUGUGGAGAGAUACUUAAUAUAAUUGCCACCACGCUUGUGGGUGCUAUUCCAAAAGGGUACUCCCUUAAAUACCAAUAAAGCACAUAUUCAAAAAAAGAAAGGAAUGCACACCAACUAACACAAUAAUAUAUAUCUAAAUAUAUUUAUUAUAAUACAAAUCCAAAUCUUACAUAUAAAAUGUAACAGUGACCAAAAAAGGCAAAAAAGUUUAAACAGUAUAUUUACCAAAUUCGACAAGCCUAUAAGGGCAGAAACACGAGUCACAAACAAUCCCCCAACGUUUCGGCUCCAGUAUAGAAUAGCUCCUGAGGAGCCGAAACGUUGGGGGAUUGUUUGUGACUCGUGUUUCUGCCCUUAUAGGCUUGUCGAAUUUGGUAAAUAUACUGUUUAAACUUUUUUGCCUUUUUUGGUCACUGUUACAUUUUAUAUGUAAGAUUUGGAUUUGUGUUAUAAUAAAUAUAUUUAGAUAUAUAUUAUUGUGUUAGUUGGUGUGCAUUCCUUUCUUUUUUUGAAUUAUUUGAAUUACCAGAUUGAUAUAGUGUGGCAGCAGGGGAUAAAAUACCAAAACGAAGGGGCUAAGUGUUUAAAAAAAGGCAGUUUGAGAGAGGUCACGUGGUUUUCGGCAUUAGUGGCCGAAAUGCCUCAUGGGAAAUGUAGUUUGAAUUGCAGCAUGUAGGUUAAUGGUAGGGAACAUCAAAUAUGGAUAGUGAGAUAGGGCAAAAACAUGGCAAAUGUAAUGCUUUUUACAUUAGUUAAAAAAGGUGGCAAAUGUAAUACUUUAUACAUUAGUUAAAAAAAGGAGCUGAAUAAUAUUAAAAACAUAAAUUAAAACAGAUUAACCUUAUAUUGGAAAGAGAGAGAGCAAUCCUAAUUGGAGGUGCAGAUUUGUUAAAAGGUAAUAGUAAAAAAAAUUUUUAUAAAUAAAUUAAGAUUACAGACUUCAAAUGACAUAAAAGUUCUAAAAAAUAAAAUAAAAUUGUGUAAAUCUGCAUUUAAAGGUACAGGCAUUGGGUGACAUAAAAGUUCAUAAAAAAUUAUAAAAAAUUGUAUAAAUCAAAAUCUGCAUUAAGGCCAUGGGGUAUAAGGGUCUGAAGUUUAUACACCCAUUCCAUCUCUAUUUUUCCAAGUAACUUUUUUAUAUCACCUCCUCGCCAAGAGGUAGAACAUUUUUUUUAUACCAAUACAUUUUAAUAAACAAGAAUCUUUAUUGUGCUUAAUAAAAUGUUUGGAUACUGUAUGAUUUAGGUAUCCAUUUCUAAUAUUUCUGCAAUGUUCGCUCAGUCUUAUCUUUAGGCACCUUGUGGUCAUCCCCACAUAUUGGAGGUCACACGGGCACUCAAGCAGAUAAAUAACAUUUUUGGUAUGGCAGCUUAUAAAAUCAUAAAUAUCAUACACUCUUUUGGUUUGAUUUGACAUAAAUUUUGUAGUUUUUGAUGGAAUAACAUGAUCCACAGUUUUACAUACGAUGCAUUGUUUGCAUCUAAAAAAACCUUUUGUCUGAGGAAAGAAUGAUACAUUUUUUAAAGGAGAUUUUUUUGUAAAAUUACUAGUUAAAAUAGAUUUAAAAUUAGGUGCUCCUCUAAAAACAAUGUUUGGAUGAGUAGGUAUAAUGGAAUUAAGUAUCUCAACAUGUUUGAGUAUGUGCCAAUGUUUUCUUAUAAUUUUUUUGACAUCGUUGCUUUUGUUAUUAAAAUUAAAAAUAACUGGAAGUGAUACAGUUUCAUUAUUUUCUUUAUUUUUAUAUAUAAAAAGUUAUUUUCGUUCUUUUUGUUUGACUGUAUUAAUUGUGGUAUUCAGAUCUGGUUCUGAGUAAUUUUUUUCAAUAAAUUUAUUUUUUUUAAACUCUGCUUGUUCAUUAAAAUCUGUGAGUUAUGAGCAAUUUCUGCGAAGGCGUAAAAACUGACUUUUUGGGGCACUUUCUAGCCACGGCUUAUAGUGACAACUAGAUCUGUCUAUGGCCGUGUUUACACAUACUUUUUUUAAAAAAGUUUUUGUUUGGAGUUGUCCAUUGUUGAUAAAAAUAUUCAAGUCUAAAAAGUUAAUAGAUUGUUUACUGAAUUCGUAUGUGAGGAUAAUGCCCCUAUUAUUAGUAUUUAAAUAAUUGAUAAAAUCAAUAAGAUGUUUUUCAGGUCCAUUCCAAAUAAAAAAAAGGUCAUCUAUAUAUCUGAAAUAGGAGACCAGGUUUGCCCGCCAGGUAUGAUUGCCCCAUAUGGCUUCAUUUUCCCAAUCAGCCAUAAACAGGUUAGCGUAACUGGGGGCAAACCUAGUCCCCAUAGCAGUGCCUCUUCUUUGUAAAUAAAGAGUCUAAAAACCAGAAAUAAUUGUUAUUUAAAAUAAUGUUAAUACCUUCUAUUAUAAAAUCUAUUUGAGUGUCGGGAAUCCUAGCUUCUUGAAUUAAAAUUUAUUUUAUAGCGUUACAACCAAUAUCAUGGGGGAUAAUGGUGUAAAGGGACUGGACAUCACAUGUGACUAAUAUAAAAUUAUUUUUCCAGGUAAAAUCAUUUACAAAUUUUAAAAGUGACAUGGAGUCUUUUAAGUAUGAUUUCAUAAGUUUGACCGAAGGUUGGAGAAGGGUAUCUAUAUAUUGGGAAAGGUUACUUAAAAGUGAGCCUAUCCCUGAAACAAUGGGUCUUCCUGGGGGGGGGUGUUCAUUUUUAUGAAUUUUAGGAAGAAAAUAAAUAACUGGGGUAAUUGGAUGUUUUUUGUUUAAAAAAUUAUAUUCAUGUUUGUUUAGAAUUUUUUGAUCUAGACCCUUAUUUAAAAACUUAGAUAAAAUGGUUUGGAUAUUUUUGAUCGGAUCGGUUAGAAGUUGUUCGUAUACAUUACCAUCUUUUAAUUGUCUAUGGGCUUUAUCUACAUACAUUUUACUAGAUUGAAUGACUACUCCUCCCCCCUUAUCAGCUGGUUUGAUGACAAUGUCUCGAUCUUUUUGUAAUUCUUUGAUUGCCUGUCUCUCACUAUUCGUGAGAUUAUUGGGGUCAUAUUUUUUGUAUUUGAUUUUCUCUAAGUCUUUAAGAACAAGUUUCUCAAAUAAAAUCAAAGGAGCUGAUUUAAAAUGGGAUGGAUAAAAUUUAGAUUUUUCUCUCAAGUGUGUAUUCAGAAAAGGACUAUUUCCUGUUUCUGAGGGAAGAGGAAAAAUAGGAGGGGCAGAUUCUUCGUCAUUUUUACUUAUAAAAAAUCUUUUCAAUGUAGCCUUCCUAACAAAUUUAUUUACAUCAAUAAAAGCUUGAAAUGAAUUAAAAGAGGAAGUGGGGGCAAAUUUGAGACCCUUACUUAAAACAGAUAAUUGUGCAGCCGAUAAAACUUUUUGAGAGAGGUUAAAAAUACCAUUGCAAGAAUUAGUGGAAGGUAUUAUUGUCUUUCCAAUCUUUCUCUUUUGUUUCCUUCUUCCACUUCAUCUUCCUCUAAAUUUAAAGUUCUUUUUUGAGAGCGUGAUGGGUAUGGUGUCUGGGCUAGUGCGGGUUGGUGAGUGCGUAUUUCUAAAAAAUGAUCCUCAUUAUCAAAGUCAGAGUCGACUGAUAAUAGUUGGUAUCUGUUAGUAUGAUUUGGAAUUGUGGGUGAUUUUGAGUAAUUUGAAUACUCAUUAUGAUUGUUAGUGUACCUGGAUCUUUGUGAUUUUGGUGAGAAAUUAAAACCAGAGGAAUUUUGAUAUCUGGGUGAUUGGGGUAUAGAAUUGUAGUUAUCGUGAGGAAAUUUCCUUUGUUUGUACGAGGGUAGUUGGUAUGUAUUCCUCUUAUUUUGGUAUGGUGAUUUGGGAGGGACGUGGUUUUUGGUGAGAAGACAUAUAUUGGGUUCUUGUUGUGGAUGGGGAUUGGUGAUGGGGUCUUCGUGUAGCAUAAUUGCGGUAUUUGGAAGGUGGUUGAUAUGAUACAUUGUUGUGGGGGUGGGAGUUAUUAUACAUAUAGUUUUGAUGGUUAGUUCUGGAGGGGUAAUUUUCGGAAGUGUACUUCUUUUUAAGAUGGUAAGUUCUUACUUGUUUACUAGAAUAAUCAGUCUUAUCUCUAAUGUAUUUUUUAAUUUUCAAAUGUUUUUGGUCGACUUCAACUUUUUCAAUUUUAUUCUGGAUUAGUACAGAAUUUUGUUUAUAAACCUUAGUUUCGGUGAAUGGUAAAAGUUUCUCUCUAAGAUCAUUUAUUUCUAUGUCUAGAAUAAACAAUUUUUUACUCUUUUUUAUUAUUAAUGUUUCCAUUAGGCCAAAAGUACAUAAUUCCAGUUUGUUAUUCCACUCUUCCAUAAACUCGAGAUCAUCUUGAUCAGAAGUGGGCAGUUUUAGGAGUCUUAAUCCACGGGGAGUAAUUUGUUCAUCUAUGUAUUUUUUAAAAGUGGCAAUUUCCCAUCUAAGCUUAAUCUCUGUGGUUAAGGCUCUUUCUAAUUUCAUAAAUAAAUCUUGUUGAUUGGAAUAGUGGGGAGUUAUUUGUAUAGAGUUGAUAGCUUCUGUGUUAAAUACAUUGUUGACAUCAAUUGUAUAUUUAUUCCUAAAUUCAAAAAUAGACAUAUUGUGAGAGUUAAAUAGCAGCUAUCCCAAAAGGGAAUUCGAAGAGAUAAUAGUAAAUAGGAGGAAUGAGACAGCGCUAAAAUAACUUAUGGCAGCAACCUUUAAAAAGGGAAUCCCUCAAACACUUCUAAAACAGGAUAAAGUAAAAACAAUAAAAGGCUGCGCACAUGAAUAAAGUCCAAUAAAAGGAAGAAAAGAGAGAAAGUCCAACUAGUAUAUUCUUACAGGUGUCUUUGGUUGAUGGGGUCUUCUAUUUAUGUGGUGGCUUCACUCGUUAUGAAAAAUAAAAAGAGGGAGAAGGGACAUCCAAUGGUGUAGUAUGUAAAAUUCAGGUAUAGACGUAAAAAUGAUAGUAUAAAACUCACAUUUACCAGAGCUAAUGUCCAGCUCUGGAGUAAAGCGCGUACAGCGGUUUAAUCCCCGCUUGUGGGAUGUAAGCAGGUUCUUCUCCGUGAAUGGUAUCCAAUUCUCGGGAUAAAAAAAAACACUCCUUUAUUGAAAACUGAACGCUACAUACAAAAAUACCUCUGUGUUAAACGCCAAAAUAUAUUCAAACACACCCCUGCAUUAAAAAAAUCAAUACUACUCAGAAAUGCAUGCUUAUAUUCAAACACCAACACCACAUACAAACAUACUCCUACAUUCACACAAACAUACUCCAUACAAAAAUAUGCUUACAUUUAAACACUGCUCAGCUCUAAAUACAGCCCUGUAUGCAUGGUAAAAUGUAGAGCCCCAGCUGUCAAAGCAGUGUUUGAGACAGAUGGGGAAUCUACAUUUUGGCCACCCUUGUGAUAAAUUCUUGCACCAGGGCUCUCUAUUUAGUACAGCCACUGCUUAGAGAGCCCUGGUGUACAUGCCAUUGAGUGGGGGGAGGUGCGGGUGGCAGGGUUCAGGGGACACAAGCUAAUGCUUGCCCAGGGUCCAUUCAAUAUUAAAGAUAGUCCUUGCAUUCAGUAGCAAAGAAGGUCAGUCUACCAUAUAAUUAAUGACUGGUAUUUAUAACAUUUAAGAUGCUGAAUGUUUGGGUAUUCUAAGUAGGCAGUCUCUCCUUUUCUUACUAGAAGGAAAGUAAAAAAAAAUGGAUUACUAAGAUUAAGAAUGUAUGAAUUCACAUCCAAGAGUUACAGAAUAUGCAUGAAGGGCUAUAUAUAACUGUAACGGACCGUUUUGCACAUAAGGGGUAAAAACCGUUUAGGCGAUCGUCCCCCUUUCCAGAGAUGCAGGCACAGCUACUGCAGAACACCAAUCCGCUGAACAGGGAACCAUAUGAAUGCUAUAAACAGCCGAAUAGGAAAAACCAUACGAAUAGAUUUACACUCCUAGCAGUCAAACUGGAACAGCAUACAAUAAAUCCCCCCAAGAACGAGAGGGUCAAGCAGUGAACAGCCAGAGCUGUGGGUUUAUUGUGCUUACGUACACAUUCUUACACAUUAGUACCACCCACAGGGUUUUGGAACACAACCAAUAAACACAUACAAUACACUCAGACACUCCCACACAAAUUCCUCCCCUCUGCAUGUGAUUCAAUUACCUUACACAAUGGGUAAUGUAAUUUAGCACAAGCAGAGAAAUACAUUUUUUUCACAUUAUUCAUAACUUGAAAAGUAUGCAUCACAUUCACAUCAGAAUCAGCAUACUCCAAAUACAAACAUACGUCAAAAUCAUACAAAUUGGUCCAGUGGUUCAAAAGAUAGAUCGUAAUCCUUUGUGACCACAGGAAGCAUGGCUUUUCUGCCCAAAACCAGUUCCACAGAGUCUUCUAUCCUGGAGAUAAUUAGAAGUAAUCCAAUUAUCUCCAAAGACAGAGGCAAAACUCCAUUGAACACAUGGCAGAAAAAAGACAGUAAAAUACAAUAAAAUACACAAGGUUACAUUUAUGACAUAAAAUACAGACAUGCAACAUAUGCCCAGAUAGCUUAGGUCUGAGCGCACAUUAUUACUGAAUGGUGCUCAGAGCACACACAUACAGUUCAAUUGCCAUGGAGCCAAAGUCUUUCCCAUAGUCUUUCAUUAUACGAAUGGGCUCCAUGGCAUAGCUAUCUGGGGUAUCACUGCUCAAACAGGGCAAGCACCAAAUGACCCAGCUUUCUUGUCUUUGCAGGGGAAAAUCAAGCCUUUUAACAUGGGGCCAUAAUCCAAAGGCAACAGGCGAGCAACCAGGCUUCUCCAAUGCAAUGUGGCGAGAUUGCUCUCGUCACAAUAACAUAUGUGAAGAAAUCCCUCUUUGUAUUAGUUAUUUCUCCCCUUUUCAUUCGGUAUACGUAACUACCGAACAGAGACCACCCUCCUGGCUCCUUAACUUCAAAAGCAUGCCUCAAUUAAACCCUCUACCUGUGCGGCCGCUGUUCGUAUUGCCGAAUGCCACAUGGCUGAGAAAACGGUGGCCAUCUUGUUUGUGUGAACAAAGGCAGUGGGACUUGGUCGUCGAGUGUCUGGAACUAAAAUCGUACACUCGACUUCCCGAACACCAGUCCCAACAUACGAAUGCUGGAUCUUCGUUUUCCAAACAGCUAGAAGAGCACUGUUCGGUACUUUUGAUCAUUCGUAUGAGGGGAGCAAUCGCUACUAGGAGCUAGGGGGAACCGUUUGUGGGAUUAUUCAUUUAUUUCCACUUCACGAAAUAGACCGGCAAAUCCACCCAAACUCGUGGAACUGUUUUGGGCAGCAGCCUCGUGGUUAGCAGGUCGUCUAAGACUUACAUAGAAUUAGAAAACCCCUGAACUGAUCUGGGUGAUUUUUGGAUAUGUUGGUCACCCAGAUUAAGGGUAUCAAGGGAUAUUACUUUUAAUGGGAUACCUCUUGUUUUUAGGGGUGUUCUGAAAGUUGGAGAAAAAUGUAUUUUUUUGCCUGGAGAUAAUGAAGUUAUUAUUUUAUCUGCCUUAAUUAUCUCUAGGUCCAGGGGAGGGAAUUGUAUGUUUGUACUGGAACUUGCACGGGGACUUGCAUAAAAGCCAGUGUGGUAUAAUAAAGCUCAGUUCUGUUGUACCCUUCUUCUAGACUCCGGCUGAUGUUUGGGUAUUCGUAUGAUUUACUAAGGGAAUAUUCUUGUAAAGCUCUUUAUUCGUAUUGGAAUCAUUUAUUUGAUCUGCCGAACGGAGAGUUAUAAUCACUGAUGCUCUGGCCAUUCAGAAGGAAACCACCGAAUGGGUAUUGGAUAUACCAGGUUUCCUUACAAAUGGUGGUAAGCGGAGGGAUUCGAAUCCCGAAUGGACAUCCCGAACCAAGAAAAGGGAAUGAAUGGCUCUGGCCAUUCAGAAGGAAACUACCGAAUGGGUAUCAGAUAUACCAGGUUUCCUUACAACAUACACAUACACAGCUACAAUCUCUCUCUUUCUCAUAUAUAUAUAUAUAUAUAUAUAUAUAUAUAUAUUUGUGUACGGCACAUUUAGAGGACCCACCUAGGUGAUAUGAAAAUAGAGGGUGCGGUGGGAGGGGAACUUCCAAGAUCGUUGACGACAGGUGAGCAGGGGAUCACUGGGUUUAAAUAGGGGUCAUAGUCCCUCCCACAAUUACAGGCCAAUCCUUCCAUUUGUGUACAGCACAUUUAGAGGAUGUAUGGUAUAAUAUGAAGAACAUUUAGUAAGAGCAAAGUCAGUUGAGGUGUGCCGAAACUGAUGUGAGGUUAGACCUGUAAAAGAGGGCAAAAAUAUAAGAAAUUAUUCUUAUUGGUAUUUUUAAUGAUAUGUGUUGGUACGUGAUUACUGGAGGUUGCUGUAGCUACUCCAAUACGGAAUGAAUGGCCACAGAAUGAAUGCGGGUUCUGUCCUAGUCGGAGUAAUAACGUAUGAAUGUAAAGCAUGAAUUGUUUGGUGGUUAGUGGUUUCCCUUGAAUGGCUAAUAGUGGGGAUUCAGGGUUGGUAGAAAGUUGAGUUUCCACUAGUUUAUACAGAAUGUGGAUUGGACACCAUUUGGUAGAGGUAGGAUAAUAUUUAAUCUCUACUGGUGGACCAGUUUGGCUCAAUUUGGCAUGAGCGAUUGAUAGAAUAUAUUAGUCCUGUGUUUUAGUAAGGUGUUUUUGCUGAAGGCAUGACUUAAAGUCGGAUGCCUUCUCCACAGAAAAUUCUUUAGGUCUCAAGAAACCGUAGAAGGCUAUGUAGGCUGCGGAUUUGAUUAUCAGGUUUGUGACCUUCUCAAAAGGGGACUUGUUUAGUAAAUGGGAGAUAGUCUCUUAAUGGGAUUAUGUACUGUUAGUCUCUGAAUACCUUAAAGGACACUUUUAACUGGGUAGGAAUGGAGUUUUGUUGGGAUAACUAGUUAACAUGUAGUGUUGUAUGCCUGUUAAGUAAAGUUUAAUUGUAUAAGCUAAUUUAAGAAAUAUGUGGCAAAAAGUUGUAAAUGUGACCAUGGUUUCUAUGGAAAAAACAUUUAUUACAUAAUAAUCAUGUACAAAUUUUUUAAACAAAUCGUAUGCUCUGGAAUAGGCUUUUUUUGUAUUAAGUGAUAAACCAGCCUGUGUGAGUGACCUACUAUGGUGUAACAGGGUAUUUAACGCAUUAUUAGGUCUGUGAAGCUUGGAUGUUCCCUGGGUUGCGAGUCUGCUGACGAAUGGAC